GCAAAAGCGGAGAUUUAUCGCACCAAACCUCAUCAAUAUACUGAACUAUUAUCAGAGACUCACAAAUGGGCUUUCCAUUGUGGAUCAGAACUGGGAUUUUCUUAUGAACUGGGUUCAUCUCAAGAAGCAAAGGGCUCUUGUUCCACAGGUCCUCCUCUCUAUAUUCAUACUUGAGACCCUUCUCUGCCAGGGCAACUCUGACCCUCAUACCAAACAUGCUAGGCCAGAAAUCCAACAAGAUAAUCUCGUCUGCCAUUGCUACUAAUGUGAUUGAUAAGAUUCAAUCUCUUUAGUAUUGAUGAACAACACAGGGCAAAUUGCUGAGUAUUUAUAGCAAAUUUCAGAGAGUGGGUUAAACCCUUGGAUACUUCUAGGAGGUGGUGAUGCUCAUUCCUUAUCUCAGCUUUCAUUUUCAUUUUCCAUUCUAUCUGGGUUUCGUAUCUCCAGAAUUUGUGAAUUAUGCAAACUUUUGUUAUGGCAUGGUAAAAUAUAGAAGCGUCACGAUAGUUGGUUGCUUCCACGACAUCUCAUUGCUUUGAUCAUUCCACGUCAUCGCUUUCGCCAGCCCUGUCAAUUAAGUACACUGGUCCUCCGCAUAAUUUCCACCACAAAAAUGAUGUUGCAAGGAAAAAAAAUGAUAUUGUAGGGAAAAGAAAAUAGAACUUGUAUACUUUUAGAUCGACAAGUCACUAUUGGUCCCUUCCUUAGUUCUUAGAUUCCUGAAAUUAAAUAAAUAUUUAAACUUUAUGUGUAUUAUAAAUAUUUAAAAUUUCAGUGGUGAUUGUAUUUUUAUCUAAGAUCUAAUUUUUUUUUUAAUUUGAAUAAAUUAAGUAUUGUUAAAUAUUUAAAUUUUUUAUAUUUUAAUUAUUAGUAAAUGUUAAUAAAUAUUAAAUUACUGAUCUUUUACAUUACAAAAAUAUUUAUAAAAUAUAAUAUUUUAUUUCUUGUUAAAUUAGUUUGCAAUCCAGCAUAUUUUUUAAUAUUUAAAUAUCAUAAUUCAUUAACAUAUUAAAAUUUUAUAAUAAAUAAUUAUGUAAUUGAUAAGAAAUUGGUAGUAUGAUAAUAAGUAUAAUUAUGGGGUAUUUGGUAAACUCAAUAAUUAUUAUUUAAUGACUUAAGUUGAUUUUAAGUAAAAUUAUAUUUAAGUUAUUGACUUAAAACUUAUCACUUAAUUUUUACUUUAAAUAUUAAGGUUGUUUAAUAAAAUUAAUUUAAAAUUUAUUCUAAAUCAUCAAAUUGAUAUACUUAACCCCAUAAUUAUAAUGAGGGUAAAUGAGAUCGAGUAACGAUGGAAGUUGUAUAAUAGCAAAAGAAAUCGUGGAACUAAGAUAAAUGAGGGUAAAAAGAUAAAAUGAAAACAUGGAUUUAAGAAUAAAUUAAUUAUUUUUACUUAUUACUUAAAGUUGUUUUUUACUUUUAAGUUAUACCAUUAAAUUAUUUUACCAGCUGUAUUUAAUUUGUUUAAUAACUUGAAUUAAGUUAUUAAGUUGAUUUACCAAAUUCCCACUUAGACUUGUUAGAAACUAUUAGAACUUUUUCUAAGUUAGUAUAUGUUUAGAUUUGAAGAUUUGUGAUUGAAAUAUAUAUUCUUUUUUAAAUUAAUCAUUGAUUUUUGGAAUUUUAUCGGAGUAUCAACUUUUAAUUUAUAUUUUUUAAAAUUAUUAAUUCUAAUAAAUAUUUAGAUGAAUGUGAAUUAUGCUUUAGAAUUUUGAUUAAAAAAAUCUUAUUAGAAUUGAUAACUAUUUUUAUUUUUUAUAAAGCUGAAUUUUAAAAAUUUAUAUUAAAUAUUUUUCUAAUUUAAAUUUUAUGAUUUUUAGUGUAAUUUACUUUUUAAUUUUGAAUGAGUAAUCAAUAAUAAUUUGCGGAAUUCAAUUUUAUUAAGAAUGGGAUAAAUUAUGGGGUAAAAAUAAUGGAAACAUGUGGGGAUUUGAAAUUUUGUAAAUUUAUCUUUUAGCUAUCAAUUUAUGAGAAAAUUUUAAAUCUGAUUUUUCUUUAAAAAAAAUGAAAAAUGAAAAUGAAAAAAAAAAAACAAAAAAAAAAAUCAAAUAUAUUUGAUGCUUUUUGUGAAUGACAACUUUGUUAAUUUCUAAUAAAUUUAUUUCUCACUCAAAUUAUAUAAAAUUAACAUAGUUUAACUAUUUUUUAAAACAAGUUAUCUAUUCUUUUUUAAAGGAAUUUAGUUUAAAUUUUUGUGAAAAUUUGUAUUUAAGCAAGUACUCUUAAUUAAUGAUUAAAAGCUUUUUUAUUUUUUAGUUUUUCCCCAUAAAGAAUUAAAUAUUAUAAUUAAUCCUAGUUUUUUCAAACUCUUAUAAAUAGGAGACUUGGGUCAAUGAAAUGGAUACCUCAAAGUUAUUUUAGAAAUCUGUCUUUUCUCUAAUUCUAGUCUCUCCAAAAGAAAACUUUUUUUUAUCAUCUAAAAGGUAUGUGAUAAACUUCUACUUUUAUAUUAUUUUCUAUUUAAUUUAUCCUUUUUUCGAUGAAGAAACUAGAAAAUAUUUUUUUAUAGACAAAAAUUAUGAAAAAAAAAAAUCGCAACUAGAAGUUAUAAAAAAAAAUGUAAAAUAUGUACAAUUGUAUAGCUAGAGGUUAUAUGAGAAAUUAUAAAGUUAUAAAAAUAUAAAGAACGACUUACAUGUAAUUUCUAAUUUCUUUUAAUCAUAAUGAUAUAACCAAAUGUUACACAAAACAAAAUUGUAUAGUCAAAAGUUAAAUAAUGAAUAUUUCAUAGCCUAAAGAUGUAUACAAAUUUACACAUUUUUGUUAUGAUAAAAAUAAUCCAUAGCCAAAAACUAUGUAAGGUAUCAAUUUGUAAUUUUUAUUUUGUUAAUUCUACAUGAUGUUCAUGCAUUUCUUUUUUACCAUAUUUAUAAUAAUCCUUUAGCGAUAAAAUAUAACAAAAUCUUAAAUCAUUAUGCUUUUAUUAAUGAAUAUAAACCUGAUAAAAUAUUGUUAGAUAAUUUUAUUCAUUUAUUUAUAAUUUAUUUUGGUAAAUUGAAAUAUUAUUCUAAUUAAAUUAUUUCAAAUAUAGUUUUCAAAUAAUGUCAAAUCUUACCAAGUUUGAGUUUGUUACACUCCCUAUUUCAGGCAAAACUAUUUAUAUGGAUUUUAGAUGCUAAAAUUCACCUAAACGAUAUGAAUCUUGAAAAGACCAUUAAAGAAUAAAAUGAGGCAUCCUCACAAGAUCGCACUGGAGCAUUAAUAUUCCUUCAUUAUCACAUUGAUGAAGGAAUAAAAGGUGAAUUCCUUACAAUCAAAGAAUUUUCAUCCUUUGAAAUAAUCUAAUGGAAUGAUACUUUGAUCCUUUGGAAUAAUAUAACAUAAUGAUAUGGCCACCACGAGAUUAUAAUCCUUCCAAAAGCACAUCAUGAUUGGAUGCACUUGAGAUUACAAAAUUUCAAGUCUGUCAAUGACCACAACUCGACUUUAUUCAAAAGUUGUUCACAAUUUAUAUGGAGAAAAAAUCAUUAAAGAAUAUAUCCUUGAAAAGACAUUUACUAUUUUCCAUGCCUCGAAUGUACUCCUAUGGCAACAAUAUCAAGAGCAUAAUUUCACUAAAUAUUUUGAAUUAGUUUAAUGUCUUCUUAUGGCUAAACAAAAUAAUGAACUUCUACUUAAGAAUCAUCAAUCUCAUACUAUUAGGUCUGUGUCAUUACUUGAAGCAAAUGUCACAUCCGUCCAAGCUCCUAGACAUUGAGUUGGACUUGGACAUGAACAAGGCUAAGGACACAGUCAUGGUCAUGGUAAACAUAAUUCUUGGUACCAUGGUAAUUAUAGUCAUUAGAAUAGACAAAACAAUUCAAACCAUUAGAAGUGGAAUAAUUCAAAGGUGCAACCUAAAAAGGAUAUAUAUAUAUAUAUAAUCACAAAACAAACAUGAUAAUAAGAAUGAAUGCUAUAGAUAUGGUAUGAAAAGGAUGUAUGUAGGAUUUAGAAAUGACCUACGAGGAACAGGAAGACCUCAAAUUCAUUAUGAGGCUUCUAUAAUUUAAUAUUUAGACCCAAAUAAGAAUGGAUAGAACCAUGGUCCACCUUAAAAGAAAAGUUUUUUUUUUUUUUUGAAGAAUUUACAUACUUUUCUUAAGAAUGUACGUAUUUUUCUUAAGGAUGUACGUAGACUUUGAAAAUGACAAACGAGGAAUGGGCAGCCUCAAAAUUAUUACAAGGCUUCCAUAAAUUAAUAUUAAAAACCUAAAUAAGGCGAAAUAAGGUCACAAUCUGCUUUUAAAAAAACGCACAUAUUUUGUUUUUUUAAGAAUGUACAUGUUUUCCAUAAAAAUAUAUGUAUCUUUUCUUAAGAAUGUUCUUAAGGUUUAGAAAAGCCUAACAAGGAAAAGAAAGACCUCUAAUUCAUUCUCAGGCUUCCAUAAGUGAAUACCUAGACCUAAAUAAGGUCAAAUAGGAUUAUAGUCUUAAGAUAGAGCUCUUAAGAGCAUAACAUGGUGUAUUAAGUUUGAAAUUCAUUAUUUAUUUAAUGAUGUUCCCAUUUCACUUUUAUCUAUCUUUAUUCCAUGUAUUAUAUUUUAUGAGAAGUCUUGUCAGCAUCUUUUGCAUUGUACAUGACUUAGGUGCAUUAGGAGUUGCACAGAAGAUCUUUAAGCCAUGGGUUCCUUGCAAAUAAUUGACUUGUUCACAACCGGUUUAUGGGUCUAGGCAACCCUUUAGAAGUUGUAGUGCACCACCUCCUAAUUAGAGGGAUGGUUGGUCUUCGUUAUCGGGAUGGGUUUCCCAUGGUGAGUACACUACUAUGUAUGAUUACAUGUUGGACAAGACCUACGAUGAGCCAUGACUUAAGACUAUCAAGUAGUCAUGACCUCACCAAGCUACUUCAUUGUGUUAUCUCUCAACCUUGAGAGAAUAUCGAGAUUGUGUUAAAAUUAGCAAUGACUUUUACCUAUGAGUGAGAUCGUAAGUUGGAUCAUAUAUUCCCUAUGGAUUGGGUCACUGUUGAUGGAAGUCGGUAACAAUAGGUAUUCUCAAUAGACACCAUGAUAUCUCAUGGGAUUGAGACAACGUGUCCCCUUGGGUGAUCCUAAGGGGAUGUGUUCAUGGAAACUAUGGCCAUAAUAGUUCCUUAAGUAGAACUUGACACAGGCUCUUUGAGAGCUAAGACAUGUCAAUUGAAUAUACAAUAGGAGGAUUUGUAACUCAAGGAUAGUAGAGGUAGUCUUGAAAGGUUGAUAGCUUUCACCUUGUUAGGCUAGAACACCAGUUCAUGGGGAGAGUGAACACAAUGGAUACUAGGUCACAGACCCGAGUACAUAGUGUCUCGUUGUUAUUUACAUAGGAUAUUGGAGUUCAAUUGAUUCUUUGUAAUAAGAUGUUGAAUCAACUUCAUAAUUGGAUCCUGAGGGAGUUAGUACUCUUAUGGAUCCUAAUGGUCCCCGCUCUAAGCUUAUAUAUCUUUUUGGCAUAGUUAUGAGUGUCGAAUUGACUCUAGGUUCACUUUUGUGCAUAAGGGCAUUUCGAUAAUUAUGCAAGAUUGCAUAAGGGUAAGUGAACAAAGUCUAUAGAUUGAGCUAAUUAAUUAAUUAGUAGGCCCUAUUAGGUUAAUUAAUCCAUUAGGAUCCAUUUUGGGAUAAAUUAAGUUAUCCAAAUCCAUGUGGGCUCAAGUCACUUAAGCCUAGUUAGGAACCCUAUAAAUACCCCCUAGGGGUUAGAGUCUUCAUCACUUUUGUCUUCCACCAUUUAGACAGAAAGAGAGCAAUAGCCUCUACCUUUCGUUCUUCCCUAUUGAAAGUGUGCCAAGAAUAAAUUUGAGUCAUCAGGCAAAAGACCAUGGGUUUACGAGACUUCCAACAACUUCAAUGUCAUCUUCAACACUUGCAAUUUAAGGUUUGAAACAUCCAAACCUAAAGGUUAGCACUUUAACCAUAAAGAUCAAUUUAAAAAAAUAAAUAAAUAAAUUGGUAUUGUUUCCGUUCCUUAGAUCUACGAUGCCAACACACAGUUCGCUUGAAAAAAAUGCAAGUAUUUUCUUCAAAAUAUAUAUAUUUGUUCAGAAUGUAUGUAUUUUUGUAAAAGAUGUACCUUAGGUAGGGUUCCACCAUGCCAAAUGAGGUUUGGGAAGCUUUCAAAUACAUUUCGUAGAGUACAUAAGUCAAAUCUUAGACCCAAAUGAGUGUGAAUCUGUCAUGUUAAGUUGAAAUCAAAUGUACAUAUCUUUCUUAAGGUGUUAUAUUUUUCUAAAAAAUGAACUUAUGAGUGUUUAGCUAGGUUGGCAAUUCCGGAAAAAAUUUCUAAGUGUCCCCUAACUUGGUUUACCAAUCCCUCUUCGGACUACAUGACCUUUGAAGAUUAAGACUUUGCUAAAAGGUCGAGGUAUGUAGCCAAGUCUGUAGUGAUUAAAUGUGAGCCAACCCUAUUUUUUCAUCUUUAAAUGAGUAAAGAAAGCUGAGAGAAAUAUUGUUGGUGCAAGGCUUUUGUUCCCCUGUUUCUAGAUCGAUCCAGGUAUAGGGGCAAAUCAAUCCAACUAACCUAUUUUUAAGAUCAAUUUUCAACCUUUGGAUUAAGGUUUCACUCUCAUUUAAAAUCAAAUCUCCCCCAUUUCUGGAAAUGGUGACUGUAGUAUCCGUAAGAGAUUUUUUUUCUUUCCUCACCAUUUAGAAGGUGUUUACCUAUGAAGAAAAUCCAUCCAAGUUUUCCAAGAAUUUUUUUUAAAAAAAUGGAUUUUCUGAAAAUGAACAAGGGUUGAUUUCUAAAACAUUCAUAUUUCAUUCUCUUGGUUUUGUGCAAAAACCCAUUUUCUUCUUGUAUGAAUUCAAGAAGAAAUCGAGCUUAGUGCAAACUCCAAGUGUGUCCCGAAAGAAGAAGCUAAGAAGCUGAAAAUGAAGGUACUAGUCAAGUGGUUUGGGAAAGAUUGGUUGGCUUGAGCAAGGUAAAACCUUGUAUUCAGAUUUUAUUUUUCAUAGUGGAUGUUUUCAAUCAGUAAUAGGCCCGUGGUUUUUUAUCUCUUCGGAGAUUUUUCAUGUAAAUUUAUGGUGUCUCAUUGUCUCCCUUUCUCUUCUUAGCAUCAGUUUUCAAUUUCAACAAUUUAUUAUAAUUUUGAUUGUCUACUAUUUGAUUGAAUGAUGAAGAGAAAUGACUAUGAAUCAUCUUUGAAGUUGUUUCUAAUUGUUAAUCAUUGAUAUUUUGAGGUAUAUUGAUCUUGCUUUUAUCAAAAUUUAGUUUAAGUUGAUUUGGGUUUGGGAGUGUUAGAUCAUGUGCAUGUGAAUUACAUUUGAAUAUUGUUAGGGAGUGUUGUUGCAUUCAUAUAUGCAUGUGAUUUAUAAUUUGUGUUUUUGAGACUGUGUGAAGAGAAGAAAAAUAUUCAAAAAGUUUUAAGGUUUGCUAAUUUGAGUUGAGAUUUUGUUUAAUUGGUCAAAACACCUAUUCAACCUCCCUUAGGUGUAUUCCACUAUUGAGAUUCACCUUUUCAAUUGGUAUCAGAGAGGGUUUUUAAAGCAAAAAUCAUUUUCGAUCCUUAAAUCUCAAUCAGGGAACCUCAUUAAGAGGGAGCUUCCAUUAGAAGACCACCUUUCUUAACCAGUGAAAAUUUUUCUCAUUGAAAAGUGAGAAUGCAAUAUUUUCUCAAAAUGCAAAGUGAUAAAAUUUGGAAUGUCGUUGAAUUUGGUUAGUCUCCACCUAAGGUGUUAGAUAGAGAAGGUAAAUUAACAAAUGUUAUCAAGCCAAAAUUGAAAUGUGAUAGAAGUGAAAAUGAAGCAAGUGAGAAUAAAGCUAGAGCCAUGUUCUCCAUCUUCAAUGCCAUUAGUACGAAUGAAUUUCAUAGCAUUGCCACAUGCACUUUGGUUAAAGAAGGCUUAGGAUAUCCUCUAAGUGACUCAUGAAGGAACUAAUGUCGUGAAAAUGUCCAAGCUUCAAAUGUUGACAUCUAGGUUUGAGACCAUUAGGAUGGAUGAUCAUGAAACUUUUAGAGAAUUUCAUGCAAAAUUGAUGGAUAUUGUGAAUUCUAACUUCAAUCUAGGUGAAUCCAUCUCUAACUGAAAGAUAGUUAGAAAAAUUUUAAGAUCUCUUCCAGAUAAAUUUAGAGCUAANGUUACCGCCAUUGAAGAGUCUAAAGAUGUGGAUUCCUUGAAGAUAGAUGAACUUGUAGGUUCUCUCCAAACCUUUGAGAUGAUGCUUGUAUCACCUAGGAAAGCUAAGGGAAUUGCUUUAAAAGCUAUUAAAUAAGAGUCCCUAAGUUUCGAAAGUGAGAAUGAUGUCAAAGGGUGAGCUUACUAAGUUUACUAAAAAAAUUAAGAAGUACAUGAAAUUCAGAAAAUCCAAGAAAGAAUCAAAUGAUGGUAAAAAUGGAGGAACUCUAUUAGAAAAAAAGAAGAAUAUGGAGAAAUGUGUGAAAAAAGAGUUGGUGAUUGAGUGCUUUAAAUGUGGAGGAAAUGGGCAUUAUGCCGCCAAAUGUCCCUCAAAGAAAAAAAAAAUGAAAGAAGGUCAUGCAAGUCACUUGAAGCAACAUAGAAUCUUGUCAAUCAAGUGAAAAAGAAUCCAAUGGAAGUGAAGAAUACACUAACUUCAUAGCCUUUGCUGCAAGUGUCAAUGAGAAACCACUCAAGAAAGAGGUCUUAAGUGAGUCAUGAGUCAAGUGACUCCAAUGAUGAUGACAUGAAUUUUGACAUAGCAUAUGAGACUUUGUAUAAGGAAUGCUUGAGCCUUAAACAAGAACAAGUCAAGUGGAAGGCUUCUAAGAAUAUUCUAAUCAAUGAGAUUGAUGUCUUGAAGGGAGAAAAGAAGGCUUUGCUUGAAAAAAUUGGAUUUCUUGAAAAUGACCAUUUGGAAGUGAAAAAAAAAAUAUUAUGUAUUGAAAAGUGAAUCAAAUGUUCAAGGAUGAGUUAAGUCUUAAGAAGAAAGAAUCACAUCCUAGCUCUAAGAGGAUUAAUGAGUUGAUCAAUUUAAGGCGUAAAUCUUUUGAUAAACAAGGCUUAGGAUUUGUUGAUGCAAAUACUACUCCAAGUAGUGGUAAAACAAUUUUUGUUAAGCCUUGUGAAAAAUAAUAUCCUAAGAAAACUCAUUCUCAAAUCAAGUUUCAUUGCAAUCAUUGUGGCAAAAUGGGACACAUUUUUCAUAGAUGUUGUACAAGAUUGUUUGAUAACUUUCAAAGGAAGUUGACCAACCUAAUGAAUGAAUGUUAUGCUUUGAAGAAUAGGUUAUUGAAUGAGAAUAAGAGAGUGUCCAAGAAGUGCUCAAAGAUCCCUCAUAAUGGUGAGUUGAAAGGAAGCACUUUGAAUGAAAAGACAAGUCUCAAAUGUUAAACAAAUUUGGGUGUGAAUGAAUUAGUUGAAGUGUUUUGUUGUCCAUACCGCACUUAGAGCUAGUGAGUCACACUCAUGGCAUCUUGAUAGUAGAUGUUCACAUCAUAUGACUAGAAAUAAAUCUUUGUUCACUUCAUUCACUGAAUUUGAUGGAGGAAAUGUGACAUUUGGAGAUGGUAAUGUGGCUAGGGUGAAAGACAAAGGUACCAUUUGUGCCCCUGACAUUCCUAAUCUUGAAGAGGUCUUAUAUGAAGGUUUAAAGGCUAACUUAAUUAGCACAAGCCAAAUGUGUGGGAAUGAGUUCAAUGUAAAAUUUUCACAAACUUUUUGCAAGGUGUUUGACUUGAAUGAUGUAAGUGUGAUGAUUGGCUUGAGAACUUGUGAUAAUUGCUAUGUUGUUAGUAAAAAAUCUCCUUCAUCCUCUUCUCUCGUGUGUGGAAGUUCUAAAAUUGCAUGUGUUAAUCACUUGUUGCAACAUAGAUUGUUACAAAAUGAAAAAGAGCAUCCCAUUGUAAAAGUUAGGAUUGGUAGGGGGGAUUUGAUGAUGCCAAUGUUAUUGAUAGGCUAGAGAACCAUGUUCUUCAUUAUAGAUAAAAACAUGUGGACAUUAAGCAUCACUGCAUUCAAGACUUGGUAGAAGACAAGGUUGUUUACUAGAGGUUUUCCCUAUAGAGAGUCAAAUUGCUAACAAUGUUACUAAACCUUUGGACAUUUCUAGGUUUGAAUCACUUAGGAGCCCCAUAGGUUUAUAUAUUCUCUGUUUAACUGCCUCUAGAACUUGUCUAGGACUCCUCUUGCAUAUCCUUGAGUCCUAGUUGUCUUCCUAAGUUCCCAAAUAUCAUCAACUUGAUGUUCUUUUUGUUUUGGUUCAAUAUUUUCUCCAUUUUUCAUAAAUUUUCAACAAUUGUUGAGUUCAUGAGAGUGACAUGCUUAUUCAUUUUGUUUAAAAGUUAAAUUAACUCAUAAUGAUCUUAAAAGCUUCAAGAUGUAUUUAUCUCCAUGGCUUGUUUGAUAAACAUGAUAUUGAAUCCUUGCUAUUUUGAUUUGGUUAGAUAAACUACAAAUGAUUAGCUUCAUUUCUAUUAAGUGAGUAAGAGCUCAUUGUUGGACCUUGUGUUUGCAUAAUGGUGAAUAAUGCUCUUUAAAGUCUAAAUGAAAACUUAUACCCAUUUAAUGAGCUUUAAAGAGUGAGUAAAGACACCUGGAAUAUCCUUGAGAGGUUGAGAUGAUCAGUCUUUGAUUGUUUGUCCUCUCUUUGAAAUUAAUUUUUUUUUAAAUGAAAAAGAAAAGAAAAAGAAAAUAUGAAGUUUCCCGGAAUGGAUAUGGCUCCGUGGCAAUGUUUCAAGAAUUAAAAAGCCUCCAUUGCAAGAGUGGGACAUCCCUUAUGUUGUUAUGUUGUAAAGACAUCCUUAGAGAUCCUCAAGUCAAAAAUUGAUCUUAAGGGUAAAACUUAAAGCUUUGUAUUCCUUUCAAUGCUAAAUGUGAAAAGCAAAUAGUGUAUGAAUUUUAUUAAAGGGAUGUGAUUAGGUCAUGUUGAACAGAAAUCUGGCCAAGAGAGAUGCAAAUUGACUUUGAUUACUACUCAAAAAGUACUCUUUUAUAGCUUGAAACUAACUGUUUUAAACACUUUUGAGUAGUAGUUAAUACAUUUUAACUCAAUUGGCACAUUAAGAAACCUAGCAAGGGUUACUAAUCAAUUUUUCGCAAGUUUUGGUGUUUUUGGUAGCUAUUUGAUCAUUGAAACAAGCCAAGAAUGAGGGAGAAUUUUGUGAAAUCCAUGGCAAUGCAAGUUAAAGCUCAAAUACAUGAAGAAUCCAAGCUUUGGAGCACUUCAUAGCCCUUUUCCAAGCCAAUUAGAGAUGCAAGAAGGGAAACCAGAGGAAGAAAUCCAACAACCAGCAUUUCCGCAUGGCUGUGCGAAAUUUCGCACACCAUACGAAACCACUUGAGGCAACCAAAAAAUUUCUCACAUCAUGCGAAAUUUCCCAAGGUAUGCGAAAUCUUCCUGUGCACCAACUCCGUUAGAUUUUUAUCUCUAGAUAUUUUAUGUAAUUUCCUAUUUUCUCCUUAUAAUCAACUUAGAUAUUUUCAUAUAUAUUUUUUUAUAUAUUUAGUGUGUGUAACAUCUUUUGAUAUAGACACACAGGGAUGUAAUCAGAGAACGCUUGUAAAUUCCCCGUAGUAAGAAAUAUACAAAGCUUUUGCUCUGUCUUUUCUUUUCAUUUUGUUUUCACUCUUCUUUCUAGUCAAACAACCUCUAAGGAUGAUUUCUCAGGGGAUGAGUGGCUAGGUUUUACGUUUCUUGGAGCUAUGGAAGCUAGGUGAAGGACUCGAAUGCAAAGAUGGGAGUUGUCCUUACUCUAAAUGAAAGUAGUUGUUAACCAUUAAUGGUUUUUAUUUUAAGGUUUAGCUUUAAAUCCCUUAAAAGCACCUUGAAUGGCCAAUACUUGGUAAGCUUUUUGAAUUCUAUGGAUGCUUAGUGCUAGAUCCAUGGAUGUCUAUUAGUUAUCAUUUAUGAGCUAUUGGAAGGUGGUUCAAGGUGAGAGUCUUUAGUGUGUCAAGCCAUUAAUGGGAAGCAACUAUUAUUUUUCAUGAACCCUUUGGAUCAAAUCUUAAUUGCUAAAAAUAAAAUCGGUUCGGGAGAUAACCAUCCUUAUAUUAUUGUCCCCAACGCGAGGAAAAGAUCCGGAAUCUCCCCCUUUGUCUAAGGAACCCAAUCCUAGUGACCUAAAGCUCCAAGAGACCUUUUCUUUGUAGUCAACUUCACCUAUUAUUUUUGCUUAACUUAAAAUCAAUCUUUGCAACCACAAUUCCAUUUUCUUUAAAAGCUAAUUUUCAUAAGGAAAAACACCAUUUUAUUUCCUUCACUAAAGUCAAUUGUACGAUGAAAACCCAUCCUUGUGGACGAUCCUAGAGCCACUAUACUAUGUUAGCUAUGCUACCCUAGUGUGAGGUGAUUUAGGUUUUAUAAAUUUUGUUGAUAACACCCGUCUAAGCCAGAAUCAAAUGGCAUGACUACAAUGGGGAUGAAUCAGACUUCUUGGAACAUUAUCUUGAAUUUCUCUAGGAAGGAAGAGUAUCUUGAAAAUGAUUUUUGGCUCAUAAAUGAAUAUAGGUUUCUAAGUGGAAAUUAUUUAACAUUAUCACCAUUUUAUGGUGUCAUGAGUGAGUUUUUUUUAGCUUAAGCUUCCUUGUUAGAGUGUUGAUAAUCAUUUGUUUUUUACCUAUUCAUUUGAUAAAUUUGGAAAGUACUUCAAUCUCUAUGUUUAUUAAUUUUGUCUAUUGUUAUGUUCUUGGAAGCAUUUUUGUUCAAUGUGAAUCAAUUCUAACUCAUUAAUUGAAAGAUAAGUAUGUCAUCCUAUUGUAUCUCAUCUUUGGUCGAUCAAUUUUCAUUUUUUGGAAAGCCUAUUCGUGUAUUUCUUGUGAUUUUUCGAUAGUUUUUGCCUAAGUCAUUUUUCAAUUGGGUGUCGAUCGAUCUACUGAAUUUGUGGAUCGAUCCAUUAUGUGCACAAUGUAGUGACCGAGAGCCCUUGAAUGAAUCUUGGAUCGAUCCACCAAGAUCGAUACCACCUAGUACUUGUCUCUCACACACUUAGCCAUUUUUUUCAAAUUUGGUUUGUUCAAACCUAUGUGACUGUGUAUCAUCAAGAGCACAAUUGAAAAUUGGAUCGAUCCACCAAGGUCGAUACCACAUAUGCAUUUGUGAAAAAUUCCAUUUUUGCCCCCAACUAGUUAUACUCAUAUGGUUUAAUGGAUGAGGGGUAUUUUCAUAAUUAAAAGUAAAAAAUUGAAAAAGUCAAAAUUCCUAAAUCUGUUUUUCCCAAUUCAUUUCUUUCAAAAGCCCUAGGUCUUUUGUUUCAAAGAAGAGAACUUCUCUACUCUAAGCUUCUCUUUAGCCAUCAUCGUCGAUCCAUCAUUCUGGCCACUACCAUCAAAAGUCUCUACCACUAGAAACCUUUAUCGUCAGACUUCCUUAUCUGGUGAGCGUUUCAGGUCUGGCCAAUCCCACUAGACAGCCUCGUCAAAUAGCCUAGAAUUGUUGUGUUGCUCAACUCAUGUCAUCAGCUUGUGUGUCUCUUCUUAGUGCGUCGGUGUUUUCGAAAAUUGCCUUCUACAUAGUAUGUGUUGGCUAGGACCUCCUGUGUGCAUCACUAGAUUGUAUCUCAUUCAAUUGGGAUUCCAUUCCAGCAGUUGGAAAUUCCAAUCAGCCCUUAGGACUGUGUUUUUCACAGCACAAUCAACACAACGCAAUCUACACUUCUGGAAAUUGUGUUCUACAUAGCCCAUUUCUCUUGUUUUUUUUUCUACUAUUUUCCAAUGUCCGUGUCUUCAAUGCAACUUAUUUGCAAGAGUUCUCAUUUCCGGCAACCAUUAUUGUUUGAUUUAUCCAUUUUUUUCUCUUCUAUUAGUCUCAUUUGGAACUUCUCUGCUCUAAGCUUCUCUUUAGCCAUCAUCGUCGGUCCAUCAUUCCGGCCACUACCAUCAAAAGUCUCUACCACUGGAAACCUUUAUCGUCAGACUUCCCUAUCUGGUGAGCGUUUCAAGUCUGGCCAAUCCCACUAGACAGCCUCGUCAAAUAGCCUAGAAUUGUUGUGUUGCUCAGCUCAUGUCGUCGGCAUGUGUGUUUCUUCUUAGUGCGUCGGUGUUUUCAAAAAUUGCCUUCUACAUAGUAUGUGUUGGCUAGGACCUCCUGUGUGCAUCACUAGAUUGUAUCUCAUGCAAUUGGGAUUCUGUUCCAGCAGUUGGAAAUUCCAAUCAGCCCUUAGGACUGUGUUUUUCACAGUACAAUGAACACAACGCAAUCUACACUUCUGGAAAUUGUGUUCUACAUAACCCAUUUCUCUUAUUUUUUUCUCUACUAUUUUCCAAUGUUCGUGUUCUCAAUGCAACUUAUUUGCAAGAGUUCUCAUUUCCGAAAACCAUUAUUGUUUGAUUUAUCUAUUCUUCUCUCUUCUAUUAGUCUCAUUUGGAUUAUUUAUUUAUUUAUUUAUUUUUAUUUUUUUGUAGAGUCCUCUCACAGUAGUUUUAAUAGUUUGAGAUUUCAUUUUUGCCUUGGAGUGUUCCUAGUUUCUAGGAAUGCUAAUCCUAGGCUUUGGUUGUUCAUUUUGAGUGGUCUUCAUACAUUUUCAUGCUUGAAAUCUAUUUUCAUGGUGAUAAAGCAUUUUUUGAAAGUUUUUAAUUGAAACCAUGUGAUAGGAUUCAAGAGGAGAUUCUCAUAUCCUGUGAUGGGAGUCAAGGGAAGAUUCUUGUAUCCUAUAAUUUUUUUUUCUGGAAUGUUGAUAUGGAUACUUGGUGAUAUGUGAAUAUUUGAUUUUUGGGUAUUUGACAUUUUGUUGAAAAGUGGAUGUUUGUUGAUUUGGAUGUGAGAUAUUCUGCUAUUGAAUUCUCAUCCAUUUGUCGUUUUUCUUGGAUAGAAAAUGGGAAAUUAUAACUUUUUGUCUCCUGCUAGGACAAAAAGGAGAAAACAUUUUACAUGGAUGUUGAUAUGACAUGUAGUUGAUCAUGACGGCUUCUUUGUGUUUUGUUGCUUUGGAUAUUUGAUAUGUUGAUCAUGAUCACCUUUUUUGUAUAUUGAUGGAUAUUUGACACGUUUUUGAACUCAUGAAUGCAUAUUAAUUAUCUUUAGACAAGUUAUUUUUGUGGAUAUAUGUGGAUAUUUGUGUGUCAAUUCAUUUGAAACUUAUGGAAGUGUCUUGGUAAUAUGUGCAAGUGCUACUAAUGUUUUUUCUUGAGAUUUAUUUGCAGGAUUUGUAGUACCUUUAGUUAGGUUUUGAGUGAGUGAGUGGCCUUGUAUGAGAGUUGGGUGGGACUUACUUGUAUUCAUUUGUGUUGUAAAGGGUUUUGUCCCAGAAUUUUCAAAUGGGGAGAUUUUGAGUGUUUAGCUAGGUUGGUAAUUCCGGACAAAAUUCCUAAGUGUCCCCUAACUCGGUUUACAAAUCCCUCUUCGAACUACUUGACCUUUGAAGAUUAAAACUUUGCUAAGAGGCUGAGGUAUGUAGCCGAGUGUGUGGUGAUUGAAUGUGAAUCAACCCUGUUUUUUCAUCUUUAAAUGAGUUAAGAAAACAAGGAGAAAUAUUGUUAGUGCAAGGCUUUUGUUCCCCUUAUUAUGGAUUGAUCUAGGUGCAAGGGCAAAUUGAUCCAACUAACCUAUUUUUAAGAUCAAUUUUCAACCCUUGGAUUAAGGGUUUCUUUCUCAUUUAAAAUCAAAUAUCUCCCAUCUCUAGAAGUGGUGACUACAACAACUAUGAGAGAGUUUUUUCUUUCUUCACCAUUUUAAGGGUGUUUACCUACGAAGAAAAUCCAUCCAAGUUUUCUAAGAAAUUUUUUUAAAAUGGAUUUUCUGAAAAAAAAAAAAAAAAAAAAAAAAAACAUAGGGUGAUUUUUGAAACAUUCAUAUGUAAUUCUCUUGGUUUUGCGCAAAAACCCUUUUUUUUUCUUAUGUGAAUUCAAGAAGAGGCCGAGAUCGAGCUUGGUGUAGACUCCAAAUGUGCUCUAAAAUAAGAAUGUGAGAAAGUGAAAGUGAAGGUACUAGUCAAGUGGUCCGGGAAGGAUUGGUUGGCUUGAGCUAGGUAAAACCUUGUAUUUAGUUUUUAUUCUUCAUAGUAGAUGUUUUCAAUUGAUAAUAGGCCCAUGGUUUUUUAUCUCUUCGAAAAAUUUUCAUGUAAAUUUAUGGUGUCUCAUUGUCUCAUUUUCUCUUCUUAGCAUCAUUUUUUAGUUUCAACAAUUUAUUAUAAUUUUGAUUGUCUAGUAUUUGAUUGAAUGAUAAAGAGAAAUGGCUAUGAAUCAUCUUUGAAGUUGUUUCUAAUUGUUAAUCAUUGAUAUUUUGAGGUAUAUUGAUCUUGUUUUUAUCAUAAUUUAGUUUAAGUUGAUUUGGGUUUGGGAGUAUUAGAUCAUGUGCAUGUGAAUUUCAUUUGAAUAUUGUUGGGGAGUGUUGUUGCAUUCAUAUAUUCAUUUGAUUUAUAAUUUGUUUUUGAGACUAUGUGAAGAGAAGAAAAAUAUUCAAGAAGUUUUAAGGUUUACUAAUUUGAGUUGAGAUUUUGUUUAAUUGGUCAAAACACCUAUUCAACCCCUUUAGGUGUAUUCCACUAUUGAGAUUCGCCUUUUCAGAACCUAUACUUCUACCAUGCUACAUGAAGUUUUGGAAGGCAUAAAAUACAUUUUGAGGCAUAUAUAAGUCAAAUCUUAUAUCCAAAUUAGGUUGAAUUGGGUCAUGGUUAACCUCAAAUCAAAUAUAUGCAUUUUUCUUACGAAUGUAUAUAUAUAUAUAUAUAUAUAUAUAUAUUUAAGAAUAUAGUUAUUAUUGUAAAGGAUGUAUUUUUUCUUAAGAAUAUACUUUUUUUUGUAACAGAUGUACCUAGGGUUCUCCCAUGCCAAAUAGGGUUUGGGAAUGCAUCAUGAGGUAUAUAAAAGUUAAAAUUUAGACUCAAAAUAGGUCGAAUAAGGGAAUGAUUCAACUCAAAUCAGAUGUAAAUACUUUUCUAAACUUUUAUGCAUUUUUUUAAAGCAUGUACACAAAGUUAUAUCAUGUUGAAUAGGGUAUAAGAAGACCUCAAAUGCAUUCCAAGACCUACAUAAGUGAAAUCCCACACCCGAAUUAGGUUGAAUGAGGAUAAGAAUCCACAAUGAAAUGAAAUGUACAUGUUUUUAUACUAGAUGUACCUAUUUUUCUAAAGGAUGUACUUAUUUUUAAAAAAAAGAUAUAUGUAUUUUAAGAAAUAUAAAAUUUAAUUAAAGAAAUGUUAAUACAAUUUUUAUGAAAAUAAUUUUUUUUCUAUUUUAUGUAUAUAAAAAAGUUAAAGAUUUUAAUUAAAAAGUUAGAACCAUGAUCAAUUUUAAAUCAUAUGAAAAAUUAAAACGAAUGUUAAUAUGAAAGUUCAAAAAUUUAAAUUAAAAUGAUAUAACAAAAAUAUUUUUAGUUUAUUUAAAUGUUAUAAUUUUACAUGCCCUAUCAAUGUCUUGUCAAAUUUUUUUAGUACAAAAUGGAAUAAUAAGUGAAUACUCUUUUAUUUCUUUAAUACAAAAAAUACAAACCAAGCAUCUCUCAAAAUCUUGUUCCUUGCUCUUGAAUAUAAAGUAAGAUAAGCUCGUGAACUUAUUCACAGUAAAAGUUUUGCUAACCUACAGUCACGCAACACAUGAAGGCAUUAUUCGACUUUAUUCAGGCAUCGAACACAAUUCGGCAAAGCUGCUAUAUGUCUUUUGAAGUGAUUUUCAUUUGUCAGCAACUUGUUGUGCAAAGCCAGCCACAAAAAGGAUCUAAUCCUUUGGGAACCCCUUCAUUUCCACAAGGCCAUCCAAUUCUUAUUCAAUUCUAUCCAGCAACUCUCUUCAAUCAGUUCAUAAGUCGACUUGGUAGUUGACAACGCUGACAUGAAGGCCAAAAAUAGUGGAGGAUUGUACAAGAGCACAUAGCACUUGACCCAAAUUCUCAAAAUUUGCUGUUGAAAAGUUUUUAGCCUAUUUGGCCAUUUCAUUAAAAAAAAAAAUUUAAAUUAAAAAAAAACUAUUUUUAAAAAUUCAUAAAAUUGUUUGUUAGUUGUUUUCUAUUUGUAAUUUUUAAAAAUAAAGUGAAAUAAAAAAACAUAUUUUAUAAAACAAAUAGAAAUUGUUUUCACCAAUUUUUAAAGACAAAAGAAAAAUAUAGAGGAAUUAAAAAAACUAUAAAAACCAAAUAAGAUUGAAGAUGAUAUCAUUCUUCUUUACCUCUUUCUACUAUCUAAUACUGAUACUGAAAAUCUUCAAAUAUAAUAUUCUUUUAAAUUACAUGUGUUUUUAUGAAUUUCAUUUAAUUUAAGAAAUUUUUCAUUGAUAAAAUAAAUUCUAAAUCAAAUUAUACUUUAUACAUAAAAUUUACUAAUGUUUAAAAAUAACUUAAAAGUUAAAAACUGAUUUAGUUAGUACUAUAAAGUCAUGAAACUCACUAACAUUGGAAUGCCAUAUAGCAAAAUUCAUUUGAAUGUCUUGGCUAGUUUUUUCUUUGCAUAUAAUCAUAUUUUUACAAUUUUUUUCACUUAGUAAAUAAUCACCAAAUCAAGUAUGACUUAAUGCAUUGAAUUUAUUAACAAGUCUAAGUAAUUCUUAAAAAUAAAUUGAAACGCAAAUAGUGAUCCAAUUAAUACCAUAAAUUUAUGGACAAAAAUUGAACUUGAAUGACUUUAUUGUUUCCAAUUUUGUUUCAUUGGACAAAUAAACUUAAAAUUAAACCAAACUUAAUGUGUUGAAUUCAUUAAUAAAUUUAGUAAUUUCUAAAAAAAACUUAAAACUCAAACAAUGAUGUAAUUAAUAUUAAAAAUUUAUUGAUGAAAAUUGGUCUAAAACUACUCUAUUAUUUUUCUUCUACAUGGAAUCAUAUUUUCCCAAUUUUAUUUUACUAUAUAAAUAAACUCAAAAUUAAACAAAACUUAACAGUCUAGUAAUUUUUAAAUUAGAAUAAUAUUUGAAAUAAUUUAAUUAGAAUAAUAUUGAUUCGACUCAUGGUAGCUUAGCUUUAAAGGCGUAUCAACAAAAUUUAUACCUUGAAUACUAUUACUAAAGUAGCCAAGCUACUAUAGCAUAGUGGUUCUAGGAUCGUUCACUGGGAAGGGUUUUCGCAAACACAAGUGAUAUUCAAAUUAGGAAAAUAGGUGAUUUUCUUAUGGAUGUUAGCUUUAAAAGAAGAUGUAAAUGUUUUAGAAAGAUUUAAACUAAUCUAAGCUAACAUUAAAGACUAAAAUGAAAGGGUGUAAAAACAAGUUUCUCAAAGAUAGGAUAGCUAUGCUCUGGCUCUUAUGCAAAUUGGAAAUCUCAGGAUAGGCUCCUCGCGUUGGGGUUGCAACUAUGGUGAUGCUUGCUUCCCGAACCGGUAUGGAUUUAGCAAAUCAAGUUUUAAUCCUUUAAAAUGGCAAAACAGAUGGUAGUGAAUUUCAUCAAUGGUUAUUCACCUUAGACUUCCUUUGAAUGGCUCGUAAGAGAUAACUAAUGGUCUAAAGCCAAAAGCUUACCAAAUAUUGGCAACUCAAAGUCAUUCCAGGUGAUAAACUUACCUUUCAAUGGCCAUUGAAAUUGGUUCUAACGGAUUAAUGCAAAACUUGGAAUUGAAAACCUCACCUUCCAAUAGCUCGUAGGAGAUAACUAAUGGAUAGUAAUCCAAAAGCUUAUCAAGUAUUGGCCGUUGGAAGUUGUCCAAAGGAAAUAAAAACCAAACUUUGCAUUAAUGAACCUUUAAUGAAAAACGACUACCUUACCUUCCAGGUGCGAGAAAUUUCCAUGGGAGUGCAUCCAAGCCAUCACAUAACAUCCAUACUUUGAGAAACUAAAAGUUUUAGCCAAUCAUCCUCUGAGGAAAAGCCCUCAGAGGCUGUUUGGCUACUAAGAAAAUAGAAACAGGGAAGAACAGGAGAAAAGAGCAAAACAGAGCAAGGCUCUGUAUAUUCUAUAUAUUGAUCGAUUUAUAAUUACAACGGAUGCAAGGGAAUAUAUAUAGAGAAGUUUUUCCAAUCCUUCCUAGCUAAGAAAUCUUAUGAUUCGUGGAUUACAAGGAGAAGAAUGGAAAUUUAUACAAAAAUAUCUAAAAGAAAAGAUCUCGUGUGGAGUCGGUAGAAACAGGGGAAAAUUCGCACGUUGGAGUUCCAAUUUCGCACGUUGAUUUGAGGUGUGCGAAAUUCUCGCACAGUGGACUGAGGAAUUCGCACCUUGAACAGUGGUGUGCGAAAUUGUCCCUCAGCUUGAUGCAGUUGUCUUCCGAAGGCCAUAUCUUUCUCAAUUCAGCUCCAAAUCGUACAUGGUUUGAACCGUUGGAUUCUUGACUUUCUGAGCUUUGAAAUGGUAUAUAGCAUGUAGAAAAUGGACUUCGGGAAGUGCUCCAAAAGUGCCAAAGAAGACUGCAGUUGCUGUCCUCUGUUUUCCUCUUUGCUUCUUUUUGCUUCUCUUUCCUCUUCUCCAUUGUUCUUUCCUUGCAUACUUUGAACGAAUUUGGCAAAGGGCUAUGGAGCUCCAAAGCUUGGUUCUUCAUGAAUUUGAGCUUCCAAAAGCUUUGCCAUAACUUGUCCAAGUAGCUCCUCUAUCAUUUGGCAUGCUUGAAUUGAUUCAUAAGCUGAUAUAAACAUGUAAACUUGCCACAAAAUGGUUAAAACCAAUUACUAAGGACCUUAAUGAAUUAAUUGGGUUAAAUGAAUAUGAUUACUACGCAAAGGUGCUUAAAACCAUUAUAAUUAGGUCUACAAAAUAACACUUUUUGGUAGUAAUCAAAUAUUUUAAUUUAUUAAAAUAAAUCAUAAAUAAAUGAAUAAAAUUAUCUAACAAUAUUUUAUCAAGUUAAUAUUUGUUAAUAAAACUAUAACAAUUUAAGAUUUUGUUAGAUUUUAUCGCUAUAGGAUUAUUAUAAAUGUGGUUUAAAAAAAUGCAUGAACAUCAUGUAAUAUUAACAAAAUAAAAAUUACGAAUUGAUCGCUCUAUGGAUUAUUUUUAUCAUAACAAAAAUGUGUAAAAUUGUAUACACCUUUUAGGCUAUGAAAUAUUCAUUAUCUAACUUAUGAGUGUACAAUUUUGUUUUCUCUAACUUUUGAUUAUACAUUAUAAUUAAAAGAAAUUAGAAAUUACAUUGAAGGUUGUUUUUUAGAUUUUUUUUAACUUUAUAAUUUAUAAUAUAAACUCCAGCUAUACAAUUGUAUAUAUUUUUUAUAACUUCUAGUUGUGAUCUACAAUGACUCUAUUGUUUCUCUUCUAUAUGAAACUAUAUUUUUUAUUUAUUUAUUUCACUAGACAAAUAAAAUCCAAAUUAAACAAAACUUAAUCCCUUAAAAUAAUUAAUGAGUUUAGUAAUUUUUAAAAUAACUUAAAACUUAAAUAGUGGUUCAAUUAAUAUUAAAAAUUUAUGGAUAAAAAUUGGGUUUUAAUGAGUCUACUUUUUUUCUAUACAUACUUAUAUUUUUAUAAAUUUUUUUAUUAAAGAAUAAACUUCAAAUCAAGUAAUUGAAUUCACUAACAGGUUAAUUUUUUUAUUUUUUUUUAAGUUACAACCUAGUAAAUAGAUCUAAUCACUAUAAGAAAUAAUAUAUGAAAACCAAUUGUAGACCCCAAAAUUUGUCCUAAUUUUAUUUUUACAUUGAUAUUGAGUUCAAUUUUAUCCUUAGAUUUAAAUUUCGAUUACAUCUUAAUUGUUUAACCCACUUACACUAUUUUUUUUAUUUUUUCUCUCAUCUCUCCUCUCUCUUCAUCUUUCUCCUCAUUCUACCUACUCCACCUACUUCCCUUACCCAUUUCCUUCUCUUACACGUCUAAGCCACUCCCCAUACCCCCUCCAAGCUUUUUUUUUUUUUUUUUAUCAUCUUUCUCUACUCUCCUCUCUUCACUUUUUUUUUCUCUCCAUCAUUCCUUCUUCGGGCUCCCUUCCAACACCACAACCACUCCACAACCCACACACCAGACACGGUCAACUUCCCCAUCUCCUCUCUUCCUUCUUUCUUUUUUUUUUUUCCUUCCCCUCAACUCUCACACAUGACGGUCCCCAUUUUCUCUUUCAUUUCUUUUCUCCUUCUCACAGUCCUUCCCUCUACAUUGCCAUUUUCCAAAAACUCCCACUGUCACACGCUCCCCAUCUUCCUUCAUUUUUUUUUCCUGUUUUUUUUCUCUUCUUUCUUCUUUCCUUUUCCCCUCUCCACACUCCACGGCCACUAUUGGCCCUCCACUGCCCGCCACUACCAGUAGCCACUGCCAACAACCACCACCCGCCACUGUCUGCCAGUCAUUGCCAACUAGCAAUCCUACCAUCCAUAGUUCUAAAAAAAAUGGGUAAAUUUCUGAGAAGAAAAAGGCUAUGCUUAGUUAAGAAAAACACCCAAAAGGGAGGGUGAAUUGGGUUUUUAAAAUCUUUUCAAUCACAACAAAUUUAAACAAAAUAUAAGCAAAGCAAAGAGAUAGAGUUUAGAGAAUUCAAACUCGGGUUUAUAGUGGUUUGGCACUUCCUUGCCUACGUCCACUCUCUUCAACCUCCUAACCGAGUGAGGAUUCCACUAACUUGAAGCUUCAACCAAGCUUCCAAUCUUCUUACACUUGGAUUCCGGUUUCAAUGGGCUCUUACACAACCUCUUCAAGAUUCAACCCUUUUGAAGGCUUUAACACUUAGAUUGUUACAAGAUAUAAUCACUCAACCUAGCUUAAAGAUGGCUCAAAUACAAGACAAAGCUAGGAUGACAAACAAGAGUGCACUAAAGGAUAUGCAAGUGGUGAUUUAAUGCACUAUGAAAUAAAUGAGAGCUUUUUUUAUCAAGAACAGGUAGGUAGGCUUUGAAUGCAAGUGUUAUCUUCACAAUAAAUGAAGUGGAGCUCUCAAUUUAUAGGUUUCUAAGCUCGGGAGUCAAAAACAACAAAAGGCAACCUCGACCGGUUCACUAGCCGUUGAAGCAUUUAAUGCAUGACAGGUUACCGUUGCCUCAACCGGACCUCGAUCAAUAAGGGAAUCACCUCGACCGGGAAGAGAAGGCUACUGGGAGAGAGAGAAGGUUUUUGACCUUCCUCGACUGGACGACCUCAACCGGUUCUCGACCGGACGACCUCAACCGGUCGACCAGUUCCUCAACCGGUUGACCGGUUGGCCAUAGCCUCGACCGAUUGAGCCUUUUUGGCCCCGAAAAACCUAUUUUUUUAUUUCUUUCUUUUCUAACACUUAGGCAAGGUCUUUAGGUAAAUUAUUAAGCCAAUUUUGAAACAUUUUGCCUAAGGUAAAUUAGUUAAAAACUCGGGUUUUAAUGAAAUCGAUGUUUUAAAGAAUAAACCGAGUUUUCUAAGAUGCAUGAAACGUAUGAAAAUCCUAAGUGCACUCAUGCAUUCAUCUUACAUUAGGUUCCUAUGAUCACAAGUCUUCCAAGCGUCUCGAUCUUGUAUGCAUUUGGUCUUUUGAUGAAUUUUUGAGUUUAUACCUGAGAUUCUUAGACAUUAAACCAAUUAGUCACUUAACCAUGGUUUGUUAUCAUCAAAACCCGAUUAGGAGAACCCUUGGGCUAACAAUUUCCUUUUUACUUUAUUUUAUUUUGAUUUUUGUAUCUUUAUUUUUUUAUUUUCGUUUGCACAGUAAUUGAUUUAGACUUGGAUCUAUUGCUUAUUAGUUAUUUAUUUGGGCUUAUUGGAUUGGGUUUGAGAUAUUAUUUUCUUUGGUCAUGUGUAUUAUUAAUGUGGGUUUGUUGAUUGAUAUGAAUUUUUGACCCAUAAUGUGGGUAUGAAUUUUGGGCCCACAAUGUUGGUGGAAUUUGAUUGAUGACUUGAAUAUUUGAUAUGAGCCUGACCAAUUUAAACUAUUUAAUUUGGAUAUGGGACAAUUAUGGUGUAUAUUAAAUUAGGCUUGGAUUAUGAGAUAUUAAAUUUAGGCCUAAUUGAAUUUAUUUUAUUUUGUGAUAUUUUGGGCUUGGCUAAUUGUGUUGUAUUUUGAUUAUUAAUUUGAAAAUUUUGGAUUAAGAUUUAUAGCAUGUGAGAUGUUUUUGUUAGGUUAUAUUUGUUCAUUUGUGCCCAUUUUGAUUGACAAAAUUUAUGAGACUAAUUUGAAAUUUGAAUUUGAGUUUGAAUAUUUGUUUGGGAUUUUGUACAUCUUUGGAUAUUUACAUUUGAGCUAUUUUGUUUUUGCAUGGGCCUAUUCUACAAUUCUGUUGGCUGAGUACAAAUUUAUGAUACACGGAGCACGAAAUUUUAUGGAAGAAUAAAAAAGUUGUAUGAAGACAUUAAACUAGUUAUAAGCUUAUUUGGGUACACAUUUUAUUUCCCACUUUUAUUUGAUUUUAUUUCUAUUAGUUCUUGUAAAUAUUCGUUUGUAUAUAUUUAUUGUGUACAGAAUUGAAUAUUUAACAAAUCAAAAUUUUCAUUUAAAUAAGAGGAAUAAUUCAGUAAAUAUGUUCUAAUAAAAUAAUAAUUUUAAAAUAUUCUUCUUAAUAAAAGAAAGUUUUUUUUAUUAAUAAAAAUUCAUAAAAAUGCUUUUAGAAAAAUUCAAAAAAAUUGUUUUUAAUAGAAUUUGAAAAAUUAUUUUUAAUAAUAAUUGUCCAAAAAUGUCUUUGUUUAAUAAAAAUUGUCCAAAAAUUGUUUUGUAAAUAAAGUUGUCCCAAAAAUUAAUUUUUAAUUAAAAAUUCUUUUGCAAAUAAAGUUAUAUUCUUUUUAAUAAUUUGUACAAGUCACUUUUCUUUUACUACAAGAAAACUUAUUUUUCCUGACAAAAAUUUAGGGGCGAAUUGUAAUUUUGUCGCUAAAAAUUACUUUUACCGAUGAAAUUUUAGAUAUCGUUGCUAAUGUCAAAUUUAUGAAAACUUUUUGUAACGAAUUUGAAUUUUUCGUUGCCAAAAGAUAUUGCGGGAAAAUUUGGCGGCUUUUUUUGGCGCAAACGCUAUUGUGAUGAAAAAAAUACUAUUUGCCAACGAAAAUAUUUGUUACUAAAUACAAUUUUUUUGUGACGAAAAUAAUUUCCUUACUAAAAGUUACAAAUUUUUAUCCAUAUUUGCUUACAAAAUGGUUUCAUCAGUAAAUAUAUUAUUUUCUGACAAAAUGAGUAAUUUUGUCACUGAAUAGUGUUGCUAAAUUGUAAUAUUAAUAAGUCAUAUUGACAAAUAGAUAAAAGGUUUAUGCUAUAAAAUAAUAAUACGUAUUUUUUGAGACUUGAUAUUUAAAUUACAAUAUUUUAUUUAUAUAUAUAAUAAUAAUACUAAUUAAAGAUUCAUAAAAUUAAAUACUAGAAUAUAGAUUUAUAGAAAUUUAAAUGUUUUGUUAUGUAAUAAUAGUAUUGUUAUGAAAUAAUAAAAAGGUAAAUUAUUUAAGCAAUUAAUUUUUAUAGUGUAAUAUAUAUGUUAUAUUUUUUUUAUAUAGAUAAUAACAAAUAAUCCAAGAUAUAAUAUAAAUUUAUUUAAAUUUCAAUAUUAUUAUAUGAUGUUAACCAAACAUAAAUAAUUUUAAAUCUUUUUUAUUAUACAAUGUAAAAGUUAUUUUUGCAAGUUUAAUAUAGUAGUAUUGAACUUAAAUUAGCUAUGAAUAAGUAAUGAUCCUCUAAUUUGUUCUCAUUCAAAAUCAUGUCGUCUGAAGUAAAUUUAUACUAAUAUUUAACUACCUAGUUUAAAUUAAUAGAUUUUUAUAAUUAUUACUUGGUUUUUAAAUAGUUGUUCAGAAUUGAAAUUAUCAAAUAAAUUACCUAGUGUCUAUAAAAACAUUAUAUUUGCAUAGAAUUUCAAAUAAUACUUGUGUGUAUAAAAAAUAUCAUAUAUUAUCAAUACAUAUAUGAUUGCAAUUAAAUAUUAUAUGAUAUGAUAUAUGGCAUUAUAUGCCUCACUACUAUAAUAUUAAUAACAAAAUAAAAAAUGUGUCAUAUAUAUAUACACAUAUUAUAAUGGGUAUAUGAAGAAAUUAAUAUAUGAAUGAUAUAAAUUGUAACAUUUUAUAAUAAUCAACAGUAUUUGAAAGCAUAUUUAAUGUUAAAAUGAUAAUUUAUUUACUUUAUAAUAAGUGAAUAAUUAUUAUAUUUUUAUUUCAUUCAUGAUUUUUGUGCUUUCAAUAAUAAAUUAAAUGGAAAAUAAAAUUAAAUAUUGAAAAUUAAUAGAAUUAUUAAAACUUUAUCUUAAUAUUUUAAUAUUUAAAAUGUAUAUAAAAUUUAGGUGUAAACAUAAUUAUAUAUAAUGUAGGCACUUUAAUAACUCAAAUGAAUGACUAUCCUAGUGGUGUAUAGUUAACUUCGUAAGCUUGGGAAGUCUGAACACUUUAUUGAUCUCAUUAUAAAUUUUUAUUUUUAAUUGUUAAAUAUUAAUUUAUCAUAAAUGAUUACUUAUUAAAAAUAAAAUCAUAAAUUAUAUCACAAAAUAGUAAAUGUUGUAUACUAACUUGUAAAGAAGUUUUUAUAUUUGUAUACAAUUUUUUAAUAAAACAUGUAAAACAAAUAUAGUUAUAAAAAUAAUUGUAACAUAUAAUAAAAUAGUAUAUCAUUUACAUUUAUAGUGUUUUAUUGCAUUUGAUAUUUUUGUUUGAAAUAUAAGAGAAAGAAAAUGAAAAAUAUAAAGAUGACUUGUUGACACGAAUUGUUGCACUUAGGCUUAUUCACUUUGAAAGUAAAUUUAUACUAAUAUUUAAUUACCUAGAUUAACCUAAUAAAAAUAUUUUUUUUAAUUAUUGUUUAGUUUUUAAAUAAUUGUUAAUAUUAGAAAUUAUCAAAUAAUAACCUAAUUUUUGUCAAGAUAUUCUAUUGACGUAAAUUCCAAAUAUGGUUUAUGUUUAUAAAGAUAUCAUAUAUCAUUAAUGAAUAUAUGAUUGUAAGUUAAAUAUCAUAUGAUACAAUACAUUGUACCAUAUGCAUAACUACUAUAUUAUUAUUUUAGAAAAUAAAAAAUGCAUUAUAUAUUAGUAAUAUAUUAUAUACAUAAAAACAAAAAUUGUAAGGUAUCUAACCACUUCUUAAUUAACAAUUGAUUAGUUUAAUUUUUAAAUAAUUUUAUGAUGUAUUAAUGAUCUUUAGCUUAACUACUAAAAUAAGAUAAUAAAUUAUGCCACAAAAGUAGCAACUAUUAUAGCUACUAAUUUGUUAAGGAUUGUUUUACACUUUUAUAUGUUUUUUAAUAAAAUAUUUAAUCUAUGAUUUUUAUUCCUUGCUUUAAAUUUCAAUUUUUAUUUUACUCUAAUUUCUAAUAUAUAAAUUCUGAUUUUUAAAUUUUUAAUUUUUAAUUUCUAAAUUUUAAAUAAUACAAAACUCAUAAAUCUUACAUUUUAUUUUUAGUCAAUUUUGUAAUUUAUAAAUUCUAAUUUUUUUAUUUUCUAAAUUUUCUAAAUUUUAAAUAAUAAAUAGUCCCAAUAAUAGGCAAAUAAUAAAGUUUCAAUUUUAUUUUUAAUCUAAUUUUUAAUUUAUAUUUUAAAUUUUUAAAUUUUUAAAUUCUAAAUUUUAAAUAAUAUAAAACAUAUAACAUCAUGAAAUGCAUUAAAUGCGCCGAGUUGUAGCAGCAUGCUACUGAGAUUUGGUUGUAGAGACGGCACAAUGGAUGGUAUGGAGUAUUGGUUGGGAAAUGAAAUGAAAAGAAAGUGAAAUAAAAAAGAAAAAAACAAAUCUCCCAAGCACCCACGUAGCACUGGGACUUUGAAAAGUGAGAAGACUUUCUCACCAACUCUCCAUCAUUUGCCUACAACUUUGAAAAUGAAAAAGAGCAUUACUUCCCACCACAUCUCUAACAUCUACCAUAACCUCCUGAACCUUCCACCAUUUUCACCAUCUCAUCUACCUUCUUAAAAAAUUGUUUCCCACUUGCAAGCCAUAUUCACCAUUCUCCACCAAAGUUUACCGAGCCGGCAAAGCUUCUUAUCUACCAUUUUCAUCGGUCUGUUAUACUACAGAAAUCUACCACUNNNNNNNNNNNNNNNNNNNNNNNNNNNNNNNNNNNNNNNNNNNNNNNNNNNNNNNNNNNNNNNNNNNNNNNNNNNNNNNNNNNNNNNNNNNNNNNNNNNNNNNNNNNNNNNNNNNNNNNNNNNNNNNNNNNNNNNNNNNNNNNNNNNNNNNNNNNNNNNNNNNNNNNNNNNNNNNNNNNNNNNNNNNNNNNNNNNNNNNNNNNNNNNNNNNNNNNNNNNNNNNNNNNNNNNNNNNNNNNNNNNNNNNNNNNNNNNNNNNNNNNNNNNNNNNNNNNNNNNNNNNNNNNNNNNNNNNNNNNNNNNNNNNNNNNNNNNNNNNNNNNNNNNNNNNNNNNNNNNNNNNNNNNNNNNNNNNNNNNNNNNNNNNNNNNNNNNNNNNNNNNNNNNNNNNNNNNNNNNNNNNNNNNNNNNNNNNNNNNNNNNNNNNNNNNNNNNNNNNNNNNNNNNNNNNNNNNNNNNNNNNNNNNNNNNNNNNNNNNNNNNNNNNNNNNNNNNNNNNNNNNNNNNNNNNNNNNNNNNNNNNNNNNNNNNNNNNNNNNNNNNNNNNNNNNNNNNNNNNNNNNNNNNNNNNNNNNNNNNNNNNNNNNNNNNNNNNNNNNNNNNNNNNNNNNNNNNNNNNNNNNNNNNNNNNNNNNNNNNNNNNNNNNNNNNNNNNNNNNNNNNNNNNNNNNNNNNNNNNNNNNNNNNNNNNNNNNNNNNNNNNNNNNNNNNNNNNNNNNNNNNNNNNNNNNNNNNNNNNNNNNNNNNNNNNNNNNNNNNNNNNNNNNNNNNNNNNNNNNNNNNNNNNNNNNNNNNNNNNNNNNNNNNNNNNNNNNNNNNNNNNNNNNNNNNNNNNNNNNNNNNNNNNNNNNNNNNNNNNNNNNNNNNNNNNNNNNNNNNNNNNNNNNNNNNNNNNNNNNNNNNNNNNNNNNNNNNNNNNNNNNNNNNNNNNNNNNNNNNNNNNNNNNNNNNNNNNNNNNNNNNNNNNNNNNNNNNNNNNNNNNNNNNNNNNNNNNNNNNNNNNNNNNNNNNNNNNNNNNNNNNNNNNNNNNNNNNNNNNNNNNNNNNNNNNNNNNNNNNNNNNNNNNNNNNNNNNNNNNNNNNNNNNNNNNNNNNNNNNNNNNNNNNNNNNNNNNNNNNNNNNNNNNNNNNNNNNNNNNNNNNNNNNNNNNNNNNNNNNNNNNNNNNNNNNNNNNNNNNNNNNNNNNNNNNNNNNNNNNNNNNNNNNNNNNNNNNNNNNNNNNNNNNNNNNNNNNNNNNNNNNNNNNNNNNNNNNNNNNNNNNNNNNNNNNNNNNNNNNNNNNNNNNNNNNNNNNNNNNNNNNNNNNNNNNNNNNNNNNNNNNNNNNNNNNNNNNNNNNNNNNNNNNNNNNNNNNNNNNNNNNNNNNNNNNNNNNNNNNNNNNNNNNNNNNNNNNNNNNNNNNNNNNNNNNNNNNNNNNNNNNNNNNNNNNNNNNNNNNNNNNNNNNNNNNNNNNNNNNNNNNNNNNNNNNNNNNNNNNNNNNNNNNNNNNNNNNNNNNNNNNNNNNNNNNNNNNNNNNNNNNNNNNNNNNNNNNNNNNNNNNNNNNNNNNNNNNNNNNNNNNNNNNNNNNNNNNNNNNNNNNNNNNNNNNNNNNNNNNNNNNNNNNNNNNNNNNNNNNNNNNNNNNNNNNNNNNNNNNNNNNNNNNNNNNNNNNNNNNNNNNNNNNNNNNNNNNNNNNNNNNNNNNNNNNNNNNNNNNNNNNNNNNNNNNNNNNNNNNNNNNNNNNNNNNNNNNNNNNNNNNNNNNNNNNNNNNNNNNNNNNNNNNNNNNNNNNNNNNNNNNNNNNNNNNNNNNNNNNNNNNNNNNNNNNNNNNNNNNNNNNNNNNNNNNNNNNNNNNNNNNNNNNNNNNNNNNNNNNNNNNNNNNNNNNNNNNNNNNNNNNNNNNNNNNNNNNNNNNNNNNNNNNNNNNNNNNNNNNNNNNNNNNNNNNNNNNNNNNNNNNNNNNNNNNNNNNNNNNNNNNNNNNNNNNNNNNNNNNNNNNNNNNNNNNNNNNNNNNNNNNNNNNNNNNNNNNNNNNNNNNNNNNNNNNNNNNNNNNNNNNNNNNNNNNNNNNNNNNNNNNNNNNNNNNNNNNNNNNNNNNNNNNNNNNNNNNNNNNNNNNNNNNNNNNNNNNNNNNNNNNNNNNNNNNNNNNNNNNNNNNNNNNNNNNNNNNNNNNNNNNNNNNNNNNNNNNNNNNNNNNNNNNNNNNNNNNNNNNNNNNNNNNNNNNNNNNNNNNNNNNNNNNNNNNNNNNNNNNNNNNNNNNNNNNNNNNNNNNNNNNNNNNNNNNNNNNNNNNNNNNNNNNNNNNNNNNNNNNNNNNNNNNNNNNNNNNNNNNNNNNNNNNNNNNNNNNNNNNNNNNNNNNNNNNNNNNNNNNNNNNNNNNNNNNNNNNNNNNNNNNNNNNNNNNNNNNNNNNNNNNNNNNNNNNNNNNNNNNNNNNNNNNNNNNNNNNNNNNNNNNNNNNNNNNNNNNNNNNNNNNNNNNNNNNNNNNNNNNNNNNNNNNNNNNNNNNNNNNNNNNNNNNNNNNNNNNNNNNNNNNNNNNNNNNNNNNNNNNNNNNNNNNNNNNNNNNNNNNNNNNNNNNNNNNNNNNNNNNNNNNNNNNNNNNNNNNNNNNNNNNNNNNNNNNNNNNNNNNNNNNNNNNNNNNNNNNNNNNNNNNNNNNNNNNNNNNNNNNNNNNNNNNNNNNNNNNNNNNNNNNNNNNNNNNNNNNNNNNNNNNNNNNNNNNNNNNNNNNNNNNNNNNNNNNNNNNNNNNNNNNNNNNNNNNNNNNNNNNNNNNNNNNNNNNNNNNNNNNNNNNNNNNNNNNNNNNNNNNNNNNNNNNNNNNNNNNNNNNNNNNNNNNNNNNNNNNNNNNNNNNNNNNNNNNNNNNNNNNNNNNNNNNNNNNNNNNNNNNNNNNNNNNNNNNNNNNNNNNNNNNNNNNNNNNNNNNNNNNNNNNNNNNNNNNNNNNNNNNNNNNNNNNNNNNNNNNNNNNNNNNNNNNNNNNNNNNNNNNNNNNNNNNNNNNNNNNNNNNNNNNNNNNNNNNNNNNNNNNNNNNNNNNNNNNNNNNNNNNNNNNNNNNNNNNNNNNNNNNNNNNNNNNNNNNNNNNNNNNNNNNNNNNNNNNNNNNNNNNNNNNNNNNNNNNNNNNNNNNNNNNNNNNNNNNNNNNNNNNNNNNNNNNNNNNNNNNNNNNNNNNNNNNNNNNNNNNNNNNNNNNNNNNNNNNNNNNNNNNNNNNNNNNNNNNNNNNNNNNNNNNNNNNNNNNNNNNNNNNNNNNNNNNNNNNNNNNNNNNNNNNNNNNNNNNNNNNNNNNNNNNNNNNNNNNNNNNNNNNNNNNNNNNNNNNNNNNNNNNNNNNNNNNNNNNNNNNNNNNNNNNNNNNNNNNNNNNNNNNNNNNNNNNNNNNNNNNNNNNNNNNNNNNNNNNNNNNNNNNNNNNNNNNNNNNNNNNNNNNNNNNNNNNNNNNNNNNNNNNNNNNNNNNNNNNNNNNNNNNNNNNNNNNNNNNNNNNNNNNNNNNNNNNNNNNNNNNNNNNNNNNNNNNNNNNNNNNNNNNNNNNNNNNNNNNNNNNNNNNNNNNNNNNNNNNNNNNNNNNNNNNNNNNNNNNNNNNNNNNNNNNNNNNNNNNNNNNNNNNNNNNNNNNNNNNNNNNNNNNNNNNNNNNNNNNNNNNNNNNNNNNNNNNNNNNNNNNNNNNNNNNNNNNNNNNNNNNNNNNNNNNNNNNNNNNNNNNNNNNNNNNNNNNNNNNNNNNNNNNNNNNNNNNNNNNNNNNNNNNNNNNNNNNNNNNNNNNNNNNNNNNNNNNNNNNNNNNNNNNNNNNNNNNNNNNNNNNNNNNNNNNNNNNNNNNNNNNNNNNNNNNNNNNNNNNNNNNNNNNNNNNNNNNNNNNNNNNNNNNNNNNNNNNNNNNNNNNNNNNNNNNNNNNNNNNNNNNNNNNNNNNNNNNNNNNNNNNNNNNNNNNNNNNNNNNNNNNNNNNNNNNNNNNNNNNNNNNNNNNNNNNNNNNNNNNNNNNNNNNNNNNNNNNNNNNNNNNNNNNNNNNNNNNNNNNNNNNNNNNNNNNNNNNNNNNNNNNNNNNNNNNNNNNNNNNNNNNNNNNNNNNNNNNNNNNNNNNNNNNNNNNNNNNNNNNNNNNNNNNNNNNNNNNNNNNNNNNNNNNNNNNNNNNNNNNNNNNNNNNNNNNNNNNNNNNNNNNNNNNNNNNNNNNNNNNNNNNNNNNNNNNNNNNNNNNNNNNNNNNNNNNNNNNNNNNNNNNNNNNNNNNNNNNNNNNNNNNNNNNNNNNNNNNNNNNNNNNNNNNNNNNNNNNNNNNNNNNNNNNNNNNNNNNNNNNNNNNNNNNNNNNNNNNNNNNNNNNNGUUCUAGAAGUUAUCAAAAAUGGAUUUUCCAUGGGGAAGAACAUGAAUCUCAACCUAAUGAGCAAAAUGAUAUUGGUGUUGAUACAGAAAUUGUUGACGCUACUGAUGCUGAUAUCCUUAAUGAAGUUGCGGAUGCAUUAAAUGAUGCAUGUGGACACAUAGACAAUGAUAUUAACUUAGAGGAAUCUACUACUCAUGGAAAAUUUGAUUACUUACUUGGUGAAGCUAAUAAAGAAUUGUAUCUAGGUUGUAAAAAGUUUUCUGCUUUGACAUUCCUUGUGAAGUUAAUGCAUAUUAAAGUCCUCAAUCGUUGGAGUGACAAGUCUUUUGACAUGUUACUCCAAGUUUUAGUUGAUGUUUUUCCAGAAAGAUCAAACAUUCCAAAGACAUACUAUGAUGCUAAGAAGAUGUUAAGAGAUUUGGGCUUAGGAUAUGAUUCAAUCCAUGCAUGCAAGUAUGAUUGUGCAUUGUUUUGGAAGGAGAAUGAGACUCUUGAUAAAUGUUCAAUGUGUGAUGAGCCACGAUAUAAGUUCUGUAAUGGAAAAGGUAAAAAAAUUCCUCAAAAAGUAUUGUGUCAUUUUCCACUAAAAUCAAGGCUACAAAGGUUAUUCAUGUCAAGGCAUACAGCAUCAGCUAUGAGGUGGCAUAAAGAAAACUGAAUCAGUGAGGAGGGAGUCCUAAGGCAUCCAGCAGAUUCUGAAGCUUGGAAGGAUAUGGACACCCAAUUCCCUUGGUUUUCGCAAGAACCUCGAAAUGUUAGAUUAGGGCUUGCAACAAAUGGUUUCAAUCCAUUUGGGAGCAUGAGUAAUAGUUAUAGCAUGUGGCCAAUUGUUCUUGUGCCAUACAAUAUGGCACCAUGGAGAUGUAUGAAAGAGAUGUUUUUCAUGUUAUCAUUACUAAUUCUAGGCCCACAAGCCUUAGGGAGAGAUAUUGAUGUAUACCUACGUCCUUUGAUAGAAGAAUUAAAAGAGUUAUGGCAUGAAGGUGUUCAAACAUUUGACAUGUCAACAGGAGAAAACUUUCGCAUGCAUGCAUGUGUUUUAUGGACAAUAAAUGACAUUCCUGCUUAUGGGAACUUGGCUGGGUGGAGUACAAAAGGAUAUAAAGCAUGUCCAGUUUGUAAUGAAGACACAUCGUCACUAAGUAUUAGAAGUAAAAUAUGUUACAUGGGUCAUCGACGUUUUUUACCUCUUGAUCAUGGAUGGCGAAGGAGUAAACAACACGAUGGUAAGCCGGAGUUUCGACCACCGCCAAGAAUGUUCUCUAGUGAUGAAAUAUUGCAACAAUUGUGUUGUCUUAAACAUCAGAAGCCUAGUAAGCAUCCAAACAACGUUGAUAGAAAGCAAAAACGGGUGCCUGAAGAAUUAAAUUGGACAAAAAAAAGUAUUUUCUUUGAGUUGGAGUACUGGUCAAAGUUGAAGUUGAGACAUAAUAUUGAUGUUAUGCAUGUUGAAAAGAAUGUAUGUGAUAGUGUUGUGGGAACUUUGUUAAAUAUUGUAGGAAAAACAAAAGAUAUAAACAAAGCUCGCUUAGAUUUGGCUGAUAUGAAUAUAAGGAAAGAAUUGCAUUUGCAAAUACAAGGGAACAAAUUGGUAAAACCCCAUGCAUGCUACACAUUGACUGUAGAGGAAAGGAAAGAGUUCUGUAAGUUUCUAAAGUCUGUUAAAUUUCCAGAUGGUUAUGCUGCAAAUUUAUCUAGAAAUGUUAGCAUCAAUGAUGGGAAGAUCUCAGGGUUAAAGAGUCAUGAUUGUCAUGUUUUGCUGCAAAAAUUACUCCCUAUCGCUAUUCGUCCAUAUUUUAAUAAAGAUUUGUGUACAACACUGGUUGAGUUGUGUAGUUUUUUCCAAAAGUUAUGUGCAAAGACCUUGUACAUGAAUGAUUUGGAAAAAUUAGAAGAAGGGAUUGUCUUAAUAUUGUGUAAGCUUGAAAGGAUAUUCCCACCAGCUUUCUUUGAUGUCAUGGUUCACUUGAUGGUACAUUUACCACGUGAGGCCAAACUUGCUGGACUAGUUAGUUAUCGAUGGAUGUAUCCAUUUAAGAGGUACAUUUUUACCUUUUUUGUUUAUUAAUAUUCUCAUCUAACUAUGUUACACAAUACAUGUGUUAAGGCUUAUUUAUUAACACUAUUUCUAUUUAGGAACUUAGGAACAUUGAAAAGAUAUGUGAGAAAUAAAGCUCGACCAGAAGGUUCAAUUGCAAAGGCAUACAUCGUGAAUGAAGCUUUAAUGUUUUGUUCAAUGUAUCUUACUGGAAUUGAAACACGUUUUAAUCGAAGUGAAAGGAACGAAGAUCGAUUUGAACAUCGAGUACAAGAAUGUCUUUCCAUAUUUUCAUAGCAAGCUCAACCAUUAGGCUGUCGAUAACAUCUCCAAUUUUCGAAGGAAGAGUUAACUAAGGCACAUUGGUAUAUCAUGAAUAAUUGCCCAGAGUUGAGACCAUACUUAGAGUAAGUUUUAGAAUCAACAUUAAAGAUAUUUCUUUAAUACCUCGUUACUUAAUAUCUAUUUAAUGAUGUAGUGAACAUACAAAAGAAUUGGAGAGGACAAGUUCACAUAACUUAGAGAAACGACAAGAACAAGAGUUUCCUAAGUGGCUUGCAGAUCGUGUAAGUUUUAUUUGUGUAAUUUGCUUGCUACAAUAUAGUUGUAAUGAACUAAUAUAAUUUUAAUAAUAUUUGAUAUUAAACUAUAAAUAAUUAUGUACAUUUAUAUUGUAGAUGAAAGCUUUGCAUGUUAAACAAUCACCAGAAGCAACUGAUGAACUAUACUCAUUAGCGUGUGGACUAGAUAAUCGAGUCCACACAUACAUGGGUUGUAUUGUUAAUGGAGUUCGCUUCCAUACAAAAGAUCAUGAUGAUCGGCGUAUCACCCAAAAUAGUGGGAUAUGUGUUUCUGGGGAGCAUGAUGGUGAGGAGGUUGAUUUCUAUGGUGUUUUAUCAAAUGUGGUUGUUUUGAACUAUGUCUUGGGGUAUAAGGUUAUUCUUUUCAAGUGCACAUGGUUCGACACAAACCAAAAGAAGAAGAGAAUAAAACAUGACUAUAAUUUUACCACAAUCCAAGUUAUCUCCACCUGGUAUGACAAUGAUCCUUUUAUACUUGCUACACAAACACAACAAGUUUUCUACCUAGAUGACUACAAAAAUGGUCAUAAUUGGAAAGUAGUACAAAAAGUGAAUCAUAGACACAUGUGGGAUGUACCAGAAAGGGAUACUAAUAUAGAAAUCGAUGAAGAAGUGUGCGGGGGAAGUGAUGAAGAAGCUUACCAAGAUAAUGAAUCUCAUGAGCUUAACUGGUUUGUAGAGCAAGAUGAUGGAUUUGAAUUUCAACGAUCUGACCGCUUAAACAUUGAUCUAGAAGUUGUUAAUGAUAAUGUUUUGAUUUUAGAGAACAUGAAUGACAAUGAUGAUAACUUCAUAUGUGAUGACAUUGAGGAAGAAGAUGAAACACUAGAUGAUUAUGCUAAUGAGAAUGAAAUGUGGCUUUCAAGUGAUAGUGAAAGUGAAAGUGAUUAAAGAGACUGGUAAGCUACAUUUUAUUUACUUUAUUAUAUGUUAAAUAACAUAAUGUAAUCUAGGUCUAGUUCUUUAAAUUUNNNNNNNNNNNNNNNNNNNNNNNNNNNNNNNNNNNNNNNNNNNNNNNNNNNNNNNNNNNNNNNNNNNNNNNNNNNNNNNNNNNNNNNNNNNNNNNNNNNNNNNNNNNNNNNNNNNNNNNNNNNNNNNNNNNNNNNNNNNNNNNNNNNNNNNNNNNNNNNNNNNNNNNNNNNNNNNNNNNNNNNNNNNNNNNNNNNNNNNNNNNNNNNNNNNNNNNNNNNNNNNNNNNNNNNNNNNNNNNNNNNNNNNNNNNNNNNNNNNNNNNNNNNNNNNNNNNNNNNNNNNNNNNNNNNNNNNNNNNNNNNNNNNNNNNNNNNNNNNNNNNNNNNNNNNNNNNNNNNNNNNNNNNNNNNNNNNNNNNNNNNNNNNNNNNNNNNNNNNNNNNNNNNNNNNNNNNNNNNNNNNNNNNNNNNNNNNNNNNNNNNNNNNNNNNNNNNNNNNNNNNNNNNNNNNNNNNNNNNNNNNNNNNNNNNNNNNNNNNNNNNNNNNNNNNNNNNNNNNNNNNNNNNNNNNNNNNNNNNNNNNNNNNNNNNNNNNNNNNNNNNNNNNNNNNNNNNNNNNNNNNNNNNNNNNNNNNNNNNNNNNNNNNNNNNNNNNNNNNNNNNNNNNNNNNNNNNNNNNNNNNNNNNNNNNNNNNNNNNNNNNNNNNNNNNNNNNNNNNNNNNNNNNNNNNNNNNNNNNNNNNNNNNNNNNNNNNNNNNNNNNNNNNNNNNNNNNNNNNNNNNNNNNNNNNNNNNNNNNNNNNNNNNNNNNNNNNNNNNNNNNNNNNNNNNNNNNNNNNNNNNNNNNNNNNNNNNNNNNNNNNNNNNNNNNNNNNNNNNNNNNNNNNNNNNNNNNNNNNNNNNNNNNNNNNNNNNNNNNNNNNNNNNNNNNNNNNNNNNNNNNNNNNNNNNNNNNNNNNNNNNNNNNNNNNNNNNNNNNNNNNNNNNNNNNNNNNNNNNNNNNNNNNNNNNNNNNNNNNNNNNNNNNNNNNNNNNNNNNNNNNNNNNNNNNNNNNNNNNNNNNNNNNNNNNNNNNNNNNNNNNNNNNNNNNNNNNNNNNNNNNNNNNNNNNNNNNNNNNNNNNNNNNNNNNNNNNNNNNNNNNNNNNNNNNNNNNNNNNNNNNNNNNNNNNNNNNNNNNNNNNNNNNNNNNNNNNNNNNNNNNNNNNNNNNNNNNNNNNNNNNNNNNNNNNNNNNNNNNNNNNNNNNNNNNNNNNNNNNNNNNNNNNNNNNNNNNNNNNNNNNNNNNNNNNNNNNNNNNNNNNNNNNNNNNNNNNNNNNNNNNNNNNNNNNNNNNNNNNNNNNNNNNNNNNNNNNNNNNNNNNNNNNNNNNNNNNNNNNNNNNNNNNNNNNNNNNNNNNNNNNNNNNNNNNNNNNNNNNNNNNNNNNNNNNNNNNNNNNNNNNNNNNNNNNNNNNNNNNNNNNNNNNNNNNNNNNNNNNNNNNNNNNNNNNNNNNNNNNNNNNNNNNNNNNNNNNNNNNNNNNNNNNNNNNNNNNNNNNNNNNNNNNNNNNNNNNNNNNNNNNNNNNNNNNNNNNNNNNNNNNNNNNNNNNNNNNNNNNNNNNNNNNNNNNNNNNNNNNNNNNNNNNNNNNNNNNNNNNNNNNNNNNNNNNNNNNNNNNNNNNNNNNNNNNNNNNNNNNNNNNNNNNNNNNNNNNNNNNNNNNNNNNNNNNNNNNNNNNNNNNNNNNNNNNNNNNNNNNNNNNNNNNNNNNNNNNNNNNNNNNNNNNNNNNNNNNNNNNNNNNNNNNNNNNNNNNNNNNNNNNNNNNNNNNNNNNNNNNNNNNNNNNNNNNNNNNNNNNNNNNNNNNNNNNNNNNNNNNNNNNNNNNNNNNNNNNNNNNNNNNNNNNNNNNNNNNNNNNNNNNNNNNNNNNNNNNNNNNNNNNNNNNNNNNNNNNNNNNNNNNNNNNNNNNNNNNNNNNNNNNNNNNNNNNNNNNNNNNNNNNNNNNNNNNNNNNNNNNNNNNNNNNNNNNNNNNNNNNNNNNNNNNNNNNNNNNNNNNNNNNNNNNNNNNNNNNNNNNNNNNNNNNNNNNNNNNNNNNNNNNNNNNNNNNNNNNNNNNNNNNNNNNNNNNNNNNNNNNNNNNNNNNNNNNNNNNNNNNNNNNNNNNNNNNNNNNNNNNNNNNNNNNNNNNNNNNNNNNNNNNNNNNNNNNNNNNNNNNNNNNNNNNNNNNNNNNNNNNNNNNNNNNNNNNNNNNNNNNNNNNNNNNNNNNNNNNNNNNNNNNNNNNNNNNNNNNNNNNNNNNNNNNNNNNNNNNNNNNNNNNNNNNNNNNNNNNNNNNNNNNNNNNNNNNNNNNNNNNNNNNNNNNNNNNNNNNNNNNNNNNNNNNNNNNNNNNNNNNNNNNNNNNNNNNNNNNNNNNNNNNNNNNNNNNNNNNNNNNNNNNNNNNNNNNNNNNNNNNNNNNNNNNNNNNNNNNNNNNNNNNNNNNNNNNNNNNNNNNNNNNNNNNNNNNNNNNNNNNNNNNNNNNNNNNNNNNNNNNNNNNNNNNNNNNNNNNNNNNNNNNNNNNNNNNNNNNNNNNNNNNNNNNNNNNNNNNNNNNNNNNNNNNNNNNNNNNNNNNNNNNNNNNNNNNNNNNNNNNNNNNNNNNNNNNNNNNNNNNNNNNNNNNNNNNNNNNNNNNNNNNNNNNNNNNNNNNNNNNNNNNNNNNNNNNNNNNNNNNNNNNNNNNNNNNNNNNNNNNNNNNNNNNNNNNNNNNNNNNNNNNNNNNNNNNNNNNNNNNNNNNNNNNNNNNNNNNNNNNNNNNNNNNNNNNNNNNNNNNNNNNNNNNNNNNNNNNNNNNNNNNNNNNNNNNNNNNNNNNNNNNNNNNNNNNNNNNNNNNNNNNNNNNNNNNNNNNNNNNNNNNNNNNNNNNNNNNNNNNNNNNNNNNNNNNNNNNNNNNNNNNNNNNNNNNNNNNNNNNNNNNNNNNNNNNNNNNNNNNNNNNNNNNNNNNNNNNNNNNNNNNNNNNNNNNNNNNNNNNNNNNNNNNNNNNNNNNNNNNNNNNNNNNNNNNNNNNNNNNNNNNNNNNNNNNNNNNNNNNNNNNNNNNNNNNNNNNNNNNNNNNNNNNNNNNNNNNNNNNNNNNNNNNNNNNNNNNNNNNNNNNNNNNNNNNNNNNNNNNNNNNNNNNNNNNNNNNNNNNNNNNNNNNNNNNNNNNNNNNNNNNNNNNNNNNNNNNNNNNNNNNNNNNNNNNNNNNNNNNNNNNNNNNNNNNNNNNNNNNNNNNNNNNNNNNNNNNNNNNNNNNNNNNNNNNNNNNNNNNNNNNNNNNNNNNNNNNNNNNNNNNNNNNNNNNNNNNNNNNNNNNNNNNNNNNNNNNNNNNNNNNNNNNNNNNNNNNNNNNNNNNNNNNNNNNNNNNNNNNNNNNNNNNNNNNNNNNNNNNNNNNNNNNNNNNNNNNNNNNNNNNNNNNNNNNNNNNNNNNNNNNNNNNNNNNNNNNNNNNNNNNNNNNNNNNNNNNNNNNNNNNNNNNNNNNNNNNNNNNNNNNNNNNNNNNNNNNNNNNNNNNNNNNNNNNNNNNNNNNNNNNNNNNNNNNNNNNNNNNNNNNNNNNNNNNNNNNNNNNNNNNNNNNNNNNNNNNNNNNNNNNNNNNNNNNNNNNNNNNNNNNNNNNNNNNNNNNNNNNNNNNNNNNNNNNNNNNNNNNNNNNNNNNNNNNNNNNNNNNNNNNNNNNNNNNNNNNNNNNNNNNNNNNNNNNNNNNNNNNNNNNNNNNNNNNNNNNNNNNNNNNNNNNNNNNNNNNNNNNNNNNNNNNNNNNNNNNNNNNNNNNNNNNNNNNNNNNNNNNNNNNNNNNNNNNNNNNNNNNNNNNNNNNNNNNNNNNNNNNNNNNNNNNNNNNNNNNNNNNNNNNNNNNNNNNNNNNNNNNNNNNNNNNNNNNNNNNNNNNNNNNNNNNNNNNNNNNNNNNNNNNNNNNNNNNNNNNNNNNNNNNNNNNNNNNNNNNNNNNNNNNNNNNNNNNNNNNNNNNNNNNNNNNNNNNNNNNNNNNNNNNNNNNNNNNNNNNNNNNNNNNNNNNNNNNNNNNNNNNNNNNNNNNNNNNNNNNNNNNNNNNNNNNNNNNNNNNNNNNNNNNNNNNNNNNNNNNNNNNNNNNNNNNNNNNNNNNNNNNNNNNNNNNNNNNNNNNNNNNNNNNNNNNNNNNNNNNNNNNNNNNNNNNNNNNNNNNNNNNNNNNNNNNNNNNNNNNNNNNNNNNNNNNNNNNNNNNNNNNNNNNNNNNNNNNNNNNNNNNNNNNNNNNNNNNNNNNNNNNNNNNNNNNNNNNNNNNNNNNNNNNNNNNNNNNNNNNNNNNNNNNNNNNNNNNNNNNNNNNNNNNNNNNNNNNNNNNNNNNNNNNNNNNNNNNNNNNNNNNNNNNNNNNNNNNNNNNNNNNNNNNNNNNNNNNNNNNNNNNNNNNNNNNNNNNNNNNNNNNNNNNNNNNNNNNNNNNNNNNNNNNNNNNNNNNNNNNNNNNNNNNNNNNNNNNNNNNNNNNNNNNNNNNNNNNNNNNNNNNNNNNNNNNNNNNNNNNNNNNNNNNNNNNNNNNNNNNNNNNNNNNNNNNNNNNNNNNNNNNNNNNNNNNNNNNNNNNNNNNNNNNNNNNNNNNNNNNNNNNNNNNNNNNNNNNNNNNNNNNNNNNNNNNNNNNNNNNNNNNNNNNNNNNNNNNNNNNNNNNNNNNNNNNNNNNNNNNNNNNNNNNNNNNNNNNNNNNNNNNNNNNNNNNNNNNNNNNNNNNNNNNNNNNNNNNNNNNNNNNNNNNNNNNNNNNNNNNNNNNNNNNNNNNNNNNNNNNNNNNNNNNNNNNNNNNNNNNNNNNNNNNNNNNNNNNNNNNNNNNNNNNNNNNNNNNNNNNNNNNNNNNNNNNNNNNNNNNNNNNNNNNNNNNNNNNNNNNNNNNNNNNNNNNNNNNNNNNNNNNNNNNNNNNNNNNNNNNNNNNNNNNNNNNNNNNNNNNNNNNNNNNNNNNNNNNNNNNNNNNNNNNNNNNNNNNNNNNNNNNNNNNNNNNNNNNNNNNNNNNNNNNNNNNNNNNNNNNNNNNNNNNNNNNNNNNNNNNNNNNNNNNNNNNNNNNNNNNNNNNNNNNNNNNNNNNNNNNNNNNNNNNNNNNNNNNNNNNNNNNNNNNNNNNNNNNNNNNNNNNNNNNNNNNNNNNNNNNNNNNNNNNNNNNNNNNNNNNNNNNNNNNNNNNNNNNNNNNNNNNNNNNNNNNNNNNNNNNNNNNNNNNNNNNNNNNNNNNNNNNNNNNNNNNNNNNNNNNNNNNNNNNNNNNNNNNNNNNNNNNNNNNNNNNNNNNNNNNNNNNNNNNNNNNNNNNNNNNNNNNNNNNNNNNNNNNNNNNNNNNNNNNNNNNNNNNNNNNNNNNNNNNNNNNNNNNNNNNNNNNNNNNNNNNNNNNNNNNNNNNNNNNNNNNNNNNNNNNNNNNNNNNNNNNNNNNNNNNNNNNNNNNNNNNNNNNNNNNNNNNNNNNNNNNNNNNNNNNNNNNNNNNNNNNNNNNNNNNNNNNNNNNNNNNNNNNNNNNNNNNNNNNNNNNNNNNNNNNNNNNNNNNNNNNNNNNNNNNNNNNNNNNNNNNNNNNNNNNNNNNNNNNNNNNNNNNNNNNNNNNNNNNNNNNNNNNNNNNNNNNNNNNNNNNNNNNNNNNNNNNNNNNNNNNNNNNNNNNNNNNNNNNNNNNNNNNNNNNNNNNNNNNNNNNNNNNNNNNNNNNNNNNNNNNNNNNNNNNNNNNNNNNNNNNNNNNNNNNNNNNNNNNNNNNNNNNNNNNNNNNNNNNNNNNNNNNNNNNNNNNNNNNNNNNNNNNNNNNNNNNNNNNNNNNNNNNNNNNNNNNNNNNNNNNNNNNNNNNNNNNNNNNNNNNNNNNNNNNNNNNNNNNNNNNNNNNNNNNNNNNNNNNNNNNNNNNNNNNNNNNNNNNNNNNNNNNNNNNNNNNNNNNNNNNNNNNNNNNNNNNNNNNNNNNNNNNNNNNNNNNNNNNNNNNNNNNNNNNNNNNNNNNNNNNNNNNNNNNNNNNNNNNNNNNNNNNNNNNNNNNNNNNNNNNNNNNNNNNNNNNNNNNNNNNNNNNNNNNNNNNNNNNNNNNNNNNNNNNNNNNNNNNNNNNNNNNNNNNNNNNNNNNNNNNNNNNNNNNNNNNNNNNNNNNNNNNNNNNNNNNNNNNNNNNNNNNNNNNNNNNNNNNNNNNNNNNNNNNNNNNNNNNNNNNNNNNNNNNNNNNNNNNNNNNNNNNNNNNNNNNNNNNNNNNNNNNNNNNNNNNNNNNNNNNNNNNNNNNNNNNNNNNNNNNNNNNNNNNNNNNNNNNNNNNNNNNNNNNNNNNNNNNNNNNNNNNNNNNNNNNNNNNNNNNNNNNNNNNNNNNNNNNNNNNNNNNNNNNNNNNNNNNNNNNNNNNNNNNNNNNNNNNNNNNNNNNNNNNNNNNNNNNNNNNNNNNNNNNNNNNNNNNNNNNNNNNNNNNNNNNNNNNNNNNNNNNNNNNNNNNNNNNNNNNNNNNNNNNNNNNNNNNNNNNNNNNNNNNNNNNNNNNNNNNNNNNNNNNNNNNNNNNNNNNNNNNNNNNNNNNNNNNNNNNNNNNNNNNNNNNNNNNNNNNNNNNNNNNNNNNNNNNNNNNNNNNNNNNNNNNNNNNNNNNNNNNNNNNNNNNNNNNNNNNNNNNNNNNNNNNNNNNNNNNNNNNNNNNNNNNNNNNNNNNNNNNNNNNNNNNNNNNNNNNNNNNNNNNNNNNNNNNNNNNNNNNNNNNNNNNNNNNNNNNNNNNNNNNNNNNNNNNNNNNNNNNNNNNNNNNNNNNNNNNNNNNNNNNNNNNNNNNNNNNNNNNNNNNNNNNNNNNNNNNNNNNNNNNNNNNNNNNNNNNNNNNNNNNNNNNNNNNNNNNNCUUAGUGAACCGUCAAAACCAGGCCCUGGGAGAUUGUUUGAGACCAUACAAGGAUUUUUGGAGUCUACAAACCUUGUUGAAAUUUGAUGUUGUCUCAAGUCCAGCAGGAAUCUCCAUGUAAACUUCUUCCUCUAAGUCACCAUUGAGGAAGGCACUCUUCACAUCAAGUUGGUGAAGCGACCAAUCAAGAUUAGCUGCCAAGGAUAAAAGUAUACGAACAGUAUUGAGGUUGGCAACUGGAGCAAAAGUUUCUUGAUAGUCAAUGCCAUAGGAUUGGGUGAAUCCUUUGGCGACCAACCGAGCCUUAUACCUGUCCAUAUUACCAUCUACCUUGUAUUUUACUGUGAAAAUCCACUUACACCCAACUGGUUUCUUACCUCUUGGGAGGUCAGUAAUUUCCCACGUACCAUUCUUUUCUAGCGCCCGAACUUCCUCAUCGACUGCCGCCUUCCACUUAGGAUACUUGAAAGCUUCCUGAAUAUUCCGAGGAACUUGUAUCUCUGUGAUGCUAGAAGUGAAUGCACGAAACGUAGGUGAUAGCUUAUCAUAAGAAAUAAAAUUUCCAAUGGGAUGCUGAGUGCAUGAUCUAACUCCUUUCCUCCAAGCUAUGGGCAUAUUAAGAAUAUCAUUUUCUAACUCGAAAUCAACAGUACCAUCAAGAGCGUUGUUACCUGGAAGUUUGCUUGGAUUAGGACCCGGUUCAGCCUCAUGGGUUUGUUGAGAAAGUGCUCCUUCCUCCGUUUCCUCUUGGAUGUGCUCCUUAUCCCACAAGUCAACAAUGGACUCAGGCUUAUUAAAUGACUCUGGAGGAAUGUGAUUUUCAGUGGUGAUGGGUGACUCACUGAAUGACUCAAGAUCCCAAAAUUGAUAUUCCUGAGUUGAAUUCUCCCCCUGAAUAUCGUUUUUGGGAUAGUAAGGCUGGGUUUCAAAAAAUGUGAUAUCCAUUGAAUUGUAGAAUUUUCUUGUGACUGGAGAGUAACACUUAUACCCUUUUUGAUUUGAAGAAUACCCAAGAAAGAUGCACUUGAGUGACCUAGGAUCAAGUUUACUUCUUUUUUGUUGAUUGAUAUGAACAAAGACAGAGCACCCGAAAAUUUUGGGUGGGACGGUGGAGAUGAGACGAGUAGUCGGAAAGGAUUUUAGGAGUGUUUGACAAGGUGUUUGGAAUUUUAGUACCCUAGACGGCAUCCUAUUGAUGAGGUAGGCUGCCGUAAGGACAGCUUGCCCCCAGAAUAAUUUUGGAACAUUCAUGGAGAACAUUAGUGAUCUAGCCACCUCUAACAAAUGCCUAUUUUUCCUUUCAGCGAUUUCGUUUUGUUGUGGGGUAUCAACACAUGAACUUAAGUGAACUAUCCCUUCUUGUGCUAGAAAUUCUCCUAGAAUGGAGUUGAAAUAAUCCCUAGCAUUAUCAGACUUUAGAAUUUGUAUUUUUGACUGGAAUUGGGUCUGAAUCAUAUUUUUAAAAUUUUUGAAAAUUUGACUCGUUUCAGAUUUUUCUUUCAUGAGGAAUACCCAAGUUAAUCUAGUGUGAUCAUCUAUGAAUGAGACAAACCACCUAGUACCAGUUACAUUUUUUAUUCUUGACGGACCCCAGAUAUCGCUAUGAUCAUGAGAUGGACUAGACUCUUNNNNNNNNNNNNNNNNNNNNNNNNNNNNNNNNNNNNNNNNNNNNNNNNNNNNNNNNNNNNNNNNNNNNNNNNNNNNNNNNNNNNNNNNNNNNNNNNNNNNGGGAAGUGAUGAAGAAGCUUACCAAGAUAAUGAAUCUCAUGAGCUUAACUGGUUUGUAGAGCAAGAUGAUGGAUUUGAAUUUCAACGAUCUGACCGCUUAAACAUUGAUCUAGAAGUUGUUAAUGAUAAUGUUUUGAUUUUAGAGAACAUGAAUGACAAUGAUGAUAACUUCAUAUGUGAUGACAUUGAGGAAGAAGAUGAAACACUAGAUGAUUAUGCUAAUGAGAAUGAAAUGUGGCUUUCAAGUGAUAGUGAAAGUGAAAGUGAUUAAAGAGACUGGUAAGCUACAUUUUAUUUACUUUAUUAUAUGUUAAAUAACAUAAUGUAAUCUAGGUCUAGUUCUUUAAAUUUAUGUUAUGUGUUGUGAUAUUCCUUUUUUAUUAUUAUUUAUUUGUCUUUAUUGUUAUUUUAUUAUAGAUGACUCCUGGACGAAAGCGGUCACCUUCUGAGUUAACUCAACCACCCACAACAACACCCAUGACUCCUUUUUAUGUCGAUGUUCCAAUGCACACAUCCAAUGAGGGCACUAGUAGUUGUAAGAAACUUCUUACAUUUAUAUAUUUUACUUAUUAUAAUUUUGUAAGAUAUUUUUUUUUUAAAUUUUAAAUUAUAAUGAGUUGUAAUUUAAUUUUAGUCUUUUUAUUAACUCUUAUUAAUUGUUAAAGUUUAAUCAAUAAUUUCAUGGUAGCACCUAAUAAAGAAAUUUAAGAGGCAAAACUAGAGGUGUCAUUCUUGACAAACUUAUUGAAGCUAAUGGGGGCAAACCUCUUCCGAUCACAAUCAAGCCAUCUAAUGGGAAGCAAACAGGAAAAUAUUGUGAGAAAUUGUCAAAUGAGAUUGGGUUAAUAGUGAGACAACAUGCACCUGUUAGAGUGGAAAAAUGGAACCAAAUGCCUCGAGCUGAGAUCAAUACAAUGCUUGAUCGAAUCAAGGUAAAGUUGCUUGAAAUAUAUAUAUAUUUUUUAGCUUGUAAUUAUAACUAAUUGUUGGUUAUCUCUAAACUUACUUUAUCUCAUAUUAGUUCUUCCCUUGUUUGACUAUGAAGGAAAAGUUUGCCCUAGAUUUGACACAAGAGCAUGUGAAGAAAAGUUUAGAAAAACAAUUAUCUGACCGCUUUAGAAAUUGGAGAUGUGAUUUGCACAAGCACUUCAAAAAGUUCCCAACUGUGGUGGAGGCUAAGCGAAAUCCUCAUGAAUCUGUGUCAAAUCAGGAAGAUUGGGACUACUUUUGUGAUAGAUUUUCAAGUGAAGAAUUUAAGGUAAAGUUUUCAAUGAAUAAUCAUUCAAACCUAUUUCUUAUUGAAUAUUCUACUAACUAUAUUUAUAUUAUUUUCAAUAAUAACUAUUAUUACAGCGUCGUUCAGCAAUCAAUUCAGUAAAUAGAUCAAAGAUGCCUUUUCAUCAUCGAGGAGGCUCUCGUUCAUUUAUCCAACAUGGUCUACAAGUGGUAAAAUAUAAAACUAAGGUUCUUUAGUUAUUCAUAUAACUUAUAAUUCUUAAUAUUAAUGCAUAAUACUUGACAGCCAACAGAGAAUGGAGAGAUGGUUGGCCAAAUUGAACUAUUCAAACUAGUUCAUUGGAAAAGUCAAGAUGGAUGGAUAAAUCAAGAGGCUAGAUAUUAUUAUGUAAGAUUAUUUUGAUAGCUUUCUAUGUUUAAAUCAUGUUUGGGAUUAUGAAUCUUUGUGGAAGUGUCAUCGUGAUAGUUUAUUUACCAUGUUUUGAUAAAUAAGGCACUUCCUUGGUAGUUUUCAUAAAUCUAUAAAUUUUGAUUUGGUUAUUGAUUGCUUGGGUGUUCAAUGUUGUUAAAUUGAUUAAUAGCAGGGAAAAUUUGGCAAAGUCUAAAAAUUAGGAGAGACUAUGCCAAAAUUUCUAUUGAAAUUUUAUCUUACCAACUUAUUAUUAUAACUUUUCUUACUCAAAAUUACAUUUAAGAUUAUUAGUACUUGUAAAGUAUUAUUAUAUCAACUUGUAUACUAGAUUCUUAUUUCAAUUUUUAUAUUAUUUAGUGUGUGAUUACAAGCUAAUUAGGUUCUUCUUAGGUAGAAUCCUUGAAGUAAACUUUUGUUUGGGCAUUAACUAAUCAUAAAUCUUUAUUGUUAAAUAUUUGAUUAUGUGGUUGGUAAAAAUUUGUGGAAAUAGUAAAGAAUUAAAGAGGGAUUAGUAUAUUAUUAACUUGAAUAUAUAAUAGGUCAAAUUUUGGAAAAAAAACUAAGAAAUAUAAGAGAAUAUGCCAAAAUUUAAAUAGGAUUUUUAACUUGUUAACUUCUUGUUAUAAUUUUCUUUGCUUAAAAUUAAGUUGAGAUUCUAUGUACUUUUCAAUUUUUACCAUUUUAUUAUGUAUAUAAGAAUCUUGUUUAUGUGAUAACAAGUUUAGAUACUUUUUUUAGCCAUUUCUUUGCUUAAAAUGAAGUUUAGGAUUAUAUGUGCUUGUGGGGUGUUACAAUAUUUGUAUAAAAAAUAUCAUAUCCUUAUUUGAAAUCUAAUAUUAAGGGACUAUUCCAAAAUUUAAUUAGGAUUUUUAACUUAUUAACUUCUUGUUGUAAUUUUCUUUACUUAUAAUUAAGUUGAGAUUCUAACUACUUUUCAAUUUUUAUCAUUUUAGUAUGUAUAUAAGAAUCUUGUUUAUGUGAUAACAAGUUUAGAUACUUUUUUAGGCAUUUAUUUGCUUAAAAUGAAUUUUAGGAUUAUAUGUGCUUGUGGGGUGUUAUAAUAUUUGUAUAAAAAUAUCAUAUCCUUAUUUGAAAUCUAAUAUUAAGGGACUAUUCCAAAAUUUAAUUAGGAUUUUUAACUUGUGAACUUCUUGUUAUAAUUUUCUUUACUUAUAAUUAAGUUGAGAUUCUAACUACUUUUCAAUUUUUAUCAUUUUAGUAUGUAUAUAAGAAUCUUGUUUAUGUGAUAACAAGUUUAGAUAUUUUUUUAGGCAUUUCUUUGCUUAAAAUUAAGUUUAGGAUUAUGUGUGCUUGUAGGGUGUUACAAUGUUUGUAUAAAAAUACCAUAUUCUUAUUUGAAAUCUAAUAUUAAGGGACUAUGCCAAAAUUUAAAUAGGAUUUUUAACUUUAUAACUACUUGUUAUAAUUUUCUUUACUUAUAAUUAAGUUGAGAUUCUAACUAAUUUUCAAUUUUUAUCAUUUUAGUAUGUAUAUAGGAAUCUUGUUUAUGUGAUAACAAGUUUAGAUCAUUUUUUAGGUAUUUCUUUGCUUAAAAUUAAGUUUAGGAUUAUGUGUGUUUGUGGGGUGCUACAAUGUUUGUAUAAAAAUACCAUAUUCUUGUUUGAAAUAUAAUAUUAAGGGACUAUGCUGAAAUUUAAAUAGGAUUUUUAACUUACUAUCUUCUUGUUAUAAUUUUCUUUACUUAAAAUUAAGUUAAGAUUCUAACUACUUUUGAAUUUUCACCAUUUUAGUAUGUAUAUAUUAUUCUUGUUUAUGUGAUAACAUGUUUAUAAACACUUUUUUAGGCAUUUCUUAGCUUAAAAUUAAGUUUAGGAUUAUGUGUGCUUAUGGGAUGUUACAAUGUUUGUAUAAAAAUACUAUAUUCUUGUUUGAAAUCUACUAUUAUUUACCAUAUAAUAACAAAUUAAGGCACUUGGAUGUUUUGUUGUGCUAAAAAUCAAUUUGAUUAUUAACUAAUUUGAAAUUCCAAUGCUUAUAUUUAUUAUAUAUAGUAGGUAUAAUUUAAAAAAUAUCUACUAAAUAUGGGAGAUCAUGCCCAAAUUUAAUGGAAAUUUUAAUUUACUAACUUAUUAAUUAUGUUUUGGUUCUUUUUUUUUUGUUUUAUUUUUUAUUUUGCAUAUAUAGGAGAAGAUGUUGGAGCUUUAACGCCAGCCUAUUGCAGAAGGAGCUGUGGCUAUGACUGAGGUAGAAAUUUGUGAGAAAGUUUUGGGACAAAAAUCAGGAUAUGUCAAGGGCCUUGGUUUUGGCCCUAAACCAAUCUCAUUUUCUAAAUCUAAACCAUCAUCUUCUGAGCGUGAAAAUGAGUUGGAGCAUAGACUUAUUGAGACUCAACUACUUGUGGAGACUCAACAACAAUAACUUGAGACUCAACAAGAUCGAAUUGACCAAUUGGAGGCCUUCGUACAAAAACAAAAUCAACAACAUCAUCAACAAUUUGAAGAAAUAUUGCGUCAUCUAUGAUCAAGCCAAGGGUCCUCAUGAUCCCUUUUUUUAUGAUGUGCAUAUGAUGGACGUUCAUUUCUUUUUUUUGCCUAUGCUAAUAUAGUUGUUUUGUGAUAGACAUUUUGUUAAACUAAUACUUUAUUUUGUUUUGUAGUUAUAUUAGCGUAGAUAUUAUACUACUAUGAUCACAUGUUAUGGUUACAUAUAUUAAUUACCAAUGAAGUUAUGUGAUAUAUAUUUUGAUUUUUGUAAGCAGGUUUCAGAAUUAACCUUUCUAUUAUAAUUAAUGUUUUAAAUACCAAAUGCCAUACAUUUGUAAUAUGAAAAAUAAAAAAUGUAAAUACAUUUCCUGACAAAAAAAAAAAAUUGUUACUAAAGAUAUUUCCUGAUGAAAUAUUUUUGUUGCUGAAGAUUGUUGUAUCAUCCACAACUAAUUUAUAAUUCACUGGCAUACGUUUUAGGGACAAAAUCAUUUUGUAAAUAAAAGGAUUUAGCAACGAAAUGAAUUUGUCAGUAUUAAUGAUAAAUAUUUUAGUUCAAAAAAAUCCUUUAGCAAUGAAAUAUCUAUUUCAUCAAGAAAAACUUUUAGUGACAAAAUGGAACUUUCGUUGGGAUUGCAAAGCAUAGGGAGACGAAAUUAAAUUGUUACAAAAAAUAUUUGGCAGCAAAAUAAAUUUGUUAGCACUAAGUAUUGACGACUUUGAGGACAAAAAUUUAUAUUUUUUAGUGGCAAAAAUUCUUAUUUUUGUUAAUGAAAAAUUUCGUUGGGGAAAAUAUUUAGUAACAAAAUUUUUAUUUCAUCAGGGAAAAUAUUGGGCGACGAAAUAGGAUUUUUGUCGGGAAACUUUUAGCGACGGGUCUAAGGCAACGAAUGUGACACGAAACAUUUUUCGUUGGGAAAUAUUUUUGCAGACGAAAUUUCGACUUUUAGUGACAAAAUAUUUUAUCAUUGAAAGUUAAUUUUCUUGUAGUUAAAUGAAAACAAAUUGAAAUACUUUUGUAAAUAAAAUUGUAAUUUUUUUUUGUAAAAGCAAGUAAAAAUCAUUUUUGUUGCCAAAUUGAAAUUUUGCAAUAAAUUAUUUUGAUAUAAUAAGUGAAAAUAAAUUUUUUUGAAAAUUAAAUACAAAUGAAAUUGAAUUAAAUCAUUAAUUAAAAAUAAAUUGAAACUUCUUUUUUGGCAAUAAAAAAAAAUUAAAAUCAUUAAUUUAAAAUCAUUUUUAAUAAAUACUUUGAAAUUUCUUGAAAAUUAUUUUUUUAAUAUUUUUUUUUAGUUCAAUAAAUCAUUUUGCAUAAUUCUCUUAUUAUUUAUUUUGUGUAUUCUUGUAAUUAGAUUUCAUCAUUAUUUUUGUGUAUAUUAAUUUUCACCAUGACUUGUACAUACUCAUUUACAUGAUUAUUUUUCUUGGUAUCCAUAAUUAAUUAAUUAAUCAUCACAAUUUCCUUAAUUCAUUUAGUAGAGGGCAUACGUAUACAAGCUUAGAGGGGUGUUACAGCUCAUUACAAUACCUUCCCGAUAUGUAACGGGGGACUCAAACUCAAUUUUUCACAAACUUGUUUUUACUUCGAGAGUCACAUUUAAGGUUUUUCUUUUUUAUUUUGUUUUUCCCUUAAAAAAAUAAAACAAAAAUCAGUAACGACUUUAAGUCUUUUUUAAAAAAUCAUAUUUUUUACCAAAUAAAUAAAAAACGAGUCUCGUUGUCGAGUGGAGACGCACAUGAAAAACGUAGGUCCACACCGAUAUAUUAUAUUAUUUUUUAAUUUAUUUAUAAUUUAAAACUAAUUUCAUUUUUUAUAAGACCUCAAUUAAAUUUCUAUUAAUUAAAUUUAGAAUAUUUUUACAAAAUCAAUAUAGAAAAAUUAUUUAAAAAAAAAAAAAAAAAAACCAACUUGUAGACUCCUUCUCUUGAGCUCUAUUUUUUUUAUGGUCUGAAACAAGGGGGCAUGGCAUGACCCAAGGGAGAAAUUUUCGAUUUUUUAGUGAAGGAGGGGACACCUCCCAAGAAGGUAGCUGCCUUGGACGUGUGGCAAGGGAGAUUGGCUGCCCAUGAAAGUGGUUGCAAGCCCAUGCUUGCUGUGAGGUGAAUAGGAGAGUGGGUGGUGGCUUGCCAAGGAAGGGAAAAAGAGAGAGAAAAAAGGGGAGUUAGAGCUGAGGGCAAGGGUGGAGCCAGAGAGAAAGGAGAAGCCCGAAUGAGAAGAAGGGAGAGGUACGACAUUUACCAUGACUCUUUGGACUCACUUGAUGUAUAUAAUCUCCUUAUUUUUCUCUUAAUAGUUUCGAGUAGAUUAUUCGAACAUAUGUUUCGUUUUAUGGUUCAUAGUUAUGGUUUGGAUGCUACUAUCUCUUUCAUAUUUUUGGUUUGUUUUGAGAGCAAUGAAGCUCUGUUUUAACCUCCUCCUCAUGGCCAUUACCGUGCUCAUCAUCCACCCCCAAUACCCACAUCGUCACGCACCAAUAUACCAGCUCCAUUUCAUCACCAUCCCACGUUCCAUGCAUGGCUGUCACCCUCACCCAUCCUCCCAAUCACCUUUUCUCUCUCUACCCGCCAUACCCAUCCUUCACCCGCAUGCGCGGAACCUGGUAUAUUUGGCUGCCCACCAUGCCCGCGUUCAGCUCAUCUCCACAGGAACCCCCAAAGCCGCCCGUCUACACGCGUGUGUCCCAUGCAUGCAAGCCGCCCCAUCCCUCAUUUUUUUUUGCUGCAUGCACCGCGUCGACAAGGCGUCUGCUCCUCACCAGCCACCAUCACCCGCUCCAGCCAUGCGGGCAUUUGCACCAGCCACCAUGGCGGCAGCAUCUCUUGGAUGCCAUGGGACUACCACCAUUGCUCCUUGAAGACUUUGAAGACUAAAAUAUGAAGAAUUUGAAGACAAACUAUGGAGGAACACAGACUCAAUUCAUUCUGUGAUUCUUUUUUUUUUUUUUACAAUGAAAGAAAGCAUAAAUAAAUAGCCUACAGAUAUGAGAUAAUUCCGGAAUGGUACACUAUCACUGGACGGAAUUUCCCUUACAUGGAAAGUGUUACAUGGAAAGUGAAUAAACUACCUUGCUAGAAUUACUCCUAAAUCAAUUAUAAUAAAGGUUGUACAUUACACUAAUUCAGGGAAGUAAACAGAGGAUGCUAAAUAUGGGGAGGAACAUGCACAGGCAGGAAGGCGACGUGGGCUUGAUUUCCAACACUCCCCCUCAAGCCGCGUUGUAGAUGUUGAUCAUUCCAAGUUUUUCUGUCAGAUCUUCGAAGUUAACUCGAGCAAGAGCUUUUGUGAGAAUGUCAGCCGUUUGAUAGUUUGUCGGAGUGUAGCUGACUUUGAAAACUCCUUCUUCAAUCUUUUCCUUGAUAAAGUGUCGAUCUAUCUCCACGUGCUUAGUUCGAUCAUGAUGAACCGGAUUCUUAGCGAUACUGAUGGCAGCUUGAUUGUCGCAGUAUAACACCAUGGGAUGCUUCAAUGGAACCCAUAAUUCUUCUAGCAGCCUGUUCAACCAGAUUUCCUCGCAGAUACCUUGUUCCAUAGCACGAAAUUCUGCCUCAGCACUGCUACGGGCUACCACUGACUGUUUCUUGCUUCGCCAUGUAACCAAGUUCCCCUAGACAAAUGAACAAUAGCCUGAAGUUGAUCUCCGAUCAGUCACUGAACCUGCCCAAUCUGCAUUUGAAAAAAUCUCAAUCUCUUUCUUUGUUGUUCUUUGAAAGAAAAGACCCUUUCCCGGUGUCAUCUUGAGGCACCUCAAUAUUCUGAUCACAGUAGUCAUGUGUUUUUCGGUUGGAUUAUUCAUGAAUUGACUUACCACACUAACGGAGAAGCCGAUGUCUGGCCUUGUAUGAGAAAGAUAGAUGAGUUUCCCCACAAGACGUUGAUAUCUUCCUUUAUCAACUGGCGCACUUCCAUCACUUUCUUCCAGUUUGACAGUUGUAUCCAUAGGUGUUUCUGCUGGCUUGCAUCCUAGCAUUCCUGUUUCAUUCAAUAAGUCCAGAACGUAUUUGCGUUGUGAGACUGCUAUACCUUUCUUUGACCUAGCAAUCUCCAUUCCGAGAAAGUACUUGAGGUUUCCAAGAUCCUUGAUCUCAAAUUCCUUUGUCAGUAAUUUUUUAAGUAAGUCAAUUUUCUCUUCAUGAUCACCUGUCACNNNNNNNNNNNNNNNNNNNNNNNNNNNNNNNNNNNNNNNNNNNNNNNNNNNNNNNNNNNNNNNNNNNNNNNNNNNNNNNNNNNNNNNNNNNNNNNNNNNNGAUAGUGCCACAACAUAAUUGCACUAUUGUUAUUUUGACAUGAAACCGAAAAAGAAUUACUACCAACUGCCAUUUGAGGUUGUUCUUGUGGAUCGUGGCGCUCCUUAAGGAUGUAGAGUCCAGAGCAUUCCUCAGCAUUGCCAAUCGUCUUCCCCGAAUCCAAAUCCUGAAAUUCACAGUGAGUGGAGGAAAAAUUAGUAAUACACCUCUUUUCCUUAGUGAGUUUACUAAUUGACAAUAGAUUACAGUCCAAGUUAGGAACAAGGAGAACAGAGUUGAGAGUAAGAUCCCUUGAUAGCACAACUGAACCUGUUCCGGCAACCUUUGAUAGUGAACCAUCUACUAUUCGGACUGUUAAAUUAUUUGGACAUGAGCUAUAUGUAUCAAAAAUUGUCGCAUCUCCCGUCAUAUGAUCAGAUGCUCUUGAAUCCACGAUCCAAGGUUUUUUACGUUUCUUACCAGCAGUGAAGGCACUCAAAAAAUUACCUUUGUGAGCCAAGGUUCCGGAACCAAUGACCUGGUUGGAAGAUGAGCCAGUUUGUGACUGUACUGACAAAAGAGGAGACAGUAGUUUCUGAAGCAUCUCCAUUUGCUCCUUAUUAAAAGGGCUAGCUUCAGGUUGUGGCGAUUGUUCAUCGGUAGCCACAUGAUUGCCUCGUCCUUCUUUCUCAGGUGGUUGACGUGGCUUCCAAUCUACUGGCUUUCCAUGAAUCUUCCAACAAGUUUCUCUUGAGUGUCCCGGCUUUCUGCAAUGAUCACACCAAGGUCUACCUCCUUUAAUUUUUUGACGGUUGUCAAAAGGAGCGAAUUGAGUCUUAAGAGCCGAGCUUUCUGCCAUAUUCAAUUGUUGAUGGGAUCCCAUCAUGAGAUUUUUCCGACUUUCUUAGCAACGGACUUCAGAGAAUGCCUCUCUGAGGCUAGGUAGAGGUUUUACUCCCAUGAUUCUUCCUCUAAUUUCAUCAAGAUUUUUGUUCAAGCCUAACAAAAAUUUAAACACACGUUUCCCUUCGACAAUCUUUUUAUACAACAAACCAUCUGUAACACAAUUCCAGUUAUGAACCUCAAACGUAUCAAGUUGACGCUGAUUCGUCCCUAGCAGUGGAAGUGGCAAUGACACCAUUUGAUUCGAGGUUCGAUCCCCGGCAACGGCGCCAUUUGAUUCGUCCCUAGCAGCGGAAGUGGCAAUGGCACCAUCUGAUUCGGGGUUCGAUCCCCGGCAACGGCGCCAUUUGAUUCGUGCCUAAUUGGUGUCUCAGCUGAUUCGUGUCCAGCUGGUGCUCCUUGAUUGAGGGAUUAAUCAACAAAAUUUAUAACCUAUUACACCAUAUACUAGGGUAGCAAAGACAAAGCUACUAUAGCAUAGUGGCUCUAGGAUCGUUCACUAGGAUGGGUUUUCACUUCACAAAUGAUGUUAAUUCAAAGUUGAAUUGGUGCCUUUUCAUUUCAAGGUUAGCUUUAAAAGAAAACAUAAAGAUGCUUGAAUGAAAAAAAUUUGGUUUUAAACUAACCAAAAAUAGUAACUGAUUUUACUUAUAAAGAAAAGUGUUUCUUGGAGUUCAGAUCACUAGGCUCGUUCCUCAUACAAAAUGGAGAGUUCCGGUCACUUGUUUAUUUUCCUCGCAUUAGAGAAUUAACAUAUAGUUCCUUCUCCAACCGGUGUUGUACAGAUGCUUCCCAUUAAUGGGUUCAAACACUAAAUCUCUCUCACUGAUGCAUCUUGCAAUGGUUCAUGCCUCUCACGAGCACUUACCAUUCAAGAUGAUCUUUAACCUUGGAUUUCCCUUCUCAAACUCGCAAGAGAUAACUAAUGGAUGUCUCCUUGGAGUCCAAAAGCUUACCAAGUGUUGGCUAUUCUAGAAAAUCCUACCUACAAGUCACCUCCCAAAGGCUCGCAAGGGGUAAACUAGUGCAUUUCCAUGGUUGGAAAUCACUUGCCUUACCAAGUGUUAGCCCAGGUGACUCUAAGGUGUUUUAAGUUAACUAAAAACAUAGAAAUCACUAACGGGUUACACUUUCUCUUCAUUAAAAACUAAAACAACAAAACUUCCAAAUUAUGCAUGUGGAAACUUACCCGGCUUUCCUCACUCCAAGAGACAAAAAGCUUAGCCUCUCAUCCUCUGUGGAAAAAUCCUCAGAGUUUGGUUGGCUAGAAAAUGAAAAUGAAAGAGAAGACAAGAAUAUAUAUCAAAAACAGAGCAAGUGCUCUGUUCGUUGAUUCUAUAUAUUGGAUUACAUGAUAUAUCUGAUUACAUGCCCCUCUUACAGUGGAUGCAAGAGAGUUUAUAUAGGAAUGUUUUUCCAACCUUCCCAACUAAGAAAUCUUAUGGUUGGUGGAUUACAAGGAGAGGAAUGGAAAUUUAUACAAAAAUAUCUUAAGAAAAGAUCUAAAAGAGUCGGUGGCAAAUAUCGGGAAGCAUUAAGGACCAUUUCGCAGGUGAAAAUGGUGUCUGCGAGAUUUCGCAGACACUCAAGAGGGCUGCGAAAUAUUUUCGCAUCAACAAGCUGAACUCGCAGGACUGCGAAAUUGGCUUCCACCUUGAGGUUCUCAGAGUUCCAGCUUGUGGCAUGUAUCGGGUAGCUUCAGGAGGAAUUCCAUAGCACUGUACAAAAAGGCUGCGAAAUUCUCGCAACAAAAGGCUGAAUUCGCAACACUUUGGAGUGAUCUGCUUGCAAUGGCUGUAACUCCUUCGUUUCAACUCCAAAUCGUGCACCGUUUGAAGCAUUGGAUUCUUGACUUCCUGAGCUUUGAAAUGGUAUAUAGAAUAUAUAAAAUGGACUUCGUGAAGUGUUCCAAAAGUGCGCAAGAAGACUGCAGUUGGCUUUCCUCUGUUUUCUUCACUCUGUUUUCCUCUUCUCCUUGCUUCUCUCCUUGCAUACUUUGAACGACUUUGGCAAAGGGCUAUGGAGCUCCAAAGCUUGGUUCUUCAUGAAUUUGAGCUCUUCAUUGCUUUGCCAUGGAUUCCAAAUAACUCUCCUCAAUCUUGGAUUGUUUUGGUGAUCAAAUUACUAACAAAAACACCAAAACUUACACAAUUUGAUUAGAAAUGAUUGCAAGGGUCCUUAACAUGUUAAUUGAGUUAAAAGGCAAUAACUACUACUCAAAAGUGUUUAAAAGGAUUAAUUACAAGCUACAAAAUAGCACUUUUUGAGUAGUAAUCACUCCCCCCAACCGACAUAUUGCUAGUCCCUUAGCAAUGAAGGUGAUAAAAACUAAGUAAACUAUAAUAAUAUACAUAAAAUGGAUCAUGCAAAUCACUCCAAAAAAUGAUAUGAGUGGCAUGAUGGACAUCCAUGGAUCAAUAAAGAUGUGAAACUCAACCUAUAAUAAGAGUUGUCAAAGCAUUCACUUGAUCAUAGAGUACAAAGAAUGGAUAUUAUGCAGGUUUAAGCAUCAAAAGAAUUUCCACUCUCAAAAGAUCCAAAUCAAAUUCUUCCACUAAAAGCUAAGUGUUAAUGUGAUUAGCUUCCGAGUAUAGUAUGGAUAACUAUCAUCUCCCCCCAACCUAAGUCUUUCUUUAAGCUUAGCAAAAUUAACCAUCUCUUGAUAGGCUAGGAACGCACCUCUUAUUCACAAUUCUUUUCACUUACUAAACUUAACCAAUUCACCCAUGUAACAAGCAGAGGAUCGGUGACUCCCAACCAAUAAAGGCUUAGGGCACCAGGCUUUAAAGGCUUUCGCCACCCCUUCGGACCAUGCUCAGGUUUCAAGGCAAGUAAAGAAGUUUAUUCUUUUUUUUUUUUUUCUUUUUCUUUUUUCUUUUUUCUUUUUCUUUUUCUUUUUCUACAAAGACUCAUUGGUCUUUAUGAGGUGUCCCAACACUAUUAAAGAGAGGUUAAGGGUGUCAAAUUAUGAUUUCUCAAGCUUAGAGGGUGAGAUAGUUUCACAUCUUAUAACCGGAAUCUAAUGUAUGUGUGUGCGAAUAGCUUAAGGUGGAAGAGAUAAGUUUGCAUGCAAUGGGAGUUUCAACAAUUCAUCAACUUUUAGAAGAGCAUAAUACAAACUCUAAGACUCAUGUAAUCAAGUUGAAACUCGACUUCUCUCAUUUAAUUUUGAGAGUUAAUCCUUAAUAUCCAUGGAGUUUAAAGCAAAAAUUUUAAAAAUUAAGCAAAAAACAACUAAAUUACCAAAAUAACUUAGCAUUAUUAACAAUACUUACUUCCUCAACUCUCCCCCCAACCAAGCUGAACAUUGUCCUCAAUGUGACAAAAGCGAUUAAAAAAUAGGGAGGAAGUGGUACCUCCUUAGUGACAUGGAGUCUGAGUCGUAUAGGAGAAACCACAUGUUUCAAAGAAAACAUAAAAGAGUUAGUGAGUAGAGGAAAUAAAAAAAUGCCAAGUUUAAACAAAAAAUGAUGUCUAUGUAUGAUGCAUCAUCAGUAAUACAUCCAAUCCCAGAAUAUAAGACAUCAAAACAUGGAAUUAUCUAUACUAAUAUAAUAUGUAAAGACAAAAAGUAAAGAGAUGAUCAUGUAAUGGUAAGGUCCUGUGGAGCUGAUGUGUCUGUGGUGGCCUCUUGAAUGGGUUGGAUCAGGAUUUUGGCCUCUGUUCUGGUAGUCUCCUUAAGUGGCAUGGUCUCCUCAGCUGGAGCUCUCAGUUAGAGCUAUGAGCUUUGAUGGUUUAAGGAGGUCAGAAAUGGAGUGAGAGGCUUGGUGUGUGUGAUCUCAAGGUGUGCGGGGCUCUCCUCUUCAGAUGCAUGGUUGCAGAGCUCUAUUGGCAUUUUAGCAACUUCCCUUGGCUUUGCAAAGUGUUUUUGCAAAUCACCCUCCAUUUUGCAAGUCAAUUUCGCAAUUUGAAGGCCCUUUCUAAGCUUGGAGGUGAUUUCAUAGCCAUUUCGAAGCUUGGAGAUCAUUUCGCAGAAAAGUGGCAUGUUCACAGACCAUUUUUUAAGCUUGGAGCAUUUUCGCAGCUCAUAGGUGAUUUCGCAGCCAUAUCGAAGCUUGGAGAUCAUUUCAUAGCCAUUUCAAAGCUCAAAAGUGAUUUCGCAGGUGUAUCGCAGCUUCAAAAUGAGGGGAAUUGUGCUGCAAAUGGCACUCGUGUGCCAAAAAGUGGUUUCGCAGCUGCGAAACACCCUUCCAAAUGGCGUCUCGGCUGCGAAAUUCCCGUUUAGCUUUGCGCGCUUGUCUUCAAACGGCCAUAACUUCUUCAUUUCAAAUCCAAAUCGAGUACCGUUUGAAGCUAUGGACUCCUGACUUCUCAAGAUUUGAAACGAGAUAUCAUGUGCAUAAUUUGAGCUCCAGAAAGUGCUUCAAAAAUGUGUCCAACAGUAGCGAAAUUGAGGUGCGACAUUUCCGUUCAUAGUUUGCACAGUCAUCUUCAAAUGGCCAUAACUUUUCUGUUUCAAAUCCAAAUCAAGUACCGUUUGAAGCUGUGGACUCUUGACUUCCCAAGCUUUCAAAUGAGAUAUUGUAUGAAUAAUUUGAACUUCGGGAAGUGAUCGAAAUGUGUCCAACAAUUGCCAAAAUGGGGGUGCGGCUGUGAAAUUGGGAUUUUUCAUGUUUUGGAACUUCGCAGCCGUUUCGUAGCUGCGAAAUGAGGGUUACUGUGCUGCGAAAUGGCACUCGUGUACCAAAACCGGCUUCGCAAUUGCGAAAUACCCUGCGGAAUGGAGCUUUGGCUGCGAAAUUGAGAAUUUUCACGCUUUGGAGCUUCGCAGCCGUUUCGCAGCUGCGAAAUGAGGGUCACUGUGCUGCGGAAUGGCACUCGUGUGCCAAAAGUGCUUUCGCAGCCGCGAAAUCCUUUGCGAAAUGGGACUUUUGUUGCGAAAUCAGCCUUUUUCACUUCGCAAUGCGUUUCGCAGCUGCGAAACAUAUGCUCCUGUGCUGCGAAGUGGCACUCGUGUGCCAAAAUGGGUUUCGCAGCUGCGAAAAUUUUCGCAGAGACUUCUACAGUGUUGCGGAAUGGUUUGGCAACAAAAUGCCGAUUUCGCAGAGGCUGCGAAAUCUCGCAGACCCUUGUUUUUCCCCUGUUUUCGCUCCGUUUGACUCCGAUUUUGCUCUGAUUUUUUUUCUUCAAUUUCUUUGCAAUUCCUCUUGAUUUUGAUCAUUCAAAAACCUAUAUUACAUCAAAACAAAUUAGAAUUAAAGCAUUGAAAUCAAAAUUAAAGCAUUGAAAUCCAAAUUAAAACAUUGAAAUCAAAAUUAAAACAAGAAAUUAACAAAACAAAAAGAUAUGGACUAGCUAGUCUUUAAAAAGACUAAGUCCAUCAAAAAAUUUGCUCAUGAUUUAGCUUGCCCGGAUCCCAUAUGAAGCUUACAUCCCUCACUUGAGACUUGGUUUGUAUGAUUUUGCCAUACAAAGCUUGGAGAAAAGGUGGAGGCAUGCGUUUCAUCAUUUCUUCCUUGAUGACUAUCCUCUGUGGUUCUCUUUGUACAUUAAUAUCAUAGCCAUCAUUCUCUAUGCUUUCCCCCUUUUUCUUUCCUUUGAUUUCCUCCCUAUUUUCUUUCUCUGUUUCACUCUCUUCCUUAUGCUCUAGCUUGCAUGUGGGCAGAUCAACCUCUUUACCACUCCUCAGAGUGAUCACUUCUUCAAUUUCCUUCACCAUUGAAGAUUCUCCCUCUUGAGCCUCCACUUCAUGGAUGCCCUUGGAAUUUUGACAAGGUUGAGAAGGAGAGUUUUCUUUCUCUUGCACUAUGUUGAGGUUGGCAAGCCUUGAGAUUGAAUCUUGGAGAAUAUCUAACUUUUGAGAUAGAUCAUUUUGCAUUUCAUCCAUCCUUUUAUUCAAAGUACUCUCCACUCUAUCAAUUCUUUGAUCGACUCGAGCAUUGGUGGCUUCUUGCUUUUCAAUAAAAUCUCCCAUGACCUUGCAAAGAUUCACCAUAGCUUGUUCAAGGUUUGAGGCUUGCUGUGGUGCUUGAGCAGGUUGCUGAUACUGAGGUGGCUGUGGUUUCCAAGAGAAAUUUGGAUGGUCCCUCCAAUUGGAAUUGUAGGUGUUGCAAUCACCAAACAUUUCCCUCUCGGCUGGAAUGGUAGGACACUCAUCCACCAAGUGCUCAUAUGAUAGACAAAUGGCACAAGGCAUAGCUUGCAAUGAUGACUGAGAGAUGGCUUGCACUUGUUGCAUAUUCGUCAUUUCUAGCUUUUCCAAUCUCCUUUCCAUAGCUGCAAUCUCUGCCUUCAUGUUCAUACCAUCAUUCAAAAUAUACAUCUCACCCUUAGCUUUAGGUUGAGAUGUCAUUCUUCCCAUAUCUCUAGCAUUUGGUUCAUUCCAUCCUCUUGAGACUUCAGCCACAUAACUCAUGAAGUUCAUGGCUUCCUCUGCUAUGGUAUUCAAUAUGGCAUGCACAACUAGCAAUUUAUGAAUUAAAAACAGAGAACACAAAAGAAAAUAAAAGAAAAACAAUUCAAAGAAAGAAAAUUAAGGUAAACUAAAAACUAAAUAAAAGGUAUACUAAAAUAUGAACAAUAAAGAAAUAAAAAGAGUUAGUAAAAGGAAAAGAAAAGUCACCAAACUUGUGAUGAAGAUCACAAGUACUCUAGAAAGGUGAUAUCACUGUAAAGUGGCACCAUCCCCGGCAACGGCGCCAUUUGAUUCGUCCCUAGCAGUGGAAGUGGCAAUGGCACCAUUUGAUUCGAGGUUCGAUCCCCGGCAACGGCGCCAUUUGAUUCGUCCCUAGCAGCGGAAGUGGCAAUGGCACCAUCUGAUUCAGGGUUCGAUCCCCGGCAACGGCGCCAUUUGAUUCGUGCCUAAUUGGUGUCUCAGCUGAUUCGUGUCCAGCUGGUGCUCCUUGAUUGAGGGAUUAAUCAACAAAAUUUAUAACCUAUUACACCAUAUACUAGGGUAGCAAAGACAAAGCUACUAUAGCAUAGUGGCUCUAGGAUCGUUCACUAGGAUGGGUUUUCACUUCACAAAUGAUGUUAAUUCAAAGUUGAAUUGGUGCCUUUUCAUUUCAAGGUUAGCUUUAAAAGAAAACAUAAAGAUGCUUGAAUGAAAAAAAUUUGGUUUUAAACUAACCAAAAAUAGUAACUGAUUUUACUUAUAAAGAAAAGUGUUUCUUGGAGUUCAGAUCACUAGGCUCGUUCCUCAUACAAAAUGGAGAGUUCCGGUCACUUGUUUAUUUUCCUCGCAUUAGAGAAUUAACAUAUAGUUCCUUCUCCAACCGGUGUUGUACAGAUGCUUCCCAUUAAUGGGUUCAAACACUAAAUCUCUCUCACUGAUGCAUCUUGCAAUGGUUCAUGCCUCUCACGAGCACUUACCAUUCAAGAUGAUCUUUAACCUUGGAUUUCCCUUCUCAAACUCGCAAGAGAUAACUAAUGGAUGUCUCCUUGGAGUCCAAAAGCUUACCAAGUGUUGGCUAUUCUAGAAAAUCCUACCUACAAGUCACCUCCCAAAGGCUCGCAAGGGGUAAACUAGUGCAUUUCCAUGGUUGGAAAUCACUUGCCUUACCAAGUGUUAGCCCAGGUGACUCUAAGGUGUUUUAAGUUAACUAAAAACAUAGAAAUCACUAACGGGUUACACUUUCUCUUCAUUAAAAACUAAAACAACAAAACUUCCAAAUUAUGCAUGUGGAAACUUACCCGGCUUUCCUCACUCCAAGAGACAAAAAGCUUAGCCUCUCAUCCUCUGUGGAAAAAUCCUCAGAGUUUGGUUGGCUAGAAAAUGAAAAUGAAAGAGAAGACAAGAAUAUAUAUCAAAAACAGAGCAAGUGCUCUGUUCGUUGAUUCUAUAUAUUGGAUUACAUUAUAUAUCUGAUUACAUGCCCCUCUUACAGUGGAUGCAAGAGAGUUUAUAUAGGAAUGUUUUUCCAACCUUCCCAACUAAGAAAUCUUAUGGUUGGUGGAUUACAAGGAGAGGAAUGGAAAUUUAUACAAAAAUAUCUUAAGAAAAGAUCUAAAAGAGUCGGUGGCAAAUAUCGGGAAGCAUUAAGGACCAUUUCGCAGGUGAAAAUGGUGUCUGCGAGAUUUCGCAGACACUCAAGAGGGCUGCGAAAUAUUUUCGCAUCAACAAGCUGAACUCGCAGGGCUGCGAAAUUGGCUUCCACCUUGAGGUUCUCAGAGUUCCAGCUUGUGGCAUGUAUCGGGUAGCUUCAGGAGGAAUUCCAUAGCACUGUACAAAAAGGCUACGAAAUUCUCGCAACAAAAGGCUGAUUUCGCAACACUUUGGAGUGAUCUGCUUGCAAUGGCUGUAACUCCUUCGUUUCAACUCCAAAUCGUGCACCGUUUGAAGCAUUGGAUUCUUGACUUCCUGAGCUUUGAAAUGUUAUAUAGAAUAUAGAAAAUGGACUUCGGUAAGUGUUCCAAAAGUGCGCAAGAAGACUGUAGCUGGCUUUCCUCUGUUUUCUUCACUCUGUUUUCCUCUUCUCCUUGCUUCUCUCCUUGCAUACUUUGAACGACUUUGGCAAAGGGCUAUGGAGCUCCAAAGCUUGGUUAUUCAUGAAUUUGAGCUCUUCAUUGCUUUGCCAUGGAUUCCAAAUAACUCUCCUCAAUCUUGGAUUGUUUUGGUAAUCAAAUUACUAACAAAAACACCAAAACUUACACAAUUUGAUUAGAAAUGAUUGCAAGGGUCCUUAACAUGUUAAUUGAGUUAAAAGGCAAUAACUACUACUCAAAAGUGUUUAAAAGGAUUAAUUACAAGCUACAAAAUAGCACUUUUUGAGUAGUAAUCAGACGCCAUAGACGAGUAAGAGUAUUGAAAUAUUCAGUUAACGUAAGGUUUCCUUGACGCAAAUCGUGGAGGAUGCCUUCAAUCUGGAUGAUUUCAGAUGUGUUUUCCUUGUCUGAGAAAGUUUCUUUUGCAGUGUCCCAGAUUUCUUUGGCAGUAUCAAAUGAUAGAAAAUUUUCACCAAUAUCAGUGGUCAUAGAGUUGACUAGCCAGGACAUGACCAUAUUAUUUUCUGCUAUCCACUUUUUGUAGGUUGAUGCUGUGGUUUUUGGUGCCACCGAAGCUCCGGUGAUGUAGUCAUCUUUCUCCUUUCCCUGUAUAAACAUUAAUAUGGACUGAGACCAUUGCAAAUAAUUUUGCUCAUUCAGUUUAUGGGCUGUGAUUGGAAGAUGAGAGGUUUCCAUCUGAUGAGAGGAUGAAGACGAUGAGAUGAUGAUAUCAGAAGUAGAGGAUGAUGAGUUGGUAGCCAUUCCAAAGGCUGGACCGUAUUUAGGCAUAAACUAGAAGAAUAGAAUUGAGUAGGAAAAAAAAAUACUGACUAAAGAUGAAGACGAUGAGACAGGAUUAAACCUGCUCUGAUACCAUGAAGAAUUUGAAGACAAACUAUGGAGGAACACAGACUCAAUUCAUUCUGUGAUUCUUUUUUUUUUUUUUUACAAUGAAAGAAAGCAUAAAUAAAUAGCCUACAGAUAUGAGAUAAUUCCGAAAUGGUACACUAUCACCGGACGGAAUUUCCCUUACAUGGAAAGUGUUACAUGGAAAGUGAAUAAACUACCUUGCUAGAAUUACUCCUAAAUCAAUUAUAAUAAAGGAUGUACAUUACACUAAUUCAGGGAAGUAAACAGAGGAUGCUAAAUAUGGGGAGGAGCAUGCACAGGCAGGAAGGCGACGUGGGCUUGAUUUCCAACACUCCUCUCUCCAUGGUGUCGCCGGUGGUGGGAGCUUCCUCUAAGGAUGAUAUCCAGGCGGAGAGGCAAGCUAUGAAGGAGAUGAAGUCUUGGGCUUGAGAAGAAGCCCAACCCAAGCAUGUUGAUGGAGCCAUGCCAUCUCAAAUAAGUGGGAUGUGAGGGGAAAUGAUGCCUUGGGCUUGCCCAUGGUGGGAAUGGAUUUGGGCUUAAGUUGAGGCACCAGGCCCAAGCUAUGAUGAUGAUGGUGCCUUGGGAAGAGAAUGUGUGAAGAAGAACCCAGCAUUUUGGACAAAUCCCUCAUCAUUAUCAAAAUCUGAGCCAAUCGCCAUGAAUCAAUGGAAAAAAAAUGCUUUAAAUCAACAGCAAAGACAUACCUUCUUGUCUACGUAGUCCGCCCAGAACCUGGCCUGAGCUCUCUGGUAUGGGUCACUAGGCAAAAGCGGAGAUUUAUCGUGCCAAACCUCAUCAAUAUACUGAACUAUUAUCAGAGACUCACAAAUGGGCUUUCCAUUGUGGAUCAGAACCGGGAUUUUCUUAUGAACUGGAUUCAUCUCAAGAAGCAGAGGGCUCUUAUUCCUAAGGUCCUCCUCUUUAUAUUCAUACUUGAGGCCCUUCUCUGCCAGGGCAAGUCUGACCCUAAUACCAAACAUGCUAGGCCAAAAAUCCAACAAGAUAAUCUCGUCUGUCAUUGCUCCUACUGUGAUCAAGUAUUGAUGAACAACCCAAGGGAUAUUGUCAAGUAUUUAUAGCAAAUCUCAGAGAGUGAGUCAAAACCUUGGACAUUUCUAGGAGGUGGUGAUGGCGUGAUGCUCAUUCCUUAUCUCAGCAUACACUUUCCUUCCAUAUUAUAUCCUUAUCUCGGUUUUCUUUCUCUCUCCAGAAUUCCAAAAUUUUAAGUUUUUCUAUAUUUUUUUAUCAGUCUAGAAUUUUUUUUUAUCAAAUCUCAGUUUAAUGUAUUCACUUUUUUUAUUAAAAAAAAUUAAAAAUGUCAGUUGAGAUAUUCUUAUAUUUUUAUCAUUUGUACAAAAAUAAUUUAAUUUUAAAAUUAAUAUCAUAUUUAAAUCCAAAAAUAUUAUCAGAUAGAAAGCAAUUUAGCGUUUUUUUAUAUAUAUAAUAUCUGCAUUCAAAAAAAAAAAAUCAGCACAUUUAUUUAUUUUUAAAAACUUAUUAAAUUUUAAUUUUACUAGUAAAUAAUAGAAAUUAAAAUAAUGAACUUGUGCCAUAAGUUUGUGAGAGAAGUAAACUUUGGUUAUGGAGCAUCCAAUGCUCUGGUUGCUUCCACGAGAGGUCAUUGCUGUCGUCAGCCCUGGUCAACUAAGUACACUUGUCCACUCCAUGAAAUAUAUUUAUGUUAUUUUUUAUUUUAAAUUUUUGGUAGGAGAACUCUUCGCUAUGAGAAAAAAACACACUCUCAAAUGUGGGAGAUUGUCAUAAAAAAAAAAUUAAUAAUAAAUAAUAAUAAAUACGGGGUGAUCUCACCACUUACAUAUCUCCUCCGUCAUAAAACCAGAAUCAUUGAAUAUGGUUCUAGUUUACUAUGGUUCUAGCUUUAUGGCUUGAUUAAAAUUUACAAUUUUUUGUUUGUAUUAAAAUAAAAUAGAUAUAUAUUUUUUCAUAAAAAAAUCAUAUUAAAUAUUUUAUUUUAAUUUUAAAAUAUUUUUAUAGUUCUUUGCUCUUAAUAGAUAAAGACAAAAGAUUUAUACUCUAUUUAGUAAUUAUUUUUUGAAAUAAUUUUCUGUUUUUGAAAACCAAAAAAGAAAAAAAAAAAACAAGAAAACAAGAAAACAAAUUUGACAAUUUUAAAAAAAAAAAAUUGAUCUUAAAAGCAAAAAUAUGGUAUUUUUGAAAACAUAUUUUAUUGGUUUUCACUUGAUUUUUUUAUGGUUAUUUAAAAAGUAAACAUGCAACAUAAAGAGUGAUUAAAAAUAAAACAUUACACAUAAAAUUUAUUAUUAAAAUAUAUUUAAAAAUAUAGAAAACAACUUAAAAAUAUUUCUAUUCCAAAACAAAUUUUUUGUCUAUAAAAUAUCAAAAAAGAAAUUUCAAAAACUAUUUUUAAAAAUUUAUUUUUCAGAAUUGUUUUAAAAAUAAGUACACCAUAUAUAUAUAUAUAUAUAUAUAUAUAUAUUAUGUAUGUGACUCAUUUGCUCUAAUUGGACAUGAUCUUCCAUUUUUGUAGGCCUAGGCUGACAUAAAGGGCUUUCACUUUUUUUAUGGGCUUGAGGCUUUCACAUAUCCCAUUCUACAUCCUAGAACCCUACGUACAUCAAUUGAAAAAAUAGAUACGUCGUAUUAAAAAAUAAGCACAUCUUAAAAAAUAAGUACAUCUAUACUUGACUCAUUUGUCCUAUUUUGGACAUGAGCUUUCAUUUUUAUAACUGACUCAUUUGGCCAAUUUUUUGAGGUCUUUGCAUAUCCCAUUUUGCAUAGAAGAACUUUGGGUAUAUCCUUCAGAAAAAAUAAAUACAUCAUAUUGUAAAAAUAAGUACAUUCCCUUAAAAAAUAAUUGGUACAUAUUAUUUUCAUUGUAUAGGUGACUUGUUUGGCUUAUUCUUGUUUGGCAUGUCUUAUCCAACUUGUUUUAAUACUUGUUUAUGUGACAUGAAACGAUGGAAUGGACUAGAAUCUCCCCUGUGACAUUUAGUCAACUUCAAAUAUCUUAGUAACUCUAGUUAGAAUUGUUGAUUAGGUCAUCUAUUUGAACUUUUAUGCACCCUAAUAUCUUGUGAAACACCCUCUAGGCUCUAUUAUAUGGUAGAUAGCUUUAGAAAAUGUCCCUUUUCUUUUUCAUAUGUAAAUUUUUGUCCUCAUCUGGAACCUCCUACAAACCCUUUCCAAUCCUUUACCACUUGGGCAAGCCUCAAGUGGUACCAUUAAAGUGAUAAGCUUUAGAAGAUGUUCUUAUCACUCUUUACUUCAAUUUUUCCUAGGUUUUUGCCAUAUCUAAGGAUGAAGCAACCAAAAUCCCUAAAACUUUUAAAAUUAGCUAGGCUUCUUUUAUUGUAAAGAGUUUGAGUAGCAUCAAUUUUAUAGUAAAUCUAUUAAUUAUGUAAUAAGUUGUAUUAACUUCCUCUACUCAAAACUGUUAAACUAAGCCAUUUCCAUUAAGCAUCUGGAUGCCAUAUGUUGAAGAGUUAUACUUUCUCUUUGUAAAUCUAUUUUGUUAUUAGUUUCUUGUAGGUUUUUAAAGGCAUAUGUACAUUAGAAGUUACUCAUUCAUUCAAUCCGUCCAUCUCCAAAGAACAUGAUGCUUCCUUCAUAUUCAAGAAGGCUUGUAAAUUUUGUUUCAUCACUGUGUUAAGCAACUAUGAUAAAUAAAUAAAUAAAAAACAGUAUGAGUUUUCUUCUAUUACCCAAAUUCUAUGAAAUUAUUUAGAAGCUCUUUUUGGGGUAAUUCAAUUUUCUGCUUUGUUCAAGGGGCUUUUUAUUUUCUUUCAUUUUAUUUUGAAAAUCAUUAGGUUUUCUUUUCUUGAUUCCCUUUUCCACUGUCCUGUUAAUCUGCAUUGAUAUUAUUUAUCUUAAUUAAAUUAGCAUCACAAAAAAUACUUUUAUUUACGUACGAUCUUUAUUAGAGAAUAUGAUAUAUAUUAUGAGUCCAAAUCUUAAUGAUACAAGCUUUUAGAAAAAUUGGUUUUGUCAAUAAGAUAUUAAAAUGUCAUUUAGUGAAAGAUCAUGAGUUUGAAUAUGUUUAUUUCUCUAAUUAAGCUUUUAAUUUUUUUUUUAAUAUAUAGGUUUAUGAGUUUGUUUUAAUACUUGUUUAUGUGACAUGAAACGAUGGAAUGGUAGUUAAAAACUCUUUUAUUUCUUUAAUACAAGAACACAGCUCAGCAAACCCACCAACCCUCAGAAAGGGAUUUCAACCGGAAAGAUUAACGAUACAAUUUCAAAGAAAAAACUUAAGCAAACAGCCAAACACUCAUAUAUAUUAUCUAAUAUUAACUAAACAACACUACUCAAUAGCCCAUGAUGUUUCCCUUUUACUCUAUACCAAGCUUCUUUCUUAUCCUCACAACAAAUCCAUGUGCCCCUUCUACUCUAUACCAAACCUCUUUCUCAUCCCCAUGAUAAAGCCAUGGACCUUGUGUGGGUCUUCCAGAGAAGACGACACGCUCUCCUUUUCCAUGCACCUCUUGGUCCAAGCUACCAACUUGGGGCACUCCGCCUCUAUGCUGAAGUUGCCAAAGGUCUCGUAUGCAUAAAACCAGCAAGAGAAGGUCACCAGGGCCACAUCCACAAACCCAAUUUUUUCACCCCCGAAGUAAGGCUUCUCUCCAAGCUCUCCUUCCAAAAGCUUGAGGCACUCUAUGAAUUCCUUCUUGCCUGUUUCCUGCUCUUCUCCUUUGGUUGACCAUAUCUUCCCUCCAAGUUCAUAGAGCUGUGGAAAACAAUAAAGUCAAAAGAGAGAAAAGGGUUAUUUUUUUGGAGCAUUUCAUCAAGUUUCAACUUUCCGUAUAGUUGGACAAGUUUAUUAAGGACCCUUCAGCAUAGAAAUCUCANNNNNNNNNNNNNNNNNNNNNNNNNNNNNNNNNNNNNNNNNNNNNNNNNNNNNNNNNNNNNNNNNNNNNNNNNNNNNNNNNNNNNNNNNNNNNNNNNNNNAAAAAAAAAAAAACAAAAAACAAAAAACAAAAAAACAAAAGAAAAUGCUUUAAAUCAACAGCAAAGACAUACCUUCUUGUCUACGUAGUCCGCCCAGAACCUGGCCUGAGCUCUCUGGUAUGGGUCACUAGGCAACAAUGGAGAUUUAUCCUUCCAAACCUCAUCAAUAUACUGAACUAUUAUCAGAGACUCACAAAUGGGCUUUCCAUUGUGGAUCAGAACCGGGAUUUUCUUAUGAACUGGGUUCAUCUCAAGCAGCAGAGGGCUCUUGUUCCUCAAGUCCUCCUGUCUAUAUUCAUACUUGAGGCCCUUCUCUGCCAGGGCAAGUCUGACCCUCAUACCAAACAUGCUAGGCCAGAAAUCCAACAAGAUAAUCUCGUCUGCCAUUGCUACUACUGUGAUCGAUAAGAUUCAAACUCAGUUAUUCAAGUAUUGAUGAACAACACAAGGGAAAUUGUCAGGUAUUUAUAGCAAAUCCCAGGGAGUGGGUUAAAACCUUGGAACUUCUAGGAGGUGGUGGUGCUCAUUGCUUAUCUCAGCAUUCAUUUUCCUUCCAUAUUAUGUUCUCAUCUCAGUUUCGUUUCUCACUCCAGAAUUCCCAUAUGUAUUUUUUUAUUAAAUAUAAUGCUUCCAGAGAGGUCAUUGCUUUGAUCAUUCCACGUCGUUGCUGUCGUCAGCCCAAGUCCAUUAAGUACACUGGUCCAUUCUUGCAUCCUUUUGGGCGGACAAGUCAAACUAUUUUAAACUUUGUGUUUAUUAUAACUCCUUAAAAUUUCUGUGAUGUUUGUAUUUUUAUCUAAGCUCUAAACUUGUUUUUAAAUUCCAAAUCUACUUUAUUUUUACGUAUGAAAAAUAUCUAUAAAAUUAAUUAUUUUAUUUCUUUUUAAAUUAAUUUGCAAUCUAAUAUAUUUUUUUAAACAUUUAAUUAUUAUAAUUUAUCAACAUAAUAAAAUUUUUAUAACAAUUAAUUAUAUAAUCAAUAAAAAAAAUAGUAAUAGGAUAGUAAGUACAAUUUCUAAUUAUAUGUUUAAAAAAUUUUUAAACAUCUUGAAAGUUGUGUGGUUUGAUGACAGUCAAAUACUUGUAAGUGUUUGUAUAAUAUUAAUAAGCAGUUGAUAUGGCUUAAUUUUCUUACAUCAUUAUAUUAUAGCUUCCUAUUAGCGCUNNNNNNNNNNNNNNNNNNNNNNNNNNNNNNNNNNNNNNNNNNNNNNNNNNNNNNNNNNNNNNNNNNNNNNNNNNNNNNNNNNNNNNNNNNNNNNNNNNNNGAAUCUUGUUUGACCUAAACUUCACCACCACAUCCAGGCAGCUUGCUUGGGCUGAGAUUUGGUGCAGGGAUGGGAGCCGAAGUGCUCCUGGAGAUGCAUCUGCAUAGACUGUCUUAUUUAGCUGUGAAUUUGUAAUAUGUAACUCUACUGGCAGCAAAGAUAAACAAUAAUGAUGAUGAUAACAAUGAUAUAAGGAAAAGGGUUCAAACUUCAACUCCCCCUCCAAACACUAAUCCCAUAAAUAUUACUAUACUCAGAUGGUUACAACUUAUUUUCGACACAAUAACAAAAUUAACUGAAAUAAAAUUAUUCUGGGACAUAUUCCUAAAUAAUAGAAAACGUUUACUUCUAGACUUCUUAGUUGAAAGCAAUACAAAAACCCAAAAACAACAAAUCAAUCUUUCAUGUUCUUAACAGUUACUGUUCAAACACUUUUUGUGAUCAAUAAAAUAACAAAAAACAAACAAAAAACAAAUAUGGAAAAUAAAAUAACUGAUUCUACAUCUCCACUGGUUUUAGCUACUAGUCAAACACCUUCUGGACUUGGUUCUGGUUGACAUUGGCAUGUUCCAUUGAGAAAACAGAGUCAGGAACCAGGAAUUUUAAUGCUUACAUCUUCUCAAUUAUAAAACAUGGUGAGUGAAUGAAAGUGAUGUGUCCUGGGCUUGUUCUGAGGGGUAGAUGGUUUGUGAUUAUCACACAGGGACCUUGUUUUAAAUUUGUGACUUAGAGUUUGGUUAUUUGCUAAUAUUUACUUGUGGGGUUGAAGCAAGGAGAAGGUUUGUGCAAAAAUAGGAUUAUCUUCAGUGAUUUUUAUGGGGCUCCAUACUAAUGGAUGGACCUUUUAAUGGACACCUGCACAUGUUCUUUGUUUCAAGAUUGUCAAUGAGAGCUAGCACAUACAUCAUGAAUAUUUAGCAUGGACAAGGUAUCCCUAUAGUAGUAAAGAGCAUACAAUCAAUGCUUGAAAUGUCCAGAUCACGUGCCUAAAAGGAUGGGGCUUACUUGUUGAAUAGGCAGAACUACAAAAAAUCAUGGUCUGAUAAAGAGUUAAGACUGAAUUCAUGAUAGUUGACACUGUUAACGAAAGCAAUAUUUCUAGCAGUCAUUGAUCAGUCAUGACAGUAAAGAUUGCACUAAUAAACUCACACAUUGUUUACAAGGGAACACCUACCUGGGGACAUACCACUUGGAGAGAUAAAACAGCUAGAGUAUGAAAUUUAAACCACACAAAUCCCAAGGUAACAUUUUUUUGACAAACCAUAUGUAUUUUUAAACAAGGAAAAAGGCAAAAUAUUCUACAAAAUUUCCUGCACAAACAAUGGGAAGGGGGCUCCAAAAUGAGUCAAAAAGAUGGUUUUAAUUUCACCAUACACACAUAAAGCAGUUUGUACUUGGCUUGAUACUCAACCUAUAAAAUAAGAUAUAUUUUUUUUAGUCUUCUCUUUUGGAGAAUAUUAAAAAUAGACAGAAAGAUUCAGAUGAAUUAGAUGUCUUCUGCUCCAAGCGUCCAACUAUCUUGGACUUGUUCAACUCUGGAUUCUGUUUCUUUUAUGGAACUCGGUUUCCUCAGAAAGAGGACACUGGGAAAAGACAAGCAAUUAAGAAAUGCAGUAUAUAUCAGAAAAUAUCCAAAGGCAACUGAUAUUAUAUUGUUGUUUUUCAGUAAAUAUCAUUUGUCAACCAAGAAAUGCACCAUCAGUGUAGUGCUACCAGUGCAACCAAGAGGACUGAACUGACACUUAGAUAAGAUUAUCGGAUUAAAUCAAAGAAUAAGCCUAUAUUAAGGUUAAGCAAAACCAUAUCCAAAAUGAGAUUUCAAAAUUUUAUUCCAAGGGCAGAUCGUACAACCGUUCUACUUCCAGAAACACAAACUAAAAGAACAUUAUAGAAUUCAGCAUAUAUGUGGAAUUCAAAAUCAAAUCCAACUUCUUAUAAUAAAAUAAAAUCAGCUAUUGAACAUAAAAAUUUGCAACAGAACAUUAUACCAUAAUAAUAUCAGAAACCAAAUAUUAUCUUUGUUGGCCUUCAACAAUUUGAAACUUUUCCCCAUUCUUAUUUGCAUGAUUUCUAAAACCCACAAUGAUUGGUUUUAUUUUGAAUGUAUUUUACUUAGUUUUAAAGCUGAAGGUAUGUUUUAUUCAUCAUUGGUGUGUUUAAGUGCAAGUGAAGUUCCAAGUUGGUCACUUGUCUUCUUCAUCUUCAAUAUUUGCUUUACAGCAUCUUAUUAGUUUCAUCCUCACCUCUUGCUACCAGAGAUGAAAAAUAAGAUACAAAGGCAUGCCUUACCUCUUGCCUUCAAAAUUACUCAUGUCUCUGUUCCCUCAGGAAGAGCCACCAUCAUCUCAAUCUCUCGUCCAGGCCAUGCCUAUGAAAAAAUGUGAAACUGUAAAAAGAAUUCCAUAAGAUGAAUUUUUAAGGCACAAAAUUUGGAGCUGUUAGUGUAAAGAAUCUAACCAUUGUCACAAACAUGGAAUAAUUCAUUCAAUCAAACACCAGCUUCAACAACUAUGCAUACCUUAGAGUGUAACUACUGAAAACGGAAUGGUAAAAUUAAAAUUUCUGCCCAAACAAAACUAGGGGAAAGAGUAAUAAAAACCAGUUCAAACUUCCAUGACAAACAUAUUGAAGAACAACUAAUAGAUCAAUUUCAUAAUUCUUUGAUCAAUUUGAGCAUUAAGAAUCAGGAGCAACUUAACAAUAUGAAAAGGUCAUAACACACUCAGUUACAAAUAACACCCAGAUAGAAUUUUGGAAAACCAAAUACAAUAUGUAAAAAAGGUUAGAUCAAAUGUCUGCAAUAGCUGGACAUCAAAUCAUACAAAGAUUUAGAUCAGAUAUUUGGAUCAUUGCAGGUAGCACAAUUCCGACUGGCCCCGUUGCAAUGAGAGCAAUGUACAAUUAUCUGUUCUCUAAAUUUGGCCUGAUUCGUUGCCGUCGAGGUCUUCCAAGACAACGUUUUGUAACAGGAGGAUCAAGAGAAACAUGCACAUAACCAUUUGGAUCAUGCACAUUUCCAUUUGAAUGAACUGUUGGCAGAUUCUGAAACUCAAGUGGAUGCAAAGUGCCAGAAUAAACCAUUUCCUGCUUGAACAAAUGAUACCAAUCAUCAACAAAUUCAUAAAUAUCUUGGUUCAUCUUCUGUAUCAUUGCGCAUGCAUGCUCACAUGGGAUGCCCGACAUCUGCCAAGCCAAACAAGUGCAAGUAUGCUGCCUCAAGUCAACACUUAUCUUUGCCUUCCCAUCUGAAAAUGUUUCGCUUUUGGCAAUGUUAUGCAAGAGUUUAUCCUCAGUUUUUGGGCCAAUGGAUCUUUCCCAACUCUGCAUUGUGGUUUUAUGCUCAACUAACAAAGAGGCUAGCAUAUCCAUGUGCUUCUCAAUGAAACUAAAUAUUGUGUGAUGUUGUUCUUCUUUGACCCAAGCACUAAAUGACCCAAAGAUAUUAGUAUUCAUUUUGUCCCAACGCUUUUUAGGGAACUUUGACAUCGCCCAGUGUUCAGGAUUGUUAUCUUCAACCCAUUUGGCCAAGUUAGCAUCAAAUCUCCUUAAGUUCUCCAUUGCACUGUUGUAACCAAUUUCUAACCUUGCAUAUGCAACAGCAUCAAGUAGUUUAAGAGCGUUAUCUUUACCUUCCCUUCCCAUCAUCAACUGGUGGCUAAAGUCCUCCUUUAGAUGACAAUAACAAUAUGCAUGGUUUUCAACUCCAAAAACCUCUGCAACACUACGAAUAAUCGCAUGAUGCCUUCCAGAAAUGAUGACCACCUCCAUUUCACCAACUAACUGCUUUAGCCUCUGUAAGAACCAAAACCAGUUAUAAUAAUUUUCCGAACUCACAAUGGCAUAUGCUAAUGGAAACAUGUCAUCAUCAGCAUCAUAUGCCAAGGCUGAAAACAAAGCACCUUUGUGUGGCCCACUCAAGUUGGAUGAGUUAAUGGAUAUGAUAGGUCGGCAUCCCAUUAAAAACCCAUGCACAAAAUCCAUGUGCAAUGAACAAUUGCAUGAAAUUACCUUCGUCUGAGGAAGUCCAUUCAGCAAUUGUCCCAGAAUUAGUUUCCAUUAACUGCUUACAUAACCAGGGCAGCAACUUAUAUGAAUUGUGUAGAAGACCAAAUAUUCUCUCCUUCGCCUUCUCUUUACAUUUCCAAGCUUGAUUGUAGGUCAAUUUCACUCCAUGCUGCCUUUCAAAAUCUUCACAGAUUUGACGGGGCAGGUAAUCAGGGUUAGCCCUUAUCAUAUCAUCAAUUAGAAGAGCCGCUUUAUUUGGUCGUAAUGCAGGCACUGAUGAAGACUCCUCCUGUGCAGAAUGAUUAUGUUAGUUUUCAAAUGUGUGCACUCUCACAAUUUUGGUAGCCCCAACACCACGAGCAGUUAUCUUCCAAGGACAUCCACCAGCUGUGCAACAUGCAGUCAUGUGCUUUAAAGAAUUCCUCUUGAACUUGUAGUUGAAUCGUCCAGCUAAGGAGGUAAGGUAUAGUGCAUUCCGGAAUUCAUCAGCAUUUGUAAAAAUUUCCCACUACCUGAUAUAGCCUUUCCAAGAGUACUUGAAACUGGAGGAAUUGCUUCUAACUCUAUGCAUCUUGAUGCAACUUCAUGUCUCUGAAUGAUGUUAUCAUCAUUUACACCUUGAGAUGAUGAUGAUGGCGAUGAAAAAUGAUUGUUGUCCACAUUAACACUGCACGAUUAACAUAUUCAUGUAAAGUUAGAAUAAAAAAGGAGGAUAAAAUUUAAUCAUGCUGAUAAGCAAGAUAAUAUGCAGGUGUGACUUACAAAGUGCUUUGUUCAUCUAUUACUCCUUGCUUUACUCCUCCAUUAUGAGCUUCAAAUGCAUAGACUCUUGAGAAACCGUCAUUGAAGAGGACCAUGCUAUAUAUGUCAUCAUCAUCAUCCAAUGGCUGGAGUAAAGAUUUAUCAAACUUCAAGGUGCACUUAAAUGACAGACUAGAUGGGUCAAUUUGGACUUUCUUACUUGCUUUAAAAACAAAUUCAGCAUGUGAGAUUCCUUGAUUAAUACAUAUGCCAUUAGUACAUCCACCUUUAUAAUUGAUGGACCCAUUGUCAGCCUUUAUGAUCUCCCCUCCAAAAUAAAGAUAGCAAUAUAUUGAUAUUACUUUCCAUUUACCUACUAUAAAAUAAUGCAACCAAUCCAUUAGUAUGUGCUAUACUUGUUCAAGCCUUCAAGGUAAAAACUACACUUAAUUUUGGUUCCAACGGUGAAAACUAAGUUCAAAUCAUGUAUAUAAGAAGGUUUAAAACAACACAACAUCCCAAAAAGUCUAAUAUAUGAUAACACUACACCCCAUAAUUUAUACCUUGUGCCUUUUUAGGAACUAAAGUUCCCUAGAAUUGAGGUAAGACGGUACGAAAAUCAAUUGGAAAUGAAAGCAAAGAGAUAGCAUAGAAUUUAAGAGUAGCAUAAAUCAUAAGUAAAUAUUAUUUAUAAUUUUGUUUUUUUUUCGAUAACUGAGGAACCUUCUAUGGCCAAGCCCUUAAGACUCUCCAUGGGGACCCAAACCUUGGGGUGUUGACCACACUCUAACAACCAGCACCAAGUAAAUCAAGGUAUCAUCAGUAGCAAGAUUCAGGGACCACACCUCCCAACAUUCGCCCUGACCAACUGGGCUACUCUGGCAGACUAAAUAUUAUUCAUAAUUUAAAAAGGAAAAAAGAAUCCGAAAGAGAAAACAGUACAAAGUGCCUAUUCUGAUUUGAAGCAGAGAAAAAAAAUGGAAGUUUGACCUUUUUGUUUUCUUAAGAUGUAUAAUAGCGGUUUGACUUCUAAUUCAAAAGUGUUACAAUAGUUAAGAAAGCCUUAAAAUUGCUAAUUGAAGUAGGUUCAUUAUUGUUAUUCAUUUCAAUACAAACAAAAGGUGGUUAAAGGGAUAUUGUAACCAAGUUUUGAACAAGAUAAGAACAAAAGUAAAAUUGUCAUUCUGAAACCAGCCUAGUUUCAACACAGCCAUAUUCCUGCUCUGGUUCACUCUAAUAAAUAAAAUUUCUUGUACAAUGGAACCACAUCUCAUGAGCUAGGGAACAUCUGGUUUGAAGGAAAGAGCUGCAAAUGCUACUUGGUCAUAGCUCUAUUUUAACUAGGUAUCCCUAUUUUUGACUAAUAUAAGGGAUAAAGUAAAAGAGCAUGCACAUGUGGACAAGCGCACACACACAGAGACAGAAAUUUAUAGGAAACUGCAUCAAUUCUACUAGAUUAUUCAUAUUUGAAGAAGGGGAAUGAAGUGUGGUACCAAAGCAAUUCAAUAUGUAAAAGUUUCACAUAUUUCAAUCACAAAAAUAUUUCUACUUCAAUGCAAUUUUUAAGAUGCUAAUAAACUUUCAGAAACCUUAGCAAGUAAUUUGCCAGGCCAAAAGAAGUAAUGAAUUGCAUUUACAUCCAUAUAAUAACAAAACAUCUAAAAAUCAAAGCAACAUCCUAUCUCCAUACAAACUCAUCCAGCUUGUAAUAGCAAUGACGAAGGAAGUUAAAGGAAUUAAAUCAAAUUUAUUAAUUCCGUUGAGAACAUAUAACAAAUGCAUGAGAGAGAGAGAGAGAGUAAAAAAACUUAUUUAAUAAAUGAAACUUUUUAAGGCCAUUAUUUAUUUUUCCCUGAGUAAACAAAAAUUUAGUAGCAUAAAUCAUGGACGGAUGCAUAUGUAUCUAUGUGUAUACAACCAUCAACUAAUAUUUAUCACUUAUCAGCACAAACAAUAAAAAUCUAGAACCAUGAUUCAUACACUCAAAACCCCAAAUCUGCAGGGGAAAAUGAUAGCAAAGCCUGCCAACUUUGUCUCCGGAUGAAACUCCUGAUAGAUUGCAACUUUUAGCAUACAUCUGUAUGAAGGCCCAAAAGAAAUAAUAUAAAAUCGAGUCCAUCGAUAAGGUAACAUGUCACAUAUGAAUCAAUCCCUUGAAAGUUAUACAUGGGACAAAUUUCAAAAUUCAUUCAUUUCUUGUAGCUACAAUUUGAACAAAAACUCGGGUUUCAUCUACUUGAUUCAGUAAAUACAACAAUAUUUAUAUCUCACAUGGGUCAAUGCAGUUUAAAACAUAUUUCUUAACCAUUAAAUUGCUUUGGGGUUCUGUUAUACAUACUUCAACAAAACUUUGUCUUAAAAAAUUUCUAACUCGUACUUUGUACACAGAAUAUAUGGUUACUUCAUUCUUUAUAUAGCCAAGAAGUAUUGUAGACAAACUAUAGCAGAUACAGCAUUAUUUUUAUGCAAUUAACUAGAUACAAUAAUUUAUAUUAAGCAGAAAGCCAUGGUCACCAAAAAGAGGGGACCAAAGAAAGAAUUAGGUCUCUAAAAUUACAGGCGAAAUUGCAUAAAACUUAAUGAAGUUCCUGAAAGGACGAAAUCGUGGCGAAAUUGUUACUGUGAUAAAUCACAUAAAUUAGGAAAUCAAACACCUCACAGGAACAACAAAUCUACCAAAAAGAGCAGAGCCAAAUAGUGAAAUUGAUAAUCUUUAUCAUUCAUUUUUUCAGUAGAAUUGAAGCUCUCACUACAAAAUUUUCCCUGAAGUUUGAUGGAAUUAAAGUCCCUGAAACUGGCAACAUUUUAGCAAAUGAAGCCUCCUCACGAAGACAAAAUGCACAACGAGGGUGUCUUUGAACUCGAAACAAAUUGAAGGCUAAAAAGAACAUAAAAAAUUACAGGGCCCUUCAAAAUCAUUAAAAAAAAAUUAUAUUAAAAUAGAAUCCAGUCCACAGCUGAUAAUGUACGAUAUUGGGCUGUUUGGAUGGUGAGAAGGUUAAAUAAAUAGGUGUUGGAACAUUUACCUAUAAGAGAAAGAAAAUGGGUAAACUUGGGUGACGGGCCUAGAGCCUCCUUUCAUUCAUGGUGUUUGAGUUAAGAAAUUUCUGAGGACUGUCGGAGAUUUUCCGAAAUUUUCCCGCCUUUAGGGUUCUGCUUUACAUGCAGGAGAGGUGAGAGGGUGCACGGAUGUCUAGUGUGGUGCAAAAUCCAGCAGCACUAUGCGUGUGUUGCGUUUUUGCUAAUUAAUAUAAUUAUUUUUUAUUCAAUAUUCAUAAAAAGUAAUAAAGGAAAAAAAUAUCAAUCCAAAACUACCCUACUCGCUCUUAUUUUAACCCAAAGUUUGAAAUCCAACAAAAUUGAUGUCAAAGUAUAAUUUGAAUACAAAAGUCAUUUUUACUAAAAUUAUUAUUAUUAUUUUAAAUAAUGUUAGAUUAGGUUUGACAGUGAUUUUAUAAAAUAUUUAUAAUCUUUUUAAUACUUUAAAAGAUAAAAUUUUUUUAAGUGUUACAAAGUUCAGAAACACUUCCUAAGAUUACUAUCAAACGCAUUUUUAAUAUCUAUGCUUGUUCCAUAUGGUAUAAGUGUCACAUUUUUUUUUUCUUUUUUAUAAAUUAUAAUUAAAAUAGUAAAAAGAAAAUCUUUGUUACUUCUAAUAGAGAUUAGAUAUUGAAAUAUUAAGUAUGUUUGUUAAUCUCUCAAUUUAUUUAGAACACAAAAAAAAAACAUGUUUAAUAAUAUAAAAUAGAAAACAUCAUGGUAUUUUUUGAGAAUAUCUUUUGGUUAUAUUCAAUUUUUUUCAUUAUUUGAUGAGAAUUGUUUUAAAAAAUAAUUAUACAAAUAUAAAAAAAAUGACUAAAGAUAAAAUAUUAUAAAUAAAAAUUAUUUUAAAACAUUUGAAGUUUUCAAAUAAAUUUUUAUUUUACAAAAUAUCAAAAAAUUAUUUUCAAAUUAUUUUCGAAAACACCUUGUAGAUAGUUUUUAUAACAAAGCUUUUUUUUUUUAUGCCUAAUGAAUACAGACAUUUGAAAAGGAAAAAAAAAAACUAUACAGUACUCAAUUUUUGUGAGAGUAGAGUUUGAGGUUAAAAUACCAUUUAAUUUAUUUAUUAAAACUAGUAAAAUCAAUUAUUAUUUUUAAAAAAAAAUUAAAAAAAUAUUUAUUUGAUAAUAUUAUAAUAAUUAAUUAAAAAAAAUUGUAAGAUAUUUAUUUUAAACAAAAUAUUUAUUUAACAUACAUGGUCACUAAUGUUGGACACCUUCCCACUUAGUAGAGUAACCUAGAAUAUUAAUACAUUAUAAUGAGAGUAGAUGAUAAAAAAAUUUGCAAAAGGAACUCAAAAUAAGUGACUUUCUACUACAAAGGGUGCUCAACAACAAGAGAAACCCAAAAGAUGGAAAACUAGGGCUAAAUUAUGAAGACUCUAUCAAAUCUACCAUGAAGCUGGAAUUUGCCUUUUCAAAAUUCAAUCCAUUCAAGGGCAACAACUCAAUUGCUCAUGAAAUGUUAUUGAAUUCAAAGACAUUAUUCAUUGAAGUAGUGAAAAAUACAUUGUUGAUCUAUGUAUCCCAAAUAUUAAGUGAUGGGAAGUAGUGAAAGUGCAUUGUUGAUCUAUGUUACCCCCAAAAAAUAAGUUGACCAUCACCUAGGAACUUUGGAGUCCUUAAUAAGAGCAUUAUGUCACAGACUUAGUCUUUUCCUAAGCUUGUGCAACACUUAGACAAGUCAAGACACUUGAUCUUGCUAAGUCAGCCUAUCUCCUAAUGUUUAGCUUGCUAGGCUAAGAUGCUCACGACUCGGAAGCUUGAGAAGGCGUAGUAGGCAACUCUUAAAGAAUGGAAGUUGUUAUUACUCAAGGAAACCUUUACAAGUGCUUUUGGGAACUCACUUGCUUGGUUAGGAAGUGAUUUGGGUGGUCCAUUGGCCAAAUGAGGCCCUCACCUAUUUAUAGGCACCAAUGGAACUCUCUGGAACCUUGGAGGGUUCCUUACAAAUUAAGAAGAUUCUAGAAUACCCUACACAAUUCUAUGUACAACCCUAUGUACAAGAGAUCUCUAGAAUUCUUUAGAAAGCCUUGGACUCCUCUCAUGCCUUCCACCAUAGUGUAGAGAUGUGUGGACAUCUAUAGGCAUCUCUAGAACCUUCCACACUCUUCCCUCUAAUAGCUUAGUGUAGAUGGCUCCAAGAGUCUCUAGAAGCUUCUUGGGCUCUAUAUAAAUCCAUGAGGAGGCUCAUUUGAAGCAUCCUAUGACACUCUCCCCAUCCUAUUCCGUUGACGUCUUUUUUGUUGCCUCUUUCUGAAACCUCUCGAUGUGUUUCCAGAACCUUCUCAAGGCAUCCGCAUAUUCCCAGCUUACAUGCCUCCUAGGUAGUCCUUUCCAUCGGACUAGAUACUCUAUCACAGGAGGGACCCUUAUUCUCCUGGUGACCCAUUCAACCAGGAUAUUUUUCACCUCCUUUUCUUGUGAGGCCUCGGAUGGAUGCAGAUCCUUGCACUUUCGAUGCUUGGAGUGCUGCUUCCUCUUACCCAUCAAGUUCACCUUUCCCUUGGUGACCUUGUCGAUGUAUGUGCGGGCUACCUUAGCUUGCUCCCCUUUUGCCUCCUUUACUUGCACCCUUGAUAGUAAGGAGGUCUUAGGCGUACUAGACUUUGGGUUGAAUUGGAGGGCACCUAGUAACUGCAUCAAGCCCAUAUGUGCUUCGUCCUCCUGUUCCCUCUCCUUGAUCAUGGCAUUGAGCGCCUUUCUCUUUGGACAAUCCCGUGCCCAAUGUGGAUCGUCACAUAGGAAGCAUUUGAUUUUAGGCGUAAACUCCUUCCUUUCCACCUUACCCCUUCCUUCUCGAACAUUAAGCGUCUUGCCUAAUCCCAUUCUAAGAGCAUUGUGGUCCCUUGAGACCUCAUCUCCCCCACCCGUGGCGUGGCUAUCCUCCAAAGACUCAACCUUGGAGGAGUCUCCCCUUUUGUAGUCCGUUAAAGACUCUGCUACUGCCAUAGUAGUGGCUAAGUCUUGAACACCUCGACGCCUUAAUUCCUGCUCGGCCCAUUCUUGUAGGUUAUCCAUGAAGUUGAAUAGCAACUCCUUCUUAGUCAUAUUAGGAAUCUCAAGCAUGAGUGAAGAGAAUUCCUUAACAUAGUCUCAUAUCGAGCCUAUAUGCUUGAGACGCCUCAUGUUUUUCCUAGCCAAGUAGGCCACGUCCUCAGGGUAGAAUUGCCUUUUGAUUUCCCUCUUGAAGUCUUCCCACGUCUCUAUGGUGCAAAUGUCUUUCUCCAUAUCGGCAAACCUCUAAUGCCACCAUAGAGUAGUUGUGUUAGUGAGGUAGAGGGUUGCAAUCCUUACCUUAGCCGCCUUAUUAUUUAGUGCGAUAGCCUUGAAGUAUUGCUCCAUAUGCCAUAAGAAGUUGUCCAACUCCUUAGCAUCCCGCUUGCCACUAAACCAUUGUGGCUUCAACACCUCCACCCUAGAUGCCUCUUAGGUGGCCAUGACUUGUGCCAACACAACAGCCUUAUAGAUGGCCAACUCCUGCCUAACCUCAUGGUCUUGGGACUCCAUUCAAGUGGCCAAGGCCUUUAUCCUUGACUCCAUGUUAGCAAGCAUGCUAAAGACCUUUUCUUGGAAAGACAUGAACUCCUCAUGUGACACCGGUUGAACUUGUGAGCCUAGCACCCCCUCACGAAGGUCUUAGAUAUGCUCCCUUAGAUCCUCAAUACCCUUCUCCAUGCCUUGCUCGAUCAAGUCCACCCCUUCCCGGGUGUCUGCCAUGGCUAGCUCCACCUUGGCUAGCCUUGCCUCCAUGUUGGCUAUGGCAUCACGAGACUUAUCCUUCCUGCCCUUGCCCCGUGCAGUAGGCUCGAUCUCCCUUCCACGGGUUUGCUCGCUAGUCUCCUCCAUGUUAGAGCCCAACAUGCUUUCUUUACUAUGCUCGUUUCAUAGCCGCGCUCUAGUAUCACUUGUCACAGACUUAGUCUUUUCCUAAGCUUGUGCAACACUUAGACAAGUCAAGACACUUGAUCUUGCCAAGUCAGCCUGUCUCCUAAUGUUUAGCUUGCUAAGCUAAGAUGCUCACGACUCGGAAGCUUGAGAAGGCGUAGUAGGCAACUCUUAAAGAAUGGAAGUUGUUAUUACUCAAGGAAGCCUUUACAAGUGCUUUUGGGAACUCACUUGCUUGGUUAGGAAGUGAUUUGGGUGGUCCCUUGGCCAAAUGAGGCCCUCACCUAUUUAUAGGCACCAAUGGAACUCUCUGGAACCUUGGAGGGUUCCUUACAAAUUAAGAAGAUUCUAGAAUACCCUACACAAUUCUAUGUACAACCCUAUGUACAAGAGAUCUCUAGAAUUCUCUAGAAAGCCUUGGACUCCUCUCAUGCCUUCCACCAUAGUGUAGAGAUGUGUGGACAUCUAUAGGCAUCUCUAGAACCUUCCACACUCUUCCCUCCAAUAGCUUAGUGUAGAUGGCUCCAAGAGUCUCCAGAAGCUUCUUGGGCUCUAUAUAAAUCCAUGAGAAGGCUCAUUUGAAGCAUCCUAUGACAAAUAGCUCAAAAUAAAAGAGGAAAUCCAAGUAUUGAAAAAAAGGUUAGUUUUCUAAAUGUAGUUGACAUCAUUUGAUAAGGUAGUGCCUUAAAAUUAUGCUAGUUCUAAAUAAUUUGAGAGGGCAUAUGCUCUAAAAAUGCAAAUGAUCUAAAUAUAGGAAGAGAAAUCCAAUGAGAAAAAGAAAAAGAAAGAAGACCGUUAUCAAAAGGAAUUUUGGAAUUCAUGAUAAAAAAAAAAGAAGGAAAGUGGCCUACUCACGUAAUCCAUUAUGCAACUCUACUAUGCCUACCUAUGGUCCACUAUAUUUGAUGCUAUUAUAGUUAAGUUAACCCUUGACACUACUAUAAUUGAGUUUGCUAUUGACAUUGUUGCAACUAAGUUCACUAUAUUACAACCAUACUCACUAUUAUAGUCUUCUUACAAACAUACUCAUUAUCCGUACAUCUUUCGAAGGAACCCUUCAAGAUCUCAACUCUUUUACCUAUUAAGUGUAUCUUAAAUGAGCCUUCUAACUAUUGAAUUUUGAAGGUAAGACAUUAAUUCUCUACAACAUCAUCGAGAUUCAUCUCCAAUAAGGGUGGAUCUACCUUAAGAAUAGUGUUUUCAUCAUGGAUCUACUUUAAGAAUAGUAUUUUCAUCAGACCUUAAUAAUUCUAAUAUGAUAAGUACCUAAAUUCCCUUUUGUUAUUUCAUUAUUUGUUGAUGUUUUGUGUUCAACUUAGUUUAGACUUAGUUUCAACCUUCUAGAAUAUUUAAAAACAACCACGGUUGAAAAUUUCUCUUUUUUUGUUGAAAUUUCGAUGAAAUAUCGGUUUCGGCGAUCGGCGAUACGAAAGAAGGGAGCGAAAUGUCGAUGGAGAAAUUUCAGCAAAUUUUGGUUAAAAUCGUCGAAAAAUUGGCUCAUAGCGAAAUUUCGACGAUUUUUCUUAACUUUUUCGAUUGGUCAACACGGGUUAACAUGCUACAGUGCUUCUGUUACAGUGAAAUGCUACAAUAUGCCAUUACAGUGAAAGCUUGAUAAAAAUCCAAAAUGCUAUAGUGUGCUACUAUAGUGAAAGCUUGAUAAAAAUCCCUUUUAGUUUGUUGUUGGGGAGACAAAAGCUUCAAUUGAGGUGUGGUGAACCAUUAGGGCAAGUAUGCCCUUUGUUAAAUAUGUUGCACCAAACAUAUUUAUAUUAAAAGUCAUCAAAUAAACAAAAUAUUAAAAGAACAUUUUAAAUAACAAAUUAAUUAUAAUUAUUUGGGAAAAUUGUGUUUUGGGCCUAGCUAGGCCCAAAAAUUAAUGUAUGGUCCAUAUAAGUUUCAUAUUUAAGCCCAACACCCAAUAAAAGAGUGGAAAUUGAGAGUAAGGAUAUUGUCUUUAAAAAAUCCCUAAAAUACCCUUGACUAUUAAAUGAAAAAACUAACCAAUCACCUCACCUUUCUCAUUCUCUCUUUGACUUUUUUGCCCUUCUCUCACCUAUUUAAUAGUGGAACCAACUUGAAUAAUUUUUCUUCAUCAAAUAUGAAAGAUGGUUAAAAAUUAUUAUUACCAAAUGUAUUUUUGAAGUGAAUAACUUUUAAAUACCUUAUCAAAUAUUAUUCUUUUUUUCAAACUUACAUAAUAUAUAAUAAAUAUCAUUCUUUAUUUCAAACCUAUAUUAUUUCUUUAUGUAUAUUAAAUAAUUUUUAAACACCUAAAAUAUUAGUAUUAUUUGUUUACUCUAACUUGUAAAUUAGAUAUUAUCAAAUAUUAUAUUUUUUCAAAUUUAUAGAACAUAUAAUAAAUACUUUUUAAAUACCUCAUAGAAUAUUAUUAAUUUUUUUUUCUAACUUGCAAAUUAGACACAUGGUGUUUAUUAUUAUUUUGAAUAUAAUGUAAAUACUCACAUGCAUAUAUAUAUAUAUUAAUCAAGAAGACAAUAUUUAUAAGACUAAUUUACCAACCUUCCAAUAAUUUUGAAAAUGUAAAUAGAGUAAUUGUCCGAAUUAAAGUCUUCAAAAAUAUUCAAAAUUUCUCCAUUCCAAAAUUACCUAAUUGCUCUCCACACUAAUCCUAAAUAUUUUUGAAUAAAGAUUUAAAUAUUUAAAACCAUUAAAAUAAAUACUUUCUUAUUAAAGCAAUUUUUUCAAAGUAAUAAGAUAAAAAUCAUGAAAUCUUCAAAACUAUAAUUACAACAAAUAUUUUUAACUUUAAAACUAAUUUCAUAAUUUAAAUUAAUGAUUUUAAAAAAUAAAAAUGUUAUAAAAAUAAUUUUUUUAUUUUUAAUGCCAUUUAAAUAUGAUUUUUUUAAUCUCUAUUGAUAACAAUGAAAUUAUAUUUACAAAGGCAAAAUAGUAAAAAUAUAUAUUUCAUUUAGUUUACUUAUAAUGAACAAUUCAAACAUGAAUGAUUUUAAUUUUAUUUCCUAAGUGUUAAUUUUUGUAGAGAAUGUCUUAAUGACAUAGUUUGGUAAAAAAAGAAAAACAAAAUUAUCAAUAAUCGUCUUAAUGUCAAAUUCAAGUUAUUUAAAAAUCGUAUAAAACCUAUUAGAAGUCUUGUACACCCUUGUACACUUAGCACAUUUCCCUUGUACAGUUAGUGUAAUAUCCUUGUACAGUUAGUGUAAUACCCUUGUACAAUGACACAAAUUUCAUAUAUCUCCUAAUUUAUAUAUCCAUGUAGGUGUAUUAAUCAUAUUUUCAAUGGUUUGGUUGAGAAAAUGGUGGAUGACUUAGGGUCAAAUUUUUUCCCCAAAUAUCAUUAUUGGGAAAAAUAUUAGAAUUUUCAUGUAAGAAUUAAAUAAAGUGCAUGACAUAGGUGUACAAUCAUUGGGUGACAAGGAAAAUAAAAAAGUAGUUUAGAGUCAAUUAAAAUCAUUCACAAAGGGUAAUAUUGUACACUUUUGUACAAUUAGUACAUUUCCCUUGUACAGUUAGUGUAAUACCCUUGUAUAAUGACACAAAUUUUAUAUCCCUCCUAAGUUAUGUGUCCACGUAGGAGUGUUUAACCAUAUUUUCAAUGAUUUAGUUGAGAAGAUGGUAGAUGAUUUAAGGUCAAAAUUUUUUUUCUCCAAAUAUUAUUAUUAUGGAAAAUAUUGGAAUUUCCAUGCGGGAAUUAAAUAAAGUGCAUGACAUAUAUGUACAAUUCAUGAGUGAUAAAAAAAUAAAAAUAAAGGAAUGACUCAUAAUCGAUUAUAAUAUUUCACAAAGGGUACCCUUGUACACCUUUGUACAGUUAGCACAUUUCUCUUAUACAGUUAGUGUAAUACAAUUGUACAGUGACGCAAUAAAUAAAUAAAUAAAAUUUAUUACUUUUUUAUUUUCAUAUAAAAAAAAUAGUACUAAACAAGGUUUUCAAUUUCAUUUUAAAAAAUAGUUUUCAUUUUUUAAUUAAAAAUAUUUUCAAAAGGAGACAAUAUAGAAAAUAAAAAUUAUUUUUAAAAAUAAAAAAUAAAAACUAGAAAAAUAUUUUAAAACCAAACUCAAAUAUAAUCUAUAUAAUAAUAAACAAAUUUGUAACAUUUCAUAUAACUUAUUACUAAAAAUCAUGUUCAAAAAGUUAUUAAAAUAAGGAAGAAAGAAGAUUAAAAAAAAAAUAAACAUUUUAUUUUAUAAUAGUAAAAAAAAACUUUAAAAUACAUUUUAAUAUAAAAAAAAUUAAAAUAGUGAAUAUAUUUAUUUUAAAUAGUUUUUUAUUCAUUAAAUUAUUUACUUCUAAAAUAUAAAAGACAAAAAUAAAUGUAAAAUGUAAUUUUUAUUUAUUUAAAUUAAUAUUUUUUUAGAAAGUAUUUUUCAAAAUAGUCUUUGAAUCAUUAAUAUAAUUUUUUUAUUUAUAAUUUAAAAAUAAAAAAAUAAUUUUGAUUUUUCAAUUAUUUAUAAAAGAGUUUAAAAAAAUAAUGAAAAAUCCAAAAAUGAUUAAAUAAGAAAGAAUAGUGGCAUGUGAAGAGUGGUAGAAUAAAGACAAAAAUGAGUCAAGUGGGUAUUUUUGUCUAUUCCUAUCUCAUAUCCUUGAAAUCAAUUAUAGGUGUUUGAAGGACUCUUUAUUAAUUACCAAAGCCAAAUGGGUCUAAAGCCCAAUUCUCCCUAAUUAUUUUAUAAUUAAAUAAAAUUUUUUCAUUUAAUUGAUUACCAAAAAUAUAAAAUUAUUAUGAUAAUUUUCUUCAUAGUGUUUUUAAUAUCAUUAAUAAAUUAAUUAAAUAUUAAAAAGUUAUACAUAUAUCACAAUUCAUUUUAUAUAAUUUAAUACAAUUGAAUUAAAUGAAUCAUAAUUUUAAUAUUAAAUAUAUUUUAAAAUUAGGCAUAUUAUAAUCAAAUAUCACAAUAUUAUUAUGAAAUAAUAUUUGAUAUAAUUUAAUAAUAAAUGUACACUUAUCAAAUUCUUCAGCAAAACAAUUUUGAAAUGUCUAUUAUAUUUCUAAUUACAUUUUUAUAAGGUUUUUCUUACAUUCCUAUGAAUUUUGAUUAAUUUUAGGUCUAUCGAUAUUUUUUUUUCCAAAAUAUCUGUCGAUAUAUCUCUGAUAUAUCCGUAAUUACCAAUAUUUUUAUCCUUAAAAACAACACAACACCACUUGUACCAAAGGCAUAACACCCACUAAAUUUAGUUAAGUCAUUGAGGGACCCCCAAUUACUUUGAAAGAUUGGAAUGACACGUGGAACCACUUAUAUUCCAUGGAUUUCUUAUGUUAAUGGGAUUUUUUAAAAUUUUUAUUUGGUAAUUGUUGUGAGUAUUAAGUGGUAAGGUAUGACAAAUUUGAUGAGGACAUUCUUUACAUUUAGAGAUCCUAGCAUAUGGGUUCAAUUUGUCUUACUCUUCAUUAAGAAUUAACUUUCAAGGAAAUGUAGUUAAGGAUAUCAAAUGGAGGUAUUCUACAUCAAUUUUGAUCUAAAAAUUUAAGGUUCUAGUCAGGCUGAGCUUUUACCUAAAAUUAUUUAAAAACGUUUUAGGAUCAUGAAAUUAUCAAAAAGUUUAAGCUUUACUUUGAUUAUGACCAUCAUUACAAGUAAUUAUAUAGUACAUGUCUUUCAAAAUUUGUGAUAAAUCAAUAUUUCUUGAAUAUGUUUAUUAUAUUUGCUUCUUAUUAAAAUGCAUUAUAUAUAUAUAUAUAUAUAUAUUAUUUGAAUGUUUUGCUCAAAACUAGAUUUUUCUUUGGAUAUUGGUACUUAGGUAGUUAAUUAACUUCUUGUUAAAUCUUGUAAAUGGCAUGAUUAUGAAUGAUGAAUGUAUUUACUUUUAACGUUAUAAUACACCCUAGACCAAAUUUUUAUGAGACGAGGUACAAUUGGCAUCCAAAUAACCUAGUUAAUGUGCCAUGUGAAAAAAGGGUUGCAACACUAGCAAGUAGCUAAUAUAUAAUGUGAAUGUGCUUAGUAUCAUGUGAGGAAGGACACUCUUAUUGAAUUGCCAUGUGAUCAAUUAUGUUGAUGGCUAUGAUGAUGGGCACAUAUCAUUAUGUGUAUGAUAAUUUUUUUUAAUGUAACUAUGAUUUUUGAAGAUUUGAUUAGGCUAAUUAAUUUGAGAAGUUAAGGACACAAGUCCAUGAAAACCAAAAACUCACUAUUCACCUUAGCACUAUUUAUCAAGCUUAGAUUUACAAUUACAAGAGAAUUAUACAUUAUUAAUACGAUAAUGAUAUUUAAUGUCAUCAAUCUUCACUUAAUUAGAAUGAUUAAAGGUUGUUUACAUAGACUUCUUGUUUUUUAUUUUAAAAUUUGAGAUGGUACACUUUUUCUAUAUCUUAAUUUUUAAAAAUUCAUUAUCCUUUUAAGCUAAAUUUUUAAAAAUUCUUUGAUUUUAUAUUUCAUUUGUUUUAUGAAAGUAAAAAACAAGAAAUGCAUCCAAAUAACAUAUUUAUUAUUCACUCAUAACUGUUCUUUCCCAAAGUAUUAAAAAAAUUUGGAUUCACUAGAAUCAAUAAAUAUGGUAUUUUAAUCGUAAAUUUCAUAGGUCUUGAAUCAAUUUUUAAAGUAAUCAAUGAAUUAAAAUAACAAUGAAUUCAUUGCAAACUCAAGUCAAUGCUUAAUUAACCUCAAUUUGAAUAAUUAUUUUGAAUAUAUUUAAAUGAGUCACAAAAUUCUAAUAGCAAGUACAAACAGACCAUCAUCAAGUUGAAUGUAUUCAAGCCAAACAACCUCCAAACUUCCUUUCUCUUCUUAAUCUAUUUUAGAAUCUAAGGAAGAUAACAUUUCAUUAAUCUAUUUCAGGAACCCCAAAAUAUUGAAGAGUGAAAAUAUGCUUGCUUUCUUAGCAAAUACUGAAUCCUAAAUCUAUGCAUAUCUUAACUACAAAAGAUUUUAUUAGUGCUUUAAAUAAUCUUAAUUGCCAUAUAUUUAGAUUGUGAUGUUAUAUCAUUCAUCUUUUGUUUAUUAUCUUCCUCUCUGAUUUAAAUUACUUAUUAUUUUUAGCAAUUUUUUUUACAAUUAAUUUUCAUUUUUAUUAUCGAAAAAAUAAAGUAUUUUUAUUUUAAUACAAUGAGAGUAAAGUUCCCAUACUAAAAAAGUCUACAUAAACUUUAGGUAUACUGGACUCUUAGAAAGGCCUCUAUAUAAAUGCUUAGCCCAUCACUCUUAUUUUCUUGCCUCUAAAUUGCCAUGGAUGUAGGGCAUAGGAAGCCACAAGAAGCUAUUGGAGAUGGAGAAAACAAGACUUCUUCCUAGAAGAGUCUUUUUAGGACAUGACUUCAUACAUAAAUAUAGUAUCCUAGGCAUUUUUAGACUUAAGGACUGCCUUUUGGAUUGAUCAAUCGAGACAAGUGAGAUUCACCUUCUCCAAGAGAAGAGCGAGACCACCAUGAAAAGGCAUCUCACUUGGUGGGACUUGGUGUGGAUAAGGUUUAGAUCAGUCGUAGGGUUUUGCAUAUUCAUCAUCACUUGUUAGGAAGCUUGUAAUAGUGUAAGACUCGCCAUAUAUAGUAUUAUCUUAUGUCGCUUUGGGUCUCUCAUAUCGCUUUCCCUACUUUAUUACACAUAAUUCACAGUUGAAAUACCAGUCGUAAGAGAUCCUUUCUUUUAUCUUGAGUAGAAUUAAGUGAUUUUGUUACUGUAGAGAACCUUAAAUUACUUCAUUCCCUGUCCUAGUAUUAGGUUAGGUGCAUAUUCCUAAUACUCUAGAUCUAAGCACAAUGGAAACAUGGCAUUAAAAAACAAUAAUAAAUAUAGAUCUAAAGAUAGUGAAUCUUUACCUAAGAUUUAGAUAUUCCCAGACUGAUUCCUGUUGAUGUGAAAAACUCUAAAUCCAUAGAAGAUCCUGUAAACCCCCAAUCUCCCACCCUACUACUCUUCCUUGAAGCUUGAUACUCAGAUGGUAGAAGUCUCUAGAAAGAAGAAUGGUGGUAGAAGAUUGAAGCCUUAACCUAUAAGGGGUAUUUACAUGGUUCAUAUUGGGUUUAAGUAAUUUGAACCCAUUUUAAGCUUGAGUCACUUAAUCUAACCCAAAAAGGUCUUAAUUGAUUAAUUAAACCAUUAAAUAUUUAAUUAAUCAAUUAGCCCAUUUCAAAUAUGUCGUCUACUUAUUCCUAUGCAACCUUAUGUAAUUACCAAUAUGCCCUUAUGCACAUAGGUGAACUAAGAGCUGAUCCAACCCUCAUAAGUUGUGUUAUCAAGGUUAUGAACUUAAAUUAGGGACUAUUGGAACCCAUAGAAUAGUAUUUUCAUGGCUCUCUUAGAAUCAUACUUUAAAGUUGACUCAACAUCUCACUACAAUGAGUCAACUGCAAUCCUAUACCCCAUGUAUAGUAUAAUGAGAUACUAUAUGCUUGGGUUCGUGACCUACCAUCCACUAUAUAUGGUUUCCCCAUUAAUUGAUAUCUGUAAUCUAACAAGGUGAAAGUUAUUAACUUCUCAAAAUUACCUCUACUAUCCUUCAUUUAGAAGUCCUCAUAUUAUGUGAUCAACUAACAUGUCUUAACUCAUAAAGAGCUCAAGUUCCAAUUAAAGAACUACUAUGGUCAUAGUUGAUCUAAACGCAUGUCCUUAGGAUAACCCAAGGCAACACACUAUCUCAAUCCUAUGAGAUAUCAUGGUGCCUUAUUGAGAAUAUUGGUCGCUAUUGACUUAUAUCAAUUGUGACCUAAUCCCUAAGGAAUGUAUGAUUAUUUUAGGAUCUCAUCUAUAGGUUCAAGCAUAUGCUAACAGUGAUACCGACUCAAUAUUCUUUUCAAGUUGAGAUAAAUACAAUACAAUACAACAACUUAAUGAAAUUAUAACUACUAGAUAGCCUUAUGUUAUAACUCAUCGUAGGCUCUGUCCAAUAUAUAAUCUAUACACACUAAUGCACUCGUCAUAGGAACCACAUCCCGUUGACUAAGACUAAUCAUCCCUUUAAUUAGGAGGUAGUACACUACAACUUCAAAUAGAUUGCCUAAGUUCACAAAUUGAUUGUGAACAAAUCAUUUACUUGCAACAAGCUCAUGACUUGGAUCUUCUGUACAACUUUUAAUGCACCUAAGUCAUGUACAAUAUAUGAGAUGCAAGUCAAAACACUUAUAAAGAAUAAUGAAUGGAAUAAGGAUAGAUGAAAGUGCAACUGAAAUAUAAUAUAAAUAAAUAGUCAAUUCUAAAGUUUGUUACAUCAUGUAAUGCUUUGAAGGGCUCUAUCUUAAUAGUUGGGUUCAUUAUAGCUAGGAACAUUCUCUUAGACGCCAUUCUUGGGGCAACUAGGUGGGUGAUUAUUAAUCAUUUGUUGCUCACAUGCAGUAACCUUUAUAUUAUCAUGUAUUGCUUUAUUUUUUACUAUUGAUAAUGAUGUUAGUUGAUUGAGGUUUGUAAACCUCAAGUCAGUUGUGUGAGGCUUUACCUUUUAUUUGGAUCAUGAUCUUAUAUUGAGCAUGCUUAUUUUUUAAUACAAGGUUAUAAUAGUUUUAGGUUAUGUUUGGAAACUGUCUUUGGUUAGUGCAUUGAUAUUGAUGGGAGUGUUGAAAGUGGAAGUAGGCUAGAAGGUUGAACCACAAUAAAUCUUAGUGUUAUGUAAUUAAUUUUGUUGAAAUUGUUUUAAUUGCAUUUGGGAGCUUUCUUCAUAUUAUACUUUAGAUUAGCCCUAGGCUCUGGCUUCAAGAGAAAAAGACCUCUUCUUUUGUACUCUAUCUACCAAUGUGGCUUAUUGCACAUCUACUUCAAAAAACUCUAACCAUAGUUCAAAUUCAUAAUCAUAUAUAGAACAUAAUAGAUGAAUAUUAUUUAUUGGUAUUGCUAUUAUUAUUCCUUCCACAUUAUUAUUAUUAUUAUUAUUAAGCAUUUACAAUAUCAAUUCAUAAGCAUGUCCAUGGUUUUGCAUUUUCAUUCCAUGCAUUGGAAAUGAUAAAUCAACUUUCCUUAAUCUUUCAUUUUGUUUCACAUUUUAUUGGAUUGAAAAAUAUGUUAAUUUGAGCAUGGACUUAUUUAUUUAUUUAUUUAUUUUUUUUGCAUUUCUUAUUAAAAAUCUUGUAAAGAUAAAUAGCUAUCUGAAGUAAUAUUUAAGAAAAAAAAAAGAGAAAAAAAAAAAGCAUUCUUCCUUAUGAAUAUUAUAUACCUCUUUAACUUCUUCUCAAGAUUAUAUUCAUAUCUUUUUUAACUCAAUCAUAAAGGAAAAGUUGACUCCACUCUAAAUAUCUAUCAAUCAUAUGAGGAAAAAUUGACUAUGAUGAUGAAAAUCAUAGCUAAAUAUCCAAAAAUUACAUUAUUAACUUGCAAAAUUUAUCGUGCACUCACUAAAUUUUUUAAACAUUGAAAAUGUUAAUUUCAUGGUGUUAUCCUAUUUAAUUAAUUAACUAUUUCAUCAUAUAAACUUCUUAAAUAUAGAAAGAAGAUCAUUUCCUACCAUUAUCCUACUUAAGUACCAUAAUUUUUUAUCCUAUAAUCUUUUUUAAACAUAAUAAUCGCAUGGCGCUGUCCUAUUUAAUUAGACCACCAUUAAGCUGCCCAACAUCUCAUUCCUUUCAUUUCUAUCUUCUGAAAUAUUUUUUGUUCAUAAAGAUUUUUGGCCAUGUAGAAGAAGCGAGCCAAAAGCCAUGAAAAGGUUGAGAUGAGAAAGAUGAAUAAUGAAGAAGAUCGCCUUGUUUCCUUCUUGAAGCAUAGAUCUGGGAUCUACAGAAAGGCAAGUGAGCUUUUUACCCUUUGUGGUACAGAAGUUGGUAUUUUAGCUUUCUCCCCAAAUGGGGAGCCAUUCUCAUUUGGUCAUUGAUGCGACUCAUGGUAGCUUAGCUUUAAAGGCGUAUCAACAAAAUUUAUACCUUGAAUACUAUUACUAAAGUAGCCAAGCUACUAUAGCAUAGUGGUUCUAGGAUCAUUCACUGGGAAGGGUUUUCGCAAACACAAGUGAUAUUCAAAUUAGGAAAAUAGGUGAUUUUCUUAUGGAUGUUAGCUUAAAAAGAAGAUGUAAAUGUUUUAGAAAGAUUUAAACUAAUCUAAGCUAACAUUAAAGACUAAAAUGAAAGGGUGUAAAAACAAGUUUCUCAAAGAUAGGAUAGCUAUGCUCUGGCUCUUAUGCAAAUUGGAAAUCUCAGGAUAGGCUCCUCGCGUUGGGGUUGCAACUAUGGUGAUGCUUGCUUCCCGAACCGGUAUGGAUUUAGCAAAUCAAGUUUUAAUCCUUUAAAAUGACAAAACAGAUGGUAGUGAAUUUCAUCCAUGGUUAUUCACCUUAGACUUCCUUUGAAUGGCUCGUAAGAGAUAACUAAUGGUCUAAAGCCAAAAGCUUAUCAAAUAUUGGCAACUCAAAGUCAUUCCAGGUGAUAAACUCACCUUUCAAUGGCCAUUGAAAUUGGUUCUAACGGAUUAAUACAAAACUUGGAAUUGAAAACCUCACCUUCCAAUAGCUCGUAGGAGAUAACUAAUGGAUAGAAAUCCAAAAGCUUAUCAAGUAUUGGCCGUUGGAAGUUGUCCAAAGGAAAUAAAAACCAAACUUUGCAUUAAUGAACCUUUAAUGAAAAAGGACUACCUUACCUUCCGGGUGCGAGAAAUUUCCAUGGGAUUGCAUUCAAGUCAUCACAUAACAUCCAUACUUUGAGAAACUAAAAGUUUUAGCCAAUCAUCCUCUGAGGAAAAGCCCUCAGAGGCUGUUUGGCUUCCAAGAAAAUAGAAAUGGGGAAGAGAAAAGAGAAAUGAGAGAGCUCUGUAUAUAUUCUCUAAGUGUUAAACGUAAUAUCUAUUCUAUAUGAUCCAAGAGGUGAUUUCCACCCCUUAUAUAGUCUUUACAAAAGCAAAAGCUUGUGAUUGGUUAGUUACAAGGAUAAGAAAGGAAAUUACAUCACAAAAUACAAAGGAAAAUAUCUAAAGUGGAGUCGGCAAAAGCAGAGGAAAAUUCGCAACACGCAUGGGUUAUGCGAAUUUUGAAGGUGUUAUGCGAAAUUUUCGCAUAACCUGGAGCAGUUGGCUUCCGAAGGCCAUAUCUUCCUCAUUUCAGCUCCAAAUCGUACACGGUUAGAAGUGUUGGAUUCUUUACUUCCAGAGCUUUGAAAUGGUAUAUAGCAUAUAAAAAAUGGACUUCGGAAAGUGCUCCAAAAGUGUGAAAGAAGACUGCAGCUGCUGUCCUCUGUUUUCCUCUUCUCCAUUGUUCUUUCCUUGCAUACUUUGAACGACUUUGGCAAAGGGAUAUGGAGCUCCAAAGCUUGGUUCUUCAUGAAUUUGAGCUUCCAAAAGCUUUGCCAUAACUUGUCCAAGUAUCUCCUCCAUCAUUUGGCAUGCUUGAAUUGAUUCAUAAGCUGAUAAAAACAUGUAAACUUGCCACAAAAUGGUUAAAACCAAUUACUAAGGACCUUAAUGAAUUAAUUGGGUUAAAUGAAUAUGAUUACUACUCAAAGGUGCUUAAAACCAUUAUAAUUAGGUCUACAAAAUAGCACUUUUUGGUAGUAAUCAGUCAUCCAUGUAUCAAGUCAGUUACUAAUAAGCUUUUAAGUGAAAUACCAUACACCAUGUGAUGGAACCCAAAAUCUUCUUGAGCCUUACCAUCGUGUUAGGCUUAAUGAGCUUCACCAUAACUAUAAAGAAGCUUGCAAGCAAAAGAAAGCAGCCAAGGAGCAAGAAAAAAAAAAUCAAGAAAAAAAGCCUGAUCAAAGGCUGGUGGGAAGAACCUAUUAUUGAGCUUGAUAUGGAUGGUCUCAGGCGAAGGUCAGAUCUAAUUCAAAAGCUUCAUAAGCAUGUGCAACUCCAAAUCAAGGAGCUAUAGACCAUGGAAUCAUGUUCAACUUUACCAUCUAAUACCCAAACAGUUGGCCAUGGCCAUGCUAAAUAAAUGUGCUUUGUAUUAUUGAGAGUCUUGAACAUUUCAGUAUCAAACGAUAAUGGUUCAAUGCUUUUAUUUUUGAGUAAUGGGUUUUGUGUUGGAGUAGCCAAAAAUGUGAUAUUGAUUGAUUAAGCUUCCUUUUUCCCCACCGAAAAGAAGUCUUUUAAUAGUUGAUGUGGGUGACAUAUCAUGUGAUUCUUGUGUAGAUUCCUUAUCUUCAUAAUAGUAGGGUCGUUUUAUAUUUGUCUGGUUUUUGACCCUUGACUCUUGUGUGAUUUCCAUCUUAAUGAUCCUAGUAGAAACAGAUGAGCAUGAUGCUCUUGAGGGUUCAUAUUUUGAAAUUUUAGGAAUUCGAGAAUGACUGAAUGAAUUUGUUAAGCCCCAAAUUCUAAAAUUAAAGUUUAAUUAAAUUAACAUAGGCCAACUCAGACUUUUUGCACUUGAGAUGUGAAUUAAGGAAGAAUUUGGUGAAGUUUAAAGUUUGAGGGCAAACCUAAUUCACCUGUGUUAUUUAAGUUUUUGAACAAAGAAGUUCCCUAUAUUUGGAAGAAUUCAUGUUUUUCCUAUUCAUGGACUUUGUGUAUCGGAAAACUUACACAUUUUAACUCCAUGGCCAACCUUUGUAAAAAGAGUAUGCUUGUAUGGGUAUUUUUUUAAAUCUCUCAGAAAAAUAAGCAUCCAUAUGACUAUACUAAGCUCUCAGAGCUUGUUUUAGUCUAUAUAGUGCCUUUUUAUUUUUAUUUUUAUAAUUUAUGAACUUUAUGCUCACUUUUAGGCUUCGCAUACUCAAGAGGUUUAUCGAUAAAAACCUGUUCUUAUAGAUCACCAAGCAAAAAUACUGAUUUUACAUCUAGUUGGAAGAUAGACCAUGAGUUUUAAGAAGUCAAUGUAAUAAAUAGCUCGAUUGCAUCAUGUCUUGCAAUAGGAGUAAAAACUUCUUUAUAAUCCACACUAAACUCUUGUUUAUAGCCUUUAGCUACUAAGUGCACCUUAUUCUUGCCAUCUUUGUCAUUCUCCUUCAAUGUUGUCUUGUAUACCCAUUUGACACCAAUUUUUUGUGGUCUCUUGGAAGAUCAAUUUACUCCCAAGUGCUAUUUUGGUUAAUAAUUUCAGUUUGUCUUUCAUAGCCUUCCUCCACUUUGAAAGUUGUAGGAUUGAAAUAUGAAAAUAGAGCAAAAUGUGUAAGCAGGUUCUCAAUGGGUCAAUUUCUAUUUCCUUGUAAUCAAUCAUCCACAUAGGUCUUCUUCAACCAUGUUUUGUCCUUUGUUUAUCACCUCUUUAGCUGCAAUUGGGCUUUGAGCAUCAACAAGGACAUUUUUGGGUAACUUCGAGUUAUUGAACAUUUCCCAUAGGUUGUUGCCUUAUGCCAUCAUCAUCAAAAUCUAUUGGAAUACGUUUUUCAACACCAUUCUUGUUCCAAAACCAAGUUCAUUCUUAAUAAAAAAAAUAUCGUGACUAAUAAUGAUUUUCUUUAUGCUAAGAUUAUAUAGCUUAUAAGCCUUUGACUGAUCAUUAAUACCAAGACAAAUGCAUAUUUCUCCCUUGUCAUCUAGCUUUUUCCUCUUCUCAUCUAGAACAUGGACAUGGGUAUAGGCUAUGCAACUAAAAAUUCUAAAGUGUUAGGGUCUUCAUCUGUUCCAUGUUUCCUAUAGUGUUAUAUUUUGAACAAUAAAUGUUGUACUUCUCUUCAAAAUAUGAAUGCUCCAGUUGAUAAUGUUAGGCUAGAAACUCUUCAAAACUCUAAUCCUUGCCAAAAGACUUCACACCUCGUUAAGAAUCGUGCAAUUAUUCCUCUCGCAUACAUCAUUUUAUUGAGGCUAAUAGGCCUCUAUAAGUUGUCUUUUGAUGCCAUGAGUCUCAUAAAAAUUUGCAAAUUCAUAUGAGUUAUAAUCUCCCCCAUAAUUAGUGUACAAUAUUUUUAUUAAGCUAUUGACUUCUUUCUCAACAAGUGCUUUAUAAAGUUUAGAUGCUGCAGACACCUCAAAUUUUUCCUACAAAAAAUACACCUAAAAUUUUCGAUUAAAAUUAUCAAUGAAGGUAAUUAUGUAUCUUUUACCUCCAUUAUUUGGAAGAUGGAUUUAUUUGUCCAUAAAAGUUAGAAUAAGCCAACUCUAACGUCUUCUUUGUUCUCCAUGACUUUCCUUAUGGAGAUUGAUUGUGGUGUUGUUGGCUAACAACACAUAUUCAACAAAAACUUGUUGAGAGCAUUCAAUUUGAGAAAGCUUAAUCACCAUAUUUUUUUGCUGCAAUGUCUUGAGACCAACAAAGUUUAGACGCCCAUAACAAAAAUGCCAAAGCCAUGCUACAUCCUUCAAUUGAGUAGACACUACAAGAAAUUUCACCCUCUACCACAAAAUUUUUGGCCAUCAAUAUAAUUUCAUCUCUAAAGAUGAUAUUGGGAGACAAAAUUCAAGUUUGUUAUGAAAAUUUGUGUCUAAAGUUUUAAUUGAAUGUGACAUGAGGCCAAAUUAUUUGUGACGACAUCAUAAAUUUUAACAACAAAAUAUUUCAUGGUGAAAAAUAUAUUGGGAGACAAAAACCUAGUGUUGUCCCAAAAGGUAAAUAAUGGGUAACAAAAUUAUGUUGUUGUAAAAUAGUUUUGGAGAGAAAAAUCUUAACAAUGGGAGACAAAAAUAUUGUCCUAAUAUCACUAGAUGAAGGAACAAAGAAAAUUAUUGGGGAGGAAAUUGUUUUAUUGUAAAAACUCAAUAUUGGAGACAAAACUAUUUCAUCCCCAUUAAAAUGCAUUUUCCUUUUUCAAAAUGAAUUUAUCAUUUUUAAAUUUAUUUAUACUAUUGAAUACUUAACAUGAUUUAUUUGUUUUUUGAGAAAGUUUCAUAAUACUUUAAUAUUUAUGAAACAACACAAUUAUUAUUAAAGAAAGUAAAUAUUAUUUAGAAAUAAUGUGAUAUUGUCAUAUUAUAAUAUUAAUAUAAAUAUAAAUAUAAAUAUAUAUAUAGUAUUAAAAUUUAAAUAUAAUGACAAUUUUUAUUAUAUUUAAAUUUUAAUAUAUAUAUAUAUAUAUAUAUAUAUAUAUAUAUCAAUAUGUAAUAAUAUUUAAAUUUUAAUACUAUGUGUAAUAAAGUAAGAAUUUAAAAUUUUUUUAGCUAAUGUUGAAUCUUCAAUUCUGGAUAUCAUACUCAUGAUAUGUGAAAUGUAAUAUUUGUUUAAUAAAAAUAUUAUUUUAUUUAGUAUAUAACUUGAAAUUAUAUAUAAAAGAAUUUAAUAUGGAUUAAAUUAAUUACCUAAAAAAAAAAAGGGUUACAAUGUUUGGACCAUAAUAUUAUUAGUCUUCUUCUUGUUCUUGAGUACAAAAACACAAAGAUUAAUCUAGAAUGUAUAAUAUGGUAAAAUUCUAAUCAUAAUAUAUUUUAUUUUUAUAAUAUUUUAUUUUAUUAAUGAAUUUAUAAGAUAAUAACAUUUUUUUUGUAAAUUCUAUUAUAAUAUAACCAUCUAUUAUUCUUCUAAUCUUAUACUUCCUAUAAAAUAACUUUUUUUCUUUUUCUCUAAAUAAUAAUUUCAUUUUCAUGUAAAUACUUUGAACAAUCCUUAAUAAUAUAUAAUAAAAUAAAACAAAAAUAGAUUGAGAUUCAUUUCCAUGUUUAUAACUUGAUAUUUUAUAUAUCUAAAAAUGUUCAAUUAGGAAUUAGGAUUAAAUUGAUUAUAUUAUGCAAAAAUAAAAAAAUUAGUUACCAUGUGAGAACCCUAAUUUUAUUAAUCUUCCUUAUGUUAUUUACAGAUAAAAAUCAAUCCAAAUUGCGAAUGUACAAAUAAAAUAAUUUUAGUUAAUAGUAUAAACAUUUAUUACUUACCUACUUUUGUUGUUCCCAUAAAAUCAUCUCAUGUCUUUAUUUGUAAGUAAUUGAUUUCAAUGUCAAUAUUCUAAAUUAAAGUAUAAAAUAAAUUAAAAAAUAUUACAUUAAAAUAACUUAUUUUGUAUAUAAAUUUUUAUUUUAUAUAUCUAUAAAAGUCAAAUUUGGAUUAAAUUGAUUAUACAAAAAUAUAAAAAGGGGUUUGACAACCAUAACACUAUUAGUCUUCUUCGUAUUAAAGUAGAAAAAUGAAUCCAAACUCUAAAUGUAAAAGAUAAUGAAAUUUUAAUAGUAAGUUACAUUGGCUUUUUCAUAAUAUUAUAUUUUAUUAUAAUUCAUAUAUGAAUUUAUAAGAUAAUGACAUUUUAAUAAUGAUUUAUUUCAAUUCUUCUUUUUUUUUUCUUCUUAAUUUUCUAAUUGAUUUUUUUUUAAAAGAAAUAUAAAAAUUUAUAUAUGACUUAAAGUUGAUAAAAAAAAUUCAUUUCUCUUUUAAUAAUUUAACAAUAUAAUGUUUUACCAAUCUCAUCUUUUCUAUAAAAUCAUCUCAUUUCCUUAAUUUUUUUAUAGAUAUUUCUUAUGGUUAUUCUUUAGAAAAAAAAAUUCUAAUGUUAACUAUAUAAGACAAUAAACUUAUAUUUUUAAAAAUUAAUCCUUUAUAAAAAAAGACUUUUAUAAAAGUUUUAGUUAAUUCUAUAAUAGUAUAAGUAUCUAUUAUUUACGCAAUCUUGUUGUAGACCCCCUUUGGUGGUAAAAGGCUCGGGGGGAGGUGAUUUCGAAAGACUUCUCAUUAUAUUUAGAAGGGGUAGGGGACCCCUAGCGGCUGAAGGAUGGACCCCUUCUCUAGGCACGGACGUGCAGCUGCAGGGGGGCGGUUGCAAGCCCAUGCUUGCUGAUGCAUGAACAGGGGAGGUGGGUGAUGGUUGGCUGAAGAGAGAAAACAGAGAAGAAGACGUCUACGAGGGGGGUGGUUUUUGCAGGAGAGACGACUAGUGAAGGAGGAGGAAGGAUCUUUCUGCUGAUAGCUUGUAAGUAUUGCUCUGUUUCAACUCCCUUUCACAUUUCCUUAUUCUUUUGUUGCAAAAUGAUUCAUGUUUGGUCCCAAGGUGGUGAUUGAUAGUCAUGCAUUAGUUUAUUUUCCGUUCGUUCUAUUGGUUUUUCAAUCUGUUGAUGAUGCAUGAAGUGAGGUUACAACAAUUAAAUCCUCAGACCUCUCAUCCUUGCUCGGUUUCUUAGCGAUCUCUUUCUCCAUACUUCUUAUGCUACCAACCCCCUGCUCAUGCACACGUGGACUGCACACCCACUCCUACCCUCCAUUUUCCCUUCUCAUUUUCCUCUCGUUCUUCUCACUCCUCAAAACACCAGAAGUAGACGUCUACCAGGAUAGCAGCCGAAGAUGCUCAAAACUUCAAUCCCCAUUUCGAGCCUACCGCCAAAGCUCCAAAAAUCCUAGCAAAUGGAGAGCCUCCGAUGCAGUUCUGAGAGCACGAGGCUCUCUUGCGGCGCUCCGGCGAGUCCCAUGCAUCUCGCGUUCCACGUGAAGGCGUCGCCAUCAACUCUCCCCUCACCGUCGCCGCCCUUUGAAAACACUCUACCCAGCCCGCCCGCUACACACUACAAGGAAAAUGUCAAAAGAUGACGCUUUUUAAGUGUCAAGAUAGAUAUAAGAUGACGCUUUUUAAAAGCGUCAUAUAUUAGACUGUCAUCUUUUUAAAUCGCAUACGUUGACACUUUUUAGAAGCGUCAUCUUCUUUGCACGUCAACCAUGACGCUCAUAGUAAGUGUCAUUAUUUGAAAUAUUGACGCUUUAUAAGUGUCAUCAUAUGUUAAUAAUUUCAUUCAUGUCAAUAUUGACACUCAAUGAAGUGUCAUUGUAUAGGUAGAAGCAACAUUGACACUCAAUAUAAGUGUCAUCUUAUAACUUUUUAUUUGUAGGAGCAACGUUGACACUUAAUAAAGCGUCAUUGUAUAAGUAGAAGCAACAUUGACACUCAAUAUAAGUGUCAUCUUAUAGCUUUUUUAUUUGUAGGAGCAACAUUGACACUCAUAAUAAGUGUCAUCGUAUAGCAUUUUAUACCUUGACACUAAAAAAAAUGCCAUGUUUUUUUAACAUCAACCUUGACGCUUUUGAGAGGUGUCAUCUUCUGUUUAUUCAAGUAAAGCAUGAUGCUUUAAAAAAGCGUCAUCUUAUCUCAUAUAAAAUUUUAAUAGCCCAGAAAUUAAAAUGUCCUAAUUAUGCCCUGUUUUAUAAUUUUCUAUCAACAAUUAAAUUAAUAAUAAAAACUUAAUUUAAGAAUCUCCAUUGACAAAAAGGAUCAAAUAUGGUCUUCCUUUUUCACUAUUACAAUUUAUCCAUAAACAUCAUAUAUAAUCAACAACUAAAACCAACAAUUUUACAACUUCUUCUUCUCAACUUUGAAUUGUUCAUAACCUUCACUACAUCUAGUUUUACAUCAUUUUUCUUCCAAGUGCAAAAGGAUGGUUGUAACUCACUUUCUAGAUGCUCAAUCUGCAAAAUAAUUGAGAGGGUUACAUAUUUAUUAGUAUUAACAAAUAGUUAAGAAGCAACUUUGUAAAUGAAAUGUGUAUAUGCCAAUUUUUAAAUUUCCAAAAUAUCUUUCUUCCAUUGCAAUAAAUUUCAAAAUAUCAAAAGAACUCAACAAACUCCAAUAAUUUUAUUACACCAAAUUUCUAAAUAUUUUAGAACUCUCAUUCUAUUUUUUUUUUUUAAAAAAAAGUUUUUAUCUCAUUGACUAUUUUGGUAUGAUUUUUAUCUUAUUUAUGAAACUUCAACCAUUAACAUCUUCUCAUUCUUCUUAUAGGUUGUACAAGACAUUAGAUGUUUUGCAUGAGAAGAAACUAAGGAAUGAAAAAAAAAAACAAAAAAAACUAGAAGUCCGAAAAAUUGUAAAAUUGUAAAUUAACAUAUUUAUGUAAAAUUAUAAAAUUGUGUUAAAAUAUCUAUGUUCUUCUUAUUGUAUUAGUAUAUCAACAUUUAAUAACAUGAGGAUAUCUAUUAUCUAAAUAUGGAACUUGCAUGAAAUGAUCUCUAAACAUGGAAUUGAUUCAUAAAACUUACAAUAACCACAUGUUACCUCAAAAUUCUUUUGAUGAUAUAUUUUGAAUUGUUUGUGGGUGUCCUUCAUCAAGAGUAGAAGUGAUGUUGUUAAUAGAAUGACCUAUGCCUUUUUGUACAACCUGAAGAAUAUAUAAUAAACAAUUUAACAACCAAUUAGUAAGAGGUGCUAUUUCCUUCCAUAGGCUUAUUUGUAAGAAGUCUUAAACUAACUUCCUAUUUUUUAAGUAAAAGAAAAUGGAAGUACAAGAUAUUAUAGACUUUAAGCCCAUUAGUAUAGUAGGAGACCUUUAUAAAUUUAGAUUAAAGAAGUUUAUAAAGCUAGUAAUCUUAAAGACCAAAAAUGCUUUUGUAGAGAAUAGACAAAUUCCUAAUUCAUGCACAUGUAAUGAAACUAAAGGCUCUACGAAAAUGAGCUUGGACAUGUAGGAAUUUUUGUAGCUAUGCUAUUGUAGGAUUUCUCCAAAUCUAACUGAUAAUAAUUUGUAGAGGAAAUAUACAAAAGUUGUUACACCUACCAUGUCUACUUGGCUUCACCUCUCAAUAUGCCAACUAUACAUCAAUCAUAAUAGAGCAACCCCCAAAAUGAUCCAUAUUGAAAACACUGCCAACUAGAAGUACAAAGAUAUACAUUAACAAAUUAUCAUUGUGAAUAAAUCCAUUAUAAAAUUAACAUUAACAAAAUAUUGACUACAUCUUUAAAAGAAUAUGAAGUUGUAUUAGACUAUAAGUUAUAAGAGGUACCUUCAAACAUGAGUAAUGAUUAACUGAGUCACUAACAUAACCCAAUCUGAUUGAACUUCAUUAAUUUCCAUUUCACUAUAUGAUUUCUUCCCGCAAAACUGAAUUGGAGUGACAUAUACAAUUCACUAAGUUCAAUUGACCAAAAAAAAAAAAAAAAUGCUAUAGUAAAAUGACCAACCAUAUGAAUUGAAUUGAGUGCAAACCUUUGAUGUUAGUUGGUUUGGAUUAGCAAUGAUUUCCUUCAUAUAUCUCAUCACGUAAUACCCACAUUCCACACUACCUGGUUGUCUUGGGCACUAUGGGAAAAGUAUCAACAAUUGCAAUAAACACUAGAAUGAUGUUCUUACUUCUUUAGCAUCUUAUUGAUGAUCAUAUUAAUAACCAUCCAUUUUCUAAUUUUGUCAUAAAUUAAGUGGUGAAGCAAUAUAUUUUAAUCUAAACAAAUAAGUACUUACAACCACUUUCACCCAAGUUGGCUCCCUCUUUGAUGUUUUCUGUUUUUCCGGUGGGUUGAUUCUCAUUGCCCUACAAAAAGAAUUAAAAAGAUGUUAUAUAGACACUAUCAAUUGUAUUAAAAUAGGAGAAAAUAUAUACUUACAUGUUAACUAUGUCCUUAAGAUCAUCACAUGGUUGACAGGCCAUUGGAUUAAGGUAAUAUGCAAUCAUUUUCUUCAUCUCCAAUGCCACUAACACCCAAUGGAAACUAAAGAAAAGAAAUGAAAAUUGUAAUAUAGUAUCCACAAAUUCAAACAUCACAAACUAACUUACAAACACCAUAUUGAUAUUUAGGAUAAAAGGUUACUCUGGGUUGUAUGGAAUAAGCAUAUAUUCAGCAUGCUUUGUAUUCUUUAGUCGAUCUGCAAUAACCCUUGACCUGUUUUCCUUGCUUCCCUCUCCCAUUCCAGCUUUUGAGACCAAUACUGGAUUGACAAAAACAUAUCGUUCGGCCUGCUAUGCAUCAAUCAACUUUCUAUGCAAAUGCUUGAUUAUAACCCACAUGACAAGUUAUCAACAAUCAUUAUAGGUCAUUAGAAAAUAACCUUCUAUCUCAUAAUCUUGUGAAAAGUCAUUCAAAAAUUAUAAAAUCCCUUACCAAAUGUAGUAUAAAAUACAAUUGGAUGACACUUCUUUUGAUGAUAUUAUCAUUUCCAUAUCUUCUUUCAUCAUGAAGGUCUUGAAACUCUCACCAAAAACAUCAUCUGGGAAGUUUAUAGGGUAUGUUCUUGAUGUACUCAGAAUGAGGCCAACCAAUGUCUCAAAAUUUUUCAUAUCUUGUGGUUUUUCACCCUUGGAUUUGACUUCAACUUCAUUUACUUUUUGUUUCUUUGCUUUCUUAGAUGCUUGUACAAUUAAGAACCAUGGUACAAAUCAAAUUAACUAGUUUAUAUAUAUAUAAAGUCACUAUAAACUUUGGUAAUUAAAUUUACUUACUAAGAUGGGAGUACGGAUGAUGACCAAAUUAGUUGGCCACAAAACUUGGUAACCAAUUGCAGCCCCAACAGUAGUAGUUUGUCCAGGAAUAGGAAUGGGAAGGGGUGCACUUGAAUCAUAAGGAGCAUCAACAACUACUAAAUAGUUGGGACCACAUUCAAGUAUAAUUGUUCCACCUGCCACUAUAUUUUCCUUGGUGCCUAUGGCUGUAGACCCCCAUUUUGGGAACCUCACUUUUGUGCAUAUUUUGCAGCUCUUUUUGCCAGGUGUCGCAGCUGUGAGCAGCCACGUGUCGACUCCCGUCUGGUUGCUAUGGCAUCAGAUGGUGGAAUCAAGGAGCAAAUAAGAGGUUGACACGUGUAAAGGAGAUUUUGCAGGCGGUUAGGAGGAGCGUAUGAGAGAGGGGAUAUUCUGCAGAAAGUGAGGUUGCUUUUGGGAGGUUGGUUAGGAGAUAUAUUCUAGGAGGGCAUAUCCGGGAGAGAACAAAAAUAAGAGAAAAGGGGAUUGGUUGGUGGAAAGGGGCUGCAGAGUGUAGUGGUGCUGGUGGCUGUUGCUGCAAAGAUGGUUGGAGGGGCAAAUCCGGGAGAGAAAAGAGAUAUCGCCUAGAAGAGGAAGGCAGCUAGGAAGGGAUGCAGGGGGGUGGAGAGUCUGUUAGAGGGGGAGCGUCUCUUGCAAGUGGGCAGGAUUUUCAUGCUGGUCUGAGAGAUUUUUCAGGCAGGGUGAGUGGAGAUAUUGAUUUUUGAGGGGAAGAGGAGAAGAUCUUUUGAGCUGAGGAAGGUAGCAGGCUGCUAAGGAUUUGGAGAGGGGAGAGCUUUUGUUUGGGUGUUUUUUUUGGGAGAAAGGAUUCUGGAGAGGAAGCAGUAAAGCUUCUUUUGUGAGAGAGAACGAGGGAGAGAGAACAGAGAAGGUGGGGGCAAAGAGCGAGAGGGGGAGCUUGGGAGAGUAUUCGUUUGGUGUGGAGCAGCAAACUGUGAGGGAGAAGUUGGAAGCUGCAAGAAAUGUGAGUUUUUGGAGAGCUUAGAGAGUGAUAUUUCUUUAGGGCAUUGCUUGACAAGCAAGCCGGACAGGAGAAGAAGUUUUCUUAGAGCUUGAGGAGAGCUCAGAGAGAAAACCAGAGGGAACUUGCUGGUGAGAAUAGGAGGGGAUAUCUUUUUCUUUUCUAGAGGUAGCAGAGUGGAGAGGAAACAAGUUUGAAGGUAAGCAUCUCGGGAGUAAAAGGACUUCCUCAGGUAUGAUUGCUAUAGGCUUAUUGAUUGUUUUUGGCUGUUUAUCACUCUCAUAUGUCUCUUGUUGAUAUUUGAAUAUUUGUUGAUUUGCUUGGGGUGGAUAAUGGAGGCCACUUAUUGCUUGUUGAAAUAUAAUCCUGCCUACAUGUUUACCACUGUUAACCUUAGUGUGUUUUGCUCCUAUUAUGAAAAUGCCCAUAGUUGCCUUUGAAAUGUUGUUUCUCACCUAAUCAGAGGGUUCACGGAUGACUCAUGAAGUGAAACCUCUGAAAAUCACCUUUACUCAUUUUCUUUUGCGUUCUUUUCAAUGGCCUUUUUCUUUGUUGUGACCAAUACUUUGCUUCUGGGCCUCGUUCAAUGUAAUGGUUGUAAAAAAAAGUAGAUCUGGGUCUGGCUGUGUACUCAUUCAGAGAUCAAAUAUGUUGGGAAGAGACUAUGAUUGGGUGAUGAGAUUCUACUAUGAGGUUCAAGGGAGGUUCAAUCGGUUCAAUGAUGCCACUCUGAAUUUGUUGAUAUCCUAUGUGUGUAGAAGAGAUGCUCAGUGGGACUCCUUUGGGUAUCAAAACUCUGUUUCUCCCAGAUAUCAGUGGCAUGCUUAAAGGUAUAUUAUCAAGUCCUGGCCUGGUUGUAAGUAUAUCUAUUUCAUCUGCUGGAUUCUUGCGAAGAAAUCUCCCUCUAGUAGUUCUGGGAAAUGGGAAGACGUCAAUGGGAAUGUGUCUGUGGUUUCUGCUCAUGAGAAUAUAUUGAGUGAUCAGCCUGAGUUGCUGCAGCGACUUGGAAAGGACCUUUCUUUUGUUCCAAUACUGAUCUAUGACCCAUUGAUAGAAGUCUACUUGGCAGAUUUUUGAAGAUGGAGAGGCUCGAAAACCAUCUAUGCAUACUGAUGUAGGUCCCGUGUCUGAGACAAGAGGUGCAGAAAAUACCGAUUAUGCUGAUUUUAAUAAUAAAAACGGUGGGAUUUCUUGGGUCUUUAUUGUGAUGGUUGCCCUAUGUCACUCCCUCAUGAGGAAGAAGACACCAAAACAGAAUAUCUCGGUGAAAUGAAUUAUGGUAUCAGCAGGGAAUGUCUCAAUGUCGUUACUGAUGAGUAAACUGACAUGGUUGCUGAGAAAGGCGUUUGUUUCGACAAGUCAACAACAGUUGAAAUCCUGGAAGCUGUUCAUAAUCCCUGUCCCGUGGCAUUUGAAUACCCAAGGCACCUGUCACUAAGCCAACCUCAUGACUCCCCAUCCGUAGUCCUACAGCCGCAAGUGUUGUUCCAUUCUUGCAUGGUCACUCACCAAAGUUUCCCUCUCCAUUGAAUCCAAAUAUCCUCACACCAAUCAAGCCCACCCACUAAUCCAAUCCAUCUUUCAUCCAUCCCACUCUCUACCCUACACGCAUGGCAAACCCAUUUUUUUCUUAAUAUCCAUCUAAACCCAUCUCUCACUCAUGUUCGUGUCUUACCCACGUUCCAGCUCACUACAUUUCUUCAUACCCAUUGCCUAUAGCCAUACCCAUAUUUCAUAAUCUCCCAUGCAUGUUCAUUUCUUGAAAACCCAUUAAACCCUCUGAACCCAUAUUUGUUUGGCCAUGUAUGGCCAUACAAGACGUUUCCACCAAGCUCAUUAUCCCUGGAUAUUCAUAUCCGUUUCCUGUAGUUGGGCACUUGUCCCAAUUCACGUGACUUCAAUGGAGGCUGUGUUGAUGGAAGAUGUCAUUGCUUUCUUGGAUUUCAUGGUCAUGAUUGCAGUGUAUACGAAUGGAUGCUUGGGCAUGAUAACUGCCUAUAGAAGGUCUAAGCCAUAUGCAGAUCCUGAUGCAAAGAAGAUUGAUGAUCAGGGUGAUGAGGAAGUGCCCAACAAGAUGCCGAGGAAUCCAAGAAGCUGCUACCAUACCCAUGUCACCAUGCCUUACAAAUCCACUCCGUUUCUCCACCACCUUUAUGGAUUCUACACCAUCACCUAUCUAUACUCAAACCGUUGCCCCAUUUCUCUCACUAAAUCCCGCCACCCAGUCCACUCAUUGAUUGAGGAGACCAUACCCAUAUGCAUGAUCGUUUUAACGCAUGCAUGACCUUCUUGAAAGACACGAAGAUGUUUGGCGCGCCUAGAGCUUGACUGGCCACAUGUGAUGAGAUUCUUCUUUGCUGCCUUCGUCACGAUGAAGCUGUGAGCAUGAUGAGAAACCUCUUUGAUCAGCGCGAAUUAGUUAGAUAUGAUGACGAGUGUAGUCUAUCACACAGAGCAACUUGUUAUUCUAGUUUGUACAAAUCGUAACAUCAAUAUGGGAAGGUAUUUAUGUGAAAGGAAGCUGCAGGUUGUGAAAUAUUAACAUUGGUCCAAAUGUAAGUGAUCCUGGCUAUUUAGAUUUGGUAAGAAUCCGCUUGCUUCAAAAGAUACAGGUGAGGGAAUGUGCUGAGUUACUUGGGAUAAGUCUAUCAUUUAGAGUCCCAUUUGAGAUUGUGGGUGAUGUCAUGCUUAUGCAACUCUCCUGCAUUCAGCAAAGAGACAAAUCAAUUGUGGAAACUCCAAGGUAGACGUCACGUGGCGCAUUGAUAGAUAUUUGUGGAGUUUUUCAACUAGUUCAAAGGUGUCAUUGCAUGAAGAAUAACUGUAGCCAAGGAAAGGGCUGAUCUGGACGUUCUCUAUAUCAGAGCAUCAAAAUGGGAAUAUCAAGGUGCCGCUAACACACUCAUCACUAUCAUGUUUGCACAAUCAAAAGAGGAUGGAGUCGACCUAAUCGAACACGGACAGACCCAGACUGAAGACUUGCUGAGAACAGAGGCUCAGGCUUUGGGGUUAAGGUAAUUUCAAUAUGCCUAGGGAUUCUCAUUUGUGCCACUCAGACUCAAAAUAACCUCUGUAAGAAAGGAAGAGGGAUGAGAAAGCUGGCUACAGAGAUUCAAAGGAGAGUCACUACGAUUCAAGCUUCUUGGAUAACAUGCUGUUCAGAGAGUUUGCCAUAGAGUUUUGAGUUUUUGUUGUGAAAAGAUGGAUGAGAAUAUGUCGGUUGGUUGUGAGUAAGAAUUUCUAUGCUCGGCAUGCCAAGUCAGUAAUAGUUGAAGAUGGGAUCUAAAGGGCAAGCAAGGCUCAUAGCAUCGUGGCCUGAUUCAGUGACUAUUCUGGCAUCCAGUCAAACCUUCAGGGCAUGUAUCGCAUGGUCACCUUCAGGCAUACUACUUUGCCCAUGUGUCCUUCUCACUUCCUCCUUUCAUCUAUUUUAAAAAAAUAAUUUCCCACACUCUCAUUCCUCAAAAAUAAUUUUUCAAUUUCCAUUUUGUAAAUAACUCUUCAAAUUUUGAUUUUCAGAUAAAUUUCAACUCUCCUCCUUCAUCCUUAGAACCCCUUUGGUUCCAAAGUCUCUUUUUCCAAUAAAUCUUUGUUGCCAUAUUUCCUUUCGGCAUACAAUUUUCACAAUUCUUUUGUUUUUUAAAAUGUUUUAAAAUAAGCUAAAAUCAAAUUCCAUAAUUCUAAGUGAUAGAGUUUGCGGAAUUGAUUUAUGCAAAAAUGAAUCGGGCUUUGAUGGAGGCCCCACAUAUUUGACUUCAUGAUUGAUUGACUGAUUGAUAGAUUUAUUUGCCAUGCUUGAUUGGUUUACUCUAUUCCUUGAUAUGCGCUUAAUUAUAUCUGUUCAUUGUUCACUAAUCAUGUUUCAUGAUAGCGCGUUCGUGAUUGCCGCCCAGGUGCGCAUCUAUUCAUAUUUCGCCUAUUCUUUAUACAUGCUUUACUUCUCAUAUUGUGCAUGAUCAAUUUGAGUAUUCAUCAAUUUUCUCAUUGAUUGCCAUGUUAGCUUCAUUCUAUUAGUAGAGACCCGACUUUAGGGACUUAGAGGGGUGCUACGGUUUUUACCGUACCUUCCCGAUAAGUAACCUGACCCCCGAACCCGAUCCGGUUUUUCACAGACCGCCUUUUCCAAAAUAAGGAGUCACACUUAGGGUUUUUCUUUCUUAUUUUGUUUACCCUUUAAAAAUAAAACAAAAAUAAGUGGCGACUCCAAGUCAUUUUUCUUAAUCAAAUAAAAUCAAUUUUUCAAAUAAAAAUCGAGCUCGCCAUCGAGUGGGAAACGCAUUGAGCCGAAAAUGCGGGGUCCACAAUGGCCAGCUCACAUUUUCUAACCUACAAAACUCAAUUCACAAUAAUCACUUCAAUAUUAGUGGGUUUAUACAAAACUAACAUAAAUGCAUUAUCAUCAUCAAUCACCUUAUAGCUCCUAUUACAAUGAUAAAUGCAAUUUCAUUUACAUUCAAUUGCAACAAACUUGCAUGAUAACAUUUCAGUCCAUUGCAUAUAACUCAACCCAUAAUUUAGACAUAUCCUAUUAUAUGUUGCCACAUCAAAGAAGACCAUAUAUGUUGCCACCAACAUUUGAAGUCAAUUCAAACAACAAAAUUAAAUUAAAUUAUUUCUCGUAUUAGAGGAAACUUUGUCAUCAAAUUAGCUUAAUUGAAUAAAUACCUUCUUCUGUGGUUCUAUUGCUUCUGGUGGGGUCACAUCUUCAACUUUACGGAUUGCCUUAUCCACUGCUUCUGGUAGGAGAAGUUGUUUUUGCUUCAUGUUUGAACUACUAACAUCAGAUUGGGGAGUAACAACUCCUACUUGAGUCAGUUUUGCUAGCACUUCUGCCUGAAAUAUUCUUUGUUCUUCUUUAGAUGCUGCUAUGAAAUCCCUGACAGCACGAUCUACAGCACUAUUGAAAUAUUGGCGAGGUGUGUAGUGCUUCCCUUUGGCCCUAACUCGACCACUAUACUCAGGAGUACCCAAUGCUUCCACAAGUAUAUCAUUACUUCCACUAACACUUCUACCAUUCUCUUGAGACACUUUCAAUAGCUUGUCCUUAAAAAAUAUUAAUUAUAAAGUUAAAUUGCAAAUUUGUUAUUGUAAAUAACUUAUUAUAAAUAUAUGUAAUUAAAAUUGAAAAAUAUUCACUUACUAUUUUCUCAAUUACUGGUAUGGCCACUUCAUCAAAGGUGUCGUCCUUUUUUUCCCUUGCUUUCUUCCAUAAUAUGCUUCGAUCAAUAGUUUCAGUUGAUCCACUUGCAACCAUCUUUCAAAAUAGGACAAUGUAUAAUAUAAUUAUCAUAUAACCCUAUUAUGUAUUAUGCAUAAAAUAAAUAAAAAACAAUUAAUAGGCUUAUACUUACCAUCUCUUCCUCAAGACCGGCAUAUCCUUUCCUACUUAGAUGGUGAUUAUAAAUGUUUCUCUUUCUUCUUUCUUUUUGAAUUUCUCGAUAUUCCUAUAAAUUAAAAUUUUAUAAUUAAUGAAUGUGAAUAAGAGGUAUGUAAAGAGUCUUAAUUAUACCUUAAAGUUGUCAGACAAUCUAUCUUUGACAAAUAUUGUCCAAUCUUCAUCCUCAAUAAAAGUAUAUUGAAUUGGUGGUCUUUUGAGGAGCUCCGGUUGGUCUUCGAAAGGAAGAAUGUACUUCACUGUUAGCAAGUUCUUAAAGGACCAAAAGCAUUUUCCCAUUGUUACCAUACAAUUCCUCCUGCUUUUAUGAUUUAAUGAAAAAGCAGUUUGCACAUUAAUACCAAACUUUAGUAAUUUCAAGAGGUUAAGAAUGAUAGACAUUUUGCAUCAAAGUGAUUUAAAUAAGAAAUGGUUACCUCAAUGUUGUCCCAUAACUUAUCCUUCAACUGUUUAGGUACAACAUGCCAAUUUUUAUAUCUUAUUGGCACCAUAGUGCGUGCUAACACGCCUAAGUAGCUUGUUAGAUGAACUGCUGAUUCUCCUAUGAAAAUGCCAUCAAGAUUGUACUUAACCGGCAACUUAACCCCCUUGCUUCUGUUUUUUAUAAUCAUAUGCUUCUGUGUCAUCCCUCUGUACUUCCUUUUUAUGGGUUUUUCUCCUUUCUUUGUCUCCAUUCUUGUAACAAAAAAAAAAUAAAAAAUGAUAAAGAUUAGUUAAAAUUAUAUUGCAUAUAACCUAGUCAAAGAAUAAUUGUAAAACAUAACUUUUCAAAGAAACAAAUCCAUAAUCAUUGUACAAUGAAAUGCAAUAGAUCAUGAAUUCAAUAGAUCUUUUUAGAAUUGUUCAUCAUAUAACAAGGAUAACACUUCAUUUAAACUUUUUUUUGUCCCGUUUUGUUUAACAUUUCAUUUAUUUUAAGCAACCCAAGGGCCUUUGUAUAAGAAAGCUAAAUUUGCAGUAGGAAUUUCCUAUAAGAAUCAACAUGGAAGGAGCACGUGGUUUCAACAAGUUCAUCAAGUCCAUAAGAACUUAUGAAAGCUUUUGGACUAUCGGUUUGCGUUACAUUAAGUUUGGAAAACACAACAUGCAUAUUGAUAAUAAAAAAUUUCAUAAUUUUUUUACUCACAAACAUAACUAAUUUAGUAUCUUCCAUGCACAAUUUAGGGAAAAGGUUUUAGUAAAUAUGUUAUUGGGAGAUGUUAAAGAAUGGUCAAUAUUUUGUGCAAAAAAAUAAAGAAAGGAUAAAAAUUACCUAUUUUGUGGCUGUUGCAACCCAUUCCAUGGCCUUUAUUCAUACAUUAGCAUUAAAAUACAGCUACAUAGAGGAUUUGUUCUCAAUCCAAAUCCCCUCACAAUCGCCUCGCAUACAUGUUGCAUCUGAGUCAUCCAUUACAUCAAGCGCUUCAAUUUGUGGCAAUGCCCCUAUAAAGGGAUGGUGUUUAAUCGAAUUGUCAACAAAGUCUUCACCUCCUUCCAUAUCCAAGAAAUCUUUUUGAGGAGUUGACAAAACAACUGACCAUCUUGGAUCAAGUUGGUCUUGCACAUAAAAUACUUGCUUAGCUUGGGAUGCCAAAAUGAAAGGAUCUGAUUUAUGAGCAAUUUUGCUAAAGUCAACUAAUGUAAAGCCAAGAUCAUCAACUUUUAUGCCAUUUUUAUUAUCAACCCUAUCACACUUGAAAACUGGUAUCCUAAACAUGGUAUAAUCAAGGUCCCAGAUCUCGGUAAUAAUGCCAUAGAAACAAAGCUCACCAAACACUGGAUUUUGAUCAUUUGCACUUGCGAUUUGCAUUGUUGAAGCUACAAUACUAACUCCACUAUUUUGGGUAGUUCGUAAGUCAUCUCGUUCCUUGGUAUGGUAUCGACACCCAUUAAUGACAUAUCCAUGAUAUUUAGAGACAUAAUAGCUAGGACCAUGAGCUAUCCACUUAAGGGUUUCAGAUAUAGGUUCAUUAUUACCAAUUGCAGCUUCAAUAUGUAAUUAUAAAUAAUAGUUAUUAUGUAUGUUAAACAUUAGUAAAAAGAAUACUUCACAUUUUAACACCAUUCCAAUACCUUUUUUCUCAACCAAUAAGUAAAAGUCCGCAGGUGUUCAUCCUGGAGCCACUUUUGUCUUUUUGAUUGACGAGGAUUUUUCAAUUUCAACCAUUCCAUGUGCUCUCUAUGUAAUUAUUUAUAAGAAAUUCAAAGUUAAUGUCUUAAAGUUAUUUUAAGUAUCAGACACAAAUAUUAAGUGUUAGUGGUUCUUACUCAAUAUAAGGUUGAACAAUAGUUGUAUUCUUUAAAACAUAAUGAUGUGCAUGUAACCACAAAUUGGAAUCAAUUGUCACAACUUGACCUCCAAGUAUUGGUGCCCCAACUUUUUGGUCAAUGUUUGCACUAAUAGGAAUCCCAAUCGCAUCCACAUUUGACAAAUACUCUAUACAAAAUUCAACAGCUUUCUCUGCAAUAUAGCAUUUAGCGAUACAACCUUCGGGCCGAUUACGGUUUCGUACAUACCCUUUCAAAACUUUCAUGAAUCUUUCAAAUGGGUACAUCCACCUUAGGUAAACUGGUCCACAAAGUCUCACCUCCCUUACAAGAUGUACAGUAAAAUGAAGCAUGAUAUCAAAGAAGGAAGGUGGAAAGUACUUCUCAAGCAAGCAUAAUGUCACCACCAAAUCAUUUUGUAACUUAUCCAGUGCAGACACAUCAACCACUUUGCUACAUAGAGCAUUGAAAAAAAACUCAAUCUACAAAUAGCAUGCCUUACAUGCUUUGGAAAAAGGGAUCGUAAUGACAUUGGCAAUAACUGUUGCAUUAAUGUAUGAUAGUCAUGCGAUUUAAGACCAUAAAGCUUCAAGUCUUCCAUUGACACAAGGUUUCUCAUGUUAGAGCAAUAACCUUCAGGAACCUUUAAUUGUGAUAAAGUUUGGCAAAAAACCUUUUUCUCCACUUUAGAUAACGUAUAACAUGCAGGUGGGAGAUAAGUUCGAUUUGAUUCAAACCUUGGCCCUAAUUCACACCUUAAGCCCAUCUCUAGCAAGUCUAGGCGAGAAUUAAGUCCAUCUUUCGUCUUACCUGGAAUGUUGAGUAAGGUACCAAUGAUGCUUUCACAAACAUUCUUCUCUAUGUGCAUUACAUCCAAGCUAUGACGAACAUGUAGGUAUUUCCAAUACUCAAGAUCAAAGAAUAUGGACUUUUUUUUCCAACAAUUUGUAGUAUUGACAUUCAACUUGCCUCGGGAGUUUUUAUUUUUUCCCCAUGAAUUAGAAAUGACAUCAAUUUUCCUUAGGAUUUCCUUUCCACUCAAUGGUUGCGGAGGUGAGCUAAACUCUUGUUUACCAUUAAAUGCCUUCUUUUGUUUCCUAAAAGAAUGGUUGCAAGGAAGAAAUCUUCUGUGACCUGUAUAUGAGUUCUUUUUCCCAUGCUUCAAUAUGUGAGAGAAUGUAUCUUGCCCACAUAUGGGACAUGCAAAAUAUCCUUUAACUACACAACCAGAUAAGUUUCCAUAUGCAGGAAAAUCAUUGAUUGUCCAUAGUAGAACAACUCUUAAUGUAAAGACCUUUUGCUGAUGCACAUCAUAACAUUCAACCCCUACAUUCCACAACAUUUUUAAGUCAUCCAAUAAUGGUGCUAAAUAAACAUCAAUGUCAUUUCCAGGUUGUCGUGGACCUGAUAUUAAUAAAGAUAGCAUCAUAAACUUCCUUUUCAUGCACAACCAAGGAGGAAGGUUGUAAAUGACCAUUAUAAUAGGCCAACAACUAUGUCUACUGCUCAUUGAACUAUGAGGAUUUAUACCAUCUGCUGAAAUGGCAAGUCUAAGGUUUCUAGGUUCUGAAGCAAAAUCAGGCCAUCUGUGAUCAACUAGCUUCCAUGAUGGGGAGUCAGAUGGAUGACGUAUUUUACCAUCAAAUUCUCUUUCUUGAGCAUGCCAUAUGAGGUCUUUUGCAAUUUUUGGGGACUGAAACAAUCUUCUAAAUCUUGGAAUAGGAGGAAAAUACCACAUUACUUUUGCAGGGACUCCCUUCCUCUUUUUAGUACCUGUUCCAUCUAACUUCCACCUUGAAGUUCCACAAGUAGGACAAGAAGUUGCAUCAUUCAACUCAUUUCUAUACAAUAUGCAAUCAUUGGGACAUGCAUGUAUUUUCUCAUAUUCCAUUCCCAAUGUAUUCAAUGUUUUUUUUGCUUCAUACAUAGAUAGAGGCAACUCAUUAUUUAGAGGCAACAUAUCUCCAAGAAUACUUAAAAGCUCUGAAAAGCUUUUAUCAGACCAUCCAUAUCGUGCUUUUAGGUUGUAUAAUUUGACCAAUGCAGAUAACUUUGUAAAGUUUCUACAACCAGGAUAUAAAGGUUUUUGAGCAUCUUCAAGUAAUGUUUCAAACAAUUUUGGGUCAUUCUUACGAUCAUCAUAUGCAACUUGAACUGUUUCUAUUGUACUAUCCACAUCGUUAAAUUCAACUGUAUGAUGCCAUUCUGCCCUACUAGUUGGUGGUCCACUUGGAGCAGCGUCUCCAUGCCAAUACCAUGUAUGGUAACUCUAAUCAAUUCCAUAGAAGAAUAAAUGUUCUCUAAUUUUUUGAGGAGUGUGGAAUAUCGUAUUACCACACUGAAGGCAUGGACAUUUCAUGGAGUUUUUAUAUGUGGAAUAUUGUAAUGCAAAUGCGAUAAAGCUUUCUACCCCAUCUGCAUAAUCCUUUGAUCUCCUAUCCUUUGACAUCCAAGAACGAUCCAUUUGAUGUACAAGAGAUAAACACAACUCCUAGAUACCACCAACAACUAAAGUUAUUAAUAAAAUCCUAUUAACAGGCUUAAAAUAUAUAAUCUACCAAAUUAAAAUUUCCCACAUUGUCACAAAACUUAGACCAAUCCAAAAAACGACAAUGUGCAAGUCAUCUAACAAUAAGCAAUAUGACAAGAAACAUAAUUAGUAUAUUAGGUUAUUCAAUAUUAGCAUAAAAAAUGGAUCUUAGUUCAUUCAUGAUGUUUGCUUUAUUCAUGAAUAGGAAUGAAAAGCAAGAUCUAACUUUUAGUCUUCUCUUAUAUUAUUGAAUACACUAAGUUUGAAAAUUUUAAAAACACAUAACCACAUGAGACAAUGAUACCAUGAACUAAAACAAUUAACGAAUGGAACUAAGAUUCGAAUGAAUAGAAGCAAGUGAUUUAUACAUGAUUUAGGCAUUCUAACAUCUCCAACAUCCUUAAUUAGGUGGUGGUUCCUAUCCCAUAUAGGAAUACAUAAUCCCUGUGUCAAUUGCCAAUAUACUUAAAUUCAUUUUAAAGAAAUUUCGGCAACAUUUCCCUAUAGUUCUCCAAGUACACAAAAUGGAUAAGGCACAAUAUGUGACCUUGUCCAAAUAUGCACCCAAAGAACAAGAAGAAAGACUACCAAAUUUUCUAAAAAUUGAAUUAAGAACAAGCAAUUAACUUCAUAGAUAUCAUGUUUUCCUAUACUGUCCAACUGGACAAUUCAAACAUCAUUUGCAGAGAAAAGAUCUUUAUCACAUGGAAGACAAAUUUAGUAGUUGUCAACUUGAAACUGGCUUAAAUAUACCCACAUUUCACAUUUUGACAACUUAUUGUCUUAGUAUGUAAUAAGAGAAACUUCUGUCUCACAAUGAUACUUGAAUGGGAAUUCUAAGGUUUCAUGCAUGCAUAGUUGAUUAAAACUAAAACAUAAAUACUUAUUAAAAUAUUACAUCUAGUUAUGUAUUAUAAAUUAUUCAUAUCAAUUGCAAUGGUGAGAAUAGGAAAAUAUUGUUUGUAAGCAUCACAUUUUAGGCCUAAGUUCACAAACUUUGCUAAAUCCAUUAAAGACCCACUACAUAAAGUUCAUGUUAAAAUUGGUUCAUCUCCAACCCCCAAAAUGAUUUAUCAAAGUUACUCAUUUUUUAGAGUCUUGAUUAAUUAGAUAAUCAAUAUAGAUACAUAUAAUUUGUAUUAAUAUAAUAUCAUGAUAUUUUUUUCAUUUUGUUAUUAGGCUUAGACUUGGGUAGAUUUCCCAAGUAAGGCUAAAGUAGAGCUAAGCUGCACCUUGACAUGUGUUCUACUUAUGUUGGGGGUGACCAUUCUAGUUUGGUGGAACAUCCAUGAAUGUUAUCGGUGGAACAUCCAUGAAUGUUAUCUUCUUGAUUUGGAGUAAGAACUUCAUUUUCUCAAUCGAAAUUGGCUGGAGCUUGCUGGUUCAGUUAGAGACAGAUUUGGUAAUGAAACUUGAGUGUGGGCAUCGGGUGAGGAAAAGGCUUUAUUACAUUUAUCUCUUUUUUUUAAUUGAAAAAUGUGAGUAAUUAUAAAAUGAACAGAAAAUGUCGCUUUUAAAAGCACCAAGGUUGAGGUUCUCCUACAAUGGCACUUAAAAAAGCGUCAUUAUUUGAAAUGCAUUGUACAAUGACGCUUUUAAAAGCGCCAAGGUUGAGGUUCUCCUACAAUGACACUUAAAAAAGCGUCAUUAUUUGAAAUUCAUUGUACAAUGACGCUUAAAAAAGUGCCAUUAUUUAAAAACGUCAUUAUUUCUCCCAUUAAAGCGCCAAGAUAAUGCAAGCGUCAUUAAUACCCAUUUUUGAGAAUAAAUAAUAGCACUUUAUAUAAGCGUCAAGAAAAAAAGCGUCAUAAAUUACAUUUUUUGUAGUAGUGACAAGAACUUGAUGGUCGCGGCAUUGUCGGCGACGCACGUGGCGGAAAGUCGACAGCCUGGACUAACUUUGAGAACCUUCGGCGAUGCCUCUCUCACCUCCGCUUUCUCCGUCAUAGUCUUCCUGAGGUGAAGAAGAAGAGCACAUGGCUGAAAGGCCCAAAGAGAAUGAGAAUGGAUUUGGGUUUUAGUAAGUUGGACCCAAAAGAGAAGCCCAAGUUUGUGAAGGCUUUAAUUGCCUUGGGCUUGCCCAUUGAUAUCUUUGGACCUGAGCUUGAAUUGGGGCACUAGGCCCAACUUGGUGAUGGAUUAUUGUAUUAGGUUUGCCCAAUGAAGACAUUGGACUUGGGCUUGAGUUGGAGCCCAAGCCCAGUUCGUGUGGAUGAUAGGCUCCAUGCCAAUCCUUCAAAUCAUUAUCCCAUAUUUAUUAUUUAUUCAAAGUCCAAUCUAUAAAAAAAGGUCACAUGUUUUAAUUUAAUUCUUCGAAUACUCUUUUAAAUCUCAUAUUUAUCAAUUAGAACUACUACCCUAUAUUCUCCUAUCUAUCUAUGUCAAUCCUUCAAAAAUCCUAAGAUUUAAUUUAAUUCUUGUUUAAAUCAUAUUUUCAUAAAUCAAAUCAUUAUCCCGUAUUUAUUAUUUAUUCAAAGUCCAAUCUAUAAAAAGGGUCACAUGUUUUAAUUUAAUUCUUUGAAUACUCUUUUAAAUCUCAUAUUUAUCAAUUAGAACUACUACCCUAUAUUCUCCUAUCCAUCUAUGUCAAUCCUUCAAAAAUCCAAAGUUUUAAUUUAAUUCUUGUUUAAAUCAUAUUCUCAUAAGUCAAAUCAUUAUCCUGUAUUUAUUAUUUAUUCAAAGUCCAAUCUAUAGAAAAAAGGUCACAUGUUUUAAUCUAAUUCUUCGAAUACUCUUUUAAAUCUCAUAUUUAUCAACUAGAAUUAUUAUCCUAUAUUCUCCUAUCUAUCUAUGCCUAUUCUUCAAAAACCUCACACUUUAAUUUAAUUCUUCAAGUACUUGUUUAAAUCUUAAUCUCAUAAAUCGAAUCAUCAUCCCGUAUUAUUAGUUGUUCAAAGUCUAAUCCAUUAAGAAAAUCCCAUGCCAUAAUUUAAUUCUUCAAAUACUCGUUUAAAUCUUAUGUCCAUCAAUGGGAAUUAUUAUCUUAUACAUUCAUUUAUUAUCUAGCCUAACCCUUCAAAAAUCCCAUGUUUUUUAAUUUACUUCUUCAAAUACUUGUUUAAAUCAUAUUUUCAUAAAUCGAAUUAUUAUCCCAUGUUUAUUUAGUUAUUCAAAGUCUAAUCCCUCAAAAAUCCCCUGUCUUAAUUUAGUUUCUCAGUAAUUCGUUGGAAUCUUGUUUUCAUCAAUUAUGAUUAUUAUCUCAUAUUCGUCUAUUUAUUUAAAAACUAGUUCUUCAAAAAUCUCAUGUCUUAAUUUAAUUUUUCAAUCCUAAAAAUUCUGCAAUUCAUCUAAAUUUUAUCCUCACUCAUUAGAAUCGUUAUUCCAUAUCUAUUCAAAGUCCAAUCUUUUGAAAACCCCCUGUCUUAAUUCAACUUUUGAUCCCAGAAAUGCCAUUAUUCGUCAAAAUUUUAUUCUUGUUAAUUAGGAUUCUUGUUCCGCAUCUAUUUAUUUAUAUAAGGUCCAAUUCUUGAAAAAUCUAAUUUCUGAAUUAAAACUUCAAUCCCAAAAAUUCUACUACCCAUCUUUAUUCGCCUAAAUAUUAUUCUCGUUAAUUAGUAUUAUAAUCUCAUACCUACCCAUUUAUUCAAAGCCUAAUCCUUUAAAAAUCCAAUGCCUUAAUUCAAAUUUUCAAUUAGAAAACUUCCACUAUUUUAUUCGUUCAAACAUUAUUUUUGUUAAUAAAUAUCAUUAUUCCAUAUUUGUUUAUUUAUUUAUUUCAAUCAUUAAAAUUCAACUCUUCAAAACCGGAUUUCCAAAUUUAACCUUUAGACUAAAAAACAAAAAAAUUCCACCAUUCACUUUUAUUAAUUUAAAUAUCAUCUUUGUUAUCGUUAUCAUAAAUUCCACGUUUACUUAUUUCUUUCUUCUAAAAAUUCCAAUAAUUAGAGUUUAAUUAUUCAGAGGUCCGACUUUCAAACUUAAUUCUCAAAAUCCCACUAUUCACUAUUCAUCCGUCCAAAUAUCGUUUUGAUUAAUUAGUAACAUUACUCCAUACUUACCCAUUUGUUUCUCUUAAAAAUCUCAAUCAUUAAAGUCUAAUUCUUCAAAUUCCGAUUUUUAAAUUUAGCUAUUUGAAAUUCCAAUUGUCCUAUCUCCGAACUUAAUUUUCAGUUUCCCAUGCUCCAAUUCCCGUAUUUAUCCCGCUACUUAUUAUUAUCAUUAUCACUAUCAUCUUAUUCAUUAUUUCUAUAAAUCCUACCUUCGAAUGAUUUCCAAGACCUCUAAUUUUUAUACAUCAACUUUCAUAAUUUCUACUUCUCAAAUAACUUACGAUUCUGAUCCCUUUCAAAAUUUAACUCCCAUAAUCCCAAUUUUUGUAACUUAGUUUUUCUUAAAAAUCCCGAACUUUCAAAUAAUUCUUCAAAAUCCCAAUUUUAUUUCAAAUUUAAUUUCUAAAAGUUCUCAUUCUUACAUCUAAUUCCUAAGAAUCCAAUUUUCAAAUAAUCUCUAAGAUUCCGAUUCUCAAAUGAAUUUCAAAAACCCAGUUUUCCUUCGAACAAUUUUAAUCCCUGUUUAGUGAUGCAUGUGAUAUGUUUUGUGCUCUAUAUGGUGUACUAACCCUCUCUAUUGAUAGCGCAUGGUGACUCGUUGCCCAGGUAUGUACCCAUUUUCCCUCUAAUCGUUGUCUAUGCAUGUCUCGAUUUUUAUGUGUGCAUGAUCAUUCAGAAUAUUCAUUGAUUUACUUAUCAAUUGCCACGUUAGCUUCAUUUUAUUAGUAGAGCCCCACUUUAGGGACUUAGAGGGGUGCUAUGGUCUUCACCGUACCUUCCCGAUAAGUAACCUGACCCCUAGCCCGAUCCGGUUUUUUAUAGAUCACCUUUUCCAAAAUAAGGAGUCGCACUUAGGGUUUUCUUUCUUAUUUUGUUUACCCUUUUUUUAAAAAUAAAACAAAAAUAAGUGGUGACUCCAAGUCAUUUUCUUAAUCAAUUAAAUUCUUUUGUUCAAAUUAAAAUCGAGCUCGCCAUCGAGUGGGAAACGCAUGAGCCGAAAUGUGGGGUCCACACUUGUACAUCCCAUAAAAUGACAUUAUGCUUUUAUCUAGAAGUAUUUGAUUUUAAUGUCAAUAAUUUAAAACCAUCCUUAAUAAUUAAUAAUAAAAUAAUAUAUAAUUAUAAAAAAAAUAAAUUUUUUAAAUUAAAAUCAUUUAUUUUGUUUUUAACUUUUACUUUAUAUAUAAAAGAAAUAAAAAAAAUUGAAUUUGGUUUGUAUUGAUUAUACAAAAUAUAAAAAUAGAUUUAUCAUGUACAACCAUAACAUUGUUAGUCUUCUUAUGAAAGCCUAAAAAUAAAUCCAAAUUCUAAAUGCAUAAGAUUAAAAGAAAAAAAACAAAAAAACAAAAAAAAAGCAUGAAAACAUUUGAGAACCAUAGUAUAAGUCUUCAUCAUACAAAAACAUAAAAUUUAAUCCUAAUUGUAAAUGUAUAAGAUAAAAAAAAUAAAAAUCAUACUUUUUUAAUAAUAUUAUAUUUUACUUUUAAUAUGUAUAUGAAUUUAUAAUAUAAUAAUUAACAUUUUAAUAAUAAUUUUCUUCGAUUCUUCUUCUUUUUUCUUUUUGUUAAUUUUCUUCUUAAUAUUUUUUAGAGAUAUACAAAGGCUAUGGAUCACUUCAAAGAAAAUAUAUAUUUUCAUAAAUUAUAUUAGUAAUUAUUAUAAUUCUAAAUAUAAUCUAUUAUAACAUUUUUUUCUUUUUAAAACACCAUAUAUUUAUAAGACCAAAAGAGAUUGGUUUCUUUAUAUUUAUCUUAUUUAAAAUAUAAAAUAUUUAAUCAAGUAUUUUUUAAGUAAUCUUGAAAUUUUUUUAAAAGAAUAAAAUCUCAAAAUAAAAACUUGUCCUAAAACUUGUUGUUUUAUACUUGGAAACUUUAAACCAAUUAUCAAAGUUUUAAAUAAUUAAUCUUUUAUAACAUUUUUACUUCUUAUAUAAAACACUAGAUAUCUAUAAAACUAGAAGAAAUUGAUUUCUUUAUAUUUAUCUUAUUUAAAAUUAAAUAAUAUUUAAUUAAGCAUUUAUGAAGUAAUCUUCAAAAUUUUGAAAAUAAUAAAAAUUAAAAAUAAAAAACUAUCCCAAAAUUUUUUACUUCAGAAUUGGAAAAUAUUUAAAGAAUUGGUAAGUAAUAUUGUAAAAUAUUAAAUGGAAACAAAAAUAAAAAAAGAAAUCAAAAUAAAAAGUUUUCCUAAACUCUCCACAAAAAUCCUCUAUUCUGUUUCUCCUUAAAUAGCAUCUCCAUUAUUUCAAGCCCAUCACCAUAUUCAUUGUCCAUCACCACAGACUGCCAUCAACUACUGUUGUUGAGCAUGGACUACUGUUGUUGCUGACCAUGGACUGUUAUGGAAUACUACUAUUGCUGAUUGUGGACUGUUGUUGUUGCUGACCUUGGACUGCUUCUAUUGAUCGCUUGUUAUCGUGGUCCCAUGGUGCUUUACAACAUUGCAAAAAAAGCAAAUCAGGUAUGUUAUCACCACUUUAUAUUUUUAUUUUAUUUAUUUUUAGAAUUUCUUGCUUAUUAAUUAAUUAGAUACAGAAAAAUAUUCUAUGAGCUUUUGAUUUUUACCUUUUCUUGAAUAAAUACUUUGUUGUGUUUUGAGUUAUGUAAUAGGAGUUGUUUGUGGCCUAUUAUUAAUGAAUUCAUCAAUGCUGUUAUCAACUUACCACCAAUUAUUCAGCCCUAACCAAUAUUUAAGAGAGUGAGAUCUUGAUUAUACAUCAUAAUAUCUAUCAUUAAAGUUGUUACAUACACACAAAUUUAUAUAUUAUUCUUUUAAGGGAAUUCAAUUAGCGAAAAUGAAAUAAAGAAAAUUAAAUUAAUAUCAUGUGUGAAAUAUUUUUUUUUUAUAUGGUUAUAGAUGAAAUGAAAAAUAUAAAGUUUUGUUAUUUUAUUAUUGUAGUUAUAGUUCAAUAUAUAAGCUCAUAGAAAAAUAUUCUAUGAGCUUUUGAUUUUACCUUUUCUUGAACGAAUACUUUGUUGUGUUUUGAGUUAUGUAAUAAAAGUUGUUUGUGGCCUAUUAUAAAAGAAUUCAUAAAUGCUGUUAUCAACUUACCACCAAUUAUUCAACCCUAACCAAUAUUUAAGAGAGUGAGAUCUUGAUUAUACAUCAUAAUAUCUAUCAUUAAAGUUGUUACAUACACACAAAUUUAUAUAUUAUUCUUUUAAGGGAAUUCAAUUAGCGAAAAUGAAAUAAAGAAAAUUAAAUUAAUAUCAUUUGUGUGAUAUAUUUUUUUUAUAUGGUUAUAGAUGAAAUGAAAAAUAUAAAGUUUUGUUAUUUUAUUAUUGUAGUUACAGUUCAAUAUAUAAGUAUAUUUAGAAACCCACUUUAUAAGUUAUUUAAAACAUUAAACCAAUUUUCCAUUAGAAUUGGUAAUAAGCGUAAAGAAUGAAUAAAGUAAAAAGUGUAAAUAAGGAAUAGGGUUGUUCGAAAUAUGCAUAUAAAAACAUUAGUAGGUCAAAAUAUAUGACCAACCAUGACUAGCUAUCCUUUUAUGUAAGUUAAUUUAUUUAUCUUGGAUAUUGAGCCAAUUGUCAAGGAAAAUAUAAAAUAUUUAUAUUUAGUUAUAAAGUAGUAAAUAAUGAAAUUCAUAUUUUAAGAUUGGAGUAAAAUGAAAUUUGUAUCAUUUUUACCUCAACUAUAUUGUUUUGAUAUUUAUAUUAAAUAUUGACACUAAUUUUGAAAAUUGUGGAUUUGAGAAAAAAAACUUCACUUUUUCAAAGAGGUUAUUUGUAUCAAAUUACAAUAAAAAACUAUUUAAUUAUUAUUUAUAGGCAUAAAAAAAAAUAUUUAUUGAAUAAAAAUUAAUUUAUCACCAGCUUGUUUGGCAUUUUAAUGCUCCUAUAAUUUGGGCUUGACAAAAAUUUACCUUUUAUUCCUUGUUUUAUAUAUACGUUUUUUUAUUUAUGUAUUGAUUUUUAUGAGAAAAUAAUUCAUAGACAUAUUUCCUACUUAUAAAUUCAAGAUAUAUAACAUAGAUUCAUAGUAUAGUUUAGACAUUUCAAAAGUUAAGAUUGGGGUAAAAUAAAGUUUUGUAUCAUUUGUACCUCAACUAUAUUAUUUUGACAUUUAUAUUAAAUAUUGACACUAAUUUUGAAAAUUAUAGAUUUGAGGAAAAAACUUCACUUUUUCAAAUAGGUUAUUUGUAUCAAAUUACAAUAAGAAACUAUUUAAUUAUUAUUUAUUGGCAUAAAAAAAAUAUAUUUAUUGAAUAAAAAUUAAUUUAUCACUAGCUUGUUUGGCAUUUUAACACUCCUUUAAUUUGGGCUUGACAAAAAUUUACGUUUUACUCCUUAUUAUAUAUAUAUAUUUAUGUAUAUAUAUUUAUUUAUGUAUUGAUUUCUAUGAGAAAAUAAUUCAUAAAUAUAUUUAUUUAUUUAUGAUUUUAAUUUAAAAUUUUUAUUUCUUUUAUAAUUAUAUAUUAUUUUAUUAUUAAUUAUUAAGGAUAGUUUAAAAUAUUGACAUUAAAAUCAAAUACUUCUAGAUAAAAGCAUAAUGUCAUUUUAUGGGAUGUACAAGAUUACGUAAAUAAUAGAUGCUUAUACUAUUAUAGAAUUAACUAAAACUUUUAUAAAAAUCUUUAUAAAGGAUUAAUUUUAAAAAAUAUAAAUUUAUUGUCUUAUAUAGUUAACAUUAGAAUUUUCUCUCUCUAAAGAAUAACCAUAAGAAAUAUCUAUAAAAAAUUAAGUAAAUGAGAUGAUUUUAUAGAAAAGAUGAGAUUGGUAAAACAUUAUAUUGUUAAAUUAUUAAAAGAGAAAUGAGUUUUUUUUUUUAUUUUUAUUUUUAUCAACUUUAAGUCAUAUAUAAAUUUUUAUAUUUCUUUUAAAAAAAUCAAUUAGAAAAUUAAGAAAAAAGAAGAAGAAUUGAAAUAAAUUAUUAUUAAAAUGUCACUAUCUUAUAAAUUCAUAUAUGAAUUAUAAUAAAAAUAUAAUAUUAUGAAAAAAUCAAUGUAAGUUACUAUUAAAAUUUUAUUAUCUUUUACAUUUAGAGUUUGGAUUCAUUUUUUCACUUUAAUACGAAGAAGACUAAUAGAGUUAUGGUUGUCAAACCCCUUUUUAUAUUUUUGUAUAAUCAAUUUAAUCCAAAUUUGACUUUUAUAGAUAUAUAAAAUAAAAAUUUAUAUACAAAAUAAGUUAUUUUAAUGUAAUAUUUUUUUAAUUUUUUUUAUACUUUAAUUUAGAAUAUUGACAUUGAAAUAAAUUACUUACAAAUAAAGACAUGAGAUGAUUUUAUGGGAACAACAAAAGUAGGUAAGUAAUAAAUGUUUAUACUAUUAACUAAAAUUAUUUUAUUUGUACAUUCGCAAUUUGGAUUGAUUUUUAUCCUUAAAUAACAUAAGGAGGAAGACUAAUAAAACUAGGGUUAUCACGGUAACUAAAUUUUUUAUUUUUGCAUCAUAUAAUCAAUUUAACAUCGAUGGUAAGAGUGGUAGGAAUGAUGGCUUCAGCAUCAGCAUCAAUCCAGAAGUCUAAAUCUCAGUAAGAGUGACAGCGAUGAUGGCUUCAACAUCAAUAGUGGCAAUCUACCCUCCUACUAAAACUCCACCAUGACUCGAUUAGUAACACCAUCAAGAGUAGUAACAUGAUCUUCAGUAGCUAGCUACACAAGCAAUUUCCAUUGAUUGAGCCUUUUCACCCUUCAUCACUUCUGUCUUAUCAACUACCUGAUGAUCUUUAGGUCCAAGCAUUGACUCCCAAUGAGAAGAAUCUGAGUCUACCUCAAUAAUAAUAACUGAGUCAACUUCCUUUGCAUGCUGCUCUUGCUCUCUAGUCUAAUUAGUACCUUCUUGAUGCUCUUCCUCUUCUCAUCUUCUUCUUCAGCUUCUUCCUUAGCUUGCACCUCAUUAACAUCAGCAGUAACAACAUCUGGAAUUCCCCCCACCUGAAGGUCUAUAUCAAAUGAAGGAACCUCAUGUCCUUUCCUUUAGCGAUAAGAGCUUCACACAGUCAGUUAACAGCUCUAUGGCCUGUCCAUCCUUUGCAUAAAUUGGAGCUUUACUUACAUAAAAUAUGGAAUAUCUCCUGAAGAUAAAGUGGGGACAGUAGAAAUAGUCGAAGGACCUUGUGUAGAACUUGUGACUAAAGGUACAUGAGCAACUGCCUCUUCAACUAUUCUGACCAUCUGCCUCAUCCUUUUCUUUGUACUUCUUUCCAUGAAAAUUCUGUAAAAUUUCCAAGCUUCCACUUUGUAAAAUUUUGUAGCGUCAUAUUUUUCCUCAUUCCCACUGAAUUUAAAACUCUUUCUAAUUGAAUAGCCAGUGAAAAACUUGGACAAUGCCAAUGCAUACUUCUUGCUGUGAGAAGUCUUGUUUUCAUUCACUUUUUCCACAAUAUAUAAAAACGUAUCCACCAUCAAUACAUGAGAUCACCAUCCCCCCUUACAUAAACAAUACAAUUCCUCUAAAGGAAAACCUCUCCUUUCUGUGACAUGUCUAUAAGGAGAGAAAUUGGUUCUAUACACCUGAUCCACAAACCAUAGCUCCUGUGAUGCCUCUAGUCUUCUGGCAGUUGUGGGAGAGCUAAAACCACAAGGCACUGAAGUGGCCACCAUCCUCUGGGAAGUAGGGUUAGUGUAAGGUAGAAAAUUUCCUCCUUAAGAUGGCAUUGUAGGCAACCCAAAAGCCUAUGCCAAAGAUUUUUCAGUGAUCAUCCCCUCUCUUUCAUUAAUGGAAAAAUGUAACACAGAUUUUCCAGGGGCUCUCCUCUCAAAGAUAGCAUAAAAAUCUCUCACCACAAUAGGAUAAACAUAAUCUAUGGAAUACACCAUAGGCUCUAUCCCAUAUCUCCUCAUUAGCUCCAUUGAACUCAUUGUCUCUGGAAAAGUAAUGUAUUCAUCAGGCACCAAAUAAUCACUGUCUGCCAAUAAGAAUGCAUUCCGGUUUCCUUUAGACUGGUAACUACAGCUUUUCCCUUCUUUUUUUCUGUCAAUUUCUUUGGCUAAACUUUUUCUAUUUCUUUAUCCUUCUUCUCAUCUCUUUUAGCUUUCUUUAUAGCUUCCUCUGGAGUCAUUUCAGUUCCAGGCUCUUUCUUCUGUCUGUUCAUAGUCUCUUUAUUUGGCUUCUUACUUGGUGUGGUUACUGCCACAUUCUUCUCCAUAGGAGACUUCCCUUUCAAAGGAGAUUUAUCCUCAGAUUGCACCUCUUUUUCUUUCCACUUUUUAUUCUUCACAGCUUGUAGUGAUUGUUCACUAGCUAUCAUCAGUCUAGGUGAUCCAUCAAUAAUGAUUCUUCCUAUCUGCUCAAUGACAGGUUGUACAUCAAUCCUUUUCAUAGUUGGGGCAUCUAAAUCUGAAUCAGUGGAUUCAGAUUCGUAGACCAUUAGUGCCUAACCCUUAUCUUUAUCCUUUUUUUCAUUCUGCAUUUUCAGAGUGCAAACAAAAAUCCGAAAACAUAUUACAAACAAGCUUGACAUUUCCAAAAACAGUAUAUAUUCAUUCAGAGUCAACAGAUAUUCAUAGAAAAUAAUUAAGGCAUAUUAAUGAAGAAAGGAUACAAAUGGCAGAGUUCAUCCAAACAUUCAUUCAAAGACGCAAAAUCUAUCCAGAAGGAUCAUUGCACAUGCAUAUGUUAACUUUGAUAUAUCCAUGUACAGAUUCUCAAACAAACAUCUGUUAUAGUAAAUAUAAGGGGUGCAAGUUAAAAACACUCCAAAAUUCAAUUUUAAGCACUGCAAGAUGACAAGUAGGAAAAAGCGCGACUAUAAUAUUUAGGUACAAAUCAAGUAGACAGCAGCACAUAGUAACUAUAAGGGGUGCAAAUAAAUCCUAUAGUUGCAGCCACGUGUAAACAUGGGACUAGAGGGUGUGAAACUGUAGCUGCGACCAUGUAUUUUCUUCUACUAAAGGUUCUAUUAGCUGCAGCUUCUCGUGGCCAUGACUACAAGGGUGUGAUGAAUAGGAAACUUAAAAAUAUAUUGUUUAUACACACGUGAUUUGAAAUUCAUUUCUAUGGUGAAAAAAUUUAUUAAAAUAUAAUUAUGUGAAGAAAAGAAACAAUAGUAAUUGUGAACCCAUUUUUAUUUAUAAAUUUCUGUUAUUAAUUAGUUCACUAUUUGAGUUUCAAACUAUUAUUUAAAGAAUACUAGACUCGUUAAUAAAUUCAAUGCAUGAAGUUUUGUUUUAUUUAAAGUUUAUUUAUCUAGUGAAAAAAAAAAAUUUUAAAUUGGUUUUAUGUAUAAGAAAAAAAAUAGUCAUUUUUGACAAUUUUUUGUCAAAAAAUUUCUAAUAUUAAUUUGAUCACUAUUUGAGUUUCAAGUUAUUUAUAAAAAUUAUUAGUUAUUAGCAAAUCUAAGCAUCAAGUCUUGCUUGAUUUGGACUUUAUUUGGGUAGUGAAUUUUUUUUUUUUUGCAAAAAUAUGAUUAUAUGUAAAGAAGAAACUAGUCCAAGUCAUUCAAAAUAAAUCCUAAUUUAUGACUUUAUAAUGUUAUUGGGUUCCAUGAUUAGUAAUUAAAUUGGGUUUUAACUUUCAAAUUAUUUUUACAAAUUAAUAAAUUUUAUAUAUAAAGUGUAAUUUGAUUUUGAAUUUAUUUAUUUAAUGGAAAGUUUUUAUUAAGGUAAAGGAAAUGUUGAAGGAGUCAAUGUUUUUGUUAUGGAUCUGUUGGGUUGUCCUAGUCUCAAGGUUAUCUAUUUUUUUGUUCUUUUGAUUUGUUGCAAAACAUGGUUGAAUUUACGUAGUUUAUAGGAGUUAGUCUUUACAUGGUUCAUGGUCUUAGCUAGUGGUUAAAAGUAGUGGAUUAGAGGUCUUUAUUUUCUUAGCAAUUUCCCAUUGGUGUACUGCCUCUUUAAAAGGCUAUUUGGUUGAUGAGAGAAGAUCAUCAAAAGUAAUUUUCUCUUCCAACUUUUCUAUACAUUUUUUAGCUUAAUCAAUUUUUUGUACUCUUCCAAGAUUUUUCCUCUACUUGUAAUAGUGGUAUCAGAGCUGGUUGAAAAUUGAGAAAGUGAGAAAAGUUAAGAGCCAAAAUAAAAAGAAAGGACGUGAGAUAAAGAGAAUUUUAGUAGCAGUUCUUAUUUCACUUUAUUUUGUUUUUGCAACAGCAACAGUAAGGGAUAGCCUCUAAAAACUUUGUCUAACUUAUAAUCCCAUACUUUGAUGGUCACUAUAUAUGACCAUUGGAGCAUGUUGAUGGAGAAAUCCUUUAAGGUCUAAGGAGUAUUGGCAGGUUGUCUUUGACAGAGUAGCAGAAUCGACAAAUAAUUUGUAGAUAGAGUACACGGACUUUUCAAGGCUUGAGCACUUGUCCUAAGGGGGUCAUGGUAUGUUUGUCUUCAAACCCUAGUGCCCAUGACCAACUAAUUGGUACUCAUAUAUUGACAUUGUGCUUGUUAUAAAAGCUAAGAACCAGUUAGCACUCUGAGGAAAUAAAAAUCUAAGAAAUUGUACCUUGUUCUAAAGAGAUUGGGGAGAAACCUUAAAGGGUAAGUGGCCUUUCAUCAUCCUCAAUACCUAGUGUCUUGGGAAGAAUCUUAGGAGUUGUCAAUUGAUCUUUACUAAGCUACAUAGAAGGAGCUUUCCUAGGAUGGACAUGUGAAAUAAAAAAAGAAAAAAGAAAAUAGAUAUGAAAAACAAUGGAAUGAAAAAGCAGAAAAUGAGAUAAAAUGGCGCUCUUCCAAAACUAGUCAUGAACAGUUUAUCUUAGGUAGAGGAAGGAAAUUCUUAAAAUAGGUGCUCCAUGAGGAUGCUCUUAAGCUAACAUUUGAGUUUUGUUAGGAAAUCACUUGUGAAGUUGAUGUCGAAGAGACUAAUGGAUUCUAAACAUUGAGGCAUGCUUUUGUAUACAUUUAUAUGGUGAGUGAAUCUUUUUGGAGUUAUGCUAUUUGACUAUGAGCUUAUUCUUGAAGGGAUAAUAUGUUUUCAGUAACUGAAUUUAUUGAAGCUAAUUCAUGCUAUUUAGUAGUUGUUGUCUUAAUUGCUUAGGAGUUUUACUCUUUAUUUAUUUCUAGAGACCAACAAAAUUUAGGUUGGGGAGGAAAUGAUUUGUGCUUUAAGUCAUGGGUUUUUUCUAUUCCCUAAAUGGUAGAUUCUAUAAUGAAAAAGAACGUAAACUACUCUCUUCAGUUUAUAUAUAUGCUAGUACCUAACUGGUCUGAGUUCUUCAAUUUCAUGUCCAAUGGAGAAAUUAAAGUUAAGGUCAAUCUCAGGAGAUUAAUAAUUGGCUCUGGUUUCAGAGAUAUGAAUAUGCUCUAGCUUGACAUUCUUGAAGUGGAUUAGCAGAGUGGGAUUCUCUACUCAGCUGAUUGCCUUUUCACUGAGUUCCAAGGAUCAAUAGGAGAUCGUGGAUUUGUUGACAUUCUCAUUCUGAGAGCAACUGCAUCAGUAUCAUACAUGUUUGCCAGUUGGCAAUAUAAAAUUGGUAUUUUGGUUCAUAUUUUCUACAACCUGAAAGCCACUAUCACUACCACCAACUAUAUGAAUAGGCAUCAAUUCUUCAGGACGAUGAAGAAGGUAGAGCAUAUCACUAGCUCAAAUGGAGGAAUGUGGUCCCAUAAUUCUUUAGGAAAUAAGUAUCUAGAAACAGGUAAAAAGAACCAAGAAUCUUGAAAGACUUCUUUCAUCUUGUUCAUGUUGCCUAAAGGACAACCUGUGGGCCUUUGAAUUAUGUAUUGAAACUAUCAAGUCAACUGGAAUAGAUUCAUUUCUGAAGCUGCAGGGUUUAUGGUCAACCAUAUACCAAACCCAAAGUUCUUCAGUAGUCUAUUGAGAAAAUCCCAUUUGGAACCUAACCAUGAGAAAGUCCCAGGUUUGUUUAAGGCUGGGCUGAACCUAUGUGCAACCUUCUGUCUUCUGGGACCUUCUCUAACUAUAGUUUCAUCAACACAACACAGCUAGCCUUGUCCCAGCUACUAAGGCUGGGUAAAACUAUUCUGAAUUAUUGUUCCAUGCAUAUCUUGUUUGUGAAUGAUCUCCACUAGGAUCGACUCUUAAGUAUGUACCGAUCAAGAAUCAAAUCUUGUUUGUGAAUUAUUGCUCCAUACAUUCGCCUGACCGUUGGAUGGGUGAAGAGGCAAUGCAGAUACUUGUCCUAUAUUCCCAUAGGUAUCAAACUUCAGUGCAGUAGUUGACACAUUGACUACCUUUCUGAGGUUAGGACAAGAUAAACUCAUUAGUGGAUGGAGAAUAGAAGACCAUAUACUAAUUUAUGUGGUUCAGAAUUUGAAUAAAGAUCAUGAUAAUAAGUGCGAGAUUCGCGCAUCUUUGGAGUGUUUCAAGUUGCAGCUAGAUUGCCUAUAUAAAGAGCAUGGAGGUUUAUAAUUUCCAGUAUCAGCAACAAAGAGCAGGUGUGAAUUAUAGAGAGUAAAUAGGGAAGUUGUCAACCUCCCUCAAAGGCUUCCAAUUUUCCUGGCUAAUUAUCAAGGUAAGAAAGUUGGAAGCCGGUGGGGGACCUUGAAAGCUUACCCCAGAAUCAAUAUUACUCAUCUGGUUAUUUGGUAUCAGUUUCCCUGAUCAUUAGGAAGACAGUAAGAUUGAUUUCAGGUGAGAUGUUUCCCCUUCUUCUCAAAAAAACUGCAAACUUUUUAGAGAUUUAUGCUUAUGGUAUUUUAAGAUCCCGUUUGAUAGUAAUUUUAAGAAGUGUUUAUAAUAUUUUUAACACUUAAAAAUUAGUAUCAUUCAAGUGUGAGAAAGGUUAAAAACGUUUUCUAAAAUCACUAUCAAACGCAAUUAAUCUAAAUCAUUUAUUAGAAAAUAGAUUUGGGAUAAGGUGGAAAACUCUUAGUACCACAUUAUUACCAAUCUUAUUUCAUUGCUCCUUUCACCCACACCCUCAAGAGUGUCAUCACUAGUUAUAGGGCAUUUUUAUCCUAUCAACUAAUGAUCAGGGUUUAUGAAGCAUUUUAAACACUGCCUUAUUAUGCAAUUAUUUAGAACCAUACCUUCUAUGGAUGAUCCCACAAUUUUGAUAGGGUGUUGUUUGGUUUUUGGGGUAAGUGAGGAGAGAAAAAAAUAAAUUAAAUUUUGGAGUUUAUGUUCUUACAUUUGGCAUUAUGUUUUAAUUGGUAUUAUUAAUAGAAAAAUAUUUAAGGACAUAUAGUGGAAUUUGAUUAGUUGUUUGUUUGAUCUAUGGGAGAAACGAGGAGAUAAGAAAAUAAAAUUAGAUUUUGGGGUAUAUUCUUAUUCUUACAUUUCGCAUGAAAGUAUAAUUUUUUUUCUUCUCUAGUUUCUCCAUGUUUGAAAUUGGUGUUUUAUUAGAAAAAAUGAAUUUAAGUUGAGUUUUGACCAAUUGUUGUUUGAUUUCUAGGAAAGGGAGGGAGACUAGAAGAAAGAAGGAUUUUGAAGCUUUCAUUUUAAGUAAUGCUAAUUUUACAUUUUUUAGGCAAACAAAGAAUUUCUAUAGGUGAUAUAAAUUCCUUAUUUGGUUGCUGAGAAAACAGAGGGAAGGAAGAAACAACAUAUAUACAUUUUGGAGCUUAUUUUCUUGUCCUAUUCUUGUUCUUACAUUUUCCAAGCAAGCAAAAAGGGUGUAUUUUUAUCUGGGCAAUAGAAGUUCAUCCUUUUUGUUUUUUUUUUAAUGUUUAUUUUGUUGUAACAAGUUCAACUGGAGUUAAAAAGGAGGUGUUUUGUGUGCAAUCCUGCACAUGUUUUGAGCUCUCUAAGAAUUUUGUGGCCUCUUUGUGCGAUUAGUAUUGGAAAUGAGUUAAUUAUAUUAUGCUUUGUUUGGAUGGGGAAAACUACAAGAGAAACAAAGCAAAUAUUUUCCUGAGUUCUAGGGCUUGUUUGUUGUCUUAGUUUUCAAAAGAUGAGAAGUUUUUCCUUCCUUGACUAAGGUGUUUGUUUUGAUAAUCAUAAGUGUUGAACUUUUUUUCUUUUGUUUUUUUAUCAGGUUUUGCAAGUUGAGGGAUUUCUCAUUCUUUUCUUGUAAUCUCUUAUUUUUAAAGAAUAUGUUUUUGUUUUUGAUAAAAAGUUCAUAAUUGUUGAAAAAAAAUGUGAAAAUCCCUACAAUCCAUUUAGUGCAUUUGAUCUAUGUAAAUAGAUUUAAUAGCUCCUUUUUCCUUUGAAAGCUCAAACUCUAGUGUCUCUUCUUAAGAUUUUUCCUUUUUAUUAUUUAAACUUCUCUUUUUUAAAUUAUUUAUACAUUUACAAUAUCAAGUUAGUUGAACAAAACAUUCAAUUUUUCUAUAACUCAACCAAACAUGUUUUUGUUGUUUUCGAGAACAAAAACUAUUUUCCAUAAUUUAGUUCCUAAACACAACUUUUUUUUUUUUUUUUUUUCUGAAAACACAAAAAACUGUUCUUAAAAACUAUUUUUCAUAAUAGUUUUCAAAGACACCAAUCAAACAAACCCUAAUAUUUUGACUUUAAGCAAGAAGAGUACCAAUCUCCACAUUUUGUAAUUUAAUAUCUAGGAGUUGCUAGAAACUUUUGCUCUGAUAUUUACAAUCAACCCUUGAGAAAUUGAGAUCUAUUUGGUUACCACAUGACUCAGGAGGUUUAUUAGGAUUUGGAUUAAGGUUGUUAUGGUUGAUAGCAUUGACUUAUCCUCAUGCAUAAUUGGCUUUGCUUGCAUCUAUUGACUUAUUGUCAUACAUAAUUGCCUUUGUUUGCUAGAAAAUUUUGCUGUAAUAUUUAUAAUCAACCAGUGAGAAAUUGAGAUCUAUUUGGUUACAUGUCUCUGGAAGUUUAUUAGGAAUGGGAUUAAAGUUGCUAUAGUUAAUAACAUUGACUUAUCCUCAUGCAUAAUUGGCUUUGCUUGCUAAACACUUUUGCUCUGAUAUUUAUAAUUAAUCCUUGAGAAAUUGAGAUCUAUUUGGUUACCACAUGGCUCAGGAGGUUUAUUUGGAAUUGGAUUAAAGUUGCUAUAACUGAUAACAUUGACUUAUCCUCAUGCAUAAUUAGCUUUGCUUGCAUCUAAUUUUUGUAAGUUAAAUAUUUUUUCAUGUUGAAAAGUUGGGUGCAUAGUUGCCUUUCAAAUAUAUUUGAAUAAAUAAAAAAUUUGAUAAAGCUAGAAAGGGUAGGCAAAAGGAAAUAAGAGGUUAUAUAAUACACCAUGGAAUAAUUAAAAUAUUCAAUAAAAUAUUUUUUUAAAUCCCCAAAUUUAGGUUUCAUAUCCACAUGGAAAGUUGUCAGAAACAACUUUAAUGUAAAAAAAAUUUAAGAAAAAUUACAAAAAAUUAUGUAAAUGUGAAAUGGAAUAGUUAUUUUAAAAAUAUGUUUACUACAAAUGGAGUUAGAAAGAAAAAUUAUUGUAGUUACAACAAUAAAUUGCUAUCAGGUUUUUAAAAAACUCAAAUUAUUAGGAUAUAAAUCAAACAAAAACAUAGUGAAUGAGGACAAAAAUUACAUAUUUAGUUAUAUUCAUUAUACUCAAAUAUAUCAAUAAAUUGUUUAAUAUUAAAAAUUUCUAUUUAUUAUUUAAGAAUACAAAAUAAUAUUUGAGUUGAAAGAAGAUUUUUGUAUUUCUUUUCUUUUUAUCUCAUUUAUGUAGAAUAAAAAUGGUAAACCUUACAGUGGGGGCUACUUGUGGCAUGUCUCAUAAAGUUGUUAUCUAUAUUUUUUUUCUCUCUUGGUUUGUUGAGGAGAAAGGACUAUAUCUAGUAUUGCAUCCCUAUCUAAUAGGAAUAAUAAACUUCCUUUACCCAUAUUGAAAAUCAAUCAAAUUUGAUGACUGUUUGAGAAUCAUAUAUAUAUUAAACAAUAUGAAAAACCAUAAAUGUAGGUGAAAGUAGGCCAAGAAGGUGAUGACCUAUAUAUGACCACAAAGACAAUAUAAUUAUUUUGCAAUUUUUAAUAAUAACACAAUUCCACCACAACUUGAAAUUAUUAUACAAGAGAGACCAACUUUACUAUAAAAUUAUAGAGAAGCAAAUUGGAAAAUGUGUACACAGCCACAUCUAAUCAACAUGAAGCAUUUUUUUUAUUGGAAACUAAUAGUCAAUUAUGAGUAGAAAUUUUAAUUUAUUAACUUACUAGUUGUAACUACUUUUCUUGUUAAAAUUUAAGUUUGGGAUUAUGAGUGCUUGUGGGUUGUUAUAAUGUUGGCAUAUAAAUGCUAGAUUCUUGUUUGAAACUUAAUAUUAUUUGUUGUGUUGUGACAAAUUUGCAGAUGAAAGUUUCCUUACACUAAAACUAAAUUUGGUUAAAUUUGAAAUUCAAAAUUUAAAUUACUUAUAUAUUACAUUUAUAAUUUGAAAAAUGUCUUAAAAAUGUAAGAUAUCUUACGAAAAUGUUGAUAGAAAUUUUGAUUUACUAACUUAUUAGGUUUUAUUUAUUUUUUUUAAAAAAUGGUUUUGUUUUAUUGUUCUUUUUCAUUCAUAUAUAGAAGAAGAUACUAGAGCACCAACACAAACCAAUAGAAAAGGAAGUUGUGAUCAUGACUGAGUUAGAAAUUUGUGAGAAAAGUGACCAAUUGGAGACCGUCCGUACUACAACAGUAAGAUCUACAACAUCAACAACCUUGCAUCAUCUAUGAUUAGACUAAGGGCCUUGAUUAUGCAUAUAAUGGAUCUUCCUUACCUUUUCUGUCUAUGUUGAUAUGGUUAUUUUGGGAUGGCAUUUUAUUAACCUAAUAUUUUAUUUUAUUAACAUACACAUUCUAAUCUUAUAAUCAUUUAAUAUUGUUACAUAUAUUAUCAACGAAGGUAUACAAUACAUAUUUUGAUUUUUGUAAGCAUAUUUUUUAAUGAAAAUUUUCAUUACAAUGUAUUAAUUGGGUACAAAUAGUACUAAAAAUAUAUAUAAUUACACUAUUGAAAUGAAGUAAUCCAAGUAUUCCAACAACUCCCCACUAACUUGCAAGGGCAUGAUAUGAGAUUUUAUUGAAUCCUAUUUAAACCUAUUACUUGUGGCCUUAAAGUUUUCUCAUUAAUUGUUCUUCUAAUUUUUUUAAUUUCCUUUUAUCACAAGGAUAUUGUUUGAAUGCUGCCAAAGCGGGAUAUGAUGUCUUGUUUCCUUUUGUAUGGUGUUGACCUAAUGUGAUCUCUAUUUCACAAGAUUAGAAGAAUGAUUAAAAUGUAUGCUGUUUUUCUCUUGCUUCACUUUUAAUGUGUAGCCUAUAUUGUACUCAAUCUUAGGUGGUGUUUGUUUUUUUACUUAAUUCUAAAUAGAACCUUAAUGCUUAAUAGUGUUAAAUAUUAGGUUGUUUGUUUUUAUAGUAUUUUAUUUCUAUUAAGUAUUAAAAAGUAAAAAAAAAACCAAUAUGUUAUUUUUUCUAUUUAGAAAAAACUACAUAUUUUGGCUUUUUCUAUUUAGUAAAAAGUUUAUAUUAAGUCAUGAAAAAGUAGAAAAACAAAUAAUCUAAAUUCUGAAAACAAAUUGCUUUCAGCAAAAAGCCAAAAAAACAAACACCACCUUAAUGUAAAUCUCAACCAUCAAUACAUCAUUUUAAUUUGUUAGAUAGGUUCAUGAAAAUUUCAUACGAGUUGCUAAUACUAUCGAUAUCUCUUGUACUCAUUUCAAUAUUCUUCAAUUUCUUUAUAAUUGGAUUCCAUUAAUAUACUCAGUAAGUCAUCAUUGACAGUUUCACCCACCUUCAUAGCUUUCUCUCUUUGGUCAAUAAUACCCCUUAACAAUUCUUGUAUCUCUUCGUCAGCUUUCUUUAUUCUUUUGUUUCCUUUCUUUUCGUAAAAAUCUACAUGUAAACAGUCUUGGUUGUAAAUGUCAUGACAUUAAAUAAUAAGAAAAGAUAACUGGAAAGAAAAUUUAUGGUAGUUGUUUAUCCAUUGCUUUAAUUUCUUCUUUUUUUUUCCUCAAUUUUCUUGGAAAUUUCAGGAAGCUUUAAAUUUGUUGAAACAUUUUAUGCUCACCACAACCCUGGGAUGUAAACUAUCAAAAAAAUCUUGAUGGUAAGCUAUGCUAGUUCUUCUUGGAGUAGUAAUAUCCUUCUUCCUUCUUCAUAGCUACUACCAAAUGUUGUUCAAGAAAUGAUAUGACCUUCCAAAUUUUGAAUAUGGAGCCAUACAUUCAAUUAACUUACCUGAACCUUUUGUGGAGACAAUCUCCCAUUUUCUUAUCGUAUUGCUAAAGCUUAAAAGAAAUGUAGGUAAAUAACAGUAAAAAAAAUAUUUAGCACCCAUAUUUUCAUGGUUGGAGGACCAGUCACUGCACAUUUGAAAUAAACAUCUUUAUCUAUGCAAUAUAACUUCCAAACAAUUUUCUUUUUAAAUAGCAUAAAAUAUAAUGUAUAUGAUUAAAAUUAAGAUGGAUAAGAAAACUAAAGAUGAAACUAAAAAGAUUAUAUAAUUUGAACUCUAUCUAUUAGGAUCUCCUUACAAGUAGGCUAAAAGGAAAAAAAAAAAGAAAGAAUACUUCAGUGAUCUUAGGAUGAUUCACAAGCUAAGGUUAGCUAGACGAUCAUUGCAAAGAAAGGAGCAUAAAAAAGAAAAUCCCUAAAACACAUUUUGAAUACAAUUUCAAACACUAUAGAGAACAAAGGCAAAAAAAAAAAAAGUUAGGAUUUCAGAUCCAAAGCAAGGAAAGGAAGAAAAGAAGUUAUUUUUUUCUUUUUUCAGGGAAAACUUCAAGUUGAGAGUUUUAUUUCAACUUAUUUUCCUUUUCCUUAGAGUAUAAUCGUUAGUUUCAUUUCCCAAAGAAUAAAAAAGAAAUAAUUAAUAGAAAAGUAUAUAGAUAGAUAAAUCGGCGUUUUAAUAAAUAUAGAAUUCAUAAAUCUUAAACCUGGAGUUUUUUUGAGGUUUUGAUAAUAAGAAAUUAACACUAUGGUGAAAAUAUCCUAUGGAUUUGUAUUUUUUAUUUUAGAGUGUUUUAAAAAAAGUGUUAGCAAUAAAAGCAAAUCCCACAUUCAUUGAUGUUUUGUUAUUGUGAUUAAAGCCAUAAGGCACUACAAGUGGAGACUAAGAUCAAAUCUCAUACUCAUUGAUGUUUUGUCAUUGUAAAGAAAUCCAUAGGAACUGUAUAUGAAGAUUAUAGGGUUAUUGUGGGGAAACUUUGAGAAUAGUACAAUAUGGUUACGAAAAUUUUUGAAAGUAUAUUUUUGAGGUUGGAAAAUAAUAAGAUGUUUCUUGGGAAUAAUAUGUAUUUGUAAGCCUAGUAGGUUGCACAAGUGUUUUUGGUGUGGUUUUAAGGUAUAGAAGAAUUAAUCUUAAUAAAACGUUAAAUAAAUGAUUUGGAUAGUUGGAUGCAAAAAAAAUUAGGAAAGCAAGUUAAGUCAACCUAAGUACAUGAAAUUGGAUAUUUCCCUAGAUGAAUUAGGGUUAAUUAAUAAAUAAAUAUACACUUAGAGCAGUAUUUAUCAAAACUUUAAUUUGAAUUAUUCCUUUAAAUCUCUCAAUUGAUUCAUAAGAAUUUUCCACAACUCUAUUCCUUUGGAUUUAUCUAUCUUGAGUAUAGGGAUUUUUUGUAAAUAUGUUUUUUUUUGUUAUAAAUAUUCAAAUGUAUUUUUUUUUGUAAAUUCUGAAACUGUUUAAAUACGCUUGAAAUACUAAACUUGAGAAUUAUUUUUAUUUGACUAUAUUUUUUUUCCUUAUAUGUGCAUUCUAGUUAUCUAGCCUAGUUAACAAGGGAAAAAAUGUUGACCUUUGUUACCCUUGGUGGGGCUAAAGAUGAUGUUAAAACCAAGUCAAUAGGGUGUUUAUCAACUUAUGAUAUACCAUUAGAUUGGUUCUGGUUCCAUUCACCAACAUGUAAGGAAUGUCUGAGGUUAGCCACUUCUAUAAGUCCCACUAUGAUGGGCUUUGUUAGGAAAUCGAGUCUUGUUUAUAUGUUGACAAUUUUGUUCCUUUUUAAUUUUGACCAUAGAAGUCUCUUUAGAUAGUGACUUGCUCUCCAUUGAAGAUCAAGAGUUGUUGUUUGUCCAACUGGGAAGUCACAGAUACAUUUAAAAAGGUUUGACUUGUGACAAUUUAGGCUCCUUCGAGGUAGCUACUUGGAGUGAAACGGACUUUGAUGAUAGUGCUUCCAUAGCUUUUGAAGAUGCAAGGUACGAUCUUAAUGACUUCUUAGCUUUUAUUGCAUCUGUGGAAUCUGUGCAUGAUAGUGAUUAUAAUAGUGAUAGUGAUGAUGAGUUUAAUGAUGAACAAAAGGCUGAAUUCUUGAGCAAUCUUGUUAUUGAGCAUGAAAAACUAAUUAAGAAUUAUUUAAAAGAUCAUGAUAUUCUUGAAGCUCAUAAAAACAAGACUGACAUUCUUAAUCUAGAAAAAAUUAAUUUACUUGAGAAAAUUAGAUUUCUUAAGUCUAAGGAUCAUUCUCUUCUUAUGAAGAACAAUACUCUCACUCUAAAGAUCAAGAGUAAUAAGCCUUCUUCAUUUGUAAAUGAAAUAUUUCACCCUAGAACUAAAGUGCUUAAUGAAAUUCUUGAUAAAUGUAAAACCCAUGGUGAUAAAAGAGGUUUUGGGGUAUAUUAACAAAGAUGAAACUCCCUCUAGUGGAGAAACUAUGUUUGUCAAAGGUAAAGAUGAAACCCUUAACCAAACAACAUCUCCUAAAAAGCCAUCACUAUGCAUACACUGUAACAAAACUAGACACUCUCAGUUUAGAUGCUACACUAGGUUCCUAGAAAGGUUUGAAUCUCAAAUGAGUAUGCUAAUGAAUGAUUUUAACUCCCUUAAAAAUAAUAUAUUGAAUAAUGGGAAAGGGAAUAAAACUAAUCAAAAGCUUAGAAGUCAACCUAAUUCCUUUAAGCCACCACCUAGGACUAAACAAGUUUGAUCGAGAAAUGAUAGGGUUAAAUGUCAAGUUGUGUUCAAUGCUCUUAAAGCUAAAUCUUCUUAUGACUGGUACUUUAAUAGCGGCUACUCAAGACACAUGAUUAGAGAUAAAACCUUUUCACAUCUCUUGAGGAUUAUAAUGGUGGGACAGUUACUUUUGGAGAUGGGCACUUAUCAUGUGUGAAAGGCAAGGGAAGUUUAUCUAUCCUUGGUUGUCCUAAGUUAGAUGAAGUUCUCUAUGUUAAUGGACUUAAGGCAAAACUACUAAGCAUUAGUCAAAUUUGUGACAAGGAGCAUAAGGUGAAUUUUUUCCAAGACUUAUGCAAGAUAGUUAGCAAAGAGGGAAAGGUCAUUGUCACAAGACAUAGGAUAGUUGACAACUACUAUGCAAUAAAUCCUAUAUUUAGAACACCUCUUAUGUGCAGUAGGACAAAGGUAGAUCCUAUUGAACUUUGGCAUAGAAGGUUAGGUUGCAUAAACAAUAGGGACCUUGUGCACUUAGUGAACAGUGAAAAAGUUAGAGGCAUCCUUAGACUUAGUGAUGAACGUAAACCCAUUUGUGGUGAGUGUAUGAAAGGUAAACAAACUAAGAGUUCACAUAAAAAGGUUAACCAAAUUAGGAUCGGUAGGCCUUUAUACCUUCUAUAUAUGGAUCUUAUGGGUUUAAUGCGGACUAAGUAGAGGUGGUAAGAAAUAUGUCCUGGUUGUUGUGGAUGAUUUUUCAAGAUACUCCUUUGUGAGUUUUCCUAGGGAAAAGUCAGAGACCGUUGAACAUUUGAAGUCACUAUUCAAUAGAAUACAACGAAAAAUAGGUCAUCCAAUUAUAAGGAUUAGGAGUGAUAGGGGGAAGGAGUUUGACAAUGUGGAUGGCCUCUUUUGCGAGUCUAAAGGAAUUAAACAUGAGUUUUCAACCCCUAAAACUCCUCAAUAGAAUGGAGUGGUUAAAAGAAAGAAUAGAUUGUUACAAGAAAUGGCUAGGGUGAUGAUUCAUAUGCAUAACACCCCUAUGCAAUUUUGGGUAAAGGCAAUUAAUGAAUCCUGUUAUACUACUUAUAUGGUUUUUCUUAUAAUUAUGGACUAGGAGAAAACAUAACCUUAAGUAUUUUAGGACUUUUGGCAGUGAGUGUUAUAUACUCAUGGAUGGGAGAACCUUGGAAAGUUUGAUGCUAAAUCUGAUGUAGGUAUCUUCUUAGGCUAUUCUAUUACUAGUAAAGCCUAAAAGUUUAUAAUCAAAAUUCAUAGAUUAUCUAUGAAUCCUCUAAUGUGGUUAUAAAUAAUGCUAGGUAUGAUCAGGAUAUAAUUGAGAGUCAAAUUUUAACCUAGGAUUUAAUUGAGUAACCCUAAAUAUGUGAAGAUCACGAAAGACAACCCUAAUGAUAUCCCUAAAAGAGACAUUGAUCCUAAUAAGGAUGAAUAUGUACCUCUAAAUGACACGUCUAAUGAAAUGAGGAAUAAGCAUAGAUCUAAAGUACUCAAGAACCACCUAAUUUAAAAUGUUAUAAGUAAUGUAAAUGAACGUGUGACAAUUGAUUAGGUACACAUUUGAUGAACGUGUACCUCUAAAUGAACAUGUACCCAAGAGCUACAUAGGUCUAGCUCGUAUACCUACGGUCUCUACUAAGCGAAUGGAGGAAAUCAUGACAAUUGAUUAAUUAAUCAAGGAUACCAAUAAUAGGACAACAAGACACAUAUAAGUCUUGAGGUGAAAAAAGUGUACAUAAGAAUGUACACAAUUAAUGAAUGUGAAAUGCACAAAAUAGAAUUUAAUUAUUUGUUAAAGUUGCAACAUUUCAAAGGAAGUUCAAAAGAAAUUUAUUUAUAUUGGGAACAAUUUUGAAUUAAAUUUUUCAAACUUAUUUAUUCACAAAGUUUCAAUUUAUUUACAAAAGAUUAUAUUUUUAUUCACAUCCAAAAUUAAUUAAAAAAAAACUUUUCUUGAUUUUAUUAAAAGAAUUUUGAUUGAAUUUGAAUUUAUUAAAGGGAAAAGCUCAAUUUGACCUUCUAUUUAUAAAGAAAUGAUUUUGGCUUACACUUUAUUUAAAAAAAAAAGAAAAAGAUGCCAUAAUUAUAACGAAACAUCAAUUCUAUUUUUGGAAAAGUGAUUUUUACAAGGAAAAGGGGGUUUACUUAUUUUAAUUAUAAGAACCAAAUUUCAAUUUACUAAGAAAAUAAAUUUUUAUAACUUUUAUUUACGAAAAAUAUUUCCAAAUUAAAUUUAUUCAAAAAGAGAUAUUUUUACAACUUUUAUUUUCUUUAGAUUUUUAUUAAAACAAUUUUCAGGAUUUUUUAUUAAAUCAAAAUUUGGAACUUUAUUAAAACUAUUUUGGAAUUCUUUAUUAAAAGAAAAUUUUGAAACUCUUAUUAAGCAAACUUUUGGAAAAUUUUAUCAGACACAAACUUAGAGAACUUUAACUUAAAAUUUUAAGAACUUCAAUUUAAAACACAUUUUAGGGAUUUUGAUUAAAAAACCAACUUUUAGAAAAUUUAUUAAAACACUGAGGAUUUUGGAAACUAACUUUGGGGGUUUUUAUUAAACAACUUUUAGAAGUUAAUAAGACAAACUUUGGGAGUUUAUUAAAAACAAAUUUUGUGAAUUUUUAAGAUUUAUUUUGAGAGUUUAUUAAGACAUGUAUUAAAACUUUUAAGACUUUUAUGGAAACAAACUUUAAGUAAAUUUAAAAGACAUACUUUGAGAACAACUAUUAAAAUAUUUAUUUUGAAAUCUUUAAUUAAGCCGAAUUUGAGAACUUUUAUGAUUUUUACGACUUUUAUGAAAACAAACUUUAAGAAUAUUUGUUUAAACACUUAUUUUGAGAAUUUGCAUUAAACAAACUUAUGAAAAAAAAUGACUUCCUAAAGAACAUUUAUCAACAAAUAAUUUUCAAUUAACAAACUUAUUAAAAUAAAAUGACUUUCUAAAGAAAAUUUAUUAAAACACACUUUUCAAAUAACAAACUUAUUCAAAAAAAAAAAAAAAAAACAACUUUCUAAAGAACAUUUAUAAAAACACAAUUUUCAAUUAACAAACUUAUUAAAAAAAAUGAUUUUUUAAAGAACAUUUAUUAAAACACAAUUUUUAGAAUUUUCAUUAAACAAACUUUUUAAGGGAAUUUCUCAAAUUUUAUGCCUCUUUGUCUUUCAAAGAAGAAUGUUUGAAAUUUUAUGCUUCAUUGGCUUUCAAAGAAUACUUUCACAGUGAGAAAAAUUGUAGAUAUCUAACUUUAAAUUUUGAAAGAUUUGAAAAACAAAUUUAAAAGUUAAAAAAAGAAAAGAAUUUCCCAAAUUUUAUGCCUCUAUCGCUUUCAAAAAAUAGUUUCAGACUUUGUUACAUAAGAAAAUUAGAGUGUGUUCGGCAAUAUUUUCAUUUUUUUUAGUGAAAAUAUUUUAUCUAAAAGUGUUUUCAAGGGAAUUAUUUAUAAAAUACUACAAGUGACUUUUCAAUACUAUAAGUAAUUUGUCAAUGCUACAAAACUGUUUCUUAACUUUUGUCAAACACCUUAAUUUUUUAUUUUUUUAUAAACACUUCUUAGGUUAGAAGUGUUUUUCAAAAACACUGUUAAACAAACUAUCUAACUUUAAAUUUUCAAAUAUUUGAAAAGAAAAAAGUUCAAAGAAUAAAAUUUAAAAGUUUGGCAAACAAGUUAGAAAUGUAAUCAAUUUGAGAUCAAGUAUUAAAGUGCUUCUUGCUCAAGCAAAGGACUAAGUCCUAGAUCAAGGCUUAGGUCCAAAGGUAAGCUAAUGUCACAGACUUAGUCUUUUCCUAAGCCCAUGUGGCACUUAGACAAGUCAAGACACUUUAUCUUGCUAAGUCAGCCUUACUCCCAAUGCUUAGCUUGCUAGGCUAAGAUGCUCACGACUCAGAAGCGUUAGAAGGUGUAGUAGGCAACUCUUAAAGAAUGGAGCUUUUAUUGCUCAAAUGAAGCUUUACAAGUGCUUUUGGGAACUCACUUGCUUGGUUGGUUAAAUUCUUGGGUGGUGCCUUGGCCAAAUGAGGGUCUCACCCAUUUAUAAGCACCAAUGGUACUCUCUAGAACCUUGUAGGGUUCUUUACAACUCAAGAAUAAUCUAGAACUUCCUACACUAGUCUUAUGUAAGGGUAUGUACAAGAUGACUUUGGAAUAUUCUAGAACACCCUACACAAUUCCAAUUCUCUCUUAGCCAAGUGUAGAGAUGUGUGGACAUCUCUAGCCCUCUCCAGAAGCUUCCAUACUCUUCCACUUUGUAGCUAAGUGUAGAUGUCUCCAAGGGUCUCUAGAAGCUUCCCACCUCCUAUAUAAGACCAUGGGAAGGGUCAUUUGAAGCAUCUUGUGACACUCUCCCCCACCUAUUAUUGUGCGAGCAAAAGCUUUGAUGCCAACAAUCACACAUAUGGUACACAAGGUUUUAACGUGGUUCGGCCAACCAUGCCUACGUCCAUGGAUGAGAGAGAAUGAUUCCACUAUACAAUAGAGAAUAUUAUAGAGGACAGAAUCAGAUACAACUUUUGGGUUCCCGCAACAUCCCAUGUUUCCCCACUCCUUGUAUCCAUACCCUACUACGAGCUCUCUCGCUCUACCGAGUACCUCCCGUUCUUUCUCACAUCUCUAUCCAACUCGUAUAGUCUCUACAUGUCCAUCUCCAUCUCAUGACUUUUUCCCCUUAUGACCUAGAAUAUUUAUAAAGAUAUUUUCAACAACCUUCCUUAUUCUAUAUGGAAGUCUAAUAUUACAAUAAUAUAUCAACCUAGAAAUAUUCUAUAUAAUAUUCUUUACAAAAAAAGGAAUCUAUACUAAUUAGGAAUUUGGGACACUUCCUAACAAUCUCCACCUUGGACCAAAUUCCAUGAAGUUAAUCUUCAAUCUCUCCAUGAUACAAACCUUUUUGUAUCAUAUCACCACAAAAGAGCAAUUGACUCCACCUUCAGUGAAAAUUCCUUUUGUUUUCAUUUUGUGUGCUUUGUGAUCUUUUACUCUUCUAGAAAUCUUCAACCCAAGACCAUACUAAAAAACCCUAAUUACAAAAAGCGGUUCCACAAUGGGUUAAACGAGUCUAUCGGCCCAAGCCUUUGCUCCAUGGACUAAGCCUCAAUAAAUCUCCCAUUAAAAAACCAUGCAAUAUUAUUCGGGUCAGGUCGUCAAACCAGAUCAAACAAAACUAAGCUCCACAAAGCCUAACAAAUCUCCCACUUGGAGACUAGUUCAAUCACCAACAUCAAACCGCUAUCCUCCAAGAGACAAUCCCUCAUCCCUGCAACUCAUCCUCCUAUCCUCAAGCUAGAAGACCAAUUGAAGUUGUGCACAACUUCAACUUCUCAAUAGUGACACCCUUAGUCAACAUGUCUGUCGGGUUCUUAAAUCCACAAAUCUUCUCAAGUAUUACUAGUUUAUCUUCAACAAGGUAACGGAUAAAGUGGUAUUUUUUUGUAUAUGCUUCAACUUUGAAUGAAAAGUCGAAUUUUUGGCAAGAAAAAUUGCACUAUGACAGUCACUAUGUAGAAUGUCCAUCUUCUACUUCUUACCCAAUUCAUCUAAGAAACCAUGUAGUCAAAUCAUCUCCUUUCCAGCUUCAGUUGUUGCAACAUACUCAACUUCUGUAGUAGACAAAGUAACAAUCUUCUGUAGAUUUGAAGCUCAUAAUAUAGUUGUACCACUUAGAGUAAAAACAAAACCAGUAGUACUCUUUCUACUAUUAAUAUCACCAGCAAAAUCAACAUCUACAUAACCCUGCAGUUUCAAACUUGCACCUGUGAAGCGAAGACAUGUAUCCAAUGAACCCUUCAGAUAUCUUAAUAUCCACUUGACUGCCUCCCAAUGCUGCUUUCCAGGCUUACUUAUGAAUUUGCUCACAACUCCUACUGCAUGUGCAAUGUCUGGCCUUGUACACACCAUAACAUACAUCAAGCUGCCAAUAGCUGAGGCAUAGGGCACCUUGCUCAUAUGACCCCUUUCUUCUUCCGUCUUCGGUGACUAUUCUUUGCUUAGUUUGAAAUGACUCCUCAAGGGUGUGCUCACUGGUUUAGCUUCAUUCAUGUUGAACAUGCUGAGAACUUUCUUCACAUACUCUGACUGUGAAAGCUUCAAUGUACCAUUAGCCUUGUCUCUAAUGAUUCUCAUACCAAGGAUUUGCUUUGCAACUCCCAAAUCCUUCAUUGCAAACUGUUUGGACAAUUGCUUCUUCAGAUUAUUAAUCUUCUCAAUGCCAGACCCUGCAAUAAGCAUAUCAUCCACAUACAAUAGUAAUAUGAUGUAAGAGUUAUCAAAAAACUUAACAUAGCAACAGUGAUCAGCUUCACAUCUCUUGAACCCAAUUCUAUGCAUAAAACUGUCAAACUUCUUGUACCACUAUCUAGGAGCUUGUUUAAGGCCAUACAAGCUCUUUCUCAGUUUGCAAACUAGAUUCUCUUGUCCUUGAACAAUGAACCCUUCUGGUUGAAUCAUGUAAAGGCCUUCCUCCAAGUCACCAUGAAGGAAUGUUGUCUUCACAUCUAAUUGCUCAAGAUGUAAGUUUUCUGCAACCACCAUUCCCAGUACAAGUCUGAUUGUUGACAUCUUCACAACUGGAGAAAAUAUCUCUGUGUAAUCAAUGCCCUCAUUCUGCUGAAACCCUUUAACAACUAAUCUGGCCUUAUAACGUUUGCUACCAUCAUGCUCAUUCUUUAUUCUGUAUACCCACUUGUUAUGCAAAGCCUUCUUUCCUACUGACAAUUCAGUCAGUUCCCAUGUCUGAUUCCCCAACAAGGAAUCCAUCUCAUCCUUCAUGGCUAACUCCCACUUGCUUGAAUUCUCAUCUUGUAAAUCUUCAUCAUAACACUUUGGCUCACUACCAUCACUCAACAGGAGAUAAUUUAAAACAGGUGAAUAACGCUGUGGAGGUCUAAUGUUCCUGGAAAAUCUGCGAACUUCAGCUACAGGUGUACUCAAAUCUACCUGAGAAUUUACAUUCUCCUUAUCUUCUUCACCCCCUUUUUGGACAGUACUUUCAGUCAAUUCAUCUAAGUUGAUAAACUCAGAUUUCUUUUGAUCUAUCUCUGUAACAUCUGACACUACAAUUGACAUGUCCUUGUACAUAACCUGUUCAUUAAAUAUCACAUUUCUACUUCUGAUGAUUUUCCUGUUUUGUUCAUCCCAAAACCUAUAGCCAAAUUUCUCAUCACCAUAACCAAUGAAAAAGCAUAUUUUAGACUUUGCAUCAAGUUUACUACGAGCAUCAGAAUCAAUAUGAACAUAAGAAACACAACCAAAAACUUUUAAAUGUGAAAACUUUACCUCUUUAUCGCUCUAAACCUCCUUAAGAAGUCUGAACUCCAUGGGAACUGAUGGUCCUUGGUUUAUCAGGUAGGCUACAGUGCUAACAGCAUCAGCCCAAAAAGUUUUUGGUAGUCCAACAUGCAACCUCAUACUUCUAGCAAGCUCAUUGAGAGUUCUGUUCAUGCGCUCAGCCACACCAUUUUGCUGUGGUGUCCCAAGAAUGGUCUUCUCCAUCCUAAUUCCCUGUGCAACACAAUACUCACCGAACCCUCCAUCUAUGUACUCUCCUCCAUUAUUUGACCUCAAACAUUUUACUUUCAAACCUAUUUCUGUCUCAACCAUGGCCUUCCAUUUCUUAAAAUUUUCAAAUACAUUAGAUUUAUUUUUCAGAAAAUAAACUCAUACCUUUCUGCUUGAGUCAUCAAUAAAACUGAUGUAGUACCUUGAACCUCCAAGGGAUGCAACCGGAGAAGGCCCCCACAAAUCAAUGUGUACUAGUUCUAAUUUUUUAGCCUUCAGUGUCCUGCCAGUUUUCAAGAAGCUCACAUUUUUUUUGCUUUCCUAAGAUGCAACUUUCACACAUGUCAAAAUCAAUGGACUUUAAUUCUGGUAGUUUUCCUUUUGACAACAACAUCUUCAUCCAUUUCUCACUCAUGUGACCAAGUUUGCGGUGCCAUAGGCUUAUAUCAGUACUUGCAUUAGCAACUGCAAUUGUGUCUCUUGGACAUGAGGUCAUAUACAGAGUACAAGUCUUCUUUCCACAAGCCAAUACCCUAGCUUCCUUUGUAACCUUCUAAGUACCACCAACAAAUAGUAUUGCAUGUCCUUCAUCAUCAAGUUGUCCAACAGAAAUCGGAUUCCUCUUCAGGUUAGGAAUAUCUCAAACCUUCUCCAGUAACCAAAUAAACCUAUUGGGCAACAAUAUUCGGACGUUUCCCAGACCCACAACAUCCAAGGCUGAACCAUCAGCCAAAUACACCUUACCAAAAUCACCCGCAACAUAAUUCUGUAUGAUUUCUCGAUGUGGAGUGGUAUGAAAUGAAGCUUCUGAAUCCAAAACCCAAUAAUCAAGUAGACUGUCUACUGCAAGAAGUAAUGCAUCUUGUACCUCUUCUGUUACAGCAUUAGUAGAAUCAUCUUCAUUCUUCUUCUUAAGACUUUUGUAUUGCCUUCUAAAGUGACAUGUUUUCCCACAGUUCUAUCAUAGUACUUGUUGGCCUGAUCUAGAUUUGCUUUUAUUUCGAUUAGAAUUUUUGGAUUUUGAUCUACCCCGGUUUGAAUUUUUUUCAUUACCUCUGUCUCUUGUCUCAAGGUUUAGGACAUAACUAGAUCCUGAGGUUUCGCUUGCAUCUCUUCGACGAAUCUCCUCAACUAGAAUUAAAUCUCAUAUAUCAUUGUACUUGAGUUUUUCCUUUCCCGUAGAAUUGCUUACUGCCAUCCUCAUUGCCUCCCAACUGUUUGGCAAAGAAGCCAAGAUGAUCAGAGCACGAAUCUCAUCAUCAAAAUCAAUUUCUACAGACGACAAUUGAUUUGUGAUUGUAUUAAAUUCAUUUAGAUGUUGUGCUACUGAGAUAUUUUCUACCAUCUUCAAAUUGAAUAAUUUCUUCAUCAGAUGCACCUUAUUGUUUGUGGACAGCUUUUCAUACAUACCAGACAAAGCCUUCAUCAGAUCUACUGUGGUCUUCUCUUUUACAACGUUGUGUGCAAUAGACCUAGACAGAGUUAACCUAAUAACUCUUGGAACCUGUCUGUCAAGAAACGCCCAUUCCUCAACCUUCAUACUCUCAGGUUUUGUCCCCAAAAGAGGCAGAUGCAAUUUCCUCCCAUAGAGAUAAUCUUCAAUCUACAUCCUCCAAUAUGCAAAAUCUGUGCCAUCAAAAUUUCUAUUAUAGACGCCUUUCCUGCUUCCUCUGCCAUUGCUCCCACUCAAACCUAACCCUAGGCUCUGAUACCAGUUGUUGUGCCAGUGAAAGCUUUGAUGCCAACAAUGUUAGUUCAAGAACACAAAGAUAAAACAAUCACACAUAUGGUACACGAGGUUUUAACAUGGUUCGGCCAACCAUGUCUUGAUUCAUGCCCAGUCGAUGUAUCAGUUGACUUAUGUCCAGCUGGUGCUCCUUGAUUGACGUAGUAAUCAACAAAAUUUAUAACCUAUUACACCAUGAACUAGGGUAGCAGAGACAAAGCUACUAUAGUAUAGUGGCUCUAGGAUCGUUCACUGGGAAGGGUUUUCAACUCAUAACUGAUACCAAUUCAAAGCUGAGUUGGUGCUUUUUCAUUUCAAGGUUAGCUUUAAAAGAAAACAUAAAGUUGUUUGAGUGAAAAGGGUUUGGUUUUAAACUAACCAAAAAGAAAGUAAUGGAAAUUACUUAUGAAGAAAAACAUUCCUUGAAGGUUUAGGUUCACAGGGGAGAUUCCUUAUACAAAACAGAGCUCCGGUCAUUUGGUUUGUUUCCUCGCAUUAGAGAAUUAACAUAUAGUCAAUUCUCUAACCGGUGUUGUACAGAUGUAACCUUUAAAUAGAUUCCAGCUCUAAUUCCCUCUCACUGAUGCAACUUGCAAUAACUCGUGCCUCUCAUCUAGCAUUUGCCAUCAAGGUGAUCUUUAACUUUGGAUUUCCCUUCUCAAGCUCGCAAGAGAUAACUAAUGGAAGUCUCCUCGGAGUCCAAAAGCUUACUAAAUGUUGGCAAUUCUAGAAAAUCCUACCUCCAAGUCACUUCCCAAAAGCUUGCAAGAGAUAAACAAGUGCAUCUCCAUGGACGAAGAUCACGUGUCUUACCAAGUACUGGCUCAAGUGAUUUGAAGGUGUUUUAAGUUAACUAAAAACAUAGAAAUCAUUAAAGGAUCAUACUUUCUCUUCAUUAAUCACUGAAACCACAAAGCUACUAAUUCUUGCACUUAGAACCUUUCCCUACAACCUUAACUCCAAGGAAUUAAAAGUCUAGCCACUCAUUCUUUGAGGAAAUUUCCUCAGAGCUUGUUUGGCUAGUAAGAAAACUAACAAGAAAACAAAUAUAUGAUAGAAAACCAGAGCAAGUGCUCUGGAAAUAUAUUUCUUGCUUUUCUUGAUUACAAUAUAGAUCGAUACUCUUUCGAUUCGAUAUCCUCUGUAAAGGAAAUUACAAACUAUUUAUAUGGGUUUAUUCACCCUUUUUAUUUACUUAAAAACUAAGGAAUCCCAUGAUAGGUGGAUUACAAGGAGAGUUUGGGAAUUUAGACAACAAAUAUCUAAAGCAAAAUAUCCCAAAAUAUCGCUCGAAAAUGUCAGGAAGGUUCAGGAGAACACCAUUGCACUAUACUGAGAGAAAAACUUUGCAGGUAAGCGUUAUCAGAAGGUCCGGAUAUGUAUAUCCGGAGAAGUCGAAGCGUCCUCCUCUCCCAUCCGGCUAUAGGAUAUUCGGAUGUAAAAUGUUGGCGCACGGAACGUCCUCCUUUCCCAUCCGGAUGUGAGAUAUCCGGAUGAAAAAUGUCGGCGCACAGAACUCGUGAAAAUCACACCCGGCUGAUAGCAUAUCUUAUUUGAAUAUGUUGUCCGGAUGCCCUUCGAUGGUAUAUCCGGACGCCCUGUCCGGGUAUACUCCUUGUAUGGAUUCCAAAGAACUCUCCUCAAUCUCAGAUUUGCUUUGGUGAUAAAAAAGCUAUCAAAACACCAAAACUUAACACAAUUUGAUUAGAAUUGAUUGCAAGGGUCCUUACUAUGUUAAUUGGGUUAAAAGGUGAUAACUACUACUCAAAAGUAUUUAAAAGAGUUAAUUACUGGUUAUCAAAUAGCACUUUUUGAGUAGUAAUCACUCCCCCCAACCGACAUAUUGCUAGUCCCUUAGCAAUGAAGGAGAGAAAAAAAAACAGUACUAUAAUUUACAACAUCAUGCUGAACAAAAAACAAUUUCCUAGCGGCAUGAUGAUCUAACUCUCACAUGGAACAUUAAAGAAAUAAAACUCAAACUUCAACAAGAGUUAUCAAAUAACUUGUCUAAUCACAAUUCUUAAAGAGAAGGCUUUAUGCAAAUUUAAGCUUUAAAAGAGUUUCCACUCCCAAAGGGUCAAACCUUACUCUUCCACAAAAAUCUAAGUGUUAUUUAUUAGCUUCCGAAUAUAGUAUGUAGAACUAAUCUCUCCUCCCAAUCUAGUUUUUUUUUUUCAAAGCUUAGCAAACUGGUCAACCUCCAAUAUGCUAAGAACGCACCUCAUUUUUUUCACAACAAUUUUUUUUUCAUUGUAGGAGUACAAGGCUUAAAGGUAUUAUUUUCUAACUUGUCCAUGUAACGGGGGUCCAUCGAUGACUCCCAACCAAUUAAGGUUUAGGGCAUCAAGCUUUAAGGAUAUUUCAACCACUAGCUCCUCGGAUUUUACCCCGGACUUUUGAGAAUGAAUUUUAAUACCCCAGCACCUACAGUAUGUUAGACUCCACCUAUCCACCCUUGUUACGAGCAUUGAGGUCGGUGACUCCCAACCAAUGAAGGCUUAGGGCACCUGGUUUUAAAGAUUUUCACCAUAUAUCCCUCAGACCUUGCUCGGGUUUCAAGGCAAGCAAACAUUUUUUCUUUCUUUUUCCAAAGGCUCAUUGGCCUUUUACAAGGUGUCCCAACACUAUUAAAUGAGGUCAAAGGUACCAAGUCUAAAAUUUUCCUAAGUCAAGAGGGAAAUAGUUUUUCAUCUUAUACUCGGAACCUAUUGUGCACAGUGUGUGAAUAGCUUAAAGUGGAAGACAUAAGCUUGACUUCAAUAGAAGUUUCAACAAUUCAUCAACUUUAAUAAGCAUAAUACAAACUCUAAGUCAAGUGAAAAGAUAAAAAUUCAAUUUCUCCCAUUCCAUUUUGAAAAUUUUUCCUUAAUAACCAUGGAGAGUAGAAUAAAAACUUUUAAAAAUUUUAAAAUUUAAGCAAAAAGCAACUAAAUUACCAAAAUAACUUAGCAUUAUUAAUAAAAACUUCCUUCCUCAACUCUCCCCCCAACCAAGCUCAACAUUGUCCUUAAUGUGACAACAGCGAUUGAAAAAUAGGGAGGAAGUGGUACCUCCUAAGUGACGUGGAAUGAUGGCUCAGCGGCUUCUCCUGUACUCCCAUUCCAUUUUGAAAAUUUUUCCUUAAUAAUCAUGGAGAGUAGAAUAAAAACUUUUUAAAAUUUUAAAAUUUAAGCAAAAAGCAACUAAAUUACCAAAAUAACUUAGCAUUAUUAAUAAAAACUUCCUUCCUUAACUCUCCCCCCAACCAAGCUCAACAUUGUCCUCAAUGUGACAACAGUGAUUGAAAAAUAGGGAGGAAGUGGUACCUCUUGAGUGACGUGGAAUGAUGGCUCAGCGGCUUCUCCUGUAGGAGGCUCCGGAUGAGGUGGGAAUGGUAUGCUCAGGAGCUGAUGUACUGUCAAGAUGAUGCUGAAUCUGCCUCAGGACGGCAGUGUGCUGGGCCUGAGUGGCAAGAAUCUGCUCCUGCUGAUUCUAAUCAUUCAAAAAGCUAGUUACAAUUAACAUAAUUUAAAACCAAAAUUACAAUCCAAUAAUUUACAAAACUUAAAAAUUAACAUAUUUAACAAAAUUAUGGACUUUGGUGAAACCAAGUCCAUCUAACCCUUCUCUGUUCAGGAUUUCUAUGGCUCAAGGAGGUUGAUUUCCUCCUUUUCUGGCUUGAACGGCUCAAUGUAUGGCUUGAGACGAUGCCCAUUCACUUUGAAAGUUUGAGUGCUCUUGAAGUUGAGUAGUUCCACUACUCCAUUUGAUUGCACGUCAUGAAUUAUGAAAGGACCCGUCCAUCUUGAUUUCAAUUUUCCCGGAAAAAGAUGGAGUUUAGAGUCAUAAAGCAAGACUCUUUGUCUCUUGAUAAAAUUCUUCUGAUUUACCAACUGAUCAUGCCAUUUCUUCAACCUCUCUUUUGCAAUUUUUGAAUUGAGGUAAGCAUCAUUCCUCAUUUCCUCCAAUUCGUUCAAAUGCAAAUAUCUCUUUAACCCGGCACUUGUCAAAUCCAUGUUGAGCUUCUUGAUCGCCCACCAUGCUUUAUAUUCAACCUCCACUGGGAGAUGGCACGCUUUGCCAUAAACAAGGCGGUAAGGAGACAUUCCAAGAAUGGUCUUAUAAGCAGUCUAUAAGCCCAUAAUGAAUCCAGGAGCUUAGUAGACCAAUCCUUCCUAUUCACAUUCACCACCUUCAUCAGGAUAUUCUUGAUUUCCCGGUUGGCUAACUCAACUUGGCCACUUGUUUGAGGGUGAUAAGGUGUAGCUACCUUGUGCUUGACCCCAUAUUUGGCUAGAAGAGUCUCAAACGACUUAUUGCAAAAGUGGGUUCCUCCAUCACUGAUAAUGGCCUUAGGCACUCCAAACCUUGAAAAUAUGUUCUCCUUGAGAAAUUUGAGAACCACCUUAUGAUCAUUGCUCCUACAUGGGAUUGCAUCUACCCACUUAGAGACAUAAUCCACUCCCACCAAAAUGUAGGAGUGUCCAAAUGACAUUGGAAAUGGUCCCAUGAAGUCUAUCCCCCAAACAUCAAAGACAUCCACUAUCAAGAUGGGGUUCAAGGGCAUCAUAUUCCAGCGUGUUAGCUUCCCAAGCCUUUGACACCAAUCACAUCCCUUGCACAUAGAGUGGGCAUCCUUGAAAAGAAAGGGCCACCAAAAACCUGAUUAGACCACUCUCAUGGCUGUUUUCUGGGAGGCAAAAUGACCUCCACAUGCACUAUCAUGACAAUGGGAUAGAAUUCCUGAUUGCUCUUGUUCAGGAACACAUUUCCUUAUGAUUUGAUCCGCACAAUAUUUGAAGAGAAAAGGCUCCUCCCAAUAAUAGGCAUGGAUCUUAGCAAAGAAAUGCUUCUUGUCUUGGGCACUCCACUCACUUGGAACUUCUCCAGUAACCAAGUAAUUUACAAUGUGAGAAUACCAUGGAGUUACCUCUAUUGACAUGAGAGACUCCUCAGGGAAGUCAUCAUUAAUAGGUAGACCAUGUGAGUCAUGUGCUAUCACAAGUCUGGACAAGUGGUCAGCUACCACAUUUUCUACUCUCUUCUUAUCCCGGAUUUGGAUAUUGAAUUCUUGAAGCAGAAGGAUCCAUCUUUUCAAUCUUGCCUUGGCAUCUUGCUUGGUUAGCAAGUACUUUAGAGCAGAAUGGUCAGUGAACACCACUAUAAAGGACCCUACCAAAUAGGCACGAAACUUAUCCAAGGUAAAAACUACUGCCAACAACUCCUUCUCAGUAGUUGUGUAGUUCCUUUGAGCCUCAUUCAAAGUUUUGCUUGCAUAAUAAAUCACAUAGGGCUUUCCAUCUUCUCUUUGCCCCAAAACAGCCCCCAUAGCAAAAUCACUUGCAUCACACAUUACCUCAAAAGGUAAUUUCCAAUUUGGGGCUCUCACUAUUGGUGCAGUUGUAAGGAAUUGCUUCAGUUCCUCAAAACUCUUCUGGUAUUUCUCAUCCUACACAAACUUGACAUCCUUUACCAAUAGUUCACAAAGAGGUUUUAAGAUUUUUGAGAAAUCCUUAAUGAACCUCCUAUAGAACCCGACAUGUCCUAGGAAUUGCCUAAUUCCUUUAACAUUUGUGGGAGGUGGCAACUUAACAAUUAGCUCCACCUUUGCCUUAUCUACCUUAAUGUCAUUCUUGGAGAUUAUAUGUCCUAAGACAAUUCCUUUUUGUACCAUAAAAUGGCACUUCUCCCAAAUUAGCACUAGGUCUUUCUCAAUACAUCUUUGGAGAACAGCUUCUAAAUGCAACAAACACUCCUUAUAAGAACAUCCAUAAACAGUGAUGUCAUCCAUAAAGACUUCCAUGAUGCGUUCUACCAUAUCACUGAAGAUGCUUAGCAUACAUCUUUGGAAAGUUGCAGGUGCAUUACAUAGACCAAAGGGCAUCCUCCUAUAGGCAAAAGUACCAAAGGGGCAAGUGAAGGUUGUCUUUUCCUGAUCUUCCAAAUCAAUUUCUAUUUGGAAGUACCCCGAGUAACCAUCUAGAAAACAGUAGAAAGGAUGCCCUGAGAUUCUCUCAAGGACUUGGUCCAUGAAAGGCAAUGGGAAAUGGUCCUUCCUAGUCGCUGAAUUUAACCUCCUGUAGUCUAUACACACCCUCCAUCCGGAGGUAAGACGUGUAGAGACUUCCUCCCCUUUUUCAUUCUGGAUCACAGUAAUUCCAGAUUUCUUUGGAACUACUUGGGUUGGGCUCACCCACAAGCUGUCUGUAAUGGGAUAUAUGAUCCCUGCUUGAAGUAGCUUCAAAACUUCACCUCUUACUACCCCUUGCAUGUGAGGAUUCAACCUCCUCUGGGGCUGCCUCACUGGUUUUGCAUCUUCCUCCAUGUAGAUAUGGUGGGUGCAUACCAAAGGGCUAAUCCCUUUCAGAUCAGAAAUUUGCUAUCCAAUGGCCUUUUUGCAUUUUAUGAGGACUCCCAAAAGGCUAUCCUCUUGAUCAGUGGUGAGCUUUGAAGAAACCACCACUGCACAUUUCUCAUCUUUCUCCAGAUAUGCAUACUUCAAAUCAACAGGAAGUGGCUUCAAAACUGGUUUUGGAGGGUCCUCCGUAGCUGCUCCUUGUGAGUCCUCCUUAUUGAACAAGGGCAAGAUCUCUUCCCUUCUCCUCCAAGGAGACAUGAUGGCUAAUGGUUCAAAGGGUUCAGGUAACCCUGCUUCAAGCACUCCAAUGCUUUCAUUCAAGCUUUCUUCUAAAUUCUUGUCACAAUGCUCUUCAACCAACGUGUUGAUCAAGCACACCUUCUCCAAUCCUUCCUCCUCUUCGGGUUGAAGAUGCCUCUUGCAUAGGUGGAAUAUGUUUAGUUCCAAGGUCAUGUUCCCAAAUGUGAGCUGCAUAACCCCAUUCCUAUAAUUGAUGAUGGCAUUGGAGGUAGCUAGGAAAGGUCUCCCAAGGAUGAUUGGCACAUAAUUUGGUUCCUUAAUAGUGAGAUCAGUAUCAAGCACCAAAAAAUCCACGAGAUAGUAGAAUUUGUCCACUUGAACUAGAACAUUCUCAAUCACCCCCCUUGGGAUUUUGACCGACCUAUCAGCUAAGGAGAGAGUGAUGGCUGUGGGCUUCAAUUCUCCAAGUCCCAGUUGCUUAUACACAGAGUAUGGGAGCAAAUUCACACUUGCCCCCAAGUCUAAUAGAGCCUUCUCCACAUGUGUCCCUCCAAUGUUGGUUGAAAUGGUGGGACAUCCCGGAUCUUUACACUUAACUGGAGACUUACUCUGAAUGAUGGCACUUACUUGCUCAGUGAGGAAUGCCUUCUUUGUCACAUUUAACCCUCUCUUAACCGUGCACAAGUCCUUUAAAAUUUUUACAUAUGUGGGGACUUGCUUGAUCAUAUCAAGUAAGGGUAUAUUCACCUUCACUUGUCUCAAAACUUCAAGAAUUUCUGAUGAAUUCUUGAUUCCCUUCUUUCCAUGUAAAGCUUGAGGAAAAGGGGGAGGCAUAUGUUUCUUCAUCAUAUCCUCUUUAAUCACUAUCCUUGGCUCUUCUUCAAUGCUUGAUUUAGAUGCAUUUUUCUUCCCACUCUCCUCUUCUUGGUUAUUGCUCUCUUUAACCAAGGUUUUCCUUGACAUGAAUUCUUCGUCUUGUCUCACCUUAGGCAAGGGUUGAUCAACCUCCUUCCCACUUCUCAAGGUGAUCACAACUUUGACCUUCCUCAACUUUGAAGACUCUCCAUCUUGGGUUUCAACUUCAUGAACACCCUUAGGAUUUUGGCUUGGUUGAGAGGGGAACUUUCCCUUCUCAUUCACUGUGUUGAGGUUGGUAAGCCUAGAGAUGGAGUAUUGACUAUUAUCUAUCUUCUGAGAUAGAUCAUUCUGCAUCCCAUCCAUUCUCUUAAUUUGAGAACUCUCAACAUUUUCAAUCUUUUGGUGCAAUUGGGAGUUGAUUGCCUUUUGUUCACCCACAAAGUCACCCAUGACUUUACUUAGGUUUACAAUGGCUUGCUCCACUGAAGAGGUUUGUUGAGGUGCUUGGGUUUGGGCUUGUGGUUGGUAUGGAGGUGGCCUUGGUUUCCAAGAAAAAUUUGGAUGGUUUCUCCAGCUUGAAUUAUAGGUGUUUCCAUAAGGUGCAUUGUUGUUGGGCUUAAAUUGCCCCACAACAUUGGCUUGAUCACCUAAGAUCUCCCUCACAGCUGGGAUGGUUGGGUACUCAUCUACCACAUGAUCACAUGAUUGGCAAAUGGUGUAUGGCAUGACAUGGACUUGUGUCUUUGAAAUGGCUUGGACUUCAUGCAUUUUUUUCAACUCAAGUUCUUCCAACCUCCUUGCCAUUGUUGCCACCUUAGUUUUCAUGUCCACGUCUUCACUUAACAUGUACAUUCCACCCUUUGGAUUUACAGGAGCUUUCAUCCUUCCCACUUCUCCUCUAUGCGGUUCAUCCCAUCCCCUUGAGACUUCAGCUACAUAACUCAAGAAAUCCAUAGCUUCCUCAGGAUUCUUACUCAUGAAAUCCCCUCCACACAUUGUUUCGAGGAGCUGCUUCAUUGAGGAAGACAUCCCAUCAUAGAAAUAACUUACCAACAGCCAUGUAUCAAAGCCAUGGUGAGGACAAGCAUUAAUGGCUUCUAUGUAUCUUUCCCAACACUCAUAGAAUUUCUCAUUCUCUUUAGCUAAGAAGUUUGAAAUUUGUCUUUUCAAGCUGUUUGUUCUGUGAGUAGGAAAAAAUUUCUUGAGGAAUUCUACUUGUAAAUCAGUCCAAGUACGGAUACUCCUUGGCCUUAAAGAAUUAAGCCAAAUCUUGGCCUUAUCCUUUAAAGUAAAAGGAAAUAGUUUAAGCCUCAUCAGGUCAAUAGAAGCUCCUCCCUCUCGGAAUAUAUUACAAACAUCUUCAAAUUCCUUGAUAUGGGAAUAAGGAUUCUCACUUUCCAUUCCGUGGAAAGUUGGCAGAAGUGGCACAAUAUAGGGUCUGAUUACUAGCUGUUCUGUAGGAGGCACUAUACAUGACGGUGCACUCAUACGAGGUGGAUGCAUAUGGUCCCUCAUUGAUCUGAAUUCAUUGGGAUUGUCCUGAUGAUCAUGGUGACUAUGCUGAUCCUCAGGUGUAGUUUCCAUGAUGUUCAAGAUUACUUCCAACUCCUUGUUAUGAGGUGUUUCAAUUUUAACAAGCCUUCCUCCACAAUCUCGUAUCCACUUGGGCAUACACAACUAGUAUCAACUGUAACAAAGAAAGAAAAAGAAAAACAGAGGAAAACAAAAAAACAAAACUACCAAAAAGAGUUCAAUUAACUAAAACUAAAUUCAAAACUAUGCUAGAAUAUAUAAACUAGUAAAAGAGAAAAAAAAAAAACUAAAAGAGUUAGUAAAAUGAGAGAAAACUCACCAAACUUGUGAUGAAAACCACAAGUUCCAUGAAAUAAUAUCAAUAUGAAGUUGGCACCUUCCCCGACAACGAAGCCAUUUGAUUUGUGCCCAGUCGGUGUAUCAGCUGACUUAUGUCCAGCUGGUGCUCCUUGAUUGAGGUAGUAAUCAACAAAAUUUAUAACCUAUUACACCAUGAACUAGGGUAGCAGAGACAAAGCUACUAUAGUAUAGUGGCUCUAGGAUCAUUCACUGGGAAGGGUUUUCAACUCAUAAUUGAUACCAAUUCAAAGCUGAGUUGGUGCUUUUUCAUUUCAAGGUUAGCUUUAAAAGAAAACAUAAAGUUGUUUGAGUGAAAAGGGUUUGGUUUUAAACUAACCAAAAAGAAAGUAAUGGAAAUUACUUAUGAAGAAAAACAUUCCUUGAAGGUUUAGGUUCACAGGGGAGAUUCCUUAUACAAAAACAGAGCUCCGGUCAUUUGGUUUGUUUCCUCGCAUUAGAGAAUUAACAUAUAGUCAAUUCUCUAACCGGUGUUGUAUAGAUGUAACCUUUAAAUAGAUUCCAGCUCUAAUUCCCUCUCACUGAUGCAACUUGCAAUAACUCGUGCCUCUCAUCUAGCAUUUGCCAUUCAAGGUGAUCUUUAACUUUGGAUUUCCCUUCUCAAGCUCGCAAGAGAUAACUAAUGGAAGUCUCCUCGGAGUCCAAAAGCUUACUAAAUGUUGGUAAUUCUAGAAAAUCCUACCUCCAAGUCACUUCCCAAAAGCUUGCAAGAGAUAAACAAGUGCAUCUCCAUGGACGAAGAUCACGUGUCUUACCAAGUACUGGCUCAAGUGACUUGAAGGUGUUUUAAGUUAACUAAAAACAUAGAAAUCAUUAAAGGAUCAUACUUUCUCUUCAUUAAUCACUGAAACCACAAAGCUACUAAUUCUUGCACUUAGAACCUUUCCCUGCAACCUUAACUCCAAGGAAUUAAAAGUCUAGCCACUCAUUCUCUGAGGAAAUUUCCUCAGAGCUUGUUUGGCUAGUAAGAAAACUAACAAGAAAACAAAUAUAUGACAGAAAACCAAAGCAAGUGCUCUGGAAAUAUAUUUCUUGCUUUUCUUGAUUACAAUAUAGAUCGAUACUCUUUCGAUUCGAUAUCCUCUGUAAAGGAAAUUACAAACUAUUUAUAUGGGUUUAUUCACCCUUUUUACUUACUUAAAAACUAAGGAAUCCCAUGAUAGGUGGAUUACAAGGAGAGUUUGGGAAUUUAGACAACAAAUAUAUAAAGCAAAAUAUCCCAAAAUAUCUCAAAAAUAUCGGUCGAAAAUAUCAGGAAGGUUCAGGAGAACACCGCUGCACUGUACUGAGAUAAAAACUCUACAGGUAAGUGUUAUUAGAAGGUCCGAAUAUGUAUAUCCGGAGAAGUCGAAGCGUCCUCCUCUCCCAUCCGGCUAUAGGAUAUCCGGAUGUAAAAUUUCGGCGCACGGAACGUCCUCCUUUCCCAUCCGGAUGUGAGAUAUCCGGAUGAAAAAUGUCGGCGCACAGAACUCGUGAAAAUCACACUCGGCUGAUAGCAUGUCUUAUCCGAAUAUGUUGUCCGGAUGCCCUUCGAUGGUAUAUCCGGAUGCCCUUCGAUGGUAUAUCCGGACGCCCUGUCCGGGUAUACUCCUUGUAUGGAUUCCAAAGAACUCUCCUCAAUCUCAGAUUUGCUUUGGUGAUCAAAAAGCUAUCAAAACACCAAAACUUAACACAAUUUGAUUAGAAUUGAUUGCAAUGGUCCUUACUAUGUUAAUUGGGUUAAAAGGUGAUAACUACUACUCAAAAUUAUUUAAAAGAGUUAAUUACUGGCUAUCAAAUAACACUUUUUGAGUAGUAAUCAUGUCUACAUCCACGACUGAGAGAGAACGAUUCCACUAUACAAUAGAGAAUAUUAUAGAGGACAGAACUAGAUACAACUAUUGGGUUCCCGAAACAUCCCAUGUUUCCCCACUCCUUGUAUCCAUACCCUACUACGAGGUCUCUCGCUCCACCGAGUACCUCCCGUUCUUCCUCACAUCUCUAUCCACCUCGUAUAGUCUCUACAGGUCCAUCUCCAUCUCAUGACUUUUUCCUUUUCAUGACCUAGAAUACUUAUAGAGAUAUUUCCAACAACCUUCCUUAUUCUAUAAGGAAGUCUAAUAUUACAAUAAUAUAUCAACCUAGAAUUAUUCUAUAUAAUAUUCUUUAUAAAAAAAAGAAUCUAUACUAAUUAGGAAUUUGGGAUGCUUCCUAAUACCUAUGCCAUCGACGUCCCCAUUGUGGCCUCUUCUUGAAACUUCUUGAUGUGUUUCCAAAACCUUCUCAAGGCAUCUGCAUGUUCCCAGCUUACUUGCCUCUUAGGUAGUCUUUUCCAUCGAACUAGAUACUCUAUCACAGGAAGGACCCCUUAUCUCUUGGUAACUUGUUCAAAUAGGAUAUUCUUCACCUCUUUCUCUUGUGAGGCCUGAGAUGAAUGCAAACACUUGCAUUUUCGAUGCUUGGAGUGCUGCUUCCUAUUGCUUAUUGAGUUCACCUUUUCCUUAGUGACCUUGUCCAUGUGUGUGUGGGCUACCACAACUCGCUCCUCUUUUGCCUCUUUUACUUGCACCCUUGAUAGUAAGAAGGUCUUAGGAAUACUAGGCUUUGGGUUGGAGGGUACCUAGUAGCUGCAUCAAGCCCAUAUGUGCUUCGCCUUCCUAUUUCCUCUCUUCGAUCAUGGCCUGAGCGCCUUCCUCUUUGGGCAAUCCUAUGCCCAAUGUGGAUCGUCACACAGGAAGCAUUUGAUUCUAGGCGUAAACUCCUUCCUUUUCGCCUUACGUCUUCCUUCCCGGAUGCUAGGCAUCUUGCCUGAUCCCAUUUUAGGAGCAUUAUAGUCUCUUGAAACCCCGUCUCCCCCACCCGUGGCGUGGCUAUUCUCUAAAGACUCAACCUUGGAGGAGUCUUCCCUCUUGUAAUGCGUUAAAGACUCUGCUACUACCAUAGCAGUGGCUAAGUCUUGAACACCUUGGCACCUUAAUUCUUACUCGGCCCACCCUUGUAGGUUAUCCAUGAAGUUGAAUAGUAGAUCCUCUUUAGUCAUGUUAGGAAUCUCAAGCAUAAGCGAAGAGAAUUCCUUGGCAUAGUCGCGUAUCGAACCUGUGUGCUUGAGACACCUCAUGUUUUUCCUAGUCAAGUAAGCCACGACCUUGGGGUAGAAUUGCCUCUUGAUCUCCCUCUUAAAGUCCUCCCACGUCUCUAUGGUGCAAAUGUCUUUUUCCAUAUCGGCGAACCUCCGACUCUACCAUAGAGUAGCUGUGUUAGUAAGGUAGGGGGGUUACAGUCCUUACCUUAGUCGCCUCAUCAGAUAGUGCGAUGGCCUCGAAGUAUCGCUCCAUAUGCCAUAAGAAGUUGUCCAACUCCUUGACAUCCCGCUUGCCACUAAACCCUUGUGGCUUCGGCACCUCCACCCUAGAUGCCUCUUGGGUGGGCAUGACCCAUGCCGACACAACAGUCUUGUAGAUGGCCAACUCCUACCUAACCUCCUGGUCUUGGGACUCCAUUCGAGUGGCCAAAGCCUCCAUCCUUGACUCUAUACUAGCAAGCAUGCUCAAGACAUUUUCUUGGAAGGACACAAACUCCUCGUGCGACACUGUCUAAACCUAUGAGACUAGCAUCUCCUCACGAAGGUCUUGGAUCUGUUCCCUAAGAUCUUUCAUACCCUUCUCCAUGCCUUGCUCAAUCAAGUCCAACCCCUCCCGAGUGUCUGCCAUGGCUAGCUCCACCUUAGCUAACCUUGCCUCCAUGUUAGCAACGACAUCAUGAGAUUUAUCCUUCCUACCCCUGCCCCGUGCAGUAGGCUCGGUCUCCCUCCCACGGGUUUGUUCACUAGUCUCAUCCACGUUGGAGCCCGACAUGCUUCCUUUACUAUGCCCACUUCAUAGCUACGCUUUGAUACCACUUGUCACGGACUUAAUCUUUUCCUAAGCUCGUGUGGCACUUAGACAAGUCAAGACACUUUAUCUUGCUAAGUCAGCCUUACUCCCAAUGCUUAGCUUGCUAGGCUAAGAUGCUCACGACUCGGAACCUAUUUAUAGGCACCAAUGGAACUCUCUGGAACCUUGCAAGGUUCCUUAAAACUAAAGAAUAAUCUAGAAAUUCCUACACUAGUCUUAUGUACAAGGGUAUGUACAAGAUGACUUUGAAGUAUUCUAGAACACCCUACACAAUCCCAAUUCUCUCUUAGCCAAGUGUAGAGAUGUGUGGGCAUCUCUAGCCCUCUCCAAAAGCUUCCAUACUCUUCCACUUUGUAGCCAAGUGUAGUGUCUCCAAGGGUCUUUAGAAGCUUCCCACCUCCUAUAUAAGCCUAUGGGAAGGGUCAUUUGAAACAUCUUGUGACACUAAGCUCAACUUAUGUUGGGCCUAAGUCCAAGCCUAAUAGCAUGUUUUAUAAAACUUAAUAUUUAAUACUUAUUACUUAAUGACUUAUGUUGACUUUAAGUUAAAUUGUUUGAUAAAAUUAUUUUAAGUUAUUAAAUUAACAUAUUUACCCCAUUGGUUGUAAUUAAUAUUUAUUAUUAAAAUUUUAACUAAUAUUUAUUUUUAUUAAUUUUAAGUAAUAAAUUUUUUUAUUAAACAUCCAUACUUGAAAGUAUUGUAGAUUUAUGUAAUAACUUUAAAAUAUUUAUUAGAAAAAAUGUGUCAUGGAUUUGGUUGUUAAAUAUAUUUUCAUUAGAUAUGAGCAAAUAAGACAAUAAAAAUUUAGGAUUAAGAAUAAGUUAACUAUUUUAACUUAAUAUUUAAAUUUAUUUUUAAUUUUAGGUUGUGAUAUGAAGUUGUAUUUAAAAGACAUGUUUAAUCUACUUAAUAACUUAAAUUAAAUUAUUAUGUCACUUUAAGGCAUUAAGUUAAAUUACCAAUUAAACAUCCUAUAAGACCAAAAUAAGACUCUAAUCAAAUAUAUAUAUAUAUAUAUAUAUAUAUAUAUAUAGAGAGAGAGAGAGAGAGAGAGAGAGAGAUUAUCAUUUAUAUUUGAUUACUAUAUAUACAAUAAAAAAUCAAUUUAGUUAUAAUUUUGAGAAAUUCAUGCAUAGAUUAAGGUGAUGUUUGGUAAAACUUAAUACCUAUUACUUAAUCAUUUAAGUUGACUUUAACUUAAAUUAUACUUAAAUUGUUAACUUAAAACUUAUUAUUUAAGUUUUACUUUAAGUAUUAAGGUUAUUUGAUCAAAUUAACUUAAAACUUAUUCUAAAUUAUAAAAUUGACAUAUUUGUACUCAUAAAUUAAAACUAGGGCAAAAAAGAUCGAAUAAUAGCGGAUGUUGUAGAGUAGCAAAAGAGAUGGUCUAGUUAAUUAGGAUAAAUAAGAGUAAAAAAGCAAAAUAAAUAUACGAACUUAAUUAUUUUUACUUAUUACUUAAAGUUAUUUUUAACUUUAUAUCACACCAUUAAAUUAUUUUACUAAUAAAUAAGAGCAAAAAAGCAAAAUAAAGAUAUGAACUUAAGAAUAAGUUAAUUAUUUUUACUUAUUAUCUAAAACUGUUUUUUACUUUAUGUCACAUUAUUAAAUUAUUUUUCCAAAUAUAAUUAAUGUAGUUAAUGAAUUAAAUUAAGUUAUCAAGUUAUUUUAAGUUAUUAAAUUGAUUUAUGAAACACACACUAAAUAAAAAACUUAAAUUUAUUUAUUUAUUUUUUUGUUGUCUCUCAUGAAUAAUUAAAAGAAAAGAAAAAGUAAAAUAUCACAUUUCCCAAAAUAAAGAAAUAAACAUACACUCCAAUAUUUUUCUUUUCACUUCAAUAGGCCCUCAAUAUAUCUUAAUCAUAUUGUCCAUUGUCUACUCUCUUCAACCCUUUUGGGAUAAUAUGUGAUGUCGGACAAUUACAUGAGUUGGGUUUUCACCGGGCAAUCAACUAUUUUAUAAUGGCAAUAGACCUCUGUCUUAAUUGAGGACAAAGCCUUGCACUUGGGAUCUUUUCCAAGGGAUCCUUCUAAGAAUCCAAUGAUUUCUAAACCAUUAACUUUUAUUAUAAGGAUAACCCAGUUCAUGACAAUGGGAUAUGGGCUACUUGGAUGUCUAUUUUUUUUCCUAAUUUCCACAUGCAAACUGACAAAUAGAAUGUGAACAAAAUAAGGAUAACCCAGUCCACGACAAUGGGAUAUGGACCACAUGGAUGUCUAUUUUUUCCUAAUUUCCACAUGCAAACUGACAAAUAGAAUGUGAACAAAAUAAGGACAGCAUGGUAAUAAUGAUUGAAGAAUAACAAAUUUAGUAUUCGAUGGAAUAUAUUUUCUUUUUUUUUAAAAAAAUACAAUAAUUUCUAUGUAAAAUAUAAUAAUUUUUUUAUUUAUAAAAAGGUUUAAAUUGAAAAUGUAAUGAUUUUUAAAAAUUAAUUUAAAAAAGUGAAGUGUUAAAAGCUUUUUACUACUUUAAAUUUUGAAAAAAAUCAAGGAUAUAAAAGUUAAUAUUUUUUUAUUAGAGUUUUUAUUUUUUAAAAUAAAAAAUAAAAAAUUAUAUUUAAAGAAAGCUUUGCUUUAUAAAUUAUUAUAAAAAGCCUCAUUUUUUAAAUAAUAAGAUCAUCUGGUCAUUCCAAAGUGUAUAUGGAUUGUACGUUCUUGAUGGUUAUUCUUCUUGGAAGAUAUCAUCCAUACAAACCACUGCCAAUUUUUACAAUGGCUUCGAGUGAUAAAUGACAAAUACAAGAAUGACGAAUAAAACUAUGUUAUAUAUAUAUAUAUUAUUAUCAAAAUUUUGUUUUGUCAUUGCCAGCAUUUAUCUGCUGGUGGUAGAAACUAAGUAUACAAGUGCCUCUUUUCUUUGUCACGGCUUAAAAAUUUUUAAAAAUAUUUAAUUUUUUUUCGAAAACAUUUUUUUAAGUUAAAAACCUUUUCUAGAAUUACUAUUAAAUGACUCUUAAAGUCCAUUUAGUAAUGAUUUAAACAUUUGUAAUUAAAAAAUAAAAAUUUUCAAAUGUUAAAGGUAAUAAAAAUACUUUUUAAAAUUACUACUAAACGUAUUUUUGGAGUCUGUUUAACAGUAAUUUUAAAAAGUUUUUUUAUUUUAAAAAACAUUUUUGAAAAGAAAUUAAGUAUUUGAGAAAAUUUAGGAAACAAUUUUAAAAAUCUAAAAAAUUACUUAUAUUUCUAAUUUUAUAUUUACGGUUUCAAGAGAGCCUUAGGCAUCGUUUGUAGUAACCAAUGACAUAAGCAAAGAUGGUGGUGAUACUACGAAAUUUUUGGAAUACUGAGAAGUUGAAAAGCUAAUAUUGAUAGAGACCAUUUAAGACAUAGUGUACAGGCUUUGAAAUGAUAACACGUGUUCCUAUCGUGAGGCAAUAAAAAAGUGGUGUAUAUUUGCCGGCCAUUCCUCGCCAGUGCAUAGGAUAAGAAGUGAUGGGGCUACUCGUAUAAAUUGGUUCUCUCAACUAUGAAGUAAUUCAGAGGUCGCUCCUUGAAGUCUCUUCCAAAGCGGAAAUGAAGCUUAGCUCAGUUGCAAUCUCCUUUGUUUUUAUUACUCUCUUGAUAUAUGCAUGGAGGUUAUUGAAUUGGGUGUGGUUGAGACCAAAGAAGCUAGAGAGAUGCCUCAGGCAGCAAGGUCUGACUGGGAAUUCCUACAGCUGCUUGUAUGGGGACUUUAAAGAGAUGUCGAGAAUGAUUAACGAAGCAAAUUCCAGACCCAUCAGCUUCUCUGAUGAUAUUGUGCAGCGAGUUCUACCAUUUCACGAUCAUUCCAUCCAGAAAUAUGGUAUGAAAAUGAGCUACUCUUUAUCAUUGCACUAAAAUAUAUUUAUUUGUGGAAUUUUCCCCAAGGGAUUGUUGGUCUUUGGUUUUUUUUUUAUUAGUUAUUUUUCCUAUCCAUUUUUUUUCUUCUCUAAGAAGUUAUAGCCCAAUGGAAUUUCAAUGGUAUUUCAAAUUUCUUUUUUCUACGUCGGAGUGUAAUUUUUAAGGUUUAUUUGAUUAAAAAGAAUAAAAUAAUCCCAAGUUUAGAAAAAUAUCGUUAUGAUAAAAAAAAAAACUCAUUUUCUAAAAAUAAAAAUAAAAAUACUUAUUGUUUUUCUUUUCAACCUAAAAAAUGACCUUUUUUUUUUAAUAAAAUCAUACCCCAAAAAAAUGUGUUUUCAUAUGGUAAAAAAAAAAAAUUACAAAAUAGGAACUCAAAUUUAUAAAAUACAAAUUUCAAACAACUAUCUAAAAAUAAUUACCAUUUUAUGAACUUUUUUAUCUAAUGUGCUACCUUUGAUCAUCCUUAGUACUAUCUUUGAUAGGUAUAGAGGAUUCCUAUUUUAUAAUCAUUUUUGCCUGAGUGUGUAAAAACUCAUUUGUUCGAAUAUACUUAUUGUUUUUCUUAUAAAAAUAACAAUUUUUUUUUUAAAAAAAUGUACAAAUAAAUUAUCAAAAUAUUAAGAGAUGUUUAUAUAAAAAAUGAACUAAUUUUUAAGUUGAAAUAUGAGAGGUGUUAGAUUUACAAAUUUAGGAUUAUUUUAUCCCUUUUAAUUGUGUAAUUCAAUUUUUUUAUAAGCUAUAUGUAGGUAUAUAUAGAUGUCAACUUUGAUAAAUUGUUUAAUCAUUGGGAAAUGUGAAUAGUCUUUAAAUUUUUAUGCUAAUUGUUUCUCAUCUUUUCAAAUUUUGCAUGAACUUCUGACUUUUGAUAAUUAAUCACAUCAGUAUACUUUUCUUUAGAUAUUUGAGCUUCUUCAAUCAGAGAGCCUUGCAUUUGACUCCUUGAGUAUUCAGGUCCUUUAGAUCCUUUCUGACAUUUAUCCAACAAUGGGCAUUAAAAAUGCAGGUAAAAAUAGUUUUACAUGGUUGGGCCCAAAACCAGUGGUAAACAUUAUGGAGCCUGAGCUGAUAAGGGAUGUUUUCUUAAAGCACAAUGCCUUCCAAAAAGUACCGCCACACCCUCUCGGCAAGCUGCUGGCCACUGGUGUUGUUGCAUUGGAAGGUGAACAAUGGACUAAACGUAGAAAGAUCAUAAACCCAGCUUUCCAUCUAGAGAAGUUGAAGGUAGUUUUAAACUUUUGAGGCACUAUUUUUUUGGUUAUGCAGCCAGACCCCAACUUGUUGCCUGGUUUCUCUGCAUAGCCCUCUUCUUAUAGGAAAGAAAAUAAAUUUCUGAAUGUUCCAUAAUUUAGUAGACAUAUUCACAAUUUUACUGCCUCUUGUAAUCUUUUUUCUUAUGCAUGAUAAAUUUUUUCUAAAUUUAUUAUUUGUGUUUGAAUUUGUAUAGCACAUGGUAUCGGCAUUCCAAUUGAGUUGUAGUGAUAUGGUCAAUAAAUGGGAGAAGAAGCUCUCCCUGGACGGCUCAUGUGAAUUGGACGUUUGGCCCUAUCUUGAAAAUUUGGCGGGAGAUGUGAUUUCUAGAACUGCAUUUGGUAGUAGCUAUGAGGAAGGAAGAAGGAUAUUCCAACUUCAGAGAGAGCAAGCACAUCUUGCAAUCCAGGUUACUCGGUCAAUCUAUGUUCCCGGAUGGAGGUAGGCAUAAAAUAUUUCAAGGGAUUAAUCUGAACCUCAGUACUAAUACCCAAAUGCUAUAACUUUCACAGUAUCAUCAACAACAACAGUAAUAAUAAAAAUAAAAAUAAAAAAGAAGAAGAAGGAGGGUUUGAUCCAGCAUGGGACAAAAGCAAGAAUAAAAUUAAUAACUGUUAUAGCAUUUAAGAACUGUAUGAUGUUUCAUUUAUUUUGUUAAUAUGGCUCUCGACUAAUUUUUGUUUUCCUUUAAGAGCUUUCUUUUUGUACAAAUUAAAGAAUAUAGCUGUGUCUUCAAAACAAAAAUCAAGUUCAAGUAUCCCCUUUUCUUUUAUUGGCAGAACAUCUUAGCAAGAUGCAUGGUGAAAUACUACUAUAAAAUAUAUGUAGACUCAAUGAAGUCAUGGAUGAAAAUGCAUUAGUUGUUUCCUGUAUUUCAUUGAUCUUCAUUUACUUGGAUUACUUCCAAGCAGGUUUUUCCCAACAAAGACAAACAGGAGAAUGAGGCAAAUUAGCAAUGAAGUCAAUGCAUUGUUGAAGGGUAUCAUUGAGAAAAGAGAGAAGGCAAUGAAAGUUGGCGAAACUGCUAAUCAUGAUUUAUUAGGUCUACUAAUGGAAUCCAACUACAGAGAUAUGCAAGAAAAUGAUGAGAGGAAGAAUGUUGGAAUGAGCAUCAAAGAUGUCAUUGAGGAGUGUAAGCUAUUCUACCUUGCUGGCCAAGAGACUACCUCGGUUUUACUUCUGUGGACGAUGGUUCUAUUAAGCAAGCAUUCAAACUGGCAAACUCGCGCAAGGGAAGAGGUUUUACGGGUUUUUGGUAAUAAAAAACCAGAUGGUGAUGGCUUAAAUCACCUCAAAAUUGUGAGUAUCAAUCCAAAAUAUAUUCAAUUUAGUAACUCUUCUUGAAAAUAAUAUAUUACUCUUUUCUUUUUUUUUUCUUUUUUUUUCAAUCUUGAGGCAAAAUAUGUUUUGUUUCUGUAUCCUUUUUACUUUAAUUGAAAACUAUAUGCAGAUACUUGGUAUCCCCAAUGGAAUUUUUCUUUCCUUAUCUACGCGCACAAUGCAUCAGCACUGGCCAAUUGACUUUACUGAAGAAGGGGCGGACUAUUCUUUUCUUUGCGUGAAUUUUUUAUUUGCUUGUUAGGUUGUUUUGAGUGUGGUGAAAACUUUAUGCAAAUACUUAGUAUCAAUCAUUUACAAUACUUUAUGAUAAUCUUGAUAUUUCCUCUUGCCAAGCGUGUUUUCUUGAAAUUGGAACUCUGGGCUAUAAUAAAUUUUCCGGGGGUUCUUAGUUUGUAUUCACCAGUUACUGUAUGGCCCUAUAUGUACAUGAAAGUAUGUCAUGCAAAAAUUUAAACAAUCUCUCUCAUUACUAUAUUCGAAAAGUUCUUUCAUGGUUUGAUGUAUGCUUCUUAGUAAUCAUUUAGUGUAUUUCAGUAAUGAAUUUUCAUGAUAAAAAUAUUUUCUAUAUUGCAGGUUACUAUGAUUUUUCAUGAGGUCCUUAGGUUAUAUCCACCAGUGUCCAUGCUUCUUCGAACUGUUUUUGCCGACAGCCAAGUGGGAGGAUUGUAUUUACCAGAUGGAGUGCAGAUUGCUUUGCCAAUCCUCCUACUUCACCACGAUCAUGAAAUUUGGGGAGAGGAUGCAAAGGAAUUCAACCCGGGGAGAUUUUCAGAAGGAGUUUCUAAGGCAGCAAAGACCCAAGUUUCAUUUUUUCCAUUUGGUUAUGGUCCUCGGAUAUGCGUUGGACAAAAUUUUGCAAUGAUGGAAGCAAAAAUGGCUUUGGCAAUGAUCUUACAACGUUUCUCAUUUGAACUUUCCCCAUCCUAUGCUCAUGCACCUAUUAGUCUUAUAACUAUGCAACCCCAGUAUGGUGCACACCUGAUUUUACAUGGACUUUAGCAUCAGAGUUCUUGUUAUCAGUGAGAGUUAGCAAGACCUUUAAACCUAGAUAGUGUUGAAUUUAAAAUGCCCACACUUCCUUUCACUUGAAAUGAGUGCUCUUUAAAGCCAUUAUAUUAAUAAAAUUCUCUUUUGUAUGUUUGUAAGAGAUCAUAUAUAAAAAUGAUCACUUUACAAGGAGAUGCAUUUUUCUCUAUUCUUGUCCCCCCAAAAUGAAAAGAAAAGAAGAACUGCUGACAAUCUAUAUUUGGAGAAUGGACAUACAUUGAAAUUAUUUCUGAUGGGUGACCAUGCAUGUUGUGAUAUCUACAAGGAAACUACCAUUCCAAUAAUAGGAGAAAUAUUCUCAUUUGUUCUUAUCGUUAUAGAGUGGUGUCUCAUUCACUAUAAUUGGGUAGUAGACUCUUACGGAAUUUUAUGGCUAGGUAUCUGUAAAGAAGUUCGUACUAAAUUGGGUAGCAAGAUAAUACAAUUUUGGAGUUACUACCUCUAAGAAGUUGUCUGCGUACACUUGAUUCCAAUCCAUGUAAUGACAAAUUAUAAACCUCAGGGGCCCGGUCCACCCCCUAUUUUUAUUGGAUCUACAAUUUUGCCAUUCUCCAAGAGUUUUAGACAACUUCACAAUGUUCCACAACCUUAACGAACCUUUUGGAUGAGCUUGAUGUGGUUGCAGUAGCUUUACAUGAUUGCUAUAAUCCCAUAUUGGAAGCUUAAGAAAGAGGAACCUCUCCUAGUACCUAUAAAAAGAGGACCUUGUAAUUUAUUGUUGAUAAGAGAUCGUAUAGAGAAGUUUCUUAUUGUUAUUUCACUUGAUUUCUUCAAGUGUAGUAUUCUUAUUUUCUUCUAGUUUCACUUCUGCAGCAAGCCAAACUCACUGGGAUGCUCAGAGUUUUUAGGUGCUCAAACACUACAUGGAUUUUUAGGAGAGAUCUUGGUCUACCAAAAGUGGUGGACUUGUUAGAAAGCACUAGCAAAAUAAAAAUAAAAAUAGAAAGAAAGAAAGAAAAGCGAAGAAAUCAUUGAUAAUAAAAUAUUCACAACUGAUCUUGACAUGUGGAUAAAUGAUUUCAUAAUCAAGAAGUAUUCACAAUUGCAAAACCAUCCACAAGCUUACAUGCAUGCCCUUUUAGCUUUGUGCUAUAUAUUUAGAAUUUUGGGAGAAGCAAAGAAAGAAAAAUGAAGAAUAUUUUUUAACAAUUGAAUUUAAAAUCAUGAUGCACUUUCAUCUAUUUAUAGCUAGGCAUAACAAUAAAUUAUAACAUUUUAUAUAUUUUAACUUUACAAAGUCUACCAAUGACUUUACACCUAUUCUAACAUUACAAUUUAUUUGUGAAUUUAUAAUGUAACUUCACAAUUAAUUUGUAACUUUAGAACUUUUGUUUCUAACUUCAUAAUCGAUUAUAAAUUUACAACUUUUGCAACUUCACAAGUUAUUGGUGUCUAUCUACUACCUUUUGUAACUUUAUAAUUCAUUGUACAUUACAAUAUUUUAAUUUAUAAAGUAAAUGUCUAUGAUUAAUUAACUUAUUUGUAUGUUAUGAACCCUUUAUAUUUCAAAGUUAAUUGUCUCUUAUCAAUAAGUUAAGGUGAGGACAUAUGGUAUGGGACCUUUGUGGGAUCUUUAAUUACAUCCUUAGUAAGUUUGUUAUGUUUGUUCCAAAUAAAUUUAUUAAUUAUAAUUAUAUUUAAAACAUAUUAUAAUUUCACCCCAAGAAUAGGAGAUAUAUAAGUCAACUUCCCACUUAUAUAUAUACAUAUUAAUCCUUCCAUUAAUUAAUAUUCAUAACAAGUUUAUUAGGUUGAACCAAGAUGACUGUCAUUACCCAAAUUACAAGUGCAUCACCUCUUAUAAUUGGAUCUUUAAGAAAAACAAUUUAAAAAUUCCUAAUAAACAAUAUACUAUAUUAUAGAUAUGUACACUUGAUAGAAUACUUAUUCUAAAUUGACCAACUGAUAUUUUAAUAUAUUUUGUAAGUGACACAAUAUUGAAUAUUCUCUCAUAAUAUAGUCUAUUAUUAGACAUCAACAACUAACAACAUCAAAGCUAUAUUUACAUAACUUGAUGACAUCCUUAAGCCAAAGGACUUUAUGCAACACUAAACAAAACAAGUUUUUGUUGGAAUAUCUAGAUUACUCCAUUCCAAGCAUCGUCUCAUGGAGUGCAUACUACUACAAUCCUAAGGAUACUAGAUUUAAUGCAAUGGAAGCAACAAAAACAAAAAUGUUAGAUUUAGGUGCUCCAGAAAACAAUACUUAUGAUUUGAACAGUCCUAAAUCAACUCUAGUUGGUCAAUAGUAUGAUUUAGAUCUUGAAAACAUUGCAAUUUUUUUUCUAAUGGCUCUCUCCUAAACCUUACAUGUGAGAAUGGUGGAAUCCUUUCUAUGGAGAUGAAGGCUAAGGCUCUAUCUUGUUUAAAGGUUGAAUAAUUGAAGUUAUAAGCCUUAAACCCUCAAUAGGAUUUAUAUAGUCUUUGUCUAUGGGCUUAAGUGGCUUGUGCCCAUCUUGGGUUUAGGUCGGUUAAUCUAGCCUAUUGGUUCCUAAUUAAUUAAUUAGUCAUAUUGGGAUACAAUUAUGCAACCUUGUGUAUUUAUCAAAAUACCCUUAUACACACAUAUGAACAAAAAACACCCUAAUAUCCUUCAAAUAAUUAAUGUGCCACCAAGGAAUAUGAACUUGAGUAGGGACUAUAAGGACCUAUAGGAAAAUAAUGGCCUUUUCAUAAUCUAAUUAUGAAGUUAACUCAACACUGUCAUGCUUCCUUGCACCCUUCUAUACACAUAAGGUUCAUUCUUGUUUUGACCAAAAUCAAGGGUCUUAAUUUCAUGUUCUAAACAUUUGUUCCAUGAGCAAGAAGCUUGAAUUAAUCCAAAAAUAGACUUAUGCAAUUUGCAUACUAGAUGCUCUCUGCCCUUUGCUAUGAAAACAUCUGGUUGUAUCAUAUAAAUGCUCUCAUCAAGGUAGUCAUUUAAGAAUAUUGUCUUGACAUCCAUAUGACAUAUCUCAUAAUUGAGAUAAACUGCAAUGUAUAUGAGUACUUCGAUGGAUUUGAGUAUGGCUACCAUAGAAAAAGUUUCCCAUAGUCAAAACUAGGUUUCAAACUAUAAACCUUUAGCUAUAAGCUUAGCCACAAAAGUCUCAAUUGUUAGGAUAAAGCCUCAAAAGCAUGAGAAGAUGUCAUAAAAAAAGUUUCCAUUUCUAUCAUUGAUUGCAUUAAUUUUUACCCGAGCAUUCAAAGCUCGUAUGAUUACUAGUCAAAAAGUGUUAUUUCAUAGCUUGUAAUUAACUCUUUUAAACACUUUUGAGUAGUAGUUAUCACCUUUUAACCCAAUUAACAUAUUAAGGACCCUUGCAAUCAAUUCUAAUCAAAUUGUGUUAAGUUUUGGUGUUUUGAUAGCCUUUUGAUCACCAAAGCAAUCCAAGAUUGAGGAGAGUUCUUUAGGAAUCCAUGGCAAAAGAUGUCCGGACAGGGUGUCCGGACACACCAUUAGAGAGCGGCAGAACAUGGGCUGUAGCAAGGCUUGCUCACUUUAGUCAAUGUUUUCCAUCCGGACAACAUAUCCGGAUAGGAUAUGCUGUCAUCCGGGAGAGGGGUCCCUAUACCUUGCACACGCAGACGGUCCCCCUUGCGCAGCAUAGCUCAGUCCACCCGGGGAGGAAUUCCGUCCGUCGACAUUUCACAUUCGGAAUUCCAUGCGCCAACAUUUUACAUCCGGAUAUCUCACAGCCGGAUGGGAGAGGAGGACGUUUCAACUUCUCCGGUCAGACAUAUCCAGAUCCUCUGAUAGCGUUCACCCGGAGAGCAUCUGCGGUCGACAUUUCAGAUUACCCGGAUUUUGCACAAUGUUGCAGUGUUCUCCUGAAGCUUCCCGAUAUUUGCCACCGACUAAGAUUUUUUCUCUUAAGAUAUUUUGUGUAAAUUUCUAUUUUCUCCUUGUAAUCAGUCAAAGAUAUUAUUGGGAUAUUUCUUAGAAAAUAACUUCUCUAUAUAUAUCUUUGAACCAUUGUAAAGAGGAGAGAUAUUAUAUAUAUAUAUAUGAAACCGAUGAACAGAGCACUUGCUCUGUUUUUGUUCUUCAUAUUUUUGUUUUCUUGUUAGUUUUCUUUCUAGCCAAUCAAACUCUGAGGAUUUUUCCUUAGAGGAUGAGAGGCUAGGCUCUUUGUCUCUUGGAGUGAAGAAAGCCGGGUAAGUUUCCUCAUGCAUAAAUUGGAAGUUUUGUUGUUUUAGUUUUUAAUGAAGAGAAAGUGUGAUCCGUUAAUGGUUUUUAUCUUUUUAGUUAACUUAAAACGCCUUUAACUCACCUAGGCCAACACUUGAUAAGGCAAGUGAUCUCCAUCCAUUGAGAUGCACUUGUUUAUCUCUUGCGAGCCUUUGGGAGGUGGUUUAGAGGUAGGAUUUUCUAGAAUUGCCAACACUUGGUAAGCUUUUGGACUCUAAGGAGACAUCCAUUAGUUAUCUCUUGCGAGCUUGAGAAGGGAAGUCCAAAGUUAAAGAUCACCUUGAAUGGCAAAUGCUAGGUGAGAGGCAUGAGCCAUUGAAAGUUGCAUCAGUGAGAGGGAUUUAGUGUUUGAACCCAUUAAAGGGAAGCAUCUGUACCACACCGGUUAGAGAAUUAACUAUAUGUUAAUUCUCUAAUGCGAGGAAAAGAAACAAGUGACCGGAACUCUCCUUUUUGUAUGAGGAACCUGAGCCUAGUGAUCUAAACUCCAAGAAACACUUUUCUUUGUAGUUAAAAUUAGUUACUAUUUUUUGUUAGCUUAAAACCAAACCUUUUUCAUUCAAACAUCUUUAUGUUUUCUUUUAAAGCUGACUUUGAAAGGAAAAUGCACCAAUUCAUCUUUGAAAUAAUAUCAAUUGUGGAGUGAAAACCCAUCCCAGUGAACGACCCUAGAGCCACUAUGCUAUGCUAGCUAAGGCUAUCCUAGUAUGAUUCAUUCUCAAUUGGUGUCUCAGCUGAUUCAUGUCCAACUAGUGCUCCUUGACUGAGGAAGUGAUCAAUAAAAUUUAUAACCUAUAUCACCAUGCAUUAGGAUAGCUUUAGCUAAUAUAGCAUAGUGACUCUAGGAUCGUUCACUGGGAAGGGUUUUCAACUCACAACUGAUACCAAUUCAAAGCUGAGUUGGUGCUUUUUCAUUUCAAGGUUAGCUUUAAAAGAAAACAUAAAGAUGUUUGAGUGAAAAGGGUUUGGUCUUAAACUAACCAAAAAGAAAGUAAUGGAAAUUACUUAUGAAGAAAAACAUUCCUUGGAGGUUUAGGUUCACAGGGGAGGUUCCUUAUGCAAAAACAAAGCCCCGGUCAUUUGGUUCAUUUCCUCGCAUUAGAGAAUUAACAUAUAGUCAAUUCUCUAACCGGUGCUAUACAGAUAUAUCCUUUAAAUGGAUUUUAGCUCUAAUUCCCUCUCAUUGAUGCAACUUGCAAUGGCUCGUGCCUCUCACCUAGCAUUUGCCAUUCAAGGUGAUCAUUAACUUUGGACUUCCCUUCUUAAGCUCGCAAGAGAGAACUAAUGGAUGUCUCCUUGGAGUCCAAAAGCUUACCAAGUGUUGGCAAUUCUAGAAAAUCCUACCUUCAAGUCACUUCCCAAAAGCUCGCAAGAGAUAAACAAGUGCAUCUCCAUGAACGGAGAUCACUUGCUUUACCAAGUGUUGGCUCAAGUGAAUUGAAAGUGUUUUAAGCUAACUAAAAACAUAGAAAUCAUUAAAGGAUCACACUUUCUCUUCAUUAAUGAUUGAAACCACAAAGCUACUAAUUCUUGCACUUGGAACCUUUCCCGGCAACCUUAACUCCAAGGAACUAAAAGUCUAGCCACUCAUUCUCUAAGGAAACUUCCUCAGAGCUUGUUUGGCUAGUAAGAAAACUAACGAGAAAACAAUUAUAUGAAGGAAAAACAGAGCAAGUGCUCUGUGAAAUAUAUUUCUUUCUUCCGUCGAUUACAUAAUAGAUUGUAAAGAAAAUUACAAACUAUAUAUCAGGUUAUUCACCCUUUGUUCUUACUUAAAGACUAAGGAAUCCUAUGAUAGGUGGGUUACAAGGAGACUUUGGGGAUUUAGAAAACAAAUAUCUAAAGCAAAAUAUCUCAAGAUGUCGGUCGGAAAUAUCAAGAAGCUUCAAGAGAACACCGCGGCACUGUAUACUGAGAGAAAAACUCUCUUAGUAAGCGCUAUCAGAGGAUCCGGAUAAGUCUGACCGGAGAAGUUGAAACGUCCUCCUUUCUCAUCCGGCUGUGAGAUAUCCGGAUGUAAAAUGUCGGCGCACGGAAUUCCGGAUGUGAAAUGUCNNNNNNNNNNNNNNNNNNNNNNNNNNNNNNNNNNNNNNNNNNNNNNNNNNNNNNNNNNNNNNNNNNNNNNNNNNNNNNNNNNNNNNNNNNNNNNNNNNNNAAAGCUGAGUUGGUGCUUUUUCAUUUCAAGGUUAGCUUUAAAAGAAAACAUAAAGAUGUUUGAGUGAAAAGGGUUUGGUCUUAAACUAACCAAAAAGAAAGUAAUGGAAAUUACUUAUGAAGAAAAACAUUCCUUGGAGGUUUAGGUUCACAGGGGAGGUUCCUUAUGCAAAAACAAAGCCCCGGUCAUUUGGUUCAUUUCCUCGCAUUAGAGAAUUAACAUAUAGUCAAUUCUCUAACCGGUGCUAUACAGAUAUAUCCUUUAAAUGGAUUUUAGCUCUAAUUCCCUCUCAUUGAUGCAACUUGCAAUGGCUCGUGCCUCUCACCUAGCAUUUGCCAUUCAAGGUGAUCUUUAACUUUGGACUUCCCUUCUUAAGCUCGCAAGAGAUAACUAAUGGAUGUCUCCUUGGAGUCCAAAAGCUUACCAAGUGUUGGCAAUUCUAGAAAAUCCUACCUUCAAGUCACUUCCCAAAAGCUCGCAAGAGAUAAACAAGUGCAUCUCCAUGAACGGAGAUCACUUGCUUUACCAAGUGUUGGCUCAAGUGAAUUGAAAGUGUUUUAAGCUAACUAAAAACAUAGAAAUCAUUAAAGGAUCACACUUUCUCUUCAUUAAUGAUUGAAACCACAAAGCUACUAAUUCUUGCACUUGGAACCUUUCCCGGCAACCUUAACUCCAAGGAACUAAAAGUCUAGCCACUCAUUCUCUAAGGAAACUUCCUCAGAGCUUGUUUGGCUAGUAAGAAAACUAACGAGAAAACAAUUAUAUGAAGGAAAAACAGAGCAAGUGCUCUGUGAAAUAUAUUUCUUUCUUCCGUCGAUUACAUAAUAGAUUGUAAAGAAAAUUACAAACUAUAUAUCAGGUUAUUCACCCUUUGUUCUUACUUAAAGACUAAGGAAUCCUAUGAUAGGUGGGUUACAAGGAGACUUUGGGGAUUUAGAAAACAAAUAUCUAAAGCAAAAUAUCUCAAGAUGUCGGUCGGAAAUAUCAAGAAGCUUCAAGAGAACACCGCGGCACUGUAUACUGAGAGAAAAACUCUCUUAGUAAGCGCUAUCAGAGGAUCCGGAUAAGUCUGACCGGAGAAGUUGAAACGUCCUCCUUUCUCAUCCGGCUGUGAGAUAUCCGGAUGUAAAAUGUCGGCGCACGGAAUUCCGGAUGUGAAAUGUCGGAGCACGGAUUUCCAGAUGUGAAAUGUCGGCGCACGAAAUUCCUCCCGUGUUGGACUGAGCUAUGUUGCGCAAGGGGGACCGUCUGCGUGUGCAAGGUGUAGGGACUCCUUUCCCGGAUGACACAGAGUGCGCAAGGCUAUCCGGAUCAACUCCAUCUGGAUUCCCCAAGAAGACAUGUGGUGCGCUCCCCUAUCCGGACUCCCUCAGGGAGAAGCACACGACACUCAUGAAUAUCACACCCAGACGAUAGCAUAUCCUAUCCGGAUAUGUUGUCCGGAUGGAAAACAUUGACUAAAGUGAGCAUGCCUUGCUACAGCCCAUGUUCCGCCGCCCUCCGAUGGUGUGUCCGAACGCCCUAUCUGGACAUCUUUGCCAUGGAUUCCAAAGAACUCUCCUCAAUCUCUGAUUGCUUUGGUGAUCAAAAAGCUAUCAAAACACCAAAACUUAACACAAUUUGAUUAGAAUUGAUUGCAAGGGUCCUUAAUAUGUUAAUUGGGUUAAAAGGUGAUAACUACUACUCAAAAGUGUUUAAAAGAGUUUAUUUCAAGCUAUCAAAUAGCACUUUUUGAGUAGUAAUCAUAGUACAUGGUGUAAUAGGUUAUAAAUUUUGUUGAUUGCUCCCAUCUGAGGACUGAAAUCAAGACACCAGUUGGACACGAAUCAAAUGGCACCACUGUCAGGGACCAUUGAGAGGACACGAAUCAGCUGAGACACUAAUUGGGAAUGAAUCAAAUGGCGCCAUUGCCGGGGAUGGUGCCACUUUACAGUGAUAUCACCUUUCCAUAGUACUUGUGAUCUUCAUCACAAGUGUGGUGACUUUUCUUUUCUUUUUACUAACUCUUUUUAUUUGUUUUUGUUUUUUUUCUUUGUUCAUAUUUUAGUAUAUCUUUUAUUUAGUUUUUGGUUAAUAUUAAUAAUUUUCUUUUUUCUUUAGAUUUUUUUUUCUUUUAUUUUCUUUUGUUUUCUCUAUUUUUAAUUCACAAAUUGCUAGUUGUGCAUGUCAUAUUGAAUAUGAGAUAGCAGAGGAAGCCAUGAACUUCAUGAGUUAUGUGGCUGAAGUUUCAAGAGGAUGGGAUGAACCAAAUGCUCGAGAUAUGGGGAGAAUGACGUCUCAACCUAAUGCUAAGGGUGAGAUGUAUAUUUUGAAUGACGACAUACACAUGAAAGCAAAGAUUGCAGCUAUGGCAAGGAGAUUGGAAGAGCUAGAAAUGAAGAAGAUGCAAAAAGUGCAAGCCAUCUCUCAGACACCAUUGCAAGCUAUGCCUUGUGCCAUUUGUCUAUCUUAUGAGAACUUGGUGGAAGAGUGUCCUACCAUUCCAACGGUGAGAGAAAUGUUUGGUGAUUGCAACACCUAUAAUUCCAAUUGGAGGAAUCAUCCAAAUUUUUCAUGGAAGCCAAGAGCACCUCAGUACCAACAGCCGACUCAACCAUCUCAACCAUCCCAACAAGCUUCAAGUCUUGAACAAGAAAUAGUGAAUCUCAGCAAGGUUGUGGGAGAUUUUAUUAAAGAACAAAAAUCCAUCAACUCUCAACUCAGUCAAAGAAUUGACAGUGUAGAGAAUAGGAUGGAUGGGAUUCAAAAUGAUUUAUCUCAGAAGAUAGAUAAUCUCCAAUAUUCAAUCUCAAGGUUUGCCAACCUCAACAAAGUGCAAGAAAAAGGAAACUCUCCUUCUCAACCUCAUCAAAAUUCAAAGGGUAUCCAUGAAAUAGAGGCUAAGGAGAGAGAUAAAAAGGUUGAUCUGCCCACAUCCAAGCUAGAGCAUGAGGUAGAGAGUGAAACAGAGAAAGAAAAGAGGGAGGAAAUCAAAGGAAAGAGAGAGGGGAAAAGCAUAGAGAAAGAUGACUAUAUAGAUGAAGAACCACAGAGGAUAGUCAUCAAGGAAGAAAUAAAGAAACACAUGCCUCCACCUUUCCCCCAAGCUUUGUAUGGGAAAAACAUACAAACCAAGUCUCAAGUGAGAGACACAAACUUCAUAUGGGAUCCGGGCAAGCUAAAUCAGGAUCAAAUUUUUUGAUGGACUUAGUCUUUCUAAAGACUAGCUAGUCCAUACCUUUUUGUUUUACUUAUUACUUGUUUUAAUUUUGAUUUCAAUGCUUUAAUUCUAAUUUGUUUUGAUGUAAUAUAGGUUUUUGGAUGAUCAAAAUCAGAACGGAAAUGUUGCAUUUUGCUACUGUUGGACACAUUUUUGAAGGCCUUCAUGGAGCUCAAAUUAUGCAUACUAUAUCUCUUUUUUAAUCUUGGGAAGUCAGGAGUCCAUAGCUUCAAACGGUGCUCGAUUUGGAGUUGAAACGAAGAAGUUAUGGCCGUUUGAAGACGAUCGCGCAAAGCACCAACGGGAAUUUCGCAGCUGCAAAAUGGGCUACAAAAUUCCCAUUUUGUUGCAGGAAAGCCCUCUCACUGAGAUCACACACACAAAGCCUCUUAAUCCAUUUCUUACCUCCUUAAAACCAUCAGAGCCCAUAGCUCCAGUUGAGGAGACUACCAAAGCAGAGGCCAAAGUCCUGAUCCAACCCACUCAAGAGGCCACCACAGAUGCAUCAGCUCCACAAGACCUUACCAUUACUUGAUCAUCUCUUUACUUUUUGUCUUUACAUAUUAUAUUAAUAUAAAUAAUUCCAUAUUUUGAUGUCUUAUAUUCUGGGAUUGGAUGUAUUACUGAUGAUACAUCAUAUAUAGACAUCAUUUUUUGUUUAAACUUGGCAUUUGUCUAUUUCCUCUACUCACUAACUCUUUUGUUUUUUUUGAAACAUGUGGUUUCUCCUAUACGACUCAGACUCCAUGUCACUAAGGAGGUACCACUUCCUCCCUAUUUUUCAAUCGCUUUUGUCACAUUGAGGACAAUGUUCAACUUAGUUGGGGGGAGAGUUGAGGAAGGAAGUUUUUGUUAUUAAUGCUAAGUUAUUUUGGUAAUUUAGUUGCUUUUUGCUUAAUUUUAAAAUUUUUUAAGUUUUUAUUCUACUCUCCAUGGUUAUUAAGGAAAAAUUUUCAAAAUGAAAAGAGAGAAAUUGAAUUUUUGUCUUUUUCACUUGACUUAGAUUUUGUAUUAUGCUUACUAAAGUUGAUAAAUUGUUGAAACUUCUAUUGAAUUCAACCUUAGUUCUUCCACUUUAAACUAUUCACACAAUGUGCACAAUAGGUUCCGAUUAUAAGAUGAAAAACUAUUUCCCUCUUGACUUAGGAAAAUUUUAGACUUGGUACCUUUGACCUCAUUUUAAUAGUGUUGGGACACCUUAUAAAAGGCCAAUGAGCCUGUGAAAAAAAAAAAAGAAUAGAGAAAGAAAGAAAAAAAUGCUUGCUUGCCUUGAAACCCGAGCAAGGUCCGAGGGGUAUAUGGUGAAAAUCUUUAAAACCUGGUGCCCUAAGCCUUCAUUGGUUGGGAGUCACCGACCUCAAUGCUCGUUACAAGGGUGGAUAGGUGGAGUUUAACAUACUGUAGGUGCUUAGGUAUUAAAAUUCAUUCUCAAAAGUCCGGGUUAAAAUCCGAGGAGUUAGUGGUUGAAAGAUCCUUAAAACUUGAUGCCCUAAACCUUAAUUGGUUGGGAGUCAUCGAUGGACCCCCGUUACAUGGACAAUUUAGAAAAGAAUACCUUUAGCCUUGUACUCCUACAAGAAAAAAAUUGUGAAAUGAGAGGUGCGUUCUUAACCUAUUGGAGGUUGAUCAGUUUGCUAAGCUUUGAAAAAGAACUAGGUUUGGGGGAGAGAUUAGUUCAACAUACUUGUAAACUCCCAUUUGGGGCUCAUUCCUUUGCAUCUCUACAGGUUAUAAUUUUUUGCAAGUGGAGGGCUCUCAAGGAGCCACGUGCCCAUUCAUGGUUGGUUGCUGUGGAAUCAGCUUAGUGGAGUUGAUGGACGAAUGGGAAAGCAACACGUAUGAAAGGAUAUGCUGGGGAUUUUGCAAGCCGUUAGAGGGAGCAGGCCAGCGGUAGGAGAGGGGAGGCGUUUCUGUUGAGGGGCAGCAGGCCAGCUGCAGGUGGUGCGUUUUUCUGGAGGUGGAGUGCUUUUCAGGUGGGGCUUUUCCAUUAGAGGGAGGCUGCAGAGAUCUUUGAGAGGGAGCUUUUGGUUUGGUUGUUUCGGGGAAGAAAGCUGGUGGGAGAGAGGGGAGGCCUCCAUUGACGAUUGCGAGAGAUAUUUUUGGGGCCUCAGGGAAAUCUUGACAGGAGGGAGCUUUUUUUUAUUUGGUGGUUUUUGAGCUUAGGCUGCCGGAGAGAUAUUAGAGGGAGAGUGUUUUCCUUCUGCAGAAGGAGGAGUUUUUUUUUUAGAGAGGAGAACGAGAGAGAGAGAACAGGGAGGUUUAAGGUUGGAGCAGAGAGGUGAGUUUUGGAGAGCUUAGAGGAGAGUAGAGAGAAACCCAGAGCAAAAAGGAAAUGACAUUUUGGUGGUUGUUGUAGUACAAGGAUGUUUUUGAGGGUGUUCAUUGGGCUUGAGGGGCAAGUUUGAGGGGAAGAGAUGAAAGAAGAUGCUGGAGGCAAGUCUUGCUGAGGGUUAUUUUUGUGAGAGGAAAAAGUUUUGAGGUUAAGGAAGGAGCCAUAGUCUGGAGCAGAGAUCUUGAGGAAAGUAAAUGAGCAGAGGAAGGAUAUCUUCAGCUGUUUAGAGAGAGUUCAUGAAAGCUGUUUGAAGAAAGACACAUAGGAAUAGCCUUGGAAGAGGGUGAUACAGGUAUUGUUCUUGUAAUAUGAGGAUUCUUUUGUGUUCAUGGCAUUUUAUUAUGUUUACUGGUUAUCAUGAGAUUCUAUCUUGACAUAUGAAUGCAAGCAGGUGAAACUCCUACCUAUGUUCUCUCAAUAUUUGUGUUCGCUCACCCUCAUCCUGCGUUUGGUUUCUAACUUGUCAUCUGGACUCUGUUUUAUGAGUUGUCGGUCAUUUUGAUUUAAUUUCUCUUUGCAAACUAUUUGAAACCUAUUUUUUUUCUUUAUCCACCUCUGCGUCGUGAGCUCGUUAAUUGAAAUAUGAAACGCAGCUUUCAUGAGCCCCUUUUUGUUCCUGCUCUGUGCUCUGUUUUUGCCACCCUCCUCUGUUCUUGGUAUUUGAUCAUGGGAGGUUGCCCCUUAUGUGUGAAGAAGAGAGUAUUGGCUUGAUAGGUCUGGAUUCUCAAGUCGUCCAUAGUGGUAGAGGACGUAUUCUGGGGAUCAGAUCCAUGACUUUGUUGCGUUUUUGUUGAUUGGAGGAGUGACAAUUUCCCAAGGGCAUGUAACGCAUGUGCUGGUGACUAUGGCAGAUGACAAUGAUGACAUUAACGGACUAUGACCACUAUUUUGGAGCCAUGGCUUGACACAUGGCAUCGCGUAGUGGAUUGGUUGAUACUAUUGAGUGGCCCAUUAAUAUCGAUUAUCCUGAUCAAUAACAAAGGGAAACUGAGCAUAUCAACCAGCUUAUCUCUUCUCUGUCUGAUGAGAUACCUCAUAUACAGACCUUCAAAGGGAAAUGGGCAGUUAUCAGAGGCAAGCUGAGUGAUCUCAGGACCCAAGUGGCUGAUUUUGGUGACUUUCCUGGGUUCAAGUCCAAUCCUCUUUCUAUGGAACUCAUGCAGUCCAUUUCGCAGACCCUACAAGACGCCGUUUUGGUGGCUUCGAGGUGUAGAGAGUCUGAGUUGUCUCAGGGGAAGCUCAAGACCCAAAGCGAUAUAGACUCGAUUUCCGCGAAGCUGGACCGUUUGAUCAAAGAUGGUGAGAUCUUGAUAGGGAGUGGAGUGCUUCAAGAUGGGGUAUUAGUGGGUUCGAAGAAAGAAGUAGUGCGUCACUUACAUGAAGACAUGCCUCAAAUUGUUGACAUCUAGCUCAUUGGGGAGACUAUCCGAGUUUUUGAGACUUACCUAGCUGAGUAUUGAUGUUGAAACGGAGAUGCGGUUUAGUAGGAGCGGCAGUCAUGAUUAGCAAGAAGGUGUGGUAUUGUCAUGCAAGUUCCCUGGGUUUGAGUUUAUGCUUUCUGAAAGGUGGUUGUUUAAUUAUGAUACUGUUCCACCAUGGACUCUUAGAUCUGGUGCAGUGAUAUCUGCUGCUUUUCUUUGGUUGAGCUUUUAGCUCAAUUAUUCAAGGAGUGAGAUGGGAUUGGACUUUAAAUUCUGAUUUGACCUUCUAUCCAUCCCAAUCAUGCAUGCAUAUAGGGCCAUCCUCCAUAAUACCCGCAUUCCCAUUCUUCAAAUAUCCAUUAUUCCACCCUUCCCACUACCUAUUCCACCCAUGACGCCCAUUUCCUCCAUUCAUUACACCCAUCUGCUAUAACCCAUUCCACAUAGCCAUAUCCUUUAUGCCCACCUUCUCACUACCCGUAUAUAUGCUUCAUAGCCUUCAUCCCUAUUCCCAUGCAAAUGCCUCACUAACUCUCUAAUGCCCAUCUCACUCAUUCUUUUCAUCACCACCCCACCUUCAUUAUUUCAUACCCAUUUCUAUUAUCACCAUUCUCUCUCUACACCACCAUGCACCAUGUCAUUCCUCAUCUGCUCAUCAUAUCCAUGUACCAUAGCUAACCCUACAACCAUAUUCACGUCAAAUUUUCUUCCAUGCAAACCCAUUUUCUAUAAAUCCCAUGCGUGUUGCUACCCUUACUCACCUACAUCAAUCUCUCCCCCUCAUUGUCAACACUGGUCAUCUGGAGUCUGUUGGUCCAUGUUCUUAGGCAGCCUUUCAUCACCGGAGUGUCACGGGUCUGGAAGUUGUUUCCCUUAUCACUCACAUUUGGAAAGGUAUAUGUAUUGGGCUACUUCCAUCUUUGUUGCAUUGGGCCUGUGUUGCUUCUUCUAUAUUUUGGGCGCAUGGCAACGAUGUGGUUUCGGGAAGGGAGACAGCAUGGACAUUGAAGUCACCAAACAAGCGGACUGCCGUUUCUCUCCAAUUUGAAUUUUGAGACUCGUCAUGAAGAUGAAGCAGGAGAAUGAUUGCUGUCGUACAGGGUGAAGUAAGCUCCUAAAAUGAAUCCAGUGUUUUAGGAUAGAUAUUGUUGUUGACGGGGUGGCAAUUAGAUGUAGUUGCGGAACUAGCUGCUCCCAAAGAAGAUAUGAAUCUGACUUGUUUGUUGAAUCAGCAGCUUGUGUAGCAACAGAACAACCCCUUGCUUGCUCUAUUAGGUCCAACUGGAAACAAAUUGAAGAGUAAGGGUGCUACUUUAAUCCUCAAAGCAUUGGAAGGAUACCAAGCACAGUUCGGCAAGAUCAGUUGCAAGCAAUCAUGGAUUUGACCUACUAAACAUCAAUGGUGAUUCCGCCAAAGUGUCAUUGUGUGAAAUAUAGGGGGAUGACUUGAGUCAAUACCUGGGCAACCUAUUGUUAAUCCACCCUCACCCCAUGCAAGUCUGGGCUCGUCUUUUAAUCCUGAAUAUAUUUGGGUCAAUGGACGCCUCCAGGGUAUUUUGAUGUACCCAUUAAUGCGAGCUGAUCAUCCACUCAAAGUCUCGAGAUGGCGGGUCAAUUUCUGGAAAGGGUAAUUGAAGAGGAAACUUGUGCAUAUAUAGACAGAAUGGGACUCUGUUGCAAGGAAAUUUAAUGAGGACGUGAACGUUAAGUUCCUAGGCUUCAAAGGAUUUGGAAACUUAAGUUGUGCAGAGAUGACACCCCCUAUUUGCCAGCAUUUUGAGACCAGAGGCACAAAAUCAAGGCGGAAUUGGAAAGUCUUUUAUUAGUGCCCAAGUCAAGGACAGUUGACAGUUAUUUGAUAUUCCGAGAAGCUUGGGAUAGGAUUCUUCCCUCAUGAUCUUGAAUGGGUACAUGACAAUAGUACCAGUCUUCAACCCCAGGGUAUUCUUACCCUGGACCCACUCUUUAAGCUUCUUAGUUGCAUGGCCACCUUUGGCAUGCAAUUUUGGACCACUUGUCCUUGCUCCAUUUUUUCUCUUUUUGAUUUUAAAAAUAAUCUUCCUGGAAUCAAAUACCAUCUUGUAAAUAUUUUUUUCAAAUUCUGAUUUUCAAAUGAUCCAAAAUUUCCCAUUUUCCAUCCUUAGAAUUUUUGGAUACCGAAACCUCAUUUUCAAUAAAAAUUCGGUUGCCAUUUUUUCUUCCGGCAAGCCACUUUUGCAUUUUCUUUAUUUUUAAAAUAAGUAAGAAUUAAAUUCCGUAAUUCCAAGUGAUGGAAGUUAUGGAAUUGAUUCAUGCAAAAUAGAUCGGGCUUUGGUGGGGGCCCAACAUCAAAUAAUUUUUCUUUAAAAUAAAAAUGAAUUUUGAGUGAAGUGUUAUGCGUGCCUUUGAUGAUUUUGUGCUUGAUUUUGUGACAUGUGAGUUAUGUUUAUACUCUUUGUUUUGCACUAACCCUUUCUCUUGAUAGCGCAUAGUGGCUCGCUGCACAAGUACACACUCAUUCCCACUCUGAUUAGUUUAUAUGCAUUUUCUGACUCUCGUAUGUGCAUGUUUCGCUCUGAGUAUUCAUUGAUUUCCUCAUCAUCGCCAUGUUAGCUUCAUUCUAUUAGUAGAGACCCGACUUUAGGGACUUAGAGGGGUGCUACGGUCUUUACCGUACCUUCCCGAUAAGUAACCUGACCCCCGAACCCGAUCCGGUUUUCACAGACCCCCUUUUCCAAAAUAAGGAGUCGCACUUAGGGUUUUUCUUUCUUAUUUUGUUUACCCUUUAAAAAUAAAACAAAAAUAAGUGGCGACUCCAAGUCAUUUUUGAAUAAAUAAAAUCAAUUUUUUCAAAUAAAAAUCGAGCUCGCCAUUCGAGUGGGAAACGCAUUCGAGCGAUCUAAAUGCGGGGUCCACAAUACUAUAUUUGGAAACUAAUAAAUAACACUUAGAUUUUUGUGGAAGAGUAAGGUUUGACCCUUUGGGAGUGGAAACUCUUUUAAAGCUUAAAUUUGCAUAAUGCCUUCUCUUUAAGAAUUGUGAUUAGACAAGUUAUUUGAUAACUCUUGUUGAAGUUUGAGUUUUAUUUCUUUAAUGUUCCAUGUGAGAGUUAGAUCAUCAUGGCACUUGAAAAUUAUUUUUUGAUCAACAUGAUGUUGUAAAUUAUAGUACUGUUUAUUUUUAUUUUUCUAUCCUUCAUUGCUAAGGGAAUAGCAAUAUGUCGGUUGGGGGGAGUGACUACUACUCAAAAAGUGCUAUUUCAUAGCUUGUAAUUAACUUUUUUAAAUACUUUUGAGUAGUAGUUAUCACCUUUUAACCCAAUUAACAUAUUAAGGACCCUUGCAAUCAAUUCUAAUCAAAUUGUGUUAAGUUUUGGUGUUUUGAUAGCCUUUUGAUCACCAAAGCAAUCCGAGAUUGAGGAGAGUUUUUUAGGAAUCCAUGGCAAAAGAUGUCCGGACAGGGCGUCCGGACACACCAUUGGAGAGCGGCGGAACGUGGGCUGUAGCAAGGCUUGCUCACUUUAGUCAAUGUUUUCCAUCCGGACAACAUAUCCGGAUAGGAUAUGCUAUCAUCCGGGAGAGGGGUCCUUACACCUUGCACACGCAGACGGUCCCCCUUGCGUAGCAUAGCUCAGUCCAUCCGGGGAGGAAUUCCGUGCGCCGACAUUUUACAUCCGGAUAUCUCACAGCCGGAUAGGAGAGGAGGACGUUUCAACUUCUCCGGUCAGACAUAUCUAGAUCCUGUGAUAGCGUUCACCCAGAGAGCAUCCACGACCGACAUUUCAGAUUACCCGGAUUUUGCAUAGUGCCGCGGUGUUCUCUUGAAGCUUCCCAAUAUUUGCCACCAACUAAGUUAGAUUUUUUCUCUUAAGAUAUUUUGUGUAAAUUUCUAUUUUCUCCUUGUAAUCAGUCAAAGAUAUUAUUGGGAUAUUUCUUAGAAAAUAUCUUCUCUAUAUAUAUCUUUGAACCAUUGUAAAGAGGAGAGAUAUAUUAUAUAUAUAUGAAACCAACGAGCAGAGCACUUGCUCUAUUUUUGUUCUUCAUAUUUUUGUUUUCUCGUUAGUUUUCUUUCUAGCCAAUCAAACUCUGAGGAUUUUUCCUUAGAGGAUGAGAGGCUAGGCUCUUUGUCUCUUGGAGUGAAGAAAGCCGGGUAAGUUUCUUCAUGCAUAAAAUGAAAGUUUUGUUGUUUUAGUUUUUAAUGAAGAGAAAGUGUGACCCGUUAAUGGUUUUUAUCUUUUUAGUUAACUUAAAACGCCUUUAACUCACCUAGGCCAACACUUGAUAAGGCAAGUGAUCUCCAUCCAUUGAGAUGCACUUGUUUAUCUCUCGCGAGCCUUGGGGAGGUGGUUUAGAGGUAGGAUUUUCUAGAAUUGCCAACACUUGGUAAGCUUUUGGACUCUAAGGAGACAUCCAUUAGUUAUCUCUUGCGAGCUUGAGAAGGGAAGUCCAAAGUUAAAGAUCACCUUGAAUGGCAAAUGUUAGGUGAGAGACACGAGCCAUUGCAAGUUGCAUCAGUGAGAGGGAUUUAAUGUUUGAACCCAUUAAAGGGAAGCAUCUGUACCACACCGGUUAGAGAAUUAACUAUAUGUUAAUUCUCUAAUGCGAGGAAAAGAAACAAGUGACCAGAACUCUCCUUUUUGUAUGAGGAACCUGAGCCUAGUGAUCUAAAUUCUAAGAAACACUUUUGUUUGUAGUUAAAAUUAGUUACUAUUUUUGGUUAGCUUAAAACCAAACCUUUUUCAUUCAAACAUCUUUAUGUUUUCUUUUAAAGCUAACUUUGAAAUGAAAAGGCACCAAUUCAUCUUUGAAAUAAUAUCAAUUGUGGAGUGAAAACCCAUCCCAGUGAACGACCCUAGAGCCACUACGCUAUGCUAGCUAAGUGUCACAAGAUGCUUCAAAUGACCCUCCCCAUGGCUUAUAUAGGAGGUGAGAAGCUUCUAGAGACCCUUGGAGACAUCCACACGUAGCCACUAGUGGGAAGAGUGUGGAAGGUUCUAGAAAUGCCUAGAGAAGUCCACACAACUCUACACUAUGGUAGAAGGCAUGAGAAGGGUCCAAAGCUUUCUAGAGAAAUCUAGAAGUCUCUUGAAUAUUCUAGAAUAGUGUAGGACAUUCUAGAAGUCUCUUGAAUAUUCUAGAAUAGUGUAGGACAUUCUAGAAUAUUCAUGAAUUGUAAGGAACCCUCCAAGGUUCUAGAGAGUUCCAUUGGUGCCUAUAAAUAGGUGAGGGCCUCAUUUGGCCAAGGCACCAAGCAAGUGAGCAUCCAAGCACUUGUAAAGGCUUUCUUGAGAUAAUAAAGCUUCCAUUCUUUAAGGAGUUGCCUACUAAGCUCUUAAGCUUUCGAGUCGCUAGUGUCUUAGCCGAGCAAGCUAAGCAUUGGGGAUCAAGGCUGACUUAGCAAGAUCAAGCGUCUUGACUUGCCUAAGUGCCGCACGAGCUUAGUGAACGACUAAGUCCGUGACAAGUGGUAUCAGAGCACGGUUACAAGGUGGGCAUAGCAAAGGAAGCAUGUCGGGUUCCAACGUGGAGGAGACUAGCGAGCAAACCCGUUGGAGGGAGACCGAGCCUACUGCACGGGGCAGGGGCAGAGGUAAGAAGGAUACAUCUCGUGAUGUUGUUGCCAACAUGGAGGCAAGGUUAGCCAAGGUGGAGCUAGCCAUGGCAGACACCCGGGAAGGGGUGGACUUGAUCGAGCAAGGCAUGGAGAAGGGCUUAGAGGAUCUAAGGGAGCAGAUCCAAGACCUUCGCGAGGGGGUGCUGGUCUCGCAAGUUCAGUCGGUGUCACACAAGGAGUUCAUGUCCUUCCAAGACAAGGUCAUGAGCAUGUUCGCUAGUGUGGAGUCAAGGAUGGAGGCCUUGACUGCACGAGUGGAGGCCCGAGACCAAGAGAUUCGACAAGAGUUGGCCAUCUAUAAGACCGUUGUAUCAGCUCGGGUCAUGGCCACACAGGAGGCAUCUAGGGUGGAGGUGCCGAAGCCACAUAGGUUUAGUGGCAAGCGGGAUGCCAAGGAGUUGGAUAACUUCUUAUGGCAUAUGGAGCGAUACUUCGAAGCUAUCGCAUUGACGGAUGAGGCGGCUAAGGUGAGAACUGCGACCCUCUACCUUACUGACACAGCUACUCUAUGGUGGCGUCGAAGGUUUGCCGAUAUGGAGAAAGGCAUUUGCACCAUAGAGACGUGGGAGGACUUCAGGAGGGAGAUCAAGAGGUAGUUCUACCCGGAGGACGUGGCUUACCUGGCUAGGAAAAACAUGCGGCGUCUUAAGCACACAGGCUCAAUACGCGACUAUGUCAAGGAAUUCUCUUCGCUCAUGCUUGAGAUUCCUAACAUGACUCAGGAGGAGUUGCUAUUCAACUUCAUGGACAACCUGCAAGGGUGGGUCGAGCAGGAAUUAAGGCGCCGAGGCGUUCAAGACUUAGCCACUGCUAUGGCAAUAGCAGAAUCUUUAACGGAUUAUAAGAGGGGAGACUCCUCCAAGGAUGAGUCUUUAGAGGAUAGCCACGCCAUGGGUGGGGGAGACGAGGUUCCAAGGGACCACAAUGCUCCUAAAAAGGGAUCAAGCAAGACGUCUAACGUCUGAGAAGGAAGGGAUAAGGCGGAAAGGAGGGAGUUUACGCCUAAAAUCAAAUGCUUCCUGUGUGACGGUCCACAUUGGGCACGGGAUUAUCCAAAGCGGAAGGCGCUCAGUGCCAUGAUCGAGGAGAGGGAGCAGGAGGACGAAGCACAUAUGGGCUCAAUGCAGCUACUAGGUGCCCUCCAAUUCAACUCGAAGCCUAGUACGCCUGAGACCUCCUUAUUAGCAGGGGUGCAAGUAAAGGAGAGCGAGCUGAGGUAGCCCUUACACACAUGGAAGAGGUCACUAAGGGAAAGGUGAACUCAAUGGGUAAGAGGAAGCAACACUCUAAGCAUCGGAAACGCACGGGUCUGCAUCCAUCUGAAGCCUCACUGGAGAAGGAGGUGAAGAAUAUCCUGGCUGAACGGGUCACCAGGAGACAAGGGGUCCCUCUUGUGAUAGAGUAUCUAGUCCGAUGGAAAGAACUACCUAAGAGGCAGGUAAGCUGGGAACAUGCGGAUGCCUUGAGAAAAUUCUGGAAACACAUCGAGAAGUUUCAGAAUGAGGCAACGACGAGGAUGUCGACGGCUUAGGUGGGGGAGAGUGUCACAAGAUGCUUCAAAUGACCCUCCCCAUGGCUUAUAUAGGAGGUGAGAAGCUUCUAGAGACCCUUGGAGACAUCCACACGUAGCCACUAGUGGGAAGAGUGUGGAAGGUUCUAGAAAUGCCUAGAGAAGUCCACACAACUCUACACUAUGGUAGAAGGCAUGAGAAGGGUCCAAAGCUUUCUAGAGAAAUCUAGAAGUCUCUUGAAUAUUCUAGAAUAGUGUAGGACAUUCUAGAAUAUUCAUGAAUUGUAAGGAACCCUUCAAGGUUAAUAACCUAAACAUCUUACCUCAAUAUUCUUUUAUGAAAAUUUUCAACUAUUGCAGGGUGUCCUUCAUGUCAUUGGUCAUGUUCAGGUCUGAAUAAGUAUGAGUAGUGGUGACAUACUUAAGAUAAUGACCUAUGUAUUUCAAUACAACUUGAAGAAUAUACAAUAAACAAUUUAGCAACAAAUUAGAUUCUUACAAGUUUUAACACAUUAAAUUCAAUAAGCAUAUUAAUUUCAAAGAAGGUUGGUAGCCAAAGGUAGUAAAAUAAUUGAGAUAAAGAAACGAAGAAUGAAGAGAAAUUAAUUUCAACUAAAACAUUAUAAUUAAAUUGAUCUUUUAACUUGACAUGUUAUGAAUCCAUGAAAAAUAAUACAUUGGUAAUACUUUAUUGAUUAAAAGAGUAAAAUAACACCAAAGAUAGAAAAAACUACGUGAUAUGGACAAAGGGUUUAUUUUUGUAACAAUGACCAACAGACUAAAAGUAAAAGGGCCUUGGUGGAGGAAAAAACUAUUAUGUCAAAAUGACUAGUUUCUUUCCUUACAAUUGUAUUUAGAUUAAGGAGCUAGCAUUCAAGUUGAUACCCUGUUUUAGAAAAGGAGGCUUUAGAGGCCUAUAUUAGGGAGAAUGAGGUGCUAUUUUUUUUUCCGUAGGCUUAUUUGUAAGAAGUCUUAAUCUAACUUCCUAUUUUUUAAUGUCAAAGAAAAUACAAGUAUAAGAUAUUUUAAACUUUAAGCCCAUUAGUUUAGGAGGAGGCCUCUACAAAUUUAGAUUGAAAAAAGUUAUAAAGCAAGUGAUCUUAAGGGUCCAAAAUGGUUUUUUUGAGGAUAAACAUAUUCCUAAUGCAUGCACAUGUAACAAGACUAAAGACUUUACAAAAAAGAGUUCGAAAAUGCAUGAAUUUUCAUACCAUUACAACACUAGGAUUUCUACCAAUCUAACUAAUAAGGAUGUGUACAGGAAAUACACAAAGGUUGUGACACCUACCAUGUCUAAUAGUCUUCACCUCUCAAUUUUCCAAUUACACAUCCAUCAAAAUAGAGCAACCAUUGCAUGAUCCAUAUUGAAAACACUACCAACUAGAAGUACCAAGAUAUACAUUAACAAAUCAUGACUAAGAAUAAAUUAUACAAUUAACAUUAACAAAAUAUUCACUAGAUAUUUAGAAUAAUAUGAAGUUAUAUUAGACUACAAGUCAUACAAGGUACCGUCAAGCAUGAGUAAUGAUUAAUUGACUGUUAAUUAAGAUGAGAUUGUCAAUUUGUAAUAAAUAAUAUUUAUGAUUCAAUAAUGUCACUCUUCCUAAAUUAUAGACUAAUAAAUUUUAUUCAUAAUUAAUUUAUUAUUUUCCAAAUAAAAACAAUAUGAAAUAGAAUAAAGACAAAAAGAAAAUUAGGAUUGUUGUUUAAUGUAUAAUCUAGGUUAUUUUGUCAUUUAUAAUCAUUUUAGGAAAUAAGAAAUUUUUAGAAAAAAUAAUAUUUUUUUCAAAUUCGAUAUGAUGGUGACUUCACAAAGAAAGUCAUUCUAUAAAUUAAGGGAUGACUUUAAUAGCUAUUAAUUAUCCUAUUGAUGGCUGUCAUUUCAUCACGUUUUACUAAUGAUGAUCCUUGUAGGUUUAUUUUGUCUAACAUUAAGUAUAUUUUGACAAGUUGAAAACAAAACAUAUAUAUAUAUAUAUAUAUAUAUAUAUUUAAGAAUGUAGGCAGCAUAUUAAUUACCAUGAAAAAUUAAAACCUCCAGCUCACAUCACACUAAUACCUUCACCCAUAUCUUUUCACAUUAGUAAAUACAGUUCAAAUACAAUACCAAAAAACAUGUACAUGCAUGUACUUAGCCAAUAUAAGUCAAUCCCAUUAUUUUAUAUUUUGAUCUCAUUACUUAUAUUUGAUCUUAAUUUCAUUUUGAUUAUUUUAAUCUUAUUACCUAUACCAUCAUCCAACUGUUUACAUUUUAUCCAAAAUUUUUAAUGGUUGGGAUGUAAAAUUCAAUAUGUAUUUCUUUAAGAUUUUCCUAAUAAACGCAUAAUUUCAUAAUAGUAUAGUGGAACUAUAUAGGGAUAUAAACAGGUGGCUCAUUUAGGCUCACUUAGGCCCACUUAGGCACACUCAGCCCAUUUGGACACCCCUAGGCCCUAUAGGCACAUUUGGCUCAUCUAGACUCACUUAGGUCCAUUUAGGUACACUUGGCCUAUCUAGGCUCACUUAGGCCCACUUAAGCCCACUUAGGCCCACUUAGGUUUACUUAGGCCCACUUAAGCUCACUUAGGCCCACUUCGGCCCACUUAGGCUCACUUAGGCCCACUUAGGCACACUAAGCUCAUUUGGACACUCCUAGGCCCUUUUAGGCACAUUUGGCCCAUCUAAACUCACUUAGGCCCACUUAGGCACACUAAGCCCAUUUGGGCACCCCUAGCUUUAGGCACAUUUUUUAAAUGGAGAAAUUAAGUUUUAAAUCAAAAAAUCAGGAUAUUUUUUAAACAAAGGAGUUGACACUUGAAUGUUUAAAAAUAAAAAUAAAAGAUUAAGUUUUUAGAUUGGAAAAUCAUUUUUUUUUAAUAAUGGAAAGGAUAAAUUUCAAAAUAUGAAAAUGAAAUUUUGGAAAUUUGGGAGACUUUUUUGUGGAGGGGAUAUGGAAUUCUAAGAGAGGAGGACUCCUCCAAAGAUACAGGGUUGCCAAUUGCCAUAGAAAAUGGGGGUUGGUGGUUUUGGAGAGUGGAGGAAUUUCUUUUAAAAGGGACUUUCAACACGCACGGGAGGGGGGAAUAGAAAAAAAAGGAAAGAAAAGGAGUGAGAAGACACAGCCGGGAAGAAGGACAUCUUUAAGGGUGGAGAAAACACACAGCCUACCUUGGGAACUUUCCACUACUAGCCGCCACAAGAAAAAUAAAAAAAAGAUCAGAACAUAAGACUCUACAAAAUAAAUCUAAAACAAAUAUCUAGAAGUUAAUUUUUAUCCUGAAAAUUUUCAAAGAACAUCUCCUAUAUAUCUAGUUUACCAUCUAAGUGACCAAAUCAAUUAACCAACCCUCAUUUAGUACCAGAUUUCAUAAUAAUGAUAAAUAGGUCCAGAACUGGGCAUCUUUUUAAGGUGUUCAACAAUUGAUUUUUCUAACUAAAUUCAAGAUGUCCUAAAAUCAUAAAAAAAUUUACAUAGCUAUCUUAAUAUAUAUAUAUUGUAUGAAAAAUAAUCACAGGGCAAUAUCACAUUCAUAACAUACUUAAAAAUAAAUAAACAUCUCUCCACUCCAGAAGAGCAUAUGUGUAGUGGGUGCAAGAAGAAAGAAAUUAUAUCUCUCAUUUUAGAAAUUAUUUAUUGAUAUUUUAGGCAUAAACAAUUAAAUUAAGAAGUCUAGAUUAAAAUAAAAAUAUUCAAAUAAAUCAAAUAAACCAUUUAUUAAUUUAAUUUUUCAGAACAAUACUAAGUGUAAAAAAUAGAGUGAAAAUUGAACCUUCCGAAAGAUUGAUUUAUAUCUUCUAAUUGGAAAACCAUAUUUGACCCAAGAAAUAUUCAAAAAUCAAGCUCAAGGAUUCUAGAAUGUCAUAGAAUAAUUAUACAAAUUUUAAAGGGUUUUUAAGUUACCAAAUUCCAAUUUACGAAUGCAAAAGUACAGUGAAUUAUCCAUAAUUUCAAUAAAUAAAUACAAACUUUGUUUUGAAAAAGACUUAGUAUGUAGGGAUCUAUUAAAUCCCAUUUUAAUUUCCAUGAAUUUAUCCAUGAAGACUCCAUUGAUUGGAGUUAUGAAAUUUAAUUCACGUAUAUUCAAAACCAAAAUUCAUUUUAAAUUUUCUUUUUCAAACUAUGCAUACCAAAUAAAAUUGGUUGCAUGAAUUUUUAGAAAAUUGAAUUUUCAUAACCUAAGAAUGUCCAAGACAAAUUUGGAAAAUUGAGAAUUAAUUUUUAGAAAGGUAGCUUGAUAAGAAUUUUGAAAUUACUAGCAAACACAAAUAAUCACAUAAAGUCCCACAACCAAAAGAAGAAAAUUCUUAAGGAGACAAAGUGGUGUGUGCCAAGGGUGAGUGAAGCAUGUUGACUUGUGUGUGAUGACAAUGAAAGUGUGGCUGUUGUGUGUGUGUUCAUAGUAACAACCUGGUGGUCUACUUUUCUAUGCAGCUAUGCAUGCCUUUCUUUAUCAAUUUAGCUAACGUUUGUUCUCCAAAAUUCAACUAGCGGUGUUGGUCUUCACAAGCUUAUGCAAAUUCUCAAAAUUCAGCAAUCUGAUGUGUGCUUGGGCUAGCAAUCUGGUGGUUUCAAAAUCUAAUAGUGUGAUCAUGUGUGAUACGUUCCCAAUUGGUGUCUCAGCUGAUUCAUGUCCUCUUAAUGGUCCCUAACAAUGGAACCAUUUGAUUCGUGUCCACCUGGUGCUCCUUGAUUGUGGUCCUCAGAAGGGAGUAAUCAACAAAAUUUAUAACCUAUUACACCAUGUACUAGGAUAGCCUUAGCUAGCAUAGCAUAGUGGCUCUAGGGUUGUUCACUGGGAUGGAUUUUCACUCCACAAUUGAUAUUACUUCAAAGAUGAAUUGGUGCUUUUUCAUUUCAAGGUUAGCUUUAAAAGAAAACAUAAAGAUGUUUGAAUGAAAAAGGUUUGGAUUUAAACUAACCAAAAAUAGUAACUGAUUUUACUUACAAAGAAAAGUGUUUCUUGGAGUUUAGAUCACUAGGCUCAGGUUCCUCAUACAAAAAGGAGAGUUCCGGUCACUUGUUUCUUUUCCUCGCAUUAGAGAAUUAACAUAUAGUUAAUUCUCUAACCGGUGUGGUACAAAUGUUUCCUCUUAAUGGGUUCAAACACUAAUUCCCUCUCAUUGAUGCACCUUGCAAUGACUCAUGCCUCUCACCUAGCAUUUGCCAUUCAAGGUGAUCUUUAACCUUGGAUUACCUGUCAAAAGCUCGCAAGAGAUAACUAAUGGAUGUCUCCUUGGAGUCCAAAAGCUUACCAAGUGUUGGCUAUUCUAGAAAAUCCUACCUUCAAACCACCUCCUAAAGGCUCGCAAGAGAUAAACUAGUGCAUCUCAAUGGAUGGAGAUCACUUGCCUUACUAAGUGUUGGCCCAGGUGAUUUAAAGGUGUUUUAAGUUAACUAAAAACAUAAAAACCAUUAAUGGGUCACACUUUCUAUUCAUUAAUAAUUGAAACAACAAAACUUCAAAUUCUUGCAUUUGGAAACUUACCCGGCUUUCUUCACUCCAAGAGAUGAAGAGCCUAGCCUCUCAUCCUCUGAGGAAAAAUCCUCAGAGUUUGAUUGGCUAGAAAGAAAACUAACGAGAAAGCAAAAAUAUGAAGGAAAAAUAGAGCAAGUGCUCUGUAAAAUAUAUUUCUUCCUUCUGCCGAUUACAUGAUUUUUGUCUCUGAGAAAAAACUCCUGAGAUUCGAUUAUAUAUAAGGGGUUAUUCACCCUUUGUUCUUACUUAAAGACUAAGGAAUCCUAUGAUAAGUGGGUUACAAGGAGAUUUUGGGGAUUUAGACAUCAAAUAUCUAAAGCAAAAUAUCUCAAAAUGUCGGUCGCAAAUAUCAGGAAGCUUCAGGAGAACACCGUAGUUGUGCGUGCAAGAGGGCUGUGAAAUUUCGCAGCAAAAGGACAACAUUUUCGCAGCCCAAGGCUGAUUUCACAGUCGUGCAAAAUCUGCCUUCAGCUUGGAGUGAUUGGCUUCCAAUGGCUGUAACUCCUUCAUUUCAACUCCGAAUCAUGUACCAUUUGAAGUAUUAGAUUUUUGACUUCCUGAGAUUCGAAACGACAUAUAGCAUGCAUAAAUUGAACUCCAAGAAGUGCUCCAAAAGUGGCUGACAUGACUGUCAUCUAGAAUGCUUCAUGUUAUAUUUCUCUUUGCUUCCCCUCCUUGCAUUCUGGAUUUGCUUAUGGCAAAGGACUUCAAAGCUUCGGUUCUUCAUGUUUCUGAGUUCUUCAUUGCUUUGCCAUGGAUUCUAAAGAACUCUCCUCAAUCUUGGAUUGCUUUGGUUAUCAAAUUACUAACAAAAACACCAAAACUUACACAAUUUGAUUAGAAAUGAUUGCAAAGGUGCUUAAUAUGUUAAUUGGGUUAAAAGGUAAUAACUGCUACUCAAAAUUGUUUAAAAGAGUUAAUUACAAGAUAUAAAAUAGCACUUUUUGAGUAGUAAUCAAUGUGCUUGUUGCUUUUCUCCUCACAACCAUGCACUAUCAACUUACCUUUCUACCAUUAACAAUUCGUACACAAUCAGUUUGCCUUCCCAAAGUUCUAAAGACUUCCCUUUAAAAUUUCUAAUAAUUAUUUUAUUCCCAUCAAAUUUCAAAUAUGCCACUAACUGCUACCUCUCUAAUACCUUCUCAUCUUCUUCGCUUCAAGCCAAAACCAUGCACUAAAUUUAUGUGACUCUCUAGAACCUUUUGUCAAUUUUUUUUUUUUUACAAACUGUGCACCAAACGAUCUUCAUUCUAGAAAAAACCGGUGCUAACACCAAUCCCCACCAUGUCCACAAUCAACUCGGGCGUUCCCUAUGGUGUGUGUUUGGAGCCCUUUUCAAAGGUACAAAAUUGUUUCUCUUUUAUGGCAGUAUGCUAGCGUGAAUAGAGAUGCCCUCUAACAAUCAACAAGAGAAUAGUUCCUAAGCCUUCCUAUCAAGAGUUUUCUCAAUCUACAUAAAUGGUAAUUGUCUACACUAAUUUCUAAAUACUUAGCCCCUCUGAUUAUGGGUUGAUGAACACCCAUUUGAACAUAACGACCACUUUCCCUACCUUACGUACAAUUUUGCAGUUUCCUUUCUCUAUAAAUACUAGAUUUGGACCAGAUGUGACAUUUGGCAUGCCCAAGGGCAUGGACUAGAAGCAAAGGAAAGCAACAAAAAAUAGGGCAUGAAUGGGUAAAACAAAAUGAACUAACAAAAGCCACAUUUCAUACCUAAUCAACAAAUCAAGAAUAGGUAAUAAAAACUGAGAGAAGUAAUAUGAUUAUCAAAUACUAAACCUAAAGGUAAAUUUAUCGAUUUACAAAGGGAAAUCAAAGAAUCCAAAAUGUGACCAAAACAGAGCAUGUAUGUAGACAAUUAGAUUCAGUCAAACCAACCAAAUAACUUUUGAUGUCCACACCAAAUCAACAAGACAACACUCAUAAAUCUGCAUAAAAUAAAAUAAAAUAGUAUUGAAAAUGAGGAAGAAAUGAAGAUCUUACUUGGAAGGCUCCCUCCUUGAAGUUGUUGCAUGUUGAAGAUCUUAGAGUGAGCAGUGUUUCUUCUCCACUAUAGCCCCUAUAAUUAGGGCAUGAUUUUCAAGGGGAAACUCAACCAACAUCAAAGCACUUGCAAUAAAUGAGGAAUAUGGAGUUGAAAGAGUGGAGAAUCACUUGAUUUUUUGCUCAAUGGUGGAAUUUGUAAGAGAAGAAAGGAGUUUUAGUGCUUAUUCUCUAUUAUGAGAGUCACAAAAUGGAGAUUCAAAAAUGAUUUCCAGAUUUUUAUACUCAAGAUCUCACACUAGGGCUUGGAAACGCACCGUGUGACAAGAUUUCCAGUGUCAAGAGCCUCAUCUAGAGUCAUUGAUCGAUAUUGAUUGUAGUUAACUAGGCUCCAAGGGUUUGUCGGGGUUUUGAAAAAAUGGAGGGAAUGUUUGGCGUACUAUGAAGUCGUGGGUGAGAAUGGGAAAUAUGUGAGCCAUAUAUAAAGGUGUUAUUUUGAUGUCACUUUUAUAGAGCACCAAGGUAAAAAUAAAUAAUAAAGACACUUAUAGAAAACCUCGUGCUAUAGGAAGCAUCAUUAUCCCUCAGCAUAAAGCGCCAUGGUCUAACAUUUUCCUUUUAAGCGUCAACUUCGACCACUUAUUUACUCAAUUGCCCCUCUAAAAGCCAAGUGACGACAUUUUUUUUGAAGCGCCACAAAUUGUGUUUUUUGUAGUAGUGUGGAGGUCUUCCUAUACCCUAUUUAACAUAAUAUAACCUUGCGUACAUGCUUUAGAAAAAUAAGUAAAAGUUUAGAAAAGUAUUUACAUUUGAUUUGAGUUGAAUCAUUCCCUUAUUCGACCUAUUUUGGGUCUAAACUUUAACUUAUGUAAGCCUCGUGAUGCUUUCCUAAACCUUAUUUAGCAUGGUAGAACCCUAGAUACAUCAUUUACAAAAAUAAGUACAUUCUUAAGAAAAAGUACAUCAUUUACAAUAAUAAGUAUAUUCUUAAAAUAUCUAUAUAUACAUACAUUCAUAAGGAAAAUACAUACAUUUGAUUUGAGGUUAAUCAUGACCUAAUUCAACCUAAUUUGGAUCUAAGAUUUGACUUAUGAUGCCUCAGAAUGUAUUUUAUGCCUUCCAAAACUCCGUUCAACAUGAUAGAAGUAUAGGUACAUUCUUUAGAAAAAUAUGUUCGAAAUCUGAAUUUUCCUAUUUGAGGUCUCUUAUAUAUAUUUAUGUAAUAUAUAGUUGUAAAUUAGAUUAGAAAAAUGUGUAUAACUGUAAAUUAUAUUAGGAAGAACAAUCUUUGAUUUAUAAGGAUUUACUUGAUUUAUAAGGAUUAUUAGUUUUCUUUUCCUUUAAUUUUUUUUGUAAAUAUAAGAUAUAAAUUAAGAUCGUAACAAGUAAUUGAAUAAGAAUCUUUUACCAUUUUCUCUCACAUGGUAUUAGAGCCACUUUGACAUCCUUCAUUAGCCUUCAUUGUUGAUUUUAGUUCAAGUUUUUUAGCCUUCACUGUUGAAGAUUUCAAGCCUAAUUCUUUCAACCUUCAUUGUGUGUUUUGUUUAUUUCUUUUUACAUAUUUCAUCCAUUCUACCUGCAAUUUCUGGGAUUUCACCAUGUCUAAGAUGUAUGAUAUUUCUUUUAAAACUAAUUUCAUAAUUUAAAUUAAUGAUUUAAAAAAAUAAAAAUGUUACGAAAAUAAUUUUUAUUUAUUUUUAAUUCCAUUUAAAUAUGAUUUUUUUAAUCUCUACUAUUAUGUUUAUAAGAGCAAAAUAGUAAAAAUAUAUAUUCCAUUUAGUUUACUUGUAAUGAACAAUUCAAACAUGAUUAAUUUUAAUUUUAUUUCCUAUGAGUUAAUUUAGGUAGGGAAGGUCUUAAUGGCAUAGUUUGGUUUUUUUUUUUUUUUUUUUUUUUAAAAAUGUCAAGUUCAAGUUGUUUAAAAAUUGUACAAAACCUAUUAGGAGCCUUGUACACCCUUGUACACUUAACACAUUUCCUUUAUAAAAUUAGUGUAAUACCCUUGUACAGUAAUGCAAAUUCCAUAUCCCUCCUAAGUUAUGUGUCCAUAUAGGUGUGUUAACCAUAUUUUCAAUGGUUUGGUUGAGAAAAUGAUGGAUGACUUAGGGUCAAACAUCAUUAUUGGGGAAAACAUUGGAAUUCCAUGUGGGAUUUAAAUAAAGUACAUGACAUGGGUAUACAAUCCUUCGGCGACAAGGAAAAUAAAGGAGUGGCUCAAAAUUGAUUGAAAUCUUUCAUAAAGGGUAAUCUUGUACACCUUGUACACUUAGUAUAUUUCCCUUGUAUAGUUAGUGUAACACCCUUGUACAAUGACACAAAUUCCAUAUCUCUCCUAAUUUAUCUGUCAAAGUAGGUGUGUUAACCAUGUUUCCAAUGGUUUGAUUGAGAAAAUGUUGGAUGACUUAGGAUCAAAUUUUUUUCCCUAAACAUCAUUACUAGGGAAAGUAUUGAAAUUUCCAUGUGAAAGUUAAAUAAAGUGUAUGAUAUGAGUGUACAAUUCGUGGGUGAUAAGGAAAAUAAAAUGAGUGGUUCAGAAUUGAUUGAAAUCUUUUACAAAGGGUAGCCUUGUACACCCUUGUACACUUAGUGUAAUACCCUUGUACAGUUCGUGUAAUACCCUUGUACAGUAGCACAAGUUUCACAUCCCUCCUCUUAAGUUACACAUAAGUGUGUUAGCCAUGUUUCCAAUGGUUUGGUUGACAAAAUGGUGGAUGGCUUAGGGUCAAAAUCUUUAUCCCAAACAUCAUUAUUGGGGAAAGUACUAGAAUUUCCAUGUGGGAGUUAAAUAAAGUGCAUGACAUGGGUGCACAAUCCGUAAGUGAUAAAGAAAAUAAAUAAGUGGUUCAUAAUCGAUUAAAAUCUUCCACAAAGAGUAGCCUUGUGCACCCCUUAUACAGUUAGUGAAUGCCCUUAUAUAGUGACACAAAUUCCAUAUCCUUAUAGUGAAUGUGUGCUUAUAGGUGAAUUAAACAUGACUCUAGUAGUUUGGUUAAGAAAAUGGCAGAAAACUUAAAUUCAACUUUUUGUGUGAAUAUAUUAUAUUUUUGUGAAAAAAAAAAAUACACAAUUGGCCAAUUCCUUUGUUUAAUUGUGAACAAAUUAUAUUUUUAUUUUAUUAUUAAAAUAACUAAUAAAAAAAUAAAAAAGAAUAAUUAAUAAAUGAAAUUUAAUUCUUUUUAUUGUUUUCAUAUAAAAAUAGUACUAUACAAGGUUUUCAAUUUUCAAAUUUAAAAAUAGUUUUUGUUUUUUUAAUUAAAUGUAUUUUCAAAAAGAGACAAUAUAGAAAAUAAAAAAUUGUUUUAAAAAUAAAAAUUAGAAAAAUAUUUUAAAACCAAACUCAAACAUAAUCUAUAUAAUUUUUAACUACUUGUUUUCAUCUAAAAUGAGUAAAUAUAUCAUUCAACCCUUUUAUAUAAGAAAAAAAAUCAAUCUCUACUAUACUAUAUAUUGAUAUAAUUCACUUCUAAAAUUAGGUCAUAUGAAAACAUUUUAAUUAGAUAUUUAAAAUAAAAACUCUCCAUCCAUCCUCUUUCUUUCUUUUUCUUUUUCUUAUUUUGAUAAAUUUUCAAUUAAUUCAAAUUAUUAAAAAAAAAAUCCUUAGUAAACAAAUUUGCAACAUUUCAUAUAACUUAUUACCAAAAGUCAUCUUCAAAAAGUUAUUAAAAUAAGGAAGGAAGAAGAUUAAAAGAAAAUUUAAACUUUUUAUUUUAUAAUAGUAAAAAAUAAAUUUUAAAAUACUUUUUAGUAUAAAGGGAAAGAAAAUAGUGAAUAUUUUUAUUUUAAAUAGUAUUUUAAUCAUUAAAUUAUUUACUUCUAAAAUGUAAAAGAUAUUUUUUAUUUAUUUAAAUUAACAUUUUUUGAGAAAGUAUUUUCCAAAAUAGUUUUUGAAUCAUUAAUAUAAUUUUGGUUUAUUUAUAAUUUUAAAAUAGAAAAUAAUGUUGAUUUUUCAAUUAUUUAUAAAAGAGUUUAAAAAAAUAAUGAAAAAUAAAAAAAAUGGUUAAAUAAAGAUGAAUUUGUUAAUAGUAGCAUAUGGAGAGUUGUGGAAUGAAGACAAAAAUGAGUUAAAAUGAUAUUUUUGUCAAUUACUAUUUCAUAUCCUUGUAAUCAAUUAUAGGUGAGAGGAAUACCUUACAUCAAUUAUCAAACACCAGCACAAUUCUCCCCUAGAUCUAUAUUGCCCAUAGAUUUGUAUGCUAAUACUAAAUAAAAUGAAAAUAUAUUUAUCACAUAAUUUUUAUGUUUAUGUUAUAUUCUGUUUUAAAUUUUUGUUAAAAGAAAUCAUAUUAUGACAAUAGUAAUAGAUGAGAAAAAAACCAAACAUAAUACAUAUGGUUCACUCUCAAAUGUGGGAGACUUGUCACUUUGUUGUUCCAAAAUUUCCACUAUCAUAAAAAAAAAUAAAAAAUAAAAAAUGUGUGAUCUCACCUCUUACAUGCCUCCUCUAUCAUAAAAUCAAAAUAAUUGAAUGUGGUUCUGGCUUCACCAUGGUUCUAGUUUUUUUGCUUGAUUAAAAUUUUAAGUUUUCUGUUUAUAUCAAAAUAAAAUAGAAAUAUAUUUUUUCAUAAAAAAUUGUAUUAAAUAUUUUAUAUUAAUUUUCUUUUAGUUUUAAAAUAUUAUUACAACUCUCUACUCUUAAAAAAAUAAAAGACAAAAGAUUUAGUUUCAAUUUGGUAACUAUUUUAAAAAAUAAUUGUUUUUUUAAAAGAAAAACCAAGAAAACAUGUUUGACAACUAAAAAAAAUAUGAAACAAUUUUUUUUUUUUUAUCUUAAAAACAAAAAUAUGGUAUUUUUUGAAAACGUCUUUUAGUCGUUUUCACUUGGGUUUUUAGGGCUAUUUUUUUUAAAAUAAGUAUACAAAUAUGGAGAAUGAUUAAAAAUAAAACACUACAUAUAAAAUUUAUUGUUAAAAUGUAUUUAAAAACAUAGAAAACAAGUUAAAAAUAUUUCAGGUUUCAAAACAAGCUUUUAGUCUACAAAAUAUCAAAGACCAAAUUUCAAUAACUGUUCUUAAAAACUAUUUUUUAAAUUUUUUAAAAAAAAACACUUCCUAAACAAAGCUAAUAUAACUCAAUUUUGCUUCACCAAAAUUUGAAAAAAUAAAAUAAAAAUUUUAUAUUUCAUUAAUUUUAGUUCAAAAAAUAAAUAAUUGAUUUAUUAUUAAGGAAAAAGGUUUACUAGUAAUAUUAAAUGUUUAUAAAAUGUCAACCAUUAUAAGAUAAUGAAAUUAAUUAAAAAAAAAUAUACAUCUAAUAUGUAAUUCUAAUUUGUAGAAAAUAUUUUUUAAUCAACCCCCUCUCUAUUAUUAAUUUAAAUUUUUUAAAAUUGUGUAAAAUUAUUUUUAUAAAUAAUUUUUUUCUUUAACGUAAGGGUAAGGCCACCAAGUGUUUGUUUUUUUUAUUUAUUUAAUAUUUUAUGAUUUUUUUUUUCCUUUUAAAUUAAUGGUAAAUCUUUUUUUUUUUUUUUUUUUUUGAGGUGUUAUACUUUUUUAGGGUGAGUAGUAUGAGAAAAGAAGGUUGAUCUUAAUUAGGAAAACAUUUAAGAUGGGGGGAGCAAGGUUGAAUUGAGUUUUUAAAAUAUCCUUAUUUAAACACAACAAAUUCAAGAAAAGGAAGCACAAAUAUAAAGAGAUAAAGUUAGAGGAAGCAAACAUAGAUUUUAUAGUGGUUCGACACUCCUUGCCUACGUCCACUCCCCUCAAGCUCCUAACUGAGUGAGGGUUCCACUAUCCUUGAAGCUUCAACCAAGCUUCCAACGUCUUUACACUUGAUUCCGAUUCCAAUGGCUCUUACACAAUCCUUCAAGUAUUCACUAACUUGAAGCUUUCUAUUCACACAAUCUCACUUUAAAAUAAUGAAGGAAACUCUUAACCUAGCUUAAUAAAGGCUCAAAUACAAUCGAAAUGCUAGGAAGAAUGACAAGAGUGCACUAAAGAGUAUAAAAGUAAGGAUUUAAUGCAUCAAGGAGAGAAUGAGAUCUUUUAAGAGAAGAACAUGUAGUUAAACAAUUGAAUGCAGGUGUUCUCAUGUUCAUAAAUGAAGUAAAACUCUCAAUUUAUAAGUUUCUAACCACGGGAGCCAAAACUGCCAAAAUGUUAACCUCGACUGGUCAAGUUAGGGGUCAACUGGUUGACUAGUCGUUGGGCAAUAAAUGUAUGGUAGGUGACCGACAGGCCUCGACCACACCUUAACCAGACCUCAACUAGGAAAACCUAUCAUCGAUCGGGAAUGCAUAGCUACUGGAAGAGAGAGAAUACUUUUUGCAUCCCUCAAUCAAUCCUUAACUAGGAAGGCUUAAUCGAUUGACUGGUACCCUAACCAAUUGAGCCGGUUGGAUAGUCCCUUGAUUGAUACACCUAUUUUGGUCCGAAAACCUAUUUUUUUCUAUUCCUUUCAUUUUUAACACUUAGGCAAAGUCUUUAGGAGUAUUAAUAGAUUAAAUUUAAAGCAAUUUGCAUAAGGUUUGUAUAAGAAAACUCAAGGUUUAAUGGAAAUUUAAUUUUAAUUAAUAAACCAAGUUUUUAAAGAUGCAUAAAAAGAUAUGAAAAUCCUAAGUGUACAAAUGCAUUCAUCUUACAUAUGUUUCUUAAGAUUAGAAGGCCUUCUAUAUGUUUCAAUGAUUACUACUCAAAAAGUGCUAUUUGAUAGCUUGUAAUUAACUCUUUUAAACACUUUUGAGUAGUAGUUAUUACCUUUUAACCCAAUUAGCAUAUUAAGUACCUUUGCAAUCGUUUCUAAUCAAAUUGUGUAAGUUUUGGUGCUUUUGAUAGUAAUUUGAUCACCAAAGCAAUCCAAGAUUAAGGAGAGCUCUAUGGAAUCCAUGGCAAAGUAAUUGGAAACUCAUUUACAUGAAGAACCUAACCUUUGAAGCUUUAUAGUCCUUUGCCAUAAACAAAUCAUGAAUGCAAGGAUGAAAGCAAAGAGAGAAAUCUAACAUGAAGAAUUCAAGAGGACAUCAACUGUUUAACACUUUUGGAGAACUUUUUGGAGUCCAUUUGAUGUAUACUAUAUGUCGUUUCGAAGCAUGGGAAGUUAGCAAUCCAAUGCUUCAAACGGUGUGCGAAUCGAAGUUGAAAUGAAGAAGUUAGAGCCAUUGGAAUCCGAUCACACCAAGUUGAAGGCCAAUUUCGCAGGCUACGAAAUAAUUUUGCAGCCAUCUUGUACGUCUGCCAAAUUUCGCAGCCAUUUUGUGCGCCUGCGAAAUUCUCCUGAGUGCUUCCAGAUAUUUGUGACCGAUAUUUUUUGAUAUUUUGCUUCAGAUAUUUGAUGUCUAAAUCCCCAUUUUCUCCUUGUAAUCCACCAAUUAUAGGAUUCCUUAGUUAUUAAGCAAGAAAAAAGGGUGAAUAACCUGAUAUAUAUUGUUUUUGUAAUUUUCAUUGCAGACAUCUCGGGAGCUUGUUCUCAGAGACAACUUUUUGUAUAGUUUUUGAAAGGAAGUAAAAUAUAGAGCUUUGCUCUGCCUUACCUACUCAAUUUGAUUGUAUUUUUCAUUACUAGCCAAACAAGCUCUGAGGAUGUUUCCUCAGAGAAUGGGUUGCUAGACUUUUUGUCUCUUGGAGCUAAGGUAGCCGAGGGAGGUGCCGAAUGCAAGAAUUGAGAGUUUUGUUGUUUCAGCUGUUAAUGAAGAGAAAGUGUAACCCGUUUAUGGUUUCUAUGUUUUUAGUUAACUUAAAACGCCUUCAAUUCACCUGGGCCAACACUUGGUAAUGCAAGUGAUCUCCGUCCAUUGAGAUGCACUAGUUUACCUCUUGCGAGCCUUUGGGAGGUGACUUGAAGGUAGGAUUUUCUAGAAUUGCCAACACUUAGUAAGCUUUUGGACUCUAAGGAGACAUCCAUUAGUUAUCUCUUGCGAGCUUGAGAAGGGAAGUCCAAGGUUAAUGAUCACCUUGAAUGGCAAAUGCUAAGUGAGAGGCACGAGCCAUUGCAAGAUGCAUCAGUGAGAGGGAAUUAGUGUUGAAAUCCAUAAAAGGGGAGCAUUUGUACCACACCGGUUGGAGAAUGAACUAUAUGUUAAUUCUCCAAUGCGAGGAAAAGAACCAAAGUGACCGGAACUCUGUUUUUGCAUGAGGAGCCUGACCCCAGUGAUCCAAAAACUCCAAGAAACGUUUUUCUUUAUAAGUAAUUCCCAUUACUUUCUUUUUAGUUAGCUUGAAACCAAACCUUUUUCAACUAAAGUUUAUGUUUUCUUUUGAAGCUAACCUUGAAAUGAAAAGGCACCAAUUCAACUUUGAAUUGGUAUCAGUUGUAAGUUGAAAACCCUUCCCAGUGAACAAUCCUAGAGCCACUAUGCUAUACUAGCUUAUGCUAUCCUAGUGCAUGGUGAUAUAGGUUAUAAAUUUUGUUGAUUACUCCCAUCAGGGGACCAAAAUCAAGGUACACCAGCUGGGCACGAAUCAAAUGGCGUCAUUGCCAGGGAAGGUGACAACUUCACAGUGAUAUUAUUUCAGAGUACUUGUGAUUUUCAUCACAAGUUUAGUGACUUUUCUUUCAUUUUACUAAUUUUUAAUUAUUUCUUUUACUUGUUCAUAUUCUAAAUAUCUUUUAAUUAAGUUUUAUUUCAUUUUAGUCUUUUUUGUAGUCUUUUUUUUCUUUUGUUUUCUUUUGUUUUUGUUUUAGUUACAAUUGAAACUGGUUGUGUAUGCCAAAUUGGAUACGAGAUAGUGGAGGAAGGCUUGUUAAACGUGAUACACCUCAUAACAAGGAAUUGGAAUUGAGCUUGAAAAUCAUGGAAGCUACGCCUGAAGAUCAGCAUAGUCACCAUGGUCACCAGGACAAUCCCAAUGCUUUCAGAUCAAUGAGGGACCGUAUGCAUCCACCUCAUAUGAGUGCACCAUCAUGCAUAGUGCCCCCUACAGAGUAGCUAGUGAUCAGACCGCAUAUUGUUCCACUUCUACCAACUUUCCAUGGGAUGGAAAGUGAGAAUCCCUAUGCACAUAGAAUUUGAAGAUGUUUGUAAUACAUUCCAAGAAGGAGGAGCUUCAAUCAACUUGAUGAGGCUUAAGUUAUUUCCUUUCACUUUAAAGGAUAAGGCCAAGAUUUGGCUUAAUUCUUUAAGGCCAAGAAGUAUCCGUACUUGGACUGAUUUACAAGCUGAAUUCCUCAAAAAGUUUUUUCCAACUCACAGAACAAAUGGCUUGAAAAGGCAAAUUUCAAACUUCUUAGCUAAAGAGAAUGAGAAAUUCUAUGAGUGUUGGGAAAGAUACAUGGAAGCCAUCAAUGCUUGUCUUCACCAUGGUUUUGAUACAUGGCUAUUGGUGAGUUAUUUCUAUGAUGGGAUGUCUUCCUCAAUGAAGCAACUCCUCGAGACAAUGUGUGGAGGAGAUUUCAUGAGUAAGAAUCCGGAGGAAGCUAUGAAUUUCUUGAGUUAUGUGGCUGAAGUUUCAAGAGGAUGGGAUGAACCAAACAAAGGAGAAGUGGGGAAGAUGAAGUCUCAACCGAGUGCUUUUAAUGCUAAGGUUAGGAUGUACAUCUUGAAUGAAGAUGUUGAUAUGAAAGCAAAGUUUGCAGCUAUGACAAGAACAUUGGAGGAGCUAGAAUUGAAAAAGAUGCAUGAAGUACAAGCUGUUGUUGAAACACCAGUGCAAAUACAGUCGUGUCCUAUUUGUCACUCUUAUGAACACUUGGUGGAGGAGUGCCCUACAAUUCCAGCUGUAAAGGAAAUGUUUAGAGAUCAAGCAAAUGUUGUUGGACAAUUCAAGCCCAAUAACAAUGCUCCAUAUGGAAAUACUUACAACUCAAGUUGGAGGAAUCAUCCAAAUUUCUCAUGGAAGCCAAGAGCACCUCAGUACCAACAGCCGGCUCAACCAUCUCAACAAGCUUCAAGCCUUGAACAAGCAAUAGUGAAUCUCAGCAAGGUUGUGGGAGAUUUUGUUGGAGACCAAAAAGCCAUCAAUGCUCAACUCAGUCCAAGAAUUGACAGUGUAGAAAAUACUUUGAAUAAAAGGAUGGAUGGGAUGAAAAAUGAUUUAUCUCAAAAGAUAGAUAAUCUCCAAUACUCAAUCUCAAGGCUCACUAACUUGAACAUAGUGCAAGAGAAGGGUAGAUUUUCUUCUCAACCUCACCAAAACCCCAAGGGUAUCCAUGAAGUGGAAACUCAUGAGGGAGAAUCUUCACAGGUGAGAGAUGUUAAAGCCUUAAUCACUCUAAGGAGUGGUAAAAAAGUUGAGUUGCCAACACCCAAGCCACAUGUUGAAGAGGAAGAAGAAAAAGAGACAAAGAAGAGGGAGGAAAUCAAAGGAAAGAAGAAAGAUAUCAGUGAAGGGAAAGAGGACCAUGAUUCAAUAGUGAAUGCAAAUCCGGAGAAAAUACUUAUUAAGGAAGAAAUUGAAGAAACACACCUCUCCACCUUUUUCUCAAGCUUUGCAUGGGAAAAAGAGGAUAAAAAAUGCAUAAAAAAUUCUUGAAGUAUUGAGACAAGUGAAAGUCAAUAUUCCAUUGCUGGAUAUGAUUAAACAAGUUCCAACACAUGCAAAAUUCCUAAAGGACUUGUGUACUAUCAAAAGAGGGUUGAAUGUAAACAACAAAGCCUUCUUGACUGAGCAAGUAAGUGCUAUCAUACAAUGCAAGUCUCAUUUGAAGUACAAAGGUCCGGGAUGUCCUACCAUUUCAGUCAUGAUUGGAGGAAAGGUAGUGGAGAAAGCUUUGUUAGACUUGGGAGCAAGUGUGAAUUUGCUACCAUACUCUGUCUACAAGCAAUUGGGACUUGGUGAAUUGAAGCCAACAUCAAUCACUCUAUUUCUAGUAAAUAGAUCAGUGAAAUUUCCAAGGGAGGUAAUUGAAGAUGUCUUAGUUCAAGUUGAUAAUUUCUACUAUCCAGUAGAUUUUGUUGUUCUUGAUAUGGACCCUACUGUCAAGGAAGCUAAUUAUGUUCCUAUAAUCCUUAGAAGGCCAUUCCUUGCUACCUCAAAUGCAAUCAUCAACUAUAGGAAUGGACUCAUGCAACUCACUUUUGGCAACAUGACACUUGAGCUCAAUAUCUUUUAUAUGUCUAAAAAGCAAAUCACUCCGGAAGAAGAAGAAGGUUCAGAGGAGGUAUGCAUUAUUGACACUCUAGUGGAGGAGCACUGUAAUCAGAAUAUGCAAGACAAGUUGAAUGAAAGUCAUGGGGAUCUUGAAGAAGGGUUGCCUAAACCCUCUAAUGUGCUUGCUACUCUACAAGGUUGGAGGAGGAGAGAAGAGAUUCUACCUUUGUUCAAUAAAGAGGAGGCACAAGAAGUUUCUAAAGAAGAGAUCCCAAAGCUCAAUUUGAAGCCUUUGCCCAUGGAGUUGAAAUAAACAUACCUGGAAGAGAAUAAAAAAUGCCCUAUUGUUAUAUCUUCAUCUCUUACUAGUCCUCAGGAAAAGUGUCUACUUGAAGUUCUCAAGAGGUGUAAGAAAGCAAUAGGAUGACAAAUAUCUGACUUGAAAGGCAUUAGUCCUUGAUUCGACUCAUGGUAGCUUAGCUUUAAAGGCGUAUCAACAAAAUUUAUACCUUAAAUACUAUUACUAAAGUAGCCAAGCUACUAUAGCAUAGUGGUUCUAGGAUCGUUCACUGGGAAGGGUUUUCGCAAACACAAGUGAUAUUCAAAUUAGGAAAAUAAGUGAUUUUCUUAUGGAUGUUAGCUUUAAAAGAAGAUGUAAAUGUUUUAGAAAGAUUUAAACUAAUCUAAGCUAACAUUAAAGACUAAAAUGAAAGGGUGUAAAAACAAGUUUCUCAAAGAUAGGAUAGCUAUGCUCUGGCUCUUAUGCAAAUUGGAAAUCUCAGGAUAGGCUCCUCGCGUUGGGGUUGCAACUAUGGUGAUGCUUGCUUCCCGAACCGGUAUGGAUUUAGCAAAUCAAGUUUUAAUCCUUUAAAAUGACAAAACAGAUGGUAGUGAAUUUCAUCAAUGGUUAUUCACCUUAGACUUCCUUUGAAUGGCUCGUAAGAGAUAACUAAUGGUCUAAAGCCAAAAGCUUACCAAAUAUUGGCAACUCAAAGUCAUUCCAGGUGAUAAACUCACCUUUCAAUGGCCAUUGAAAUUGGUUCUAACGGAUUAAUGCAAAACUUGGAAUUGAAAACCUCACCUUCCAAUAGCUCGUAGGAGAUAACUAAUGGAUAGAAAUCCAAAAGCUUAUCAAGUAUUGGCCGUUGGAAGUUGUCCAAAGGAAAUAAAAACCAAACUUUGCAUUAAUGAACCUUUAAUGAAAAACGUCUACCUUACCUUCCAGGUGCGAGAAAUUUCCAUGGGAUUGCAUCCAAGCCAUCACAUAACCUCCAUACUUUGAGAAACUAAAAGUUUUAGCCAAUCAUCCUUUGAGGAAAAGCCCUCAGAGGCUGUUUGGCUACUAAGAAAAUAGAAAUAGUAAAGAGAAAAGAGAGACGAGAGAGCUCUGUAUAUCCCUCAGUGUAAAACGUAACACGCAUGUUCUUUAUCUUCCAAGAGGUGAUUUCCACCCCUUAUAUAGUCUUUACAAAAGCAAAAGCUUGUGAUUGGUUAGUUACAAGGAUAAGAAAGGAAAUUACAUCACAAAAUACAAAGGAAAAUAUCUAAAGUGGAGUCGGCAAAAACAGAGGAAAAUUCGCACCACGCAUGGGUUAUGCGAAUUUUGAAGGUGUUAUGCGAAUUUCGCAUAACACCUUGUGUUGUGCGAAAUUUUCGCACAACCUGGAGCAGUUGGCUUCCGAAGGCCAUAUCUUCCUUAUUUCAGCUCCAAAUCAUACACGGUUUAAAGCGUUGGAUUCUUGACUUCCUGAGCUUUGAAAUGGUAUAUAGUAUGUAGAAAAUGGACUUCGGAAAGUGCUCCAAAAGUGCGAAAGAAGACUGAAGAUGCUGUCCUCUUUGCUUCUCUUCAAUUUGCUUCACUCCUUGCAUACUUUGAACGACUUUGGCAAAGGGCUAUGGAGCUCCAAAGCUUGGUUCUUCAUGAAUUUGAUCUUCCAAAAGCUUUUCCAUAACUUGUCCAAGUAACUCCUCCAUCAUUUGGCAUGCUUGAAUUGAUUCAUAAGCUGAUAAAAACAUGUAAACUUGCCACAAAAUGGUUAAAACCAAUUACUAAGGACCUUAAUAAAUUAAUUGGGUUAAAUGAAUAUGAUUACUACUCAAAGGUGCUUAAAACCAUUAUAAUUAAGUCUACAAAAUAGCACUUUUUGGUAGUAAUCAGUCCUUUGGUUUGUACACAUCAUAUAUACAUGGAGGAAGAAGCUAAACCAAUUCGUCAGCCUCAAAGAAGAUUGAAUCCUCAUUUGCAAGAGGUGGUGCGAGUUGAAGUGCUGAAGCUACUUCAAGUAGGUAUUAUCUACCCCAUAUCUGACAGCCCUUGGGUGAGUCCUACUCAAGUGGUACCAAAGAAUUCAGGGAUUACUAUGGUUCAAAAUGAAAAAAGAGAAGAAAUUACUACACGCCUCACUUCAGGUUGGAGGGUGUGUAUAGAUUAUAGAAAAUUGAAUGUUGUGACAAGGAAAGAUCAUUUUCCAUUGCCAUUUAUUGAUCAAGUCUUGGAGAGAGUCUCUGGCCAUCCUUUCUAUUGUUUCUUGGACGGAUACUCCGGAUAUUUCCAAAUUGAAAUUGAUGUUGAAGAUCAAGAGAAGACCAUUUUCACAUGUCCACUUGGAGCAUAUGCCUAUAGAAGAAUGCCUUUUGGUUUAUGCAAUGCACCUGCAACAUUCCAAAGAUGUAUGCUAAGUAUCUUUAGUGAUAUGGUGGAGCGAAUUAUGGAGGUUUUCAUGGAUGACAUCACCAUAUAUGGAGGUACAUUUGAAAAAUGCUUAGUCAACUUGGAAGCGGUUCUUAAUAGAUGCAUUGAGAAGGACUUGGUGCUUAAUUGGGAGAAAUGUCAUUUUAUGGUACAUCAAGGAAUUGUCCUUGGCCAUAUCAUCUUCGAGAAAGGCAUUGAAGUUGAUAAAGCAAAGGUGGAACUUAUUGUCAAAUUGCCAUCCCCAACAACUGUAAAAGGAGUAAGGCAAUUCCUUGGCCAUGCAGGGUUCUAUAGGAGAUUUAUAAAAGAUUUCUCUAAGCUUUCAAAGCCUCUUUGUGAACUUUUAGCUAAAGAUGUUGAGUUUAUAUGGGAUGAAAGAUGUCAAAAGAGUUUUGAUCAACUGAAGCAAUUCUUGACAACAACUCCAAUAGUGAGGGCUCCUAACUGGCAACUGCCCUUUGAAGUAAUGUGUGAUGCCAGUGACUUUUCUAUAGGAUUUGUGCUUGGCCAAAGAGAAGAUGGAAAGCCCUAUGUGAUCUACUAUGCAAGCAAGACAUUGAACGAAGCUCAAAGGAACUACACAACUACAGAGAAAGAAUUGUUAGUUGUAGUGUUUGCCUUAGACAAGUUUUGUGCUUAUCUAGUAGGGUCUUUCAUCAUUGUUUUCACUGACCAUUCAGCCUUGAAGUAUUUAUUGACAAAACAAGAUGCAAAAGCAAGGUUGAUUAGAUGGAUUCUCUUAUUACAAGAGUUCGAUCUCCAAAUCAGAGAUAAGAAAGGAGUGGAGAAUGUGGUAGCUGACCACCUUUCAAGGUUAGUUAUAGCACACAAUUCCCAUGUCCUACCUAUUAAUGAUGAUUUUCCUGAGGAAUCACUCAUGUUGCUAGAAAAAACUCCUUGGUAUGCUCAUAUUGCUAACUAUUUAGUUACUGGUGAAGUUCCAAGUGAGUAGAAAGUACAAGACAGGAAGCACUUCUUUGCAAAGAUUCAUGCUUAUUAUUGGGAAGAGUCUUUCCUUUUCAAGUAUUGUGCAGAUCAAAUAAUAAGGAAGUGUGUCCCUGAAGAAGAGCAACAAGGAAUCCUCAGCCAUUGCCAUGAAAGUGCAUGUGGAGGCCACUUUGCCUCUCAAAAAACAGCCAUGAAGGUGUUGCAAUUAGGGUUUACUUGGCCAUCACUCUUCAAAGAUGCCCACAUCAUGUGUAGGAGCUGUGAUAGAUACCAAAGGCUCAGGAAGCUAACAAAAAGAAAUCAAAUGCCUAUGAACCCCAUUCUAAUAGUUGAUUUCUUUGAUGUUUGGGGCAUUGACUUCAUGGGACCUUUCCCAAUGUCUUUUGGUAACUCUUAUAUCUUGGUGGGGGUGGACUAUGUUUCUAAAUGGGUUGAGGCAAUCCCCUGUAAACACAAUGAUCACAAGGUGGUUCUCAAGUUUCUCAAAGAGAACAUCUUCUCAAGAUUUGGGGUGCCCAAGGCCAUAAUCAGUGAUAGAGGUACUCAUUUUUGCAAUAGACCCUUUGAAACCCUAUUAGCCAAGUAUGGAGUGAAGCAUAAGGUAGCUACACCUUAUCACCCUCAGACUUCCGGGUAAGUUGAGCUAGCAAACAGGGAAAUCAAGAAUAUAUUGAUAAAGCUGGUGAUUACGAGCAAAAGAGAUUGGUCUAUUAAGCUUUAUGAUUCACUAUGGGCAUAUAAAACAGCUUACAAGACUAUUCUUGGCAUGUCUCCAUAUCGCCUAGUCUAUGGCAAAGCAUGACAUCUCCCUGUGGAAGUUGAAUAUAAGGCUUGGUGGGUAAUCAAGAAGUUAAACAUGGACUUGAUCAGAGCCAGGGCAAAGAGGUGCUUAGACCUUAAUGAGAUGGAGGAAUUAAGAAAUGAUGCUUACAUCAAUUCCAAAGUUGCAAAACAGAGGAUGAAGAGGUGGCAUGAUCAAUUAAUCUCCAAUAAAGAAUUCCGGAAAGGACAAAGAGUCUUACUCUAUGAUUCAAGGCUCCAUAUCUUUCCUGGGAAGCUUAAGUCAAGGUGGAUAGGCCCUUUCAUUAUUCACCUAGUGCAUCCCAAUGGAGUGGUGGAAUUACUGAAUUCCAAUAGCACUGACACUUUUAAAGUCAAUGGUCAUCGUCUCAAGCCAUUCAUUGAGCCAUACAAGCAAGAAAAUGAGGAAAUCAACCUCCUUGAGCCAUAGAAAGCCUAAUCAGAAAAGGGUUAGAUGGGCUUGGUUUCACCAAAGUCCAUAUUUUUGUUAAAUUUUGUUAAUUUAAAAGCUUUAUUAAUUCUUUUGAUUUUAAUUUUGGUCUUAAGUUUUGUUAUUUAUAUGUAACUUAAUUUUUUUGAAUGAUCUAAUGUAGGAGGAAUUGCAAAGAAAAUGAAGAAAGGUCUCUUGGAGCUAAAAAGGAGUUCAAAACCAAGGGAAAAUUCAUGGCCUGCGAGAUUUCGCAGAAAAAUGAGGCCUCUGUGAAAAUGGCCCUUGCUGCGAAAUCAUUUCGCAGCCCCAUGCCCCCUUCUGCGAAAAUUUUCGCAGUUGCGAAACCCCCUCUUGGCACACGAGUGCCAUUUCGCAACACAGUACCCCCAUUUCGUAGCUGUGAAAUGGCUGCUGAUUCGACUCAUGGUAGCUUAGCUUUAAAGGCGUAUCAACAAAAUUUAUACCUUGAAUACUAUUACUAAAGUAGCCAAGCUACUAUAGCAUAGUGGUUCUAGGAUCGUUCACUGGGAAGGGUUUUCGCAAACACAAGUGAUAUUCAAAUUAGGAAAAUAGGUGAUUUUCUUAUGGAUGUUAGCUUUAAAAGAAGAUGUAAAUAUUUCAGAAAGAUUUAAACUAAUCUAAGCUAACAUUAAAGACUAAAAUGAAAAGGUGUAAAAACAAGUUUCUCAAAGAUAGGAUAGCUAUGCUCUGGCUCUUAUGCAAAUUGGAAAUCUCAGGAUAGGCUCCUCGCGUUGGGGUUGCAACUAUGGUGAUGCUUGCUUCCCGAACCGGUAUGGAUUUAGCAAAUCAAGUUUUAAUCCUUUAAAAUGGCAAAACAGAUGGUAGUGAAUUUCAUCAAUGGUUAUUCACCUUAGACUUCCUUUGAAUGGCUCGUAAGAGAUAACUAAUGGUCUAAAGCCAAAAGCUUACCAAAUAUUGGCAACUCAAAGUCAUUCCAAGUGAUAAACUCACCUUUCAAUGGCCAUUGAAAUUGGUUCUAAUGGAUUAAUGCAAAACUUGGAAUUGAAAACCUCACCUUCCAAUAGCUCGUAGGAGAUAACUAAUGGAUAGAAAUCCAAAAGCUUAUCAAGUAUUGGCCAUUGGAAGUUGUCCAAAGGAAAUAAAAACCAAACUUUGCCUUAAUGAACCUUUAAUGAAAAACGUAUACCUUACCUUCCGGGUGCAAGAAAUUUCCAUGGGAUUGCAUCCAAGCCAUCACAUAACAUCCAUACUUUGAGAAACUAAAAGUUUUAGCCAAUCAUCCUCUAAGGAAAAGCCCUUAGAGGCUGUUUGGCUACUAAGAAAAUAGAAACGGGAGAACAGGAGAAGAGAGAAAAACAGAGCAAGGCUCCGUCUGUAUAUAUGCGUCUAUGUCUUCAAGAGGUGAUUUCCACCCCUAAUAUAGUCUUUACAAAAGCAAAAGCUUGUGAUUGGUUAGUUACAAGGAUAAGAAAGGAAAUUACAUCACAAAAUACAAAGGAAAAUAUCUAAAGUGGAGUCGGAAAAGGCAGAGCAAAAUUCGCAACACGCAUGGGUUAUGCGAAUGUUAUGCGAAUUUCGCAUAACACCUUGUGGAAUGCGAAAUUUUCGCAUAACCUGGAGCAGUUGGAUUCCGAAGGCCAUAUCUUCCUCAUUUCAGCUCCAAAUCGUGCAUGGUUUGAAGCGUUAGAUUCUUGACUUCCAGAGAUUUGAAAUGGUAUAUAGUAUGCAAAAAAUGGACUUCGGGAAGUGCUCCAAAAGUGCGAAAGAAGACUGAAGCUGCUGUCCUCUUUGCUUCUCUUCACUUUGCUUGCUUUUCCUCUUUGCUUCUCUUUGCUUGUGCUCGUGUUUCCACUUGAAAUUCAAGCCUGUAAAUGUCCAAAAUCCUUGCUUUAACUUGUCCAAGUAGCUCCUCCAUCAUUUGGCAUGCUUGAAUCAAUUCAUAAGCUGAUAAAAACAUGUAAACUUGCCACAAAAUGGUUAAAACCAAUUACUAAGGACCUUAAUGAAUUAAUUGGGUUGAAUGAAUAUGAUUGCUACUUAAAGGUGCUUAAAACCAUUAUAAUUAGGUCUACAAAAUAGCACUUUUUGGUAGUAAUCAGCUGCAAAAUCCCCAAAGCGUGAAAUCUCCAAUUUUCGUAGCCAAAGCCCCAUUUCGCAAGGUGUUUCGCAGUUGCGAAAGACCCCCUUGGCACACGAGUGCCAUUUCGUAGCACAGUAGCCUCAUUUUGCAGUUGCGAAAUGGGCUGCGAAAAGGGCCCUCCGCUGCGAAAUCCACCCUCCUCUGCAAAAAUUAAAACGACCCUUGGCAUCCAAUUUUUUAACGGUAUAAAUUCCACAUUUCUAAUAAACCGGUCAUUUGAACUUCAAACAGGUGCCAGAGAAGAGCCAAAACAGAGCAACCUUCCAUUUUCUCCCUCCUAUAUGAGCCUAAGCUACGCGUGCCUCCGCCCAUCUCCUUCGGUCAGCCAUGGCAAGAACCCGAGGAGCUAAGUCUUCGUCUCUGUCAAGCCGCAAGAGAGCCGCAAAUGAGACCCCUGUUCAAGGCUCCAUGUUCGAGCCUCCGCGACCACGAGUCGUCCCACCUCCAGUUGAGGACGCACCGAUGAGUCCUCCGGUAAGGCGCUAUCAAACCAGGUCAAGUAGCCAUCCCCCGAAGAAGAAAGCUAGGGUAUCCGAGCCAAAGCUAAUUGACUUAUCAAAGCCGUCUUCAGAGCCUCUACAAGAGCCUCACCGUUCUCAGCCACCAUCCAAAGAGCCUCAACUGUCUCAGCCACCAGCUACAAAUUCUCAGAUUCCCUCAGGCAUGACUCCUGAGAUGCUUAUUAGGCGUCCCAUGCUCACUCAGCCGCCCAUUGAGGGUAAUUUGGAUUGCAGGGCUAAGCCAUUCCACUCUGAGAUCUGCUUCGACACAGCCACUUUCAGACUUCAGCUCGAGCUCAGGGACUCCUUCCAUCUGCUACAGAGGUACCAUAUGGAGCAUUUGCUAACUCCCAAGGAUUUUUUCUGUCCCCGUGUAGCAAUGGACUUCUAUCAGUCCAUGACCACACACCAGGUCUGAGAUCUUACUGUUAUCCACUUCACCAUAGACGGACAUCAUGGCAUUCUGGGAGCUAGUACAUAGUAGAGGCAUUGCGUAUUCCCUACGAGCCAGCCCAUCCAGAGGAUUAUCGAGUCUGGACUCAUCCUGCCCAGAGCGACAUAGUUCAUAUUCUGUCCAGAGGAGCAUCCUCGCGCCAGUAUCUAUUGAGGAAGGAGCUCCCUCAUAGCAUGUUUUUCAUAGAUGCACUCCUGCGCCAUAACAUCUUUCCACUUCUGCAUUGGGUGCAGAGGAGAGGAGUUUUGCUAGAGGCAUUGUUCAAGAUAUCUAAGGGAUUCUUCUUUGGCCCUCAUCAUCUCAUUAUGGCCGCUCUUCUGUACUUCGAAGAGAAAGUCCAUAGGAAGAAGCUGCUCAGAGCGGAUGCUAUUCCACUUCUCUUCCACAGAUUGCUAUGUCAGAUUCUGGAGCACUUGGGGUAUCCAUCUGACCCUCAGCUUGAGUGCAAACGUAUUUGCCGAGAGAUAUUCACUCUCAAAAAAUGGAUGAAUAUGACAGCCUAUAGUGCAGACCAGGGAGCCCCAACUGGAGCAGAGCAUCCAGAGCAGCCAGAGGAGCCACAGCCGGUUGAGAUACCAGCUGACAUGAGAGCACCUACCCUUGCAGUGCCCUCUACAAAGCCUAUACCAGAGGUUGCACCCUCUGCUCCUCCUACCACACCACGGACUCCCCCUGUUAUUCCAGCUACAUCAGAGCCCUCUCCUUCAUCUGAGCCUAGGAUUGCUAUAUUCAUUUCCGAGUACAGAGGUCUAUGUCACACUUUACAGGCAUUGACCACUUCUCAGAGCAUCCUUACUUAGGAGAUGACAGCUCUUCGUGCUCACCAAGAGCACAUUAUCGCCACUCAGACUAAGCAUACUACCAUCUUGAGGCAGAUUCAGCACCACCUGGGUAUUCCAUCAGCUCCUGAGCACCCCAUUCCUAUCUUCUCAAAGCCCACAAAGCCAUCACAGGCCCCUCUUUUCGUAAAGCAGGCUUUUCCCUCUGAGGAGCCGACUACAGGAGAUGCAGAGACAUCCACCUGAGCCAUCAUCAUCUUCCCUCUAUCUGAUCAUUUCCAUACUUUUCUUUAUGUAUUUGCAUUUGUAAUCCCAUGCUUUUGAUAUUUUAUAUAUUGGGAUUGGUUGUAUUACUUGUUUACCUUUAUAUUGUACUUUCAUGAAGUAAUACAAAUCUAUCAAUUUUUUAGCACUCUUAGCAUUGUUUUAUUUUAAUUCCUCUACUCAUAUCUUUUGUUGUUUUUGAAACAUGUGGUUUCUCCUAAUCUAAUCGAACUUCAUAUCACUCAGGAGCUACCACUUCCUCCCUGUAAUUUCAAUCGCUCAUGUCACAUUGAGGACAAUGUUCAGCUUGGUUGGGGGGAGAGUUGAGGAAGGAAGUUUUUUGUUGUUAAUACUAAGUAUUUUCGUAAUUUAUUUUAUUUUUGUUUAAUUUAAAAAUUUUUUUGUAAGUUUUUAUUCCACUCUCCAUGGUUAUUAAGGACAAAUUCUCAAAUUAAAAUAAGAGAAAUCGAAUUUUUGUUUUUACUUGACUUAGACUUUGUAUUAUGCUUAUUAAAGUUGAUGAAUUGUUGAAACUUCUAUUGAAUUCAACUUUAGUUCUUCCACUUUAAGCUAUUCACACACUGUGCAAAAUAGGUUCCGAGUAUAAGAUGAAAAACUAUUUCCCUCUUGACUUAGGAAAAUUUAGACUUGGUACCUUUGACCUCAUUUAAUAGUGUUGGGACACCUUAUAAAAGGCCAAUGAGCCUUUGAAAAAAAAAGAGAAAGAAAGAAAAAUGUUUGCUUGCCUUGAAACCCGAGCAAGGUCUGAGGGGUAUAUGGUGAAAAUCUUUAAAACCUGGUGCCCUAAGCCUUCAUUGGUUGGGAGUCACCGACCUCAAUGCUCGUUACAAGGGUGAAUAGGUGGAGUUUAACAUACUGUAGGUGCUUGGGUAUUAAAAUUCAUUCUCAAAAGUCCGAGGUAAAAUCCGAGGAGUUAGUGGUUGAAAGAUCCUUAAAGCUUGAUGCCCUAAACCUUAAUUGGUUGGGAGUCAUCGAUGGACCCCCGUUUCAUGGACAAUUUAGAAAAGAAUACCUUUAAGCCUUGUACUCCUACAAUGAAAAAAAAAUGUGAAAUAAAAGGGUGCAUUCUUAGCCUAUUGAAUUUGGUCAGUUUGCUAAGUGUUGAAAAAUAACUAGGUUAGGGGGAGAGACUAGUUUAGCAUACUAUAUUCGGAAGCUAUCAAGUAACACUUAGAUUUUUGUGGAAGAGUAAGGUUUGGUCCUUUGGAAGUGGAAAUGAUUUUAAAGCUUCAAUUUGCAUAAUACCUUCUCUUUAUGAAUUGUGAUUAAGUAAAGUAUUUGAUAACUCUUGCUGAAAUUUGAGUUUUAUAUCUUUAAUGUCCCAUGUGAGAGUUUGAUCAUCAUGCCACUUAAAAAUUUUUGAAGUGAUCAGCAUGAUUUUGUAAAGUAUAUUACUGUUUAGUUUAUUUUUUUCUCUCCUUUAUUGCUAAGAGACUAGCAAUAUGUCGGUUGGGGGGAGUGAUUACUACUCAAAAAGUGCUAUUCAAUAGCUUGUAAUUAACUCUUUUAAACACUUUUGAGUAGUAGUUAUUACCUUUUAACCCAAUUAGCAUAUUAAGUACCUUUGCAAUCGUUUCUAAUCAAAUUGUGUAAGUUUUGGUGCUUUUGAUAGUAAUUUGAUCACCAAAGCAAUCCAAGAUUAAGGAGAGCUCUAUGGAAUCCAUGGCAAAGCAAUUGGAAUCUCAUUUACAUGAAGAACCUAAGCUUUGAAGCUUUAUAGUCCUUUGUCAUAAACAAAUCAUGAAUGCAAGGAUGAAAGCGAAGAGAGAAAUCUAACAUGAAGAAUUCAAGAGGACAUCAACUAUUUGACACUUUUGGAGCACUUUUUGAAGUCCAUUUGAUGCAUACUAUAUGUCGUUUCGAAUCUCGGGAAGUCAGAAAUCCAAUGCUUUAAACAGUGUACAAAUCGGAGUUGAAAUGAAGAAGUUAGAGCCAUUGGAAGCCGAUCACACCAAGUUGAAGGCCAAUUUCGCAGGCUGUGAAAUAAUUUCGCAGCCAUCUUAUACGUCUGCGAAAUUUCGUAGCCAUUUUGUGCGCCUGCAAAAUUCUCCUGAGUGCUUCUAGAUAUUUGCGACCGACAUUUUUUGAUAUUUUGCAUCAGACAUUUGAUGUCUAAAUCCCCAUUUUCUCCUUGUAAUCCACCAAUUAUAGGAUUCCUUAGUUAUUAAGCAAGAAAAAAAGGUGAAUAACCUGAUAUAUAUUGUUUUUGUAAUUUUCAUUACAGACAUCUCGGGAGCUUGUUCUCAGAGACAACUUUUUGUAUAGUUUUUGAAAGGAAUUAAAAUAUAGAGCUUUGCUCUGCCUUACCUACUCAAUUUGAUUGUAUUUUUCAUUACUAGCCAAACAAGCUCUGAGGAUGUUUUCUCAGAGAAUGGGUUGCUAGACUUUUUGUCUCUUGGAGCUAAGGUAGCCGAGGGAGGUGUCAAAUGCAAGAAUUGAGAGUUUUGUUGUUUCAGCUGUUAAUGAAGAGAAAGUGUAACCUGUUUAUGGUUUCUAUAUUUUUAGUUAACUUAAAACGCCUUCAAUUCACCUGGGCCAACACUUGGUAAUGCAAGUGAUCUCCGUCCACUGAGAUGCACUAGUUUACCUCUUGUGAGCCUUUGGGAGGUGACUUGAAGGUAGGAUUUUCUAGAAUUGCCAACACUUGGUAAGCUUUUGGACUCUAAGGAGACAUCCAUUAGUUAUCUCUUGCGAGCUUGAGAAGGGAAGUCCAAGGUUAAUGAUCACCUUGAAUGGGAAAUGCUAAGUGAGAGGCACGAGCCAUUGCAAGAUGCAUCAGUGAGAGGGAAUUAGUACUGAAAUCCAUAAAAGGGGAGCAUCUGUACCACACCGGUUGGAGAAUGAACUAUAUGUUAAUUCUCCAAUGCGAGGAAAAGAACCAAAGUGACCGGAACUCUGUUUUUGCAUGAGGAGCCUGACCCCAGUGAUCCUAAAACUCCAAGAAACGUUUUUCUUUAUAAGUAAUUCCCAUUACUUUCUUUUUAGUUAGCUUGAAACCAAACCUUUUUCAACUAAAGUUUAUGUUUUCUUUUGAAGCUAACCUUGAAAUGAAAAGGCACCAAUUCAACUUUGAAUUGGUAUCAGUUGUAACUUGAAAACCCUUCCCAGUGAACGAUCCUAGAGCCACUAUGCUAUACUAGCUUAUGCUAUCCUAGUGCAUGUUGAUAUAGGUUAUAAAUUUUGUUGAUUACUCCCAUCAGGGGACCAAAAUCAAGGUACACCAGCUGGGCACGAAUCAUUUAAUCUUGUAUCCAUUGGGUCCUUUGAUAAGUUUCUUGGAUAUCCUUUUGAAUUUCCAAACUAAAACUUGAAAUUCUUUUAAUUUAAAAUAAUUAGCAACUUAACCAUGGUUUGUUAUCAUUAAAACACGAUUAGGAGAACCUUUGGGCUAACAUAGUAUGUUAAUGAGCCUAUUUAUUUUUCAAAUUUUUUAUAUGAUUAUUUAAUAAGAUUAUUGUUAAAUUACUAUGGAUGCAAUUUAGGGAAGACAAAGACCCUAAUUGUUUUUUUUAUUUUUAUUGUUUGCAAACUUAAUGAAUUAUUUUGAGUUAUGUUAUUUAAAUUGUUGGAUUAAUUUUACAUAAUAUAUUAUUGUGACAUUAUAAUAUAAAAAUAAGUAAUAUCAUUUAGUUACCUUCAAUUCUAUUACUAUAGCUAUUUGAUAGACAGUAUUAAUUUAGUAAUGUUAUUUUAAUAGUUUAAACCAUAGGAAAUAUAAUCUAAGCUUAAAAUAUUAAUAUUUAUGUUUUUUAAAUGAUAUAUAAUGUACUUAUUUUUCUAAGGAAUGUAUUUAUUUUUAAGUUAAGAUGUACUUAUUUUCAAAUAGGAUGCACUUAUUUUUUCCAAUGACGUACCUAGUAUCAAAGCAUGAUAGAUGAGAUGUGCGAACAUCAUAAAUGCAUGCCUAGACCUAUAAAAAUGGAUGAUCUUGUCCAAUAUCUUGUUCAAUAUGCUUUGAUAAAAGGUACAUCAUUGGCAAAAAUAAAUGUAUCCUAUUUGAAAAUAAGUACAUCUUGUUUAAAAAUAGGUACACCAUAUGUAUAUCAUGCAUGUGACUCAUUUGCUCUAAUUUGGACAUGAUCUUCCAUUUUUGUAGGCCUAGGCAUGCAUUUAUUGACAUAAGCUAUAUUGGACAAGGGCUUUCACUUUUAUGGGCCUUGGAAUGCAUUUGAAGCUUUUAGCCAUCCCAUUUUGCAUCCUAGAACCCUAGGUACAUCAAUUGGAAAAAUAGAUACAUGGCAUUGAAAAAUAAGCACAUCUUCACAAAAAAUAAGUACAUCUCAUUUAAACUAUAUACCUAACGCAUUUGUCCUAUUUUGGACAUGAGCUUUUACUUUUAUAGGCCUCAAAAUGUAUUUAGGGUCUUCCCACAUCCCAUUUUGUAUCCUAGAACCUUAGGUACAUCCCUUGGAAAAAUAGGUACAUUGUGUUAAAAAAUAUGUACAUCUUUUGAAAAAUAAGUACUUUGCAUUUAAAUUGUAUAACUGACUUAUUUGGCCAAUUCUAAGUAUGAUUUUUCACUUUUAUAGGUCUUGAGAUGCAUUUGAGGCCUUCACACAUCCCAUUUCACAUCGUAGAACUUUGGGUAUAUCCUUAGGAAAAAUAAAUACAUCAUAUUGCAAAAUAGUACAUUCCCUUAAAAAAUAAGUACAUAUUAUUUUCAUUCUAUGGGUGACUUGUUUGGCUUAUUCCUAUCAUGCACUUUCACUUUUAUAGGUCUCAUAAUGCUUUUGAGGCCCUCACACAUCUCAUUUCUCAUUCUAAAACCUUGGGUACAUCCCUUGAAAAAGUAGGUUCAUCUUGUUGAAAAAUAAGUAUAUCAUCUUAAAGCAUAAGCACAUCGAAUUUACAUUGUAUAACUGAUUCAUUUCACUUCUUAUACACAUUCAUUAUUUAUUUGAGUUAUAGGUUCAAGUGACUAAUUCUGGAACAAGCAUAAAGCAUAAUCAAGUUGCUUAACUUUACUUAUGUACUACUAGUUAAGCAUGACACAUUAUGGUAUAUCAUUCAUGAAUAUGAAUAGGUAUAAGACUCAUCAUUCAUUCUAUAGGAAAAAGGGAACAUUUUAUGAACACUAUGUACACAAGUCAUUUGAUAGUAAUUAAGACAACAUGUAUGUUCUUUGUCCUAUCACGCAUUAAAAAAAAAUUAGUUUAGUUUUUAAGAUCAAUUUCAUUAUUAUUUGGUUUCGAUGUUAUGUAGCUAUUUUUUUCCUAUGGAUGCACAAAAGGUUCCAUGAUAUACUAAUUUUUCCUUGUCCAAAAUAGGCCAAAUGAGUAUUUUAAUUUAAUGUAAAUGCAAUGUACUUAUUUUUUAAGUGAAUGUACUUAUUUUUUAACAUGAUGUACCUAAUUUUCCAAUGGAUGUAACUAUGGGUUCUAGGAUGUGGAACAAGAUAUGGGAAGACCUCAAAUGUAUCUUGAGGCCUGUAAAAGUACAAGCUCAUGUCCAAAAUAGACAAAUGAGUCACCUAUACAAUUUAAAUAUUUAAGAGGGUGUAAUUAAUUUUCAACACAACGUACCUAUUUUUCCAAGGGAUGUACCUAGGUUCUAGGAUGCAUAAUGAGAUAUGGGAAGACCUUAAAUGCAUCUUAAGGCCUAUAAAAAUAAAAGCCCAUGUCCAAAAUAAGCAGAAUGUCACCUUUACAAUGUAAAUGCAAUGUACUUAUUUUUUAAGUGGAUUCACUCAUUUUUCAAUGGGAUUUUUUAACUUUUGUAGCAAUUUUUAAAAAUAAUUAUUAAAAAAUGGUAGUUGGGAAAAUAUUAAUAGAUCUACGGCGGUUUUGGCCACGUGGAAGGUGUCUUUUGAAGAGACACCUUCCACAAUUUUCAAAAUCAUGAUACUAAUUUAAAAGAAUUGAAUUUAAGCUAAAGGUGUCUCUUCAAGAGACACCUUCUACAAUCCCAGAAAAUUGGAUUUAUAUUAAAGGUGUCUCUUGAAAAGACACUUUCCACGUGGCAAAAAAUCCAAUAUGAAUUAAAGGUGUCUCUUCAAGAGACACCUUCUACAAUUCCAAAAAAUUUUAAUUUAUACAAAAUGUGUCACUUAAAGAGACACUUUCCACAAUUCCACAAUUCCAUAAAUUCCAAUAUAUAUUAAAGGUGUCUCUUCAAGAUACACCUUCUACAAUUCCAAAAAAUUGGAUUUAUACUAAAGGUGUCUCUUGAAAAGACACUUUCCAUAAUUCCAUAAAAUCCAAUAUGUAUUAAAAAUUGUGGAAAUGAUUUUAAAGCUAAAGAUGUCUCUCUUCAACAUAAAUUCGAAAUUUUCCACUGUGUAUGGAAAUUGUGGACAAUGUCUCUUCAAAAGACACCUUUAGUAUAAUUCCAUUUUUUGAGAAUUGUGAAAGGUGUCUCUUCCACAAAUUUAAAAAAAAUUGGGUUUAUACUGAAGAGACACUUUCCAUAAUUUCAAUUCAAACAAUGGAAAAUUUUGAAUUUAUGCUAAAGGUGUCUCUUCAAGAGAUACCUUCCACAAUUCCCAAAAAAAUGGAAUUAUACUCAGACGCCUUUCAUAAUUUUUAAAAAAUUGGGUUUAUACUGAAAGUGUCUCUUCAGAAGAGACACUUUCCACAAUUUUCAUACACAGUGGAAAAUUUCGAAUUUUGAAAAGACAUAUUUUACAAUUCCCAAAAAAUGGAAUUAUACUAAAGGUGUCUCUUGAAGAGACACCUUCCAUAAUUUUAAAAAAAUUGGGUUUAUACUGAAAGUGUCUCUUCAAGAGACACUUUCCACAAUUUCAUACACAAUAGAAUAUUUCAAAUUUAUGCUAAAGGUGUUUCUUCAAGAGACACCUUCCACAAAAGGAAAAAAAAAUUAUAUCUCUUAAUUAGUAUUACCUGCUAUACAACCAAAUGUUUAAAGUUUAUCCCCUGUAUACAUUAUAAUCAAUAUUUUGACAUUCAAUCCAAAACCAAUGAAAAUAAGUAAACCAAAUGUCAAUUAAGUCAACACAUUUCCAAAAUAGUAACAAUACUAUUUUGUGUAAAAUAAAUCCAAAAUAGAUAGAAUACUAGAGAACUUACGUUAAUAAAAAGUUAGUUUAUCCAAAAUAUAACAAGUAUAAAUAUACAUCUUGAGUAUUUGUCAAAAAUAAUGAUAUGCAAAAUACUAACAGUAUCCAAAAUACAAGUCAUAUGUAGUAACAUCCUCAAUGUGUACCGCAUGAAGGAGCCUUCCUCUUCCAUUGUGGACAUCCAUGAUAUGCAUGCUCCACUAUUGGCUCUAUGGGGCUAACAUGUACCCCUCUAUGAGCUCGACAACCACGUCUCCUACCACGUCCUCAACCAUGUCCUCGACCAUGAUCAUUCUUUUGUCCUUGUUGAUCAUCAUUUGCUAUAUGAACUAACUUCUCAUCAACCAAUGUAACCUCUAUCGAUUGUGGUGAUGAUGCAACAAGUAGUACUAUAGGUGGGUUAGAUGGCACCUCCAUAUGUGUAAUACGAGUCUCCUCAACAGGUGGCGGGCUAAUGUCAGUCGAUGGUGCAUUUCUAAGAACAAAUGUAUGCUUAGUCACUCUCGUAUAAGCCCCUCUCCCUCUAGUCCGUACACCUCAUGAUCAAGUAAUGGAUGAUAUCAGUUGCUGAUGAGGUGGUGGAUUACAAUAAAGUGGACGUACCAUUAUGGGAAAUAGCACAUCUCAUUUGAAGAAGAGAGUCCUUUUGAUAUAAUCUAGGCAUUAAAGUUUAUCAUCGAGAUCAACUCAAAUGAAUCGCUACAUGAUUUGUACGCUCCCUUAAUUUUAUUUUCCUUAUAUUUUUUUCCUUCAUAUUAAUUCCACCACCAAAUCUGAUAAAAUCAAAAUUAAGUUUUAUAAGCCUCUAAGUGAUAAAUAAAAAAAAAAAAAAAAGCCUUCUAUCGAGAAAGGGGGUUAUUUCUGAACAUGGAGAGUCGGCAUAGAAGACCUUUAUUGAAAAUGGUGUUGAUGCUUUGAAAAGUUUGAAUGGACGAGACUCUAAGUUGAGUUGAUGGGAAGAGCAAGAGACGCAGUUUAUUGGGACUUUAAGAGAAAUAUUUUUCUCUUCCACACCAUCCUUUGACAUCAGUCACUUGUAACUCAUCAAUUGACCAACUUCGUUUAUAUGAUUUAUUAUUAUUUUUUUCCAGUUUUCUAAUGAAAAUAUUUCUUUGGUUUGAAGAAAUAUUCAUGUUAAUGGUUCGGAUAGAGAAAGAUAAGAUUGAAUCAAAUCAAAUUUAUUUUAAUUAAUCAAAUUCAAUUUAAUGUAUUCAUUUUAUACAAGAUAAACUAUUUAAUUUUAACAAAUAAAAAGAUAGUAUAUCCAUUUUUAUAUAUGAUAACUUGAUUUGAAUAUAUAUAAUUUUUUUUUUUGUAACCCCUGUUUGAUUCCAAAGAAAAUCCAUCCCCCAUUCGAUUUCCAAAAAAAUUCAUCCUCAUUUGAUUUAUGAGAAAAUCCAUGCAAAACCCCCAAGGAAAACCAAAAAAAUUGCUUUUUUUAUUUAUUUUUUUGCUCUCUAUGCUUUAUGGAUUUAUUCUAGGGGUCUCUGUGGAUGUACUCAACGUCUUAUGCAAUCAUGAAAUAACAUGAAUUGAGUGGAUGUUAUUGCAUAAUAACAUUGAUAGACAAGACUAUUAGAAAAGAGAGCACCACUUUUAUAUAUAUAAAGUAACAGUUAAGUGUGCUAAAAGUACCACCAUGCUAAAAGUGUAUUACACUUUUUAUGUACUACUUUUUCAUAAAAUAAAAUAAAUGGUACCCUCUUUUCUAAGGAUUGUGUCAAUUGGUGUUAUUGUGCAAAACACCCACUCAAUUCACAUUAUUUUAUCAUCACAUAUGACGUCGAGUAUGUAACAAGCGAUAAUAGAUCUUACCCUAAACCAAAUAAGAGAAGUACAUUCUUCCCACCACAAUGAAACUAAAAAAAGAGUGACAUAUUCUUCCCACCACAGUACUACUUUUAACAUAGUACAUUUUUCAUUCAUGAGUGGUACCAUUUUUUUUCAAAGGUUGUGUUGACUGUUGUUAUUGCACAAUAACAUCCACCCAAUUCAUGUUAUUCAAUCAUUACAUAAUACAUUAAGCAUGUAACGGGUGGUAACAUACCUUAAACCAAAGAAGAGUGAUACACUAUUUCCACCAUAGUGGUACAUUUAUCACACUUCAGUGGUAUUUUCUUUUUAUAAAUAAAUGGUAUGCACUUUUCCAAAGGUUGUAUUGAUCAAUGUUAUUAUGAAAUAACACUCAUUGAAUUCAUGUUAUUUCACCAUUAAUAAGACAUCUAGCAUGCAACGAAUGGUAACAUACCUUUGCUUAAACUAAAAAAGAGAGAUACAUCCUUCUUACCACAAUAUUACUUUUAGCAUUUUUAGCAGUACUUUUUUUCAUAAAGGAGUGGUACUAGGGAAAUGCAACUUAAGUUGCGCAAUGGUUUGAGGUGCACCAACUUAGUGUUUUAGGAGGGUACACUAUUUUUUUCUUAACACAUUUAAAAGGUAUGCAACUUCAAUAUACAAAAAUUUUAAUUUUUAAUAAAAUUAAGAGAAAAUCAAUAUAAACAAUUGAAUACAAACUUUUUAUGAAAAUACAUAUUUUUAUUUUAUAUAACUAAAAAUUAAAAAUUUGAACAAAACAAAACUUUAGAAUCACAACCAUGUUUUUAUUUUAUAUAAAUUAAAAAUAUUAAACAUUUCAACCAAGAAGAAAAUUAAAACUAUGGUCAAGUUACAUCCAUAAGAAAAAAGCUAAAACCAUGAUCAUCAAUUUUGAUUUUCACAUGAAAAUUUAAAAAUUUUUAAAAAUAUAAAAAAAUUAAAUAAUAUGACAAUAUAAGAAGAUUUAUAAAAUAAAUAAAUAUUUUAUUUAGGAGGAAUAUAAAAAGUCUUAUAUCCUAAACUUCUAAAUUUGUUAUUAUGUAUUUAUUUUUAUAUUAAAUUUGUUCUUAUUAAUUAUUUAUUAUAUAUUAUUAAUUUUUAUUUAAAUAUCUAUAAAUAAUUAAAAUCAAUAAAUAUGAACAAAUGAAAUAGUGAAAAAAAAUUAAAUUAUAAAAUUUUCAUGAAGCCAAUACAUUAAAAAUAAAUAAAAAAUAAAAAUAAAAAUAAAAAUAAAAGCAAAAAUGUGGAGAUAUUAUGGAGGGAAAAAAAAUCAUGUGACAUAGUAGAUUGUUACAUAUCAAAGUUUUUUUUUUUUUUUUAAACCAACCACGAUUAGCACUUUGACUUAUCAUGUCAAAGUAUAAAAAUAAAAAUUGUGAUAAUUAAUGUCAUGAUGAGAAAAGGGUUAGUCGUUUUGAAAAUACAUGUUUUCAAGACAUAUAUAUAUAUAUAUAUAUAUAUAUAUAUAUUGUGAAAAUAAAAAACCAAUCUCCCUUUUGAAACAGCAGAAACCUUUUGGCAAAAAACCGUGUCUUUCAUUCAUAUUUGCACGAGUAUAAAUACACACAUAUAGACUAGAUUCAAGAAGGAAUUACGACUAUAAUUGUGGGUCUGACUUUUUAUAUAUAGUAGGUACAAAUAUUAUAUGGUAUAACUGCAACUAUUAUAGGAUUGAAUCAGAGGAUGAGUUGGUCAAAGGAUACGAUAUAACUGCAACAAUCACGGGCUUGUCUCAAAGUAUGAGUUGGUCAACUAUUUUCCACAAAGACCACAUGCCGAGAAAUGAACAUUUUUGAGGUGGAUGGGUCAUAACAUCUAUAGGAAUUAUGUGAGAGAAUAGCCAAGGAAAACACAGGGUCGAGACUUGGGAUCCAAUUUAUGGCAUGUGUAGGGUUUUAGCUAGGGGUAACAAAGGCAACCAAAGAUUUUAAGUUCGAGAUAGUAGGGGGAAGGGUGAAAGAGGGUCUCAAAAGGAGAUUUGUUAUCUAAAAGUGGGAUUGGCAUCUGAUUAAUGAGGUAAAUUAUCGUUUGACAGGCAACAGGCCAAAAUUGAAGACGAAUGGAGGCUUGAUGAAGAAGAGUCAAUGUCAUCUCAAGAUUAUGUCUAUGUUGUCUUUCAGCAAUCCCUACAAUUUGUGAAGUGUAUGGAGGAGAAUAGGGGUGUUAAAUUCCAUGUUUUGGAGAGUGUGGGAUGAAGACCUGCAUAUUCCCAGGAUUGGGGUUUUGAAAUAUUUUUCUACUAGUUGCUUGAAGUUUUCAAAAAUACAAGUGGUAUCUGAUUUGUUUUUUAGAGGAUAAAGCCAUAUGUAUUUGGUGAAAUGGCCAACAAAAAUCACAUAAUAUAAAAAAUUAUCAAGGAUGUGAUAGGAGCAAGUCCCCAAAUAUAAUUAUAAAUAAGUUUAAGGGGUUUAGAGCUUAUAAGAGAAGAUGCACCAAAGGAAAGUCAAUGACUUUUAUUACAUAAGCAUGAGUUACAAGAGUCUAGAGACGACUUGGACAUUGAAAGUGAAUGACUUGAGAUGACAUGUCAGAGAAUACGUCGAUUGGGAUGAUCAAGACAACGAUAACAUUUAUUUAAGGAUGUUGGACUGGUGGUGGUGUUGUAGGCCUGAGGUGUGGAGCUUGAGUAGGGAAAAGAAGUCGGACACUCAUACAGAUUUCCCUUAAACGAGUGUUGCCCCCGUGCUCAAAUCCUUCACCAAAAAGUAAGUAGGGAAAAAUUCAAUUGAUGUACAAUUAUGUUUGCAAAACUGAGAAACAAAAAUUAAGUUUUUAUGAAUAGCUGGAGCACACAAAACAUUACCAAACAUAAAAUUUGAAUUUUUAAUAAUUAAAUUAGUAGAAUCGGUAUGAGUGAUAGAAAUACCAUUACCAUCACCAAUAAUUACAUGUCUGUACCACCAUAUUCAGAAUGAAUGGAAAGAUUCUGAAGAUCUGAAGUAAUGUGGUGUGAGGCUCCGGAGUCUAUUACCUAAUUGGCAUUAUGAGUUGGUGGUUCUCGAGCCAUGAAAUUUGCUUGUGGUGUGGAAUAGGAGGAUGGGCGAGACCUGCAGACCCUGGCAGUAUGUCUAGCUUUGUCACAUAGUUGACAAACAACACAGAUUUGAGGGGGAUUGAAUGGAGGACGCCCUUGUGGACCAAGAAAUCUAUUCCCUUGGUUAGGGAACAUGUGUCCAUGAUGAUUCUUGUUGCCUUGAUAAUUAUUUCCAAAUUGAGAACUUUGUCCUUUCUUAUUGUUUGAGUUGUUCCCCUUUUUGCCAAAGUUGUUUGAGCCCUUUUGAUUAAACUGAGUUGUAACAGUAACACUAUCCUUCUUGAAUUCUUCACGUUUUAGGAACAUUUCAUGAUCUGCUAGUUUGUCAUGUAGUUCUUCAAAGGAUAUGGAAGAAUCUCAAGCUCUUAUUGUUGCACUCAAUUCCUUGAACUCAGAUCCUAAACCUUUGAGAACACUUAUCACCAUUUCUUCUGCACCAAGAGGGGAUCCAACAAUAGCCAAUUCAUCAUCGCUCAUAGUUUUGAUUACUGUCAUAUAUUCAACAACAGAUUUAUUUUCUUUGAUGAGUUGGCUCAGCAUCUCUCGGAGUCCUAAGAUCCUAGUCUUCAAUUUGCUGGCAUAUGUGGUGUAUAGACGAGCCCAAGCCUCUUGAGCAAAUGUAGUGGAUGCAACAAGAGGGGCAAUGGUGGAAUCAACUGAUUCCAUGAUAGCAUGCAGAAGUAGGCUCUCUUGGCGUUUCCAAAUUUUGUGCUCCGGAUUGGGUGUGAAAGUGUCACCCAUUUUUAUCAUUUCUAGUGGACUUGGAUAUGUUCCAUCAACAUACCCAAUCAGAUCAUAGCCAUAAAGUAGUGUUGAGAACAUUGUUCUCCAAGAGGGAUAAAUGCUGCUACCGAUGAGUUUCAAGGGGAAGUUGUGUUGCUGCAUUAAUAGACACCAGUGCGGUUGAAGGAGUGUUUCCACAUGACAUGAUGACUCUGUGAUAUGGGAAGGGCCCGGAGGAGUAGGAGUCUUCAGCCAUAGGGAUAGGAAUAAAAGGUGGUUUCAAUGAAGAGACUACAAGAUUUGGGUGGCUGCUGGAAUAGUGACUGUGGAGUUUAUGGCUUUGAUACCAUGAAACAGCAGAAAGAUUUUGGCAAGAAACAAUAUCUUUCAUUCAUAUUUGCAUGAGUUUAUAUACACACAUAUUGACUAGAUUCAAGAGGGAAUUACAGUUAUAAUUGUGGGUCUGCCUUUUUAUAUACAGUCGGUACAAAUAUUAUAUGGUAUAACUGCAACUAUUGUGGGAUUGAGUCAGAGGAUGAGCUGAUCAAUGGAUAUGAUAUAACUGCAACAAUCACGGGGUUUUCUCAAAGUAUGAGUUGGUCACGUGAGCUGUCUAUCACCUUCUUGUUAGAAUAACUAGGGACUCACAUAAAUUAAUAAUUGUUUAUGACUGACUCAUGCCCAAUUGGUGUCUCAGCUGAUUUGUGUUCAGCUGGUGCUCCUUGAUUGAGGAAGUGAUCAACAAAAUUUAUACCUAUAACACCAUACACUAGGGUAGCAAAUACAAAGCUACUAUAGUAUAGUGGCUCUAAGGAUCGUUCACUGGGAAUGAUUUGCAAGCAAUCAAGGAUACCAAUUCCAAGUGAAUUGGUUUUGUUUCAUUUCACGGUUAGCUUAAGGAAUAAAACACAAACUUUGAUUUGUAAAGGUUGAGACUUAAACUAACUAACUUAACAGAAGUUUGGAAUAAUUUAGGAAGAAAAGCAUUCCUUGGAGAUUUAGGUUCACUGGGGUGGUUCCUCAUGCAAAAGACAUAGCUCCGGUCAGAUGGUUCAUUUCCUCGCAUUAGAGAUUCAACUUAUAGUCAAUUCUCUAACCGGUGAUGUACAGAGACUCCUUCAAUUAGAUUUCACUUUAAUUCUCUCACUGAUGUAACUUACAAUGGUUCAUGCCUCUCACGAGCACUUACCAUUCAAGGUGAUCUUUAACCUUGGAUUCCCCUUCACAAACUCGCAAGAGAUAACUAAUGGAUGCCUCCUAAGAGUCCAAAAGCUUACCAAGUGUUGGUAAUUCCAGAAAAUCCUACCUUGAAGUCACCUACCAAAGGCUCGCAAGGGGUAAACUAGUGCAUUUCCACGGUUGGAAAUCACUUGCCUUACCAAGUGUUGGCCCAGGUGACUCCAAAGUGUUUUAAGUUAACUAAAAACAUUGAAAUCACUAAAGGAUUUCACUUCCUCUUCAUUACUAGCUAAAACCACAGAGCUUUGCAUUCUUGCACUUGGAACCUUCCCCGGCAACCUUAGCUCCAAGGAAUUGGAGGUUUAGUUACUCAUUCUCUGGGGAAAACUCCUCAGAGAAUUCAUAACUUAGAAAUAAAAUGAAAAUACAAAGUGAUAAGGUAAGGCAGUAGAAAGAAAAGACCUUUACUUCCUUACCAAAUGGUUACAGAAGGAACUCCUCUCUGAGGACAGGCUCCCGAGAGGUAUUUAUAGCAAACUAAUAUAAAACUAAUUCUUACAAAGAUAUUUGGUCUUUUUACUAACUUAAAAACUAAGGAAUCAUGUAAUUGGUGGUUUACAAGGAGUAUUUUGGAAUUUAGACAACAAAAAUCUAAUGGAAAAUAUCUCCCAAUGUCGGUAGCAAGCUUCGGGAGGCUUCCGGAGCCAUUUCGCAGGAGAAAAGUGAGGUCUGCGAAAUUUCGCAGACACCCAAGAGGGCUGCGAAAUUAUUUCGCAAGACCAAGCUGUCUUCAUAGGGCUACGAAGUUGGCUUCCAUCUUGAAGUUUCCAGCUCCCUUCUCGCGGCAUGGUUCGUGCAUCGUCAGAAGGAGAAACACCUUGCUGUACAAAAGUGCUGCGAAAUUCUCGCAACAAAAGGCCGAUUCCGCAACACUUUAGAGUGACUGGCUUGUAAUGGCUGCAACUUCUUCGUUUCAACUCCAAAUUGCACACCGUUUGAAGCAUUGGAUUGUUGACUUCCUGAGCUUUGAAAUGGUAUAUAGCUUGCAUCAUUUGGACUUCAGAAAGUGCUCCAAAAGUGGCUGCUACGACUGUCAUCAAGAAUAUGCUCCAUGACUGAUCCUCUUUGCUUUUUCUCCUUGCAAUCCGGAUUCACUCUUGGCAAUUGAAUUCUAAGCUUUGCCCAUGAUUCCUCAUAGUUCUCCUCAUUCUUGACUUGCUUUGGUGAUCAAAAUACUAACAAAAACACCAAAACUUGCACAAAGUGAUCAAAAUUGCUUUAAAGGAUCCUUAACAUGCCAAUUGAGUUAAAAGGCCUAAACUACUACUCAAAAGUGUUAAAAAGGAUUAAUUAAAGGCUAUCAAAUAGCACUUUUUGAGUAGUAAUCACUCCCCCCAACCGACAUAUUGCUAGUCCCUUAGCAAUAUAGGAGAGAAAAAUGAAAAUAAAUAGCUAAUUAUACUAAAAUUUACAACAUCAUGCUAAACAAAAUCAAUUCUCAAGUGGCAUGAUGAUCUAUUUCUCACAUGAAUCAUUAAAGAAAUACAAACCCAAAUCUCAACAAGAGUCAUAACACCUAUGCUAACCACUGUCAAUCAAGGGAGUGCAUUAUGCAAACUGAAGUUUUAAAAUCAUUUCACUUUCUGAGAACUAAACUUCGAUCUUCCACAAAAAUCUAUGUGUAUUGGUUCCUUAGGUUCCGAGAAUAAUAUGCUACUAAUCUCACCCCCCAACCUAUCUCUUUUCAACACUUUAGCAAACUGACCAAAAUCAAUAAGAAAAGAACACACUUUCAUCCUUUUUUUUUUUUUUUUUUUUUUUUUUUUUUUUUUUUUUUCAAGGUAGCUUUAUGGGGUACUCUUUCUGACUUGUCCAUGUAAUGGGGGUCCAUCGAUGACUCCCAACCAAUUAAGGUUUAGGGCACCAAGUUUUAAGGAUCUUUCAACCACUAACUCCUCGGAUUUUUCCCCGGACUUUUAAGAAUGAGUUUCUAAUACCCAAGCAUCUACCAUAUGCUAGCUCUACUAUUCACCCUUGUAACGAGCAUUGAGGUCGGUGUCUCCCAACCAAUUAAGGCUUAGGGCACCAGGCUUUAAAGGCUUUCACCAUAUGCCCCUCAGACCUUGCUCGGGUUUCAAGGCAAGCAAACAACUUUCUUUAUUUCAAAGGCUCAUUGGCCUUUUGCAGGGUGUUUCAAUUUUUAUCAAAUGAGGUCAAAUAUACCAAGUCUCAAAAUUAUUCUAAGUCAAGAGGGAAAUAGUUUUUCAUCUUAUAAUCGGAAACUAAUGUGCACAGUGUGUGGAUAGCUUAAAGUAGAAGAACUCAAUUCAAUUUCAGUAGAAGUUUCAACAAUUGAACCACUUUAGUAAGCAUAAUCCAUACUCUAAGUCAAGUGAAAAACAACAGUUCAAUUUCUCUUGGUUUAAUUUGAAAAUUUUUCCUCAAAAUUCAUGGAGAAUAGAGUAACACUAGUAAAAAGUAAAAACUACAACUAAUUAACCAAUAUAAUUGCAAUACCAAAAAGGUUUAGAAUACUUCCUUCCUCAUACCCCCCAACCGAACUGAACAUUGUCCUCAAUGUGAUUUGAGUGACUGUAAUAAAAGGGAGGAAGUGGUACCUCCAUGCUGAUAUCAAAUUCGAAUAUUGAUUGGGGAAAACCACAUGUUUCAAAAAGAAUAGAAUAUGUGAGAAAAGGAAAUAAUAAUAACUUAAUGUUAACUUUUAACAAGAAAUAGUCAACUUGUAUUACUUUGAGUUCAUUUGAUUACAAUACUAAAGACAAGUAACACAAGGAAUCCCAUAUAUAGUACCAAAAUAUUGGGAUUUCAUUGCAACUAAAACAAAAUAAACAUGCAUAAAAACAUAAACAGCAAAUAUAUAUAAUGUCUGAUAAGUGGGGUGAUAGUUGCUAGGCAGAAGGAUCUGCCUCCUCAGUAGGUGGAUCAGCUGGUGCUUCGGGUUCUGGAGGAUGAGACUCUGAAGGCUGAGAGUGUGGCUCUGGUGGAGUAGGAAUGAAGGGCUCUACAGCUUGUGGCAGAUCGAAAUGGACUUGAAGCUGCCUUAGGAUGGCAGCUUGUUGAGCCUGAGAGGCUAACAUCUGCUCCUGGCAUGCUUUGAUGGCUGCCAACUCCUGAGCAAGAUUGCUCUGGGAAGCUGUAAGAGUCUCCAAUGCAUGGCACAGCUCUCGAUAUUCAGAUAUAGGGAUGGCCAUCCUAGGCUCAGCUGAUGUGGAUGGUUGUGAUGGAGCAGGUGCAGCUGGUGGAGCUCGAGGGAUGGCAGGAGUAGCAAGUGUGAUAUCUUCAGGUGCAUGUCUUGGGGAGGCUCUCCUUGCUGCUGGCUGAGGCUGCCCAGGCUGAUCAAUUUUGUAGGCCGUCAUAUUAUUCCAUUUAUCAAGGGUAAAUGGCUCACGGCAUAUUCUCUUUCUUUCCUGCUGAGGCUCAGAGGGGUAUCCGAGAUGUUCCAAAACUUGGCAUAGCAGCCGUGGGAAGAGGAGUGGAAUGCAAUCUGCUCUUUGAAGCUUCUUCUUAUGAACCUUCUCCUCAAAGUAAAGAAGGGCUGCCAUGAUCAGAUGAUGAGGCCCAAAGAAGAAUCCUUCAGACAUCUUGUAUAGAGCUUCCAAGAGAACUCCCCUUCUUUGGGUCCAAUGCUGCAAGGGAUAGAUAUUAUGCCUCAAAAAGGCAUCAAUCAAAAACAUCACUGGAGGUAGCUCCCCCCUCAGCAGGUGUGAUCGAUUUGCAGCUCCUCCAGUUAGGGUGCUAACCAUCUCUAACUCAGUAGGAUUUACCCAAGCUUUAAAAUUGUCAAAUUGGGUUGGCUCAAACGGAAUUUGCAGGGCUUCAGCAAUAUGUCUUGCUCCCAAAAUACCAUGUCUUCCAUCAAUUAUGAAAUGGAUCAGAGUUGGAUUUCUUACCUCUUUGGUUGUCAUGGUCUGGUAGAAGUCUGUGACUACCCGGGGAUAGAAAAAAUCCCUUGGAGCUAGCAGAUGCUCCAUAUGAUAUCUCCUCAGCAGUUGGAAUGAUUGGGCAAGCUCUGGCCUCACUCUAAAUGCUGCUAAAUCGAAGCACAAUUCAGAAUGGAAUGCCCGAGUUCGGCAAUCCAGGUUUCCUUCGAUUGGGGGCUGGGGCAGCAUUGGCCUUCGGAUCACUUCUUCCAGAGGUGCUUCAGCUGCAAUUUGGGGCUCUGGAAUUGGCGCUUGAGGCUCCUGAGCUUUUUCUUGGGGGGCCGGAGAUGGUACCGGCGAUGGAAUUGGAGUUGCUUCUGGUGAGGGAAUUGGCGAGGGAACCGGUGACGGCACUGGAAUUUGUACCGGUGAAGGAUUUGGUGAUUUCUCAGGGGAUUGCUCAGUCAAAUCAAUUGGUUCAGAGCUCUCAACCCUGGCUUUCUUCUUCAAUGGCUGACCACCUGACCUGGUUAAAUAUCGCCUUGCCGGCGGCUUUGGUGGCGCCGGCUUCACUGGAGAAGGUUGUGGUCUCGACGGCGAAGGCUUUGGAGCAGGUUCUGGAACAGAGCCUGAACUUGGCUCCUUUCGCAGACUCCUUUUGCGGUUCGAAGGGGAUGAAGACUUUGCCCCUCGCGUUCGUGCCAUUUUGGAAUAUCGAUCUUUGGCCGGCGCUGCUAAACGGAGAAGACGACCGGAGGUUCGGACGGCGUGGCUUGGCGAAGAAGAUGAAGGGGCUGCGAGAAUGGUGCUCUGAUUUUUGAAACCCUUUUCGCAGCACUUUUGACCGGUAUAAAUAGGAAAAACGGAAGCCCAGGGGUCAGAUUACGUUUCGCAACAAAACGCCAAUUUCGCAGCAACUUGCCAUUUUCGCAGCAACUUCGCAGUGAGUUUCGCAGCUGCGAAAUUGAUGUCACUGUGCUGCGAAGUGGCACUCGUGUGCCAAAUCCACUUUCACAAUUGCGAAAUGCCCUGCGGAAUGGGACUUUUGGUGCGAAAUCACGCUUUUUCAUUUCGCAACGCGUUUCGCAGCUGCGAAAUGGAUGCUACUGUUCUGCGAAGUGGCACUCGUGUGCCAAAUCCACUUUCGCAAUUGCGAAAUACACUCGCAGAGGCUUCUACAGUGCUGCGGAGCGGUUUGGCAACAAAAAUCACAUUUCGCAGAAGUUUCCUUCACUCUGCGAAAUUUCGCAGAGCUCUGUUUUUCCCCUGUUUUUGCUCUGUUUCGGCUCCAAUUUCGACCCGAUUUUUUUUCUUUUCAAUCCCCUUGAAAUUUCUUCCACCUGGGAUCAUAUAACAUGAUUAAAACACACCUAAAAACAUGAUUUAAGAUCAAAAACUAAGAUCAAAAGUAUGAAAACAACUUGAAAAUUUACAAAAUUUACAAAAAUUUUGGACUGUGGUAAAACCACGCCCAGCAAACCCUUUUCACUUAAGCUUUUUGAGGUUCAAGGAGGUUGAUUGCCUCCUUUUCUGAUUUGAAUGACUCCAUGAACGGCUUAAGACGAUAUCCAUUGACUCUAAAGCUAUCCUUGCCAUUGGAAUUCAAUAAGUCCACCACUCCAUUGGAAUAUACUCGGUGAAUAACAAAUGGACCAAUCCACCUUGACUUGAGCUUCCCAGGAAAGAUAUGGAGUCUUGUGUCAUACAUCAAAACUUUUUGCCCUUCCUGAUUCAGUUUGCCUGGAUCCCAUUUGAAGCUUGCAUCCUUCACUUGAGACUUGGUUUGAGAUGAAGAUAUUACGACAGGACAUUGAUUAUUUUCUUCAAGAUAUGUAUAAUUCAGCUCCACAGGUAAAGGCUUCAGAUUGAGUUUUGGAAUUUCUUUUUCAACAGCUGCCUCCUCUUCCUUAUUGAACAAAGGUAAAAUUCCUUCUAUCUUUCUCCAACUUUGUAGAGUAGCAAGCCUAAUAGGAGAUUCAGAAAAACCUUCCUCAAUAUCCUCAAGACUUUCAUUCAACUUGUCUUGCAUAUGUUGAUUGCAGUGCUCCUCCACCAAAGUAUCAAUUAUACAUAGCUCUUCUGGACCUUCUUCUUCUUCCGGAGUGAUUUGCUUUUUAGACAUAUAGAAAAUAUUUAGAUCCAGUGUCAUAUUACCAAAAGUGAGUUGCAUCAGCCCAUUUCUACAAUUGAUGAUUGCAUUUGAAGUUGCAAGAAAUGGCCUUCCAAGGAUGAUAGGAACUAAAUUAGCUUCCUUUACAGUUGGAUCAGUAUCAAGAACAACAAAAUCUACAGGAUAGUAGAAAUUAUCUACUUGAACCAAUACAUCCUCAAUUACUCCUCUUGGAAUUUUCACUGAUCUAUCUGCCAAAGAUAAAGUGAUUGCUGUUGGCUUCAACUCUCCAAGGCCCAGUUGCUUGUAGACAGAGUAUGGAAGCAAAUUCACACUUGCUCCCAAGUCUAGCAAGGCUUUCUCCACUACCUUUCCUCCAAUCAUGACUGAAAUGGUAGGACUUCCAGGGUCUUUAUACUUCAAAGGAGACUUACACUGUAAGAUUGCACUUACUUGCUCAGUCAAGAAGGCUUUCUUGUUUACAGUCAACCCUCUUUUGAUAGUACACAAGUCCUUUAGGAAUUUUGCAUAUGUUGGAACUUGUUUGAUCAUAUCCAGUAGUGGAAUAUUAACUUUCACUUGCCUCAAUACUUCUAGGAUUUCAGCUGCAUUUCUAACCCCCUUUUUCCCCUGUAAUGCUUGAGGAAAAGGUGGAAAAGUUGAUUUAUUCAGCAUUUCUUCCUUCAGAAGCUCCUUCUCUGGAAUUACUUCCCUUGUUGCAUCAGAGUCCUUCUUCUCUUCACUGAUCUCACUGCCUUUAUCUUCCAUUUCCUUCCCUUUCUUCAUCUCUUCUUCUUUCUCAACAUGUGGCUUGGGUGUUGGAUGCUCAAUUUUUUUACCACUCCUUAGAGUGAUCAAAGCUUUCACAUCUUUCACCUGUGAUGAUUCUCCCUCAUGGCUUUCCACUUCAUGGACACCUUUGGGAUUUUGGUUAGGUUGAGAAGGAAAUCUUCCUUUUUCUUGCAGUGUAUUCAAAUUUGUAAGCCUGGAGAUUGAAUAUUGGAUGUUAUCAAACUUUUGAUUCAUGUCAUUUUGCAUUCCAUCCAUUCUUUUGUUCAACAUACUCUCCAUUCUGUCCAUUCUUUGAUCCACUCGAGCAUUGGUGGCUUCUUGCUUUCCCACAAAAUCUCCCACUACCUUGUUGAGAUUGGCUAUUAUUUGUUCAAUACUUGAAGAUUGCUGAGAUGGUGGAUCCGGCUGUUGGUAUUGAGUUGCUCUGGCCUUCCAUGAGAAAUUUGGAUGAUUCCUCCAACUAGAAUUGUAGGUAUUUCCAUAAGGAGCAUUGUUAUUGGGCCUGAAUUGUCCAACAACAUUUGCUUGAUCUCUAUACAUUUCCCUUUCAACUGAAAUUGCAGGGCACUCCUCCACCAAAUGUUCAAAUGAUUGACAAUUGGGACACAGCUUCACUUGCACUGGUGCUUCAGCAACAGCUUGCACUUCAUGCAUUCUUUUCAGCUCCAGCUCCUCCAAUCUUCUUGUCAUAGCUGCCAACUUUGCUUUCAUGUCAUCAUCUUCUUUCAAAUUAUACAUCCCAGCCUUUGCAUUGUAAGCAUUCAACUGAGACUUCAUCUUUCCCACUUCUCCUUUGGUUGGUUCAUCCCAUCCCCUUGAAACAUCAGCUACAUAGCUCAAGAAAUCCAUAGCUUCCUCUGGAUUUUUGCUCAUGAAAUCUCCUCCACACAUUGUCUCGAGGAGUUNNNNNNNNNNNNNNNNNNNNNNNNNNNNNNNNNNNNNNNNNNNNNNNNNNNNNNNNNNNNNNNNNNNNNNNNNNNNNNNNNNNNNNNNNNNNNNNNNNNNAACUUAUAGUCAAUUCUCUAACCGGUGAUGUACAGAGACUCCUUCAAUUAGAUUUCACUUUAAUUCUCUCACUGAUGCAACUUACAAUGGUUCAUGCCUCUCACGAGCACUUAUCAUUCAAGGUGAUCUUUAACCUUGGAUUCCCCUUCACAAACUCGCAAGAGAUAACUAAUGGAUGCCUCCUAAGAGUCCAAAAGCUUACCAAGUGUUGGUAAUUCCAGAAAAUCCUACCUUGAAGUCACCUACCAAAGGCUCGCAAGGGGUAAACUAGUGCAUUUCCACGGUUGGAAAUCACUUGCCUUACCAAGUGUUGGCCCAGGUGACUCCAAAGUGUUUUAAGUUAACUAAAAACAUUGAAAUCACUAAAGGAUUUCACUUCCUCUUCAUUACUAGCUAAAACCACAGAGCUUUGCAUUCUUGCACUUGGAACCUUCCCCGGCAACCUUAGCUCCAAGGAAUUGGAGGUUUAGUUACUCAUUCUCUGGGGAAAACUCCUCAGAGAAUUCAUAACUUAGAAAUAAAAUGAAAAUACAAAGUGAUAAGGUAAGGCAGUAGAAAGAAAAGACCUUUACUUCCUUACCAAAUGGUUACAGAAGGAACUCCUCUCUGAGGACAGGCUCCCGAGAGGUAUUUAUAGCAAACUAAUAUAAAACUAAUUCUUACAAAGAUAUUUGGUCUUUUUACUAACUUAAAAACUAAGGAAUCAUGUAAUUGGUGGUUUACAAGGAGUAUUUUGGAAUUUAGACAACAAAAAUCUAAUGGAAAAUAUCUCCCAAUGUCGGUAGCAAGCUUCGGGAGGCUUCCGGAGCCAUUUCGCAGGAGAAAAGUGAGGUCUGCGAAAUUUCGCAGACACCCAAGAGGGCUGCGAAAUUAUUUCGCAAGACCAAGCUGUCUUCAUAGGGCUACGAAGUUGGCUUCCAUCUUGAAGUUUCCAGCUCCCUUCUCGCGGCAUGGUUCGUGCAUCGUCAGAAGGAGAAACACCUUGCUGUACAAAAGUGCUGCGAAAUUCUCGCAACAAAAGGCCGAUUCCGCAACACUUUAGAGUGACUGGCUUGUAAUGGCUGCAACUUCUUCGUUUCAACUCCAAAUUGCACACCGUUUGAAGCAUUGGAUUGUUGACUUCCUGAGCUUUGAAAUGGUAUAUAGCUUGCAUCAUUUGGACUUCAGAAAGUGCUCCAAAAGUGGCUGCUACGACUGUCAUCAAGAAUAUGCUCCAUGACUGAUCCUCUUUGCUUUUUCUCCUUGCAAUCCGGAUUCACUCUUGGCAAUUGAAUUCUAAGCUUUGCCCAUGAUUCCUCAUAGUUCUCCUCAUUCUUGACUUGCUUUGGUGAUCAAAAUACUAACAAAAACACCAAAACUUGCACAAAGUGAUCAAAAUUGCUUUAAAGGAUCCUUAACAUGCCAAUUGAGUUAAAAGGCCUAAACUACUACUCAAAAGUGUUAAAAAGGAUUAAUUAAAGGCUAUCAAAUAGCACUUUUUGAGUAGUAAUCAAUGACUAGGCUAUCUAUACAUAUUUCAAUUUAUAUUUAUUAAGUACGAGUCACCUUGUGAGUAGAGCCCAAGUCACAUGUCUUACAUGAUGGGCCUAAAACACAUGAUGGGCCUAAGACACAUGUGGCCCAACAGCCCAAUGGGUAUGCUCUCCAACCUCCCAUCACAAGAGAGAAAACAGAAAAGUGGUUUCCUCCUCUAUUGCCUUAGAAGAACCAUAUUUCUUCAAAAUCAACAAUGGAUUCGCGUUUGUCUACAUUCUCUAAUCUAAUCGACAUGUUUUUUUUAUUAUUUAACAUGAGAUUUCUGGUUUUGGGUUGAUAAAGAAUUUGGUAAUCUUUAAAAAUGUUUUACAACACUUCUAUCUAUGGGGCAUGAUAUCUUUAUAGACUACGCAUCUGAUCAACUUUGUGGCAUGUCUCAUCCAACUUAUUUUAAUGCUUGUUUAUGUGACAUGAUACAAUGGAAUGGUAGUUAAAAACUCUUUUAUUUCUUUAAUACAAGAACACGUCUCUAGUCCAAAACAAAAGAAAACAAAUUGGAAACAUGUCUUUCCAGCCCUCAGGAAGGGAUUUAAACCGGAAAUAUUAACGAUACAUUUUCAAAGCAUACUUAAAGCAAACACUCCUCUCAUAUUACCAAUGCAACACGAUUCAAAAGCCCUUUUAUUCUACACGAAACUUCUUUCUGAUCCACAAGACAAAGCCAUGGACCUUCUGUGGGUCUUCGAUGGGAAGACCCCCACACAUGAUGUUCCCCUUUUACUCUAUACCAAGCUUCUUCCUCAUCUCCAUGACAAAGCCAUGGACCUUCUGUGGGUCUUUCAGAGAAGACGACACACUCUCCUUUUCCUUGCACCUCUUGGUCCAAGCGAUCAACUUGGGGCACUCCACCUCUAUGCUGAAGUUACCAAAGCUCUCAUACGCAUAAAACAAGGUUGAGAAAGUCACCAGAGCCACAUCCACAAACCCAAAUUUCUCACCACCAAAGUAAGGCUUCUCUCCAAGCUCUCCUUCCAAAAUCUUAAGGUACUCUAUGAAUUCAUUCUUGGCUGUUUCCUGCUCUUCUCCUUUGGUUGACCAUAUCCUCCUUCCAAGUUCAUAGAGCUGUGGAAAGUAAUGGAGUCAAAGAGAGAAAAGGCUUGUUUUUUUUGGAGCAUUUCAUCAAGUUUCAAACUUUCUGUAUAGUUGGACAAGUUUAUUAACGACCCUUCAGCAUAGAAAUCUCGUAUCCUAGGAAAAAUAUCAGAAUCAGCUGAAAGAAUGUAUCAUUUGCUAAAGUUUUUCCCCUCAAUUUGGGUUAAAGAAAUGAGAAGAAAGAGAUCAAAAAGACAGAACACAUAUUAAAACAACUGUUGUGCAAAAUGUUGAACAGAAGGAUAACAAAAAACCAAAAUCUGUUCUUUAAAAUCUGGUUUAUGUAUCCCCUUUCUUGGGGGAAAACGUAUUCUUGAGAUCUGCUUUUUUGGAUGGAACGAACAGACUUCGGAUUCAACAGAACAAAGAAAUAAAAACCCAUAUCAGAAAUGCAGAGUGGAGUCUUGUUGAAGAAACAGCAAAGAGAAUCAGUAAAGUUCUAGUUUGGGACACCAAAGCCAACAAAACUAAAUAUCAGAAGAGAAUAUGUGAAGAACCAGAAUUUUGGAUAAAUCCCUCACCAUAAUCAAAAUGUGAGUCAAUCGCCAUGAAUCAAUGGAAAAGAAUGCUUUAAAUCAACAGAAAAGGCAUACCUUCUUGUCUAUGUAGUCCGCCCAGAACCUGGCCUGAGCUCUCUGGUAUGGGUCACUAGGCAACAAGGGAGAUUUUUCGUUCCAAACCUCAUCAAUAUACUGAACUAUUAUCAUAGACUCACAAAUGGGCUUUCCAUUGUGGAUCAGAACUGGGAUUUUCUUAUGAAUCGGGUUCAUCUCAAGAAGCAGAGGACUCUUGUUGCUCGUGUCCUCCUCUCUAUAUUCAUACUUGAGACCCUUCUCUGCCAGGGCAACUCUGACCCUCAUACCAAACGAGCUAGGCCAGAAAUCCAACAAGAUAAUCUCGUCUGCCAUUGCUACUACUGUGAUUGAUAAGAUUCAAACUCAAGCAUUGAUGAACUCAAGGGAAAUUGUUAAGUAUUUAUAGCAAACUUCAGAGACGUGGGUUAGAUACUUCUAGGAGGUGAUGAUGCUCAUUCCCUAGCUUUCAUUUUCAUUUUCCUUAAUUAUAUUCUUAUCUCCGAUUCGUAGCUCUCCAGGAUUCCCAUAUUUUGAGUUUAUUUAUUUAUAAGCCAAGUGUUUUUAAUUAAAUAUAAUGCUUUCGAAAUUCUUUGAAAAUUAGAAAAAAUAGUCAUAUUUGAUCAUUUUAAUUUUACUACUUACUUUUAAAUCCAAAAUAGAAAGAAAUUUAGUGUUAUUUUGAAAAUUUAGUGUCAUUGUUACAUUUUUUAUUGCCAUUUUAUGAUUCAAAUUAUCCAUUUCUUUGAUGUUGCUUCUCCCUAUCCAUUUUCGACAUUGGGAUUAAAACUAUUCACUAAAAAAUUGAUUGAUAUAAAAUUACAUUAAAUUUAAAUUAAAUUCAGAUUGACGGAUUAUUUGUCACUAUGCAUGUCAUGUUGCUUGCAAAAACUAUCCAUUCGAUCUCCUUUGCGGUGGUGAUCGCGACAACAAAAACAUGGAAGGAAAGGAAAAACCUUAAUGUUGUUAGCAAGAAAUGAAAGAAUUGGGAGGUUGUGAAGUCUACUUAUGAUCUUAUGAUCUUGUCAAAUAUGAUCAUCAUACAAUACUUGGUAACAUUUAAUUAAAAUAUAUAGUAUUUUUGAGUGACAUUCCCUGCUUAUUACCAACAUAUGGUAGUCACUAAAACCAAUGUCUUUAGUAUAUUUCUUAAUUUAAAACAAUAAAAAGUUAUAAAAAAAUAAUAAAAUGAAAAAUAAAUUUAAAUUCAAUUAACAUUUCUUACAUGUUUCAACAAGACUAUCUCUUUUCUUUUCUUUUUUUUCUAUUCUACAUAAAGAUUGAAAUUUUUUUAUUAUAUUUGAUUUUAUUUUAUACCUUUGAACUAAAGAGAAUUUAGAUUUCUUUCCAUCUCUAUUUUUUUUCUUCAUUUAGUACUUUUUGUAAUCCAAUGGGCUAAAUAUAUUUGUUGCUAGAAAAUUUUACAUUCUCCGUAUUAAAAUUAUGAUCAUCACUACUAGCACUCAAGUAAAAUCUCUCACAAGAAAUAUGUGUAUUAUAAGAAACUAUCGGUUGUAGGAAUUACUCACUAAUUGGUUAAUAAGUAUGGCAAUCUUAUCUUAACACUCAUGGUAGGAUUUUACAUUCCAGUAUGGAAAAAAAACAAGUGACAAGAAAGGAUCACGUACGGAAGAUGCCCAAGCAAGUUCUUGUUGUUUGGUCUAUAUUUUUGGAAUUUUCUUUUUUCUUCUUUCAUGAUUGUGGGCUGUAGUAUAAAAACAUUACUUCUCAACCCCUUUUUCUUCUUUCAUGAUUGUAGCAUAGUUAGAAUCUUAAGAAUCCUUGCUUUGUUGCCUUCUCAUUUGUGAAAAUUUUCAAUAGUAUUAAAAACGAAAGUCAAUGGGUAUUAACGGUGUUACGAUAUUCUUUCCUUUUUUUAAUGGGUAUUGAUUUUGUCCUAAAUCAAACUUCCAAUUCAGACCAUUCAAAUGCAUAAUGAAAUCUAGGUCAUUGGGUCGGGCCGCCCAUUCCGUGGCUCGACACGCCACAAGGUCAGGCGGGGCCAUUACAGGCCAACACUGUAGCAAGCUGGGCUAGCAUGACCCAAAGGAGCAGGCCAUGCUAGGCCUAAAGAAAUAGCCCAUCGGCCCAUCGUGUUGGCCCACUUGGCCCUUUUAAAUUUCACUUUUUACUUUUAACUUUUUAUUACAUGUCAAAUGUCUAUAAUACCCAUCUCAACAACUAUAUUACGACUAGUUUGAGGGGUAAAAAAAGUAAAUCAAUAACUAUUUUUACUUUUUUUAUGUCAAACUUUAGAGGAUGAACUUAAAGAAGCCUUCAAGAAAUUGCAUCUCAAUGCAAACAAUGAUGUUCAAGAGAUUUAUGAUGAUUGAAGAUGAAAAAAUAAGAAUGAAGAUUGAAUAAGAAGACAAAAGUGAAUAUGAUAAUUGAAAAAUUAUAUGUUGUUCGUUUCUUUUAAAUCUAUUAAAUGUAGUUAAUUUUUAAAGGUUAAGUAAUGCAUAUGAUUGAUAGUUGGGUGGGUGUCAACCUGGAUGGGAUGUACUCAAACUAUAAUGACGCAAUUCUCACUUUUGUUUUUUUUUUCUCCUUAUUUUUUCAUGUAAUUUGUUGAAAUAUAGAAUAAAAGAAUUAUUUUUUUAUAUUUCAUUUCCUUUUAUAUUCCAUUAUUUUAAAUUUAUUGUUAUUUUGAUUUUAAAAAAAAUAAACAAAUUCAAAUAUAAUUUUUUUACUAUUUUUAAAAACAAAAAACUAACAUUUCUAUAAAUUUUACAAUUACAAACUCAAUAAAUAUAAAUGUAAAAAAUAAAAAGUAUAAUUAUUAGAAGUGUAUAAAAAAUAAUAUAUAUAAUUAUUAGAGGUGUUUCAAGUAACAAAAAGAAAUUUUAUUUAAUAUUAAGGAAAAAACUUAAGAAAAAAUGACUUAAAAAAUUAAAUUAAAAUUUUUAACAAAGUGAGUGGCCCAUGGGCCAUGGCCCACCGGCACAGCACGGCCUGACCCAGCACGACACGAUUAGCCCACGGACUUAUGGGUCAUGCCAAGCCACCUAUUUGGCUUGCAUGGGUCGGCCCAACCCAACACAUUGGCCCGUAAUGGCCCGAUCAAUAUUAGGCCAUGUCGGCCCAACACGACCCAUUGGGCAUCUCUAUAUACAAGAUUGAAAACCCUUCUUAUCAUGAGAUUUUUCAAAUCCGUUAUUUAUCUUUCAAAGUAAGACUUGUUUGCUAAAAAAAUUGCUCUCUUAGUCUUUAUUUUUGAACUAUCCAUAUCCAAAUAGGGGUUUCCUCCUUAUCUAAGGAGGAGAGAGCCUGAAGGACCAUCCUAGGUAUGGUGUAGUAGCUUGGAGAAGCAUCUAUACCAAAAUCAAAAUGAUAGUUCCAAAUGAAUAAGAUUCUCAUUAGCAACAACCAAUUCAAAUAUAUAAUCUUGGAAAAAUCUUUUCAUGAAAAUUUACUAAGAAUACCAAAACAUUUUUCUUUAGGUUUGAAUACUUAUUUUGGUAACCUUCUUAAUUAUAAAUUAUCUAUUAUGAAUUUUCAAAAUUAACUUAUUUUCUUUAAAUCCAAACCUUGUGCAAAAUAAGAAAAAUAUUAUUUUAUAAAGAUUUGGAAAAACAAGAGUUUUUUUAUUAAAAGAAAGAUUUUAUUCUUAGAGAUCUCGAAGAUCUAAGAAAAUUUUAAAUAAAAUUAAAAUCAUUAAGAAUUAAUUUUUAAAAGGAAUGGAAACUCUUAAUUCUUUUCUAACUUAUCUUUUCUUAAAAUAAAUUUCCUAACAAUACACAUUCCAAUUUAAAUAAGUUUUCCUAUUUUGAAAAACUCCAUCAAAAUUUAUAUCUAAUUAAGAAUACCAAAUUAUCCUAUUUUAGGUCACAUAUGCAAGUAAUAAAGAUAACAUAAAAUAAAAACAAGGAAAUAAUUAAAUAAAUAUUUCUCAUGAACUUUAGGGAUCCUAUUGCAUAUUUGGUAAUUAAAAAUUGGAUAAAAUUCAAAUUAUCAAAAUAUUCUUGCAACCAAAGAUUAGUUAGUAAAAAUUGAAAAAACUCUAAAAAGUUGAAUUUCCACAAAAAAAAAAAAAAAAAAAAAAACCUAAAAAAGAAGCCCAAAAUCAAGCCCAAAUAACCGAAAACAAUUUGGCCUGAACUCAAUUCAGAAAUAGCAUGCUCUUUGCACAACCUUACUACAAUUGACUAUAUAUUCCUCAUUUCAACUCCGAAUAGAAAAUUGUUUGAAGCAUUGGAUUCCUGACUUCCUAAGCUUCAAAAUCAUAUAUGAUUUGUUCCAAUUUUGAGUCAAAUUAGGAUCUAAAUCAAGAACUUCCAAGAAUCUUUCUUUUUUCUUAAGUCACCAUAGGAUCUCAAAAAUGAAAAUUUAAGAAUUUUUCCUUUCCUUUUGGGUCACCAUAGAUGGAUGAAAAAAAACAAAUUUUUUUACAACCAAAAAAAUAAAAAUAAAAAUCUUAUACCCCUCAUGGGGUGUACAACCCAACCUAGAGAAUAAAAUAGCAAAGAUCAUAUCCAUUCAUAUUCAUUCAUUCAAUUGAAUUAAUAAAAGCAUUUCAUUGAUUCAUCCUUAGGGUCUAUGAGAUGAAUAAAAAAACAACCCUGCAAAAUAGAUGUGAGCGCAACUUAGAAUAAAUCUAGCAUGCAAGUGUAGACCUUCCAUUUGUUCCAUUAGCACAUGCCCUAUUAAGUGCUCUUUUCAUACUUUGCAAUAGUCUCCUUUGGUGGCCCAUUUUCUACUCACACAACUUACCUUUUUUAGCCAUCUCAAAGACUCUAGUUGAGAGAUUUAUCUAGCCCCUCAUUGUGAGUGACCCUUGGCAACCCCAAGUUAGAUCUAGGAUUUUCUUUUUCUCUUUUUAUAAUAGCUCCUUUUUAAGUGCUCCUUUAGGACAACAUACUUAGACAUAUUCAAGUACACUUCUUAGGUCACUUAAACACACCCUAGGUCACCUAAGCACCUUCUACCUUAUAUAGACUCACUCUAGGUCACUUAGGCACUUUAUAAACUCACAUUAGGUCAAUUAGGCACUUUUAUGAUCACCUUAGGCCACUUAGGCACUUUUCUUAUCACUUUGGGUCACUUAGCACUUUUUUUUAUCACCUUAGGUCACUUAGGCAUUUUUUUUUAUUAUCUUAGGUCACUCAAGCGCAUUUUUGAUCACCCUAAUCCACUUAAACACAUCCUAGGUUACUUAAGCACUUUUCUUAUCAUCCUAGGUCACUUAAGCCCAUCUAGACACAUCUAGCCCAUUAAGACACACUCUGACUUAUUUAGACAUGCCUUAGUUAAUCUAGGCACAUCUAACCUAUUUAGACAUACCUUGAUCCAUAUAAGCCUAUUUGGUUCAUCUAGGCACACUUAGCCCAUCUAGGCACACCUGACCCACUUAGGUACAUACAUACUCGUCUAAGCACACACCGGUCCAUCUAGGCACACACCAGCCCAUCUAGGCACACCUUGACCCAUCUAGACACACCCUGGCCCACCUAGGGUUACUUGAGCCCACCUAGGUCACCUUUUAGGUAAUUUUUGCUUGCAAGACAUCUUUUUCUAUUUAGUAAUUUAUUUUAUUUAUUAUUUUGUGUAUUUUCUUUCUUUGUUUUUUAGUUUUUUUUUUUUUUUUAUAUUAACAUUGUAACACCUUUUUAUUCAUUUAUUAAAUCUAAUAUUUUUUGUGCUUUUGUAGGGAAAAGUUUGGAUAGGAAAGGAUCCUCUUUUGGAGAGAGAGAACUAGCCAUCUUUGAAGAUCACAAACAACCUCCUGAUAAGAUGAAAAGUUUUAGCUAUAUAUAGGGACUAGUUUUGAAAACUUGAAGAUAUACAAAUAAUGAAAGAGGUGCAUCACAUUAAGAGUCUAGAGAAGAAAGGUUUUUUUACAUAAGAAUGUAAAAAGAUAUGGAGGUAAGAGGGAUUUGGAAUAUAGUUGGUUGCUACCUUGGUUUUGGAAAGAGAUACUCAGCCAUAAUGGGCUCUUAGAAAGUCCUUGAAAGGUUAGAAUUCCGCAUAGGGAUUUUGAGGUUUUUUUUAUUUUUUAUUUUUAGGGGAUUAUGCUGGUUUUCUAGAGGGAAUAUCCAACAAUGUAAAAAAGAGGAAUCAUGUAGCGGUUUUUUUGGGAAGGAAGAUUUUAACAUGCAAAAGGGAGGUUCAGUUGCGGUCUUUGAAAUAAAAUCAUUCAGAGCGUGUGACGAACGAAAAAAGGAGAUUCGGUCCGUGGUGAGGAUGAGAGAUACAGUCCGCGUUUUGAAGACGUUUCGGGAGGGUUUUGAAAGAAUAUGGAGAUAGAGAGAUAUUCAACUCAUUUUGGGAGCACAUUCAGGCCGUGUUCUGGGGAUAUUCAGAGCGUGUUUUGGAGUCACAUUCAAGCCGUGUCUGAGAGUAAGAGGGAGCGUGUUUUCGAGGGUCACAUUCAGUCUGUGUUUUGGGAUCAUUGAGAACACGUUUUGGUUCCCAUUAGUAUGCAUCUAGUACAAAUUGAACCUACCAAUUCGCCAAUUAUGAGUUGGGCGCUUUAACCAUUCAGCCAUGGAUGCUUAGUGGGGAUCCUCGUACAUGGUGAAUAACCAAAUUCUAAUUGAAAUGAAAUCUUUAGGAUAAAUCAAUGUAAUUUAGGAGGAAUAAUGAAAGGACAUCAAUUCAAAUCUUGGAUUUUCAAAUUGAGAGAUAUUGAGAGAGAUCAAUAAUUCUCACUAUUUCUUAGAUUCAUGGACCCAAUUCACUUCAGUGGGAUAUUUCAUUCAUAUUUUUUUCCACCAAGAGAGCACAUUCAGGCUGUGGUCUGAGGGGAAGAUAAGAGAAGGUAAGAAAGGUAUCAUUUGGACAUUGUUUCAUUUUGAAAAUUUGUUUUGACUUUGUUAGUUUUUUGCGGAAUUUUGGAAUUAGGAUUAGAGAUAAGGGUGAUUUCUUUGAAAGUUUGAAUGAUUUUAAUAUCUGGACCUUUUGCUUUUAUUCAUGUUAUUUCAUUAAAAGCUUCAUCUUGAAAAUUUUGGUUAUGCUUUAAAUUUUUUUGGUUCUGAUUCAUGUUAUUAGAAUGUUAUUUCAUUAAAAGUUUCAUCUUGAAAAUUUUGGUCAUGCUUUAAAAUUUUCUGUUUAUGAUUUAUGUUAUUAGAAUGUUAUUUUAUUAAAAAGUCCCAUCUUGAAAAGUUGGUUAUAUAAAAAUUUGGUUAGGUUUUAAAUUUUUCGGAACAUAUUUCAUGAUAUUAGAAUGCUAUUUCAUUGAAAGUCUCAUCUUGAACAUUUUGAUUAGGUUUUAAUUUUUCUAGUUACUAUUCAUCUUAUCAAAAUGCUAUUUUCUUAAAAGUCUUAUCUUGAAAAUUUUGGUUUGGUUUUAAAUUUUCUAGCUAUCAUUCAUGGUGUUAGAAUGCUAUUUUAUUAAAAAUCUUACCUUGCAAAGUUUGAUAAUUUUAACGUUUAUAGGUUAUUCCCAUACUAUCAAAAUUUUCAUGUUUCAAUGAUUAGUUCUUAGGGUUUUUUUAUAUUCUCUAUUUAUUAUGCAUGUUAGUUGAUUGGGUUAUUGGAUUAAAUUGGCAAUGGUAGUUUUUAGGGGUUUUAGAUUCUCUUGUUACUAUGCAUGUUAUUUGAUGGGUUUAUUAGAUUAAAAGUUCUUAUCUUUGGAAACGGUAGUUCUUAGGUUUUUAGAUUUUUCUUGUUAUUAUGCAUGAUUAUUUGAUUGGGUUGUUGAAUUAAAAGUUGUCAUAUUUAGAAAUGGUAGUUCUCAAGUUUCUAGAUUUUGAUGUUAUUAUGCAUAUAAUUUGAUUGGGUCGUUGAGUUAAAAGUUCUCAUCUUUGGAAGAACCAAAUGAAUCAACCCAAGCUCUAAAGAAAAAUCUAAUAAAAAAUUCUUUUGAACUUUAAAAUGGGUUGGAGUUUCCUAGGAAACAAACACACCCACUCUUUGAAUGGAAGAGGAACUCAAUGGAGUUUGUCUGACUGUUGUAGGGGAGGUGUUCCCCUAACCCUAAAAAUCAAUUUUUGGUUCAAAUAGGUAAGAAAACCCUUAGGAAAUGUAAAUUUACAACCACAUGAAGUAUCAUUCUUAAUGCUACUUCAAUUUUGAGUCAAAUAAAUUUGAGUAAAAAUAAGACCAAAAUACCUACCAUGUCCUUGACUAAUUCAAAGGUCAACCUAUUCCAUAUAUUAAUGAACAACAAAUAAAGAAUGCUUGCGAUUUCUCAAAUAAUUCAAAGGCAAGACUUGACUCAAAGGAGUCAAAUGACACAUUAUUUUCUCAUAUGCAUCAUGACAAUAUUUGACACACAGAGUCAAUUGGCAUGUCUAUAUCAAUUUUUUUUUUAGUGCAAAAUGGAAUGGUGGUUAAGAACUUUUUUACCUCUUUAAUACAACUAAUACAAACAAAGCAUAUAUCAAAGUCUCACAAGAAAAAGCAAGGUAAAGCUCAUAAGCUUAUUGUGUGAACAAGUUGACAAAACAUGAAGGCCAAAAGUUUUGGCAUUACGAGGUCCAUUGGGAGGGCCCUACAAAUGCACAUUACAUUUGACCCAAAUUCUUCAAAUUUGCUUUUGAAAAGUUUAUCCAGUUAAAAUGACUACUAGCAUUGAAUAUAAAUUAAAUCAUUUAAGAUUAUCUUUUGCCAAACAUAUUAAUUAUAAAAUAAAAAAUCGUUAUAAAAGUGAUUUAAAAACCAUGCCCUAUCACAUUCUAUUCAUGGAGAAUGAUGUAAUCAUGCAACAACUAAAAAAUCCAAAAAAAAAUUUAAAGUUUUAAAUUUAAAAUUUUAAAGUACAUAGAAAAAUUAAUUCUAGAAACAUGUAUUUCAAUAGUGAAAUUAUCAAAAUUUUAAAAUUACACUGUAACCCUCGAUCUCAUUUCGCAAUUAAUUACUGCAAAAAAAUUUUAUUUUUUUCUUUUUACUUUAAUGUGACAAGUUAAAGAGCAAGUCAUUGUUGUCUUUUAAAAAACGAAAAGAAAAAAAAAUUGACUCAUGGUAACCAACCAUGUCAUAUGAUUUUUCUUUUUUCUUUUUCCUCUCCUUCGUAAUAUCUUUACCUUUCUGUUUCUUAAUUUCUAAUGUGUUGACUUCAUGAAAUCUUUUUAAUUUCAUUUUUCAUUAUUUCAUCUUCUACAUUUAUCGAUUUCAAUUAUUUAUGGAUAUUCUAGACACAAAAUAAAAAUAUAUAAUAAAUAAUUAAUGAAAACAAAUUUAAUAUACAAAUAAAUUCAUAAUGAACAAAUUUAGAAGCUUAGGACAUAAGAUUUUCUAUAUUCCUCCUAAAUAAAAUAUCUAUUUAUUUUAUAAUCUUAUUGCAUUGUCAUAUUAUUUUAUUGUUUAUAUUUUUAAAAAAAUUGUUAAAUUUUUAUGUGAAAGCACCUUUGAGUAGUAAUCAUAUUCAUUUAACCCAAUUAAUUCAUUAAGGUCCUUGGUAAUUGGUUUUAACCAUUUUGUGGCAAGUUUACAUGUUUUUAUCAGCUUAUGAAUCAAUUCAAGCAUGCCAAAUGAUGGAGGAGCUACUUGGACAAGUUAUGGCAAAGCCUUUGGAAGCUCAAAUUCAUGAAGAACCAAGCUUUGGAGCUCCAUAGCCCUUUGCCAAAGUCGUUCAAAGUAUGCAAGGAAAGAACAAUGGAAAAGAGGAAAAGCAAGCAAAGUGAAGAGAAGUAAAGAGGACAGCAGCUGCAAUCUUCUUUCGCACUUUUGGAGUACUUCCCGAAGUCCAUUUUUUACAUAAUAUAUACCAUUUCAAAGCUCUGGAAGUCAAGAAUCCAACGCUUCAAACCGUGUACGAUUUGGAGCUGAAAUGAGGAAGAUAUGGCCUUCGAAAGCCAACUGCUCCAGGUUAUGCGAAAAUUUCGCAUAACACCUUCAAAAUUCGCAUAACCCAUGCGUGUUACGUUUUACACUGAGAAUAUAUACAGAGCUCUCUCGUUUCUCUUUUCUCUUUGCUAUUUUAUUUUCUUGGAAGCCAAACAGCCUCUGAGGGCUUUUCCUCAGAGGAUGAUUGGCUAAAACUUUUAGUUUCUCAAAGUAUGGAUGUUAUGUGAUGACUUGGAUGCAAUCACAUGGAAAUUUCUCGCACCCGGAAGGUAAGGUAGUCGUUUUUCAUUAAAGGUUAAUUAAUGCAAAGUUUGGUUUUUAUUUCCUUUGGACAACUUCCAACGGCCAAUACUUGAUAAGCUUUUGGAUUUCUAUCCAUUAGUUAUCUCCUACGAGCUAUUGGAAGGUGAGGUUUUCAAUUCCAAGUUUUGCAUUAAUCCGUUAGAACCAAUUUCAAUGGCCAUUGAAAGGUGAGUUUAUCACUUGGAAUGACUUUGAGUUGCCAAUAUUUGGUAAGCUUUUGGCUUUAGACCAUUAGUUAUCUCUUACGAGCCAUUCAAAGGAAGUCUAAGGUGAAUAACAAUUGAUGAAAUUCACUACCAUCUGUUUUGCCAUUUUAAAGGAUUAAAACUUGAUUUGCUAAAUCCAUACCGGUUCGGGAAGCAAGCAUCACCAUAGUUGCAACCCCAACUCGAGGAGCCUAUCCUAAGAUUUCCAAUUUGCAUAAGAGCCAGAGCAUAGCUCUCCUAUCUUUGAGAAACUUGUUUUUACACCCUUUCAUUUUAGUCUUUAAUGUUAGCUUAGAUUAGUUUAAAUCUUUCUAAAACAUUUACAUCUUCUUUUAAAGCUAACAUCCAUAAGAAAAUCACCUAUUUUCCUAAUUUGAAUAUCACUAGUGUUUGCGAAAACCCUUCCCAGUGAACGAUCCUAGAACCACUAUGCUAUAGUAGCUUGGCUACUUUAGUAAUAGUAUUCAAGGUAUAAAUUUUGUUGAUACGCCUUUAAAGCUAAGCUACCAUGAGUCGCAUCACAAAGCCCACAAAACUCAAUAUCAGAAGGGAACGUGUGAAGAAACCCAGCAUUUUGGACAACUCCCUCGCCAUAAUCAAAAUCUGAGUCAAUCGCCAUGAAUAAAUGGAAAAGAAUGCUUUCAAUCAACAGCAAAGGCAUACCUUCUUGUCUAUGUAGUCCGCCCAGAACCUGGCCUGAGCUCUCUGGUAUGGGUCACUAGGCAAAAGCGGAGAUUUAUCGCACCAAACCUCAUCAAUAUACUGAACUAUUAUCAGAGACUCACAAAUGGGCUUUCCAUUGUGGAUCAGAACUGGGAUUUUCUUAUGAACUGGGUUCAUCUCAAGAAGCAAAGGGCUCUUCUUCCACAGGUCCUCCUCUCUAUAUUCAUACUUGAGACCCUUCUCUGCCAGGGCAAGUCUGACCCUCAUACCAAACAUGCUAGGCCAGAAAUCCAACAAGAUAAUCUCGUCUGCCAUUGCUACUAAUGUGAUUGAUAAGAUUCAAACUCUUUAAGUAUUGAUGAACAGCACGGGAAAUUGCUGAGUAUUUAUAGCAAAUUUCAGAGAGUGGGUUAAACCCUUGGAUACUUCUAGGAGGUGGUGAUGCUCAUUCCUUAUCUCAGCUUUCAUUUUCAUUUUCCAUUCUAUCUCGGUUUCGUAUCUCUCCAGAAUUUGUGAAUUAUGGAAACGUUUGUUAUGGCAUGGUAAAAUAUAGAAGCGUCCCGAUAGUUGGUUGCUUCCACGUCAUCUCAUUGCUUUGAUCAUUCCACAUCAUCGCUUUCGCCAGCCCUGUCAAUUAAGUACACUGGUCCUCUGCAUAAUUUCCACCACAAAAAUGAUGUUGCAAGGAAAAGAAAUGAUAUUGUAGGGAAAAGAAAAUAGAACUUGUAUAUUUUUAGAUCGACAAGUCACUAUUGGUCCCUUCCUUAGUUCUUAGAUUCCUGAAAUUAAAUAAAUAUUUAAACUUUAUGUGUAUUAUAAAUAUUUAAAAUUUCAGUGGUGAUUGUAUUUUUAUCUAAGAUCUAUUUUUUUUUAAUUUGAAUAAAUUAAGUAUUGUUAAAUAUUUAAAUUUUUUAUAUUUUAAUUAUUAGUAAAUGUUAAUAAAUAUUAAAUAACUGAUCUUUUACAUUACAAAAAUAUUUAUAAAAUAUAAUAUUUUAUUUCUUGUUAAAUUAGUUUGCAAUCCAACACAUUUUUGAAUAUUUAAAUAUCAUAAUUCAUUAACAUAUUAAAAUUUUAUAAUAAAUAAUUAUGUAAUUGAUAAGAAAUUGGUAGUUUGAUAAUAAGUAUAAUUAUGGGGUAUUUGGUAAAACUCAAUAAUUAUUACUUAAUGACUUAAGUUGAUUUUAAGUAAAAUUAUAUUUAAGUUAUUGACUUAAAACUUAUUACUUAAUUUUUAAUUUAAAUAUUAAGGUUGUUUAAUAAAAUUAAUUUAAAAUUUAUUCUAAAUCAUCAAAUUGAUAUACUUACCCCCAUAAAUUAUAAUGAGGAUAAAUGAGAUCGAGUAACAAUGGAAGUUGUAUAAUAACAAAAAAAAUCGUGGAACUAAGAUAAAUGAGGGUAAAAAGAUAAAAUGAAAACAUGGAUUUAAGAAUAAAUUAAUUAUUUUUACUUAUUAGUUAAAGUUGUUUUUUACUUUAAGUCAUACCAUUAAAUUAUUUUACCAAUUAUAUUUAAUUUAUUUAAUAACUUGAAUUAAGUUAUUAAGUUGAUUUACCAAUACCCACUUAGACUUGUUAGAAACUAUUAGAACUUUUCUAAGUUAGUAUAUGUUUAGAUUUGAAGAUUUGUGAUUGAAAUAUGUAUUCUUUUUAAAAUUAAUUCAUUGAUUUUUGGAAUUUUAUCUCCAAAGGAGUAUCAACUUUUAAUUUAUAUUUUUUAAAAUUAUUAAUUCUAAUAAAUAUUUAGAUGAAUGUGAAUUAUGCUUUAGAAUUUUGAUUAAAAAAAAUCUUAUUAGAAUUGCUAACUAUUUUUAUUUUUUAUAAAGCUGAAUUUUUAUUAAAUAUUUUUCGAAUUUAAAUUUUAUGAUUUUUAGUAUAAUUUAUUUUUAUUUUUGAAUGAGUAAUCAAUAAUAAUUUGUGGAAUUCAAUUUUAUUGAGAAUGGGAUAAAUUAUGGGGUAAAAAUAAUGGAAACAUGUGGGGAUUUGAAAUUUUGUAAAUUUAUCUUUUAGCUAUCAAUUUAUGAGAAAAUUUUAAAUCUGAUUUUUCUUUAAAAAAAUGAAAAAUGAAAAUGAAAAAAAAAAACAAACAAAAAAUCAAAUAUAUUUGAUGCUUUUUGUAAAUGACAACUUUGUUAAUUUAUAAUAAAUUUAUUUCUCACUCAAAUUAUAUAAAAUUAACAUAGUUUAACUAUUUUUUAAAACAAGUUAUCUAUUCUUUUUUAAAGGAAUUUAGUUUAAAUUUUUGUGAAAAUUUGUAUUUAAGCAAGUACUCUUAAUUAAUGAUUAAAAGCUUUUUUAUUUUUUACUUUUUCCCCAUAAAUAAUUAAAUAUUAUAAUUAAUCCUAGUUUUUUCAAACUCUUAUAAAUAGGAGACUUGGGUCAAUGAAAUGGAUACCUCAAAGUUAUUUUAGAACUCUAUCUCUUCUCUAAUUCUAGUCUCUCCAAAAGAAAACUCUUAUUAUAAGUUUUUGUAUAAGAUUCAAACACUAAAAGGACAAACUUAUUCUCAUAAAAUAUCUUUUUUAUCAUCUAAAAGGUAUGUGAUAAACUUCUACUUUUAUAUUAUUUUCUAUUUAAUUUAUCCUUUCGAUGAAGAAACUAGAAAAUAUUUUUUUUUAUAGACAAAAAUUAUGAAAAAAAAAUUGCAACUAGAAGUUAUAAAAAAAAAAUGUAAAAUAUGUACAAUUGUAUAGCCAAAGGUUAUAUGAGAAAUUAUAAAGUUAUAAAAAUAUAAAGAAUGACUUACAUGUAAUUUCUAAUUUCUUUUAAUCAUAAUGAUAUAACCAAAUGUUACACAAAACAAAAUUGUAUUGUCAAAAGUUAAAUAAUGAAUAUUUCAUAGCCUAAAGAUGUAUACAAAUUUGCACAUUUUUGUUAUGAUAAAAAUAAUCCAUAGCCAAAAACUAUGUAAGCAAUCAAUUCGUACUUUUUAUUUUGUUAAUGCUACAUGAUGUUCAUGCAUUUUUUUUUUACCAUAUUUAUAAUAAUCCUUUAGCAAUAAAAUAUAACAAAAUCUUAAAUCAUUAUGCUUUUAUUAAUGAAUAUUAACCUGAUAAAAUAUUGUUAGAUAAUUUUAUUCAUUUAUUUUGGUAAAUUGAAAUAUUAUUCUAAUUAAAUUAUUUCAAAUAUAGUUUUCAAAUAAUGUCAAAUCUUACCAAGUUUGAGUUUGUUACAUUCCCUAUUUCGGGCAAAACUAUUUAUCUAGAUUCUAAAUGCUAAAAUUCACCUAAACGAUAUGAAUCUUGAAUAGACCAUUAAAGAAUAAAAUGAGGCAUCCUCACAAGAUCGCACUAGAGCAUUAAUAUUCCUUCAUUAUCACAUUGAUGAAGGAAUAAAAGGUGAAUUCCUUACAAUCAAAGAAUUUUCAUUCUUUGAAAUAAUCUAACGGAAUGAUACUUUGAUCCUUUGGAAUAAUAUAACAAAAUGAUAUGGCCACCACGAGAUUAUAAUCCUUCCAAAAGAACAUCAUGAUUGGAUGCACUUGAGAUUACAAAAUUUCAAGUUUGUCAAUGACCACAACUCGACUUUAUUCAAAAGUUGUUCACAAUUUAUAUGGAGAAAAAAUCAUUAAAGAAUAUAUCCUUGAAAAGACAUUUACUAUUUUCCAUGCCUCGAAUGUACUCCUAUGGCAACAAUAUCAAGAGCAUAAUUUCACUAAAUAGUUUGAAUUAGUUUAAUGUCUUCUUAUGGCUAAACAAAAUAAUGAACUUCUACUAAAGAAUCAUCAAUCUCAUACUAUUAGGUCUAUGUCAUUGCUUGAAGAAAAUGUCACAUCCGUCCAAGCUCCUAGACAUUGAGUUGGACUUGGACAUGAACAAGGCUAAGGACACAGUCAUGGUCGUGGUAAACAUAAUUCUUGGUACCAUGGUAAUUAUAGUCAUUAGAAUAGAAAAAACAAUUCAAACCAUUAGAAGUGGAAUAAUUCAAAGGUACAACCUAAAAAGGAUAUAUAUAUAUAUAUAUAUAUAUAUAUAUAUAUAUAAUCACAAAACAAACAUGAUAGUAAGAAUGAAUGCUAUAGAUAUGGUAUGAAAAGACACUAGUCAUGUACCUAUCAUAUUUCCAUAUGUUAAAAAAAUUGUACAUAGGUUUUAGAAAUGCCCAAUCGGGUAAGGGAAAGCCUCAAACAUUCCAACACUUCCUUAUGUUAAUAUUUAAAUCCUAAUAAGGAUGUAUAUUGUCAUGGUUCACCUUAAAAAAAUUGCAUGUAUGUUUCUUAAGGAUGUAUGUAGGAUUUAGAAAUGACCUACGACGAACAGGAAGGCCUCAAAUUCAUUAUGAGGCUUCUAUAAUUUAAUAUUUAGACCCAAAUAAGAAUGACUGGAACUAUGGUCCACCUUAAAAGAAAAGGUUUUUUUUUUUUUUUUUUUUAAGAAUUUACAUACUUUUCUUAAGAAUGUAUGUAUUUUUCUUAAGGAUGUACGUAGACUUUGAAAAUAACCAACGAGGAAUGGGCAGCCUCAAAAUUAUUACAAGGCUUCCAUAAAUUAAUAUUAAAACCUAAAUAAGGUGAAAUAAGGUCACAAUCUGCUUUUAAAAAAACGCACAUAUUUUGUUUUUUUAAGAAUGUACAUGUUUUCCAUAAAAAUAUAUGUAUUUUUUCUUAAGAAUGUUCUUAAGGUUUAGAAAAACCUAACAAGGUAAGGAAAGACCUCUAAUUCAUUCUCAGGCUUCCAUAAGUGAAUACCUAGACCUAAAUAAGGUCAAAUAGGAUUAUAGUCUUAAGAUAGAGUUCUUAAAAGCAUAACAUGGUGUAUUAAAUUUGAAAUUCAUUAUUUAUUUAAUGAUGUUCCCAUUUCACUUUUAUCUAUCUUUAUUCCAUGUAUUAUAUUUUAUGAGAAGUCUUGUCAGCAUCUUUUGCAUUGUACAUGACUUAGGUGCAUUAAGAGUUGCACAGAAGAUCUUUAAGCCAUGGGUUCCUUGCAAAUAAUUGACUUGUUCACAACCAGUUUAUGGGUCUAGGCAACCCAUUAGAAGUUGUAGUGCACCACCUCUUAAUUAGAGGGAUGGUUGGUCUCCGUUAUCGGGAUGAGUUUCCCAUGGUGAGUACACUACUGUGUAUGAUUUACACAUUAGACAAGACCUACGAUGAGUCAUGACUUAAUACUAUCAAGUAGUCAUGACCUCACCAAGCUACUUCAUUGUGUUAUCUCUCAACCUUGAGAGAAUAUCGAGAAAAUUAGCAAUGAAUUUUACCUAUGAGUGAGAUUGUAAGUUGAUCAUAUAUUCCCUAUGGAUUGGGUCACUGUUGAUGGAAGUCAGUAACAAUAGGUAUUCUUAAUAGACACCAUGAUAUCUCAUGGGAUUGAGACAACAUGUCCCCUUGGGUGAUCCUAAGGGGAUGUGUUCAUGGAAACUAUGGCCAUAAUAGUUCCUUAAGUAGAACUUGACAUAGGCUCUUUGAGAGCUAAGACAUGUCAAUUGAAUAUACAAUAGGAGGAUUCGUAACUCAAGGAUAGUAGAGGUAGUCUUGAAAGGUUGAUAGCUUUCACCUUGUUAGGCUAGAACACCAGUUCAUGGGGAGACUGAACACAAUGGAUACUAGGUCACAGACCCGAGCACGUAGUGUCUCGUUGUUAUUUACAUAAGAUAUUGGAGUUUAGUUUAUUCUUUGUAAUAAGAUGUUGAAUCAACUUCAUAAUUGGAUCCUGAGGGAGUUAGUACUCUUAUAGAUCCUAAUGGUCCCUGCUCUGAGCUUAUAUAUCUUUUUGGCAUAGUUAUGAGUGUCGAAUUGACUCUAGGUUCACUUUUGUGCAUAAGGGCAUUUUGGUAAUUAUGCAAGAUUGCAUAAGGGUAAGUGAACAAAGUCUCUAGAUUGAGCUAAUUAAUUAAUUAGUAGGCCCUAUUGGGUUAAUUAAUCAAUUAGGAUCCAUUUUGGGCUAAAUUAAGUUACCCAAACCCAUGUGGGCUCAAGUCACUUAAGCCUAGUUAGGAACCCUAUAAAUACCCCCUAGGGGUUAGAGUCUUCAUCACUUUUGUCUUCCACCAUUUAGAGAGAAAGAGGGCAAUAGCCUCCACCUUUCUUUCUUCCCUAUCGAAAGUGUGCCAAGAAUAAAGUUGAGUCAUUAGGCAAAAGACCAUGGGUUUACAAGACUUCCAACAACUUCAAUGUCAUCUUCAACACUUGGAAUUUAAGGUUUGAAAUAUCCAAACCUAAAGGUUGCACUUUAACCCUAAAGAUCAAUUUUAAAAAAUAAAUAAAUAAAUUGGUAUUGUUUCCAUUCCUUAGAUCUACUAUGCCAAUACACAAUUCGCUUGAAAAAAAUGUAAGUAUUUUCUUCAAAAUAUAUAUAUUUGUUAAGAAUGUAUGUAUUUUUGUAAAAGAUGUACCUUAGGUAGGGUUCCACCAUGUUAAAUGAGGUUUGGGAAGCUCUCAAAUACAUUUCGUAGAGUACAUAAGCCAAAUCUUAGACCCAAAUGAGUGUGAAUCUAUCAUGUUAAGUUGAAAUCAAAUGUACAUAUUUUUCUUAAGGUGUUAUAUUUUUCUAAAAAAUGAACUUGUGAGUGUUUAGCUAGGUUGGAAAUUCCAAAAAAAAUUCCAAAGGGUCCCCUAACUUGGUUUACCAAUCCCUCUUUGGACUACUUGACCUUUGAAGAUUAAGACUUUGCUAAGAGGUCGAGGUAUGUAGCUGAAUCUAUGGUGAUUGAAUGUGAAUCAACCCUAUUUUUUCAUUUUUAAAUGAGUAAAGAAAGCUAAGAGAAAUAUUGUUGGUGCAAGGCUUUUGUUCCCUUGUUUCUGGAUCGAUCCAGGUAUAGGGGCAAAUCGAUCCAACUAACCUGUUUUUCAGAUCAAUUUUCAACAUUUGGAUUAAGGUUUCACUCUCAUUUAAAAUCAAAUCUCCCCCAUUUUUGGAAGUGGUGACUGUAGUAUCCGUGAGAGAGUUUUUUCUUUCCUCACUAUUUAGAGGGUGUUUACCUAUGAAGAAAAUCCAUCCAAGUUUUCCAAGAAUUUUUUUUUAAAAUGGAUUUUCUGAAAAUGAACAUGGGUUGAUUUCUAAAACAUUCAUAUCUCGUUCUCUUGGUUUUGUGCAAAAACCCAUUUUCUUCUUGUCUAAAUUCAAGAGGAAAUCGAGCUUGGUGCCAAACUCCAAGUGUGCCCCGAAAGAAGAAGCUAAGAAGCUGAAAAUGAAUGUACUAGUCAAGUGGUUUGGGAAAGAUUGGUUGGUUUGAGCAAGGUAAAACUUUGUAUUCAGAUUUUAUUUUUCAUAGUGGAUGUUUUCAAUCAGUAAUAGGCCCAUGGUUUUUUAUCUCUUCGGAGAUUUUUCAUGUAAAUUUAUGGUGUCUCAUUGUCUCUCUUUCUCUUCUUAGCAUCAGUUUUCAGUUUCAACAAUUUAUUAUAAUUUUGAUUGUCUACUAUUUGAUUGAAUGAUGAAGAGAAAUGACUAUGAAUCAUCUUUGAAGCUGUUUCUAAUUGUUAAUCAUUGAUAUUUUGAGGUAUAUUGAUCUUGCUUUUAUCAGAAUUUAGUUUAAGUUGAUUUGGGUUUGGGAGCGUUAGAUCAUGUGCAUGUGAAUUACAUUUGAAUAUUGUUGGGGAGUGUUGUUGCAUUCAUAUAUGCAUGUGAUUUAUAAUUUGUGUUUUUGAGAUUGUGUGAAGAGAAGAAAAAUAUUAAAAAAGUUUUAAGGUUUUCUAAUUUGAGUUGAGAUUUUGUUUAAUUAGUCAAAACACCUAUUCAACCUCCCUUAGGUGUAUUCUAUUGAGAUUCACCUUUUCAAUUGGUAUGAGAGAGGGUUUUUAAAGCAAAAAUCAUUUUCAAUCCUUAAAUCUCAAUCAUGGAAUCUCAUUAAGAGGGAGCUUCCAUUAGGAGACCACCAUUCUUAACCAGUGAAAAUUAUUCUCAUUGAAAAGUGAGAAUGCAAUAUUUUCUCAAAAUGCAAAGUGACAAAAUUUGGAAUGUCGUUGAAUUUGGUUAGUCUCCACCUAAGGUGUUAGAUAGAGAAGGUAAACUAACAAAUGUUAUCAAGCCAAAAUUGGAAUGUGAUAGAAGUGAAAAUGAAGCAAGUGAGAAUAAAGCUAGAGCCAUGUACUCCAUCUUCAAUGCCAUUAGUACGAAUGAAUUUUGUAGGAUUGCCACAUGCACUUUGGUUAAAGAAGGCUUAGGAUAUCCUCCAACUGACUCAUGAAGGAACUAAUGUUGUGAAAAUGUCCAAGCUUCAAAUGUUGACAUCUAGGUUUGAGACCAUUAGGAUGAAUGAUCAUGAAACUUUUGGAGAAUUUCAUGCAAAAUUGAUGGAUAUAGUGAAUUCUAACUUCAAUCUAGGUGAAUCCAUCUCUAACUGUAAGGUGGUUAGAAAAAUUUUAAGAUCUCUUCCAGAUAGAUUUAGAGCUAAGGUUACCGCCAUUGAAGAGUCUAAGGAUGUGGAUUCCUUGAAGAUAGAUGAACUUGUAGGUUCUCUCCAAACCUUUGAGAUGAUGCUUGUAUCACCUAGAAAAGCUAAGGGAAUUGCUUUAAAAGCUAUUAAAGAAGAGUCCCUAAGUUCCGAAAGUGAGGAUGAUGAGAAAAUGUCAAAGGGUGAGCUUACUAAGUUUACUAAAAAAAUUAAGAAGUACAUGAAAUUCAAAAAAUUCAAGAAAGAAUCAAAUGAUGGUAAAAAUGGAGGAACUCUAUUAGAAAAAAAAAAAAGAAUAUGGAGAAAUGUGUGAAAAAAGAGUUGGAGAUUGAGUGCUUUAAAUGUGGAGGAAAUGGGCAUUAUGCCGCCAAAUGUCCCUCAAAGAAAAAAAAAAUGAAAGAAGGUCAUGCAAGUCACUAGAAGCAACAUAGAAUCUUGGCAAUCAAGUGAAAAAGAAUCCAAUGGAAGUGAAGAAUACACUAACUUCAUAGCCUUUGCUGCAAGUGUCAAUGAGAAACCACUUAAGAAAGAGGUCUUAAGUGAGUCGUGAGUCAAGUGACUCCAAUGAUGAUGACAUGAAUUUUGACACAGCAUAUGAGACUUUGUAUAAGGAGUGCUUGAGCCUUAAACAAGACCAAGUCAAGUGGAAGGCUUCUAAGAAUAUUCUAAUCAAUGAGAUUGAUGUCUUGAAGGGAGAAAAGAAGGCUUUGCUUGACAAAAUUGGAUUUCUUGCAAAUGAACACUUGGAAGUGAAAAAAAAAAUAUUAUGUAUUGAAAAGUGAAUCAAAUGUUCAAGGAUGAGUUUAAGUCUUAAGAAGGAAGAAUCACAUCCUAGCUCUAAGAGACUUAAUGAGUUUAUCAAUUUAGGGCGUAAAUCUUUUGAUAAACAAGGCUUAGGAUUUGUUGAUGCAAAUACUACUCCAAGUAGUGGUAAAACAAUUUUUGUUAAGCCUUGUGAAAAAUAAUAUCCUAAGAAAACUCAUUCUCAAAUCAAGUUUCAUUGCAAUCAUUGUGGCAAAAUGGGGCACACUUUUGAUAGAUGUUGUGCAAGAUUGUUUGAUAAUUUUCAAAGGAAGUUGACCAACCUAAUGAAUGAAUGUUAUUCUUUGAAGAAUAGGUUAUUGAAUGAGAACAAGAGAGUGUCCAAGAAGUGCUCAAAGAUCCCUCAUAAUGGUGAGUUGAAAGGAAGCACUUUGAAUGAAAAGACAAGUCUCAAAUGUUAAACAAAUUUGGGUGUGAAUGAAUGAGUUGAAGUGUUUUGUUGUCCAUACCGCACUUAGAGCUAGUGAGUCACACUCAUGGCAUCUUGAUAGUAGAUGUUCACAUCAUAUGACUAGAAAUAAAUCUUUGUUCACUUCAUUCAUUGAAUUUCAUGGAGGAAAUGUGACAUUUAGAGAUGGUAAUGUGGCUAGGGUGAAAGACAAAGGUACCAUUUGUGCCCCUAACAUUCCUAAUCUUGAAGAGGUCUUAUAUGAAGGUUUAAAGGCUAACUUAAUUAGCACAAGCCAAAUGUGUGGGAAUGAGUUCAAUGUAAAAUUUUCACAAACUUUUUGCAAGGUGUUUGACUUGAAUGAUGUAUGUGUGAUAAUUGGCUUGAGAACUUGUGAUAAUUGCUAUGUUGUUAGUAAAAAAUCUCCUUCAUCCUCUUCUCUCGUGUGUAGAAGUUCUAAAAUUGCAUAUGUUAAUCACUUGUUGCAACAUAGAUUGUUGCAAAAUGAAAAAGAGCAUCCCAUUGUAAAAGUUAGGAUUGGUGGGGGGGAUUUGAUGAUGCCAAUGUUAUUGAUAGGCUAAAGAACCAUGUUCUUCAUUAUAGACAAAAAUAUGUGGACAUUAAGCAUCACUGCAUUCAAGACUUGGUAGAAGACAAGGUUGUUUACAAGAGGUUUACCCUAUAGAGAGUCAAAUUGCUAACAAUGUUACUAAACCUUUGGACAUUUCUAGGUUUGAAUCACUUAGGAACCCCAUAGGUUUAUAUACUCUCUGUUUAACUACCUCUAGAACUUGUCUAGGACUCCUCUUGCAUAUCCUUGAGUCCUAGUUGUCUUCCUAAGUUCCCAAAUAUCAUCAACUUGAUGUUCUUUUUGUUUUGGUUCAAUAUUUUCUCCAUUUUUCAUAAAUUUUCAACAAUUGUUGAGUUCAUGAGAGUGAUAUGCUUAUUCAUUUUGUUUAAAAGUUAAAUUAAAUCAUAAUGAUCUUAAAAGCUUCAAGAUGUAUUUAUCUUCAUGGCUUGUUUGAUAAACAUGAUAUUGAAUCCUUGCUAUUUUGAUUUGGUUAGAUAAACUACAAAUGAUUAGCUUCAUUUCUAUUAAGUGAGUAAGAGCUCAUUGUUGGACCUUGUGUUUGCAUAAUGGUGAAUAAUGCACUUUAAAGUCUAAAUGUAAACUUAUACCCAUUUAAUGAGCUUUAAAGAGUGAGUAAAGACACCUGGAAUAUCCUUGAGAGGUUGAGAUGAUCAAUCCUUGAUUGUUUGUCCUCUCUUUGAAAUUAAAUUUGUUUAAAAAUGAAAAAGAAAAGAAAAAGAAAAUAUGAAGUUUCCCGAAAUGGAUAUGGCUAUGUGGAAAUGUUUCAAGAAUUAAAAAGCCUCAAUUGCAAGAGUGGGACAUCCCUUAUGUUGUUAUGUUGUAAAGGCAUCCUUCGAGAUCCUCAAGUCAAAAAUUGAUCUUAAGGGUAAAACAUAAAGCUUUGUAUUACUUUCAAUGCUAAAUGUGAAAAGCAAAUAGUGUAUGAAUUUUAUUAAAGGGAUGUGAUUAGGUCAUGUUAAACAGAAAUCUAGCCAAGAGAGAUGCAAAUUGACUUUGAUUACUAAUCAAAAAGUACUCUUUUAUAGCUUGAAACUAACUGUUUUAAACACUUUUUGAGUAGUAGUUAAUACCGUUUAACUCAAUUGGCACAUUAAGGAACCUAGCAAGGGUUACUAAUAAGUUUUUCGCAAGUUUUGGUGUUUUUUGUAGCUAUUUGAUCAUUGAAACAAGCCAAGAAUGAGGAAGAAUUUUGUGAAAUCCAUGGCAAUGUAAGUUAAAGCUCAAAUACAUGAGGAAUCCAAGCUUUAGAGCACUUCAUAGCCCUUUGCCAAGCCAAUCAAAGAUGUAAAGAAGAAAACCAGAGGAAGAAAUCCAACAACCAGCAUUUCCGCAUGGUUGUGCGAAAUUUCGCACACCAUGCAAAACCACUUGAGGCAGCCAAAGAAUUUCGCACAACAUGCGAAAUUUCGCAUGGUAUGCGAAAUCUUCCUGUGCACCGACUCCGUUAGAUUUUUAUCUCUAGAUAUUUUGUGUAAUUUCCUAUUUUCUCCUUGUAAUCAACUUCGAUAUUUUCAUAUAUAUUUUUUUAUAUAUUUGGUGUGUGUAACAUCUUUUGAUAUAGACACACAGGGAUGUAAUCAGAGAACACUUGUAAAUUCCCCUUUAUAAGAAAUAUACAGAGCUUUUGCUCUACCUUUUCAUCUCAUUUUGUUUUCACUCUUCUUUCUAGCCAAACAACCUCUGAGGAUGAUUUAUCAAGGGAUGAGUGGCUAGGUUUUACGUUUCUUGGAGUGAUGGAAGCUAGGUGAAGGACCCGAAUGCAAAGAUGGGAGUUGUCCUUGCUUUAAAUGAAAGUAGUUGUUAACCAUUAAUGGUUUUUAUUUUAAGAUUUAGCUUUAAAUCCCUUAAAAGCACCUUGAAUGGCCAAUACUUGGUAAGCUUUUUGGAUUCUAUGGAUGCUUAUUGCUAGAUCCAUGGAUGUCUAUUAGUUAUCAUUUAUGAGCCAUUGGAAGGUGGUUCAAAGUGAGAGUCUUUAGUGUUUCAAGCCAUUAAUGGGAAGCAACUAUUAUUUUUCAUGAACCCUUUGGAUCAAAUCUUAAUAUCUAAAUAUAAAACCGGUUCGGGAAAUAACCAUCCUUUAUAUUAUUGUCCCCAAUGUGAUGAGAAGAUCCGGAAUCUCCCCCUUUGUCUAAGGAACCCGAUCCUAGUGACCUAAAGCUCUAAGAGACCUUUUCUUUGUAGUUAACUUCACUUAUUAUUUUUGCUUAACUUAAAAUCGAUCUUUGCAAUCACAAUUCCAUUUUCUUUAAAAGCUAAUUUUCAUAACGAAAAAUAUUAUUUUAUUUCCUUCACUAAAGUCAAUUGUACAAUGAAAACCCAUCCCUGUGGACGAUCCUAGAGCCACUAUACUAUGUUAGUUAUGCUACCCCAGUGUGAGGUGAUUUAGGUUUUAUAAAUUUUGUUGAUAACACCUAUCUGAGCCAGAGUCAAAUGGCAUGACUACAAUGGGGAUGAAUCAAAUGGCACCGUUGCCAGGGAGAUGAUGCCAAAGUACAUUGACAUGACUUUUGGUGAACACUUGUGAUCUUCAUCACAAGUUUGGUGAUUUUUCUUUUACUAAUUCUUUUUCUUUAUCUCUAUUUUAGCUUAUCUUUUAUUUAGUUUUCAGCUAACCUUAACUUUUUCCUACAAUUGUAUUUCUUUUGUUUUCUGUGUUUUUGUUUCAGUAAUUUUUAGUUGUGCAUGCCUUAUUGGAUAAGAGAUAUUGAGGGAAGACUUGUGAAGAUUGAAACUCCUCAAGAAACUGAGUUGGAAGUGUGCUUGAACAUCAUGAAUGUUCCACCUAAAGACCAAAAUAGCCAACAUGGUCAAGAGGAUAAUUUCAACGCAUACCGAUCCAUGAGGGAUCACAUGCAUCCACCUCGUAUGAGUGCACCAUCAUGCAUAGUGCCUCCCAUUGAGCGACUAGUAGUCCGACCUCACAUUGUGCCACUCUUACCUCCUUUCCAUGGGAUGGAAAGUGAGAAUCCCUACUCGCAUAUUAAGGAAUUCGAGGAGGUUUGUAAUACAUUCCAAGAAGGAAGAGCUUCAAUUAACUUGAUGAGGCUCAAGCUAUUUCCUUUCACCUUGAAGGAUCAGGCCAAGAUUUGGCUUAAUUCUCUAAGGCCAAGGAGUAUCCAAACUUGGACUGAUUUGCAAGCCGAGUUUCUCAAGAAGUUCUUCCCUACUCAUAGGACUAAUGGUUUGAAAAGGAAAAUUUCAAAUUUCUCGACUAAGGAGAAUGAGAAAUUCUAUGAGUGUUGGGAGAGGUACAUAGAACCUAUUAAUGCUUGUUCUCACCAUGGCUUUGACACAUGGCUCUUAGUGAGCUAUUUUUACGAUGGUAUGUCUUCUUCAAUGAAGCAACUCCUAGAAACUAUGUGUGGAGGAGACUUCAUGAGUAAGAAUCCGGAGGAAGCCAUGGACUUUUUGAGUUAUGUGGCUGAAGUUUCAAGAUGAUGGGAUAACCAAACGCUAGAGAAGUGGGAAGAAUGAAGUCUCAACCUAAUGCUAAGGGUGGGAUGUAUGUUUUGAAUGAAGACAUUGACAUGAAGGCAAAGGUUGCAGCUAUGGCAAGGAGAUUGGAAGAGCUAGAAAUGAAGAAGAUAUAAGAAGUGCAAGCUAUUUCUGAGACACCAGUGCAAGCUAUGCCUUGUUCCAUUUUUCAAUCUUAUGAGCACUUGUUGGAGGAGUGUCCUACAAUUCCAGCAAUGAGAGAAAUGUUUGGAGAUCAAUCAAAUGUUAUUGGUCAAUUCAAGCCCAAUAACAAUACUUCAUAUGGCAACACCUACAAUUCAAAUUGGAAGAACCAUCCAAAUUUCUCUUGGAAACCAAAGCCACCGCAGUACACACAACCUGCUCAAGCACCUCGGCAAGCCUCGAAUCUUGAACAAGUUAUUGUGAACCUUUGCAAGGUUGUGGGAGACUUUGUGGAAGAUCAGAAGUCCAUCAAUGCUCAACUAAAUCAGAGAAUUGACAGUGUGGAGAGUACAUUGAACAAAAUGAUGGAUGGGAUGCAAAAUGAUCUGUCUCAGAAGAUAGACAAUGUCUAAUACGCAAUCUCAAGGCUUACCAACCUCAACACAGUGCAAGAGAAAUUAAAGUUUCCUUCUCAACCUCAUCAAAAUCCCAAGGAUAUCCAUGAUGUGGAGGCUCAAGAGGGAGAAUCUUCAAAGGUAAGGGAAGUCAAAGCAGUUAUCACCUUAAGAAGUGGUAAAGAGGUUGAUCUGCCCACAUCCAAGCCAAAGCAUGACGAAGAGAGUGUAGCAGAAAAAGAAAAGAGUGGAGAAAAUAAAGGAAAGAGAAAAGGGAAAAGUACAAAGAAAGAUGACCAUGAGUCUAGUGUGGAUGAAGAACUCGAGAAGAAAGUGAUCAAGGAAGAUAUGAUGAAGAAACACAUGCCUCCAUCUUUCUCCUAAGCUUUGCAUGGCAUAAAGGGAACCAAUAAUGCAUCAGAAAUUUUUGAAGUGGUGAGGCAAGUGAAGGUCAAUAUCCCUUUGCUAGACAUGAUCAAACAAGUGCCGACAUAUGCAAAAUUCUUGAAGGACUUGUGCACUAUAAAGAGAGGGUUAAAUGUGAACAAGAAGCCUUCUUGAUUGAGCAAGUGCCAUCAUACAGUGCAAGUCUCCAGUGAAGUACAAAGAUCCGGGCUGCCCUACCAUCUCAGUGAGUAUUGGAGGGACUUGCGUGCAGAAAGCUUUGUUGGACUUAGGAGCAAGUGUAAAUUUGCUACCCUACUCUGUCUAUAAGAAGUUGGGACUUGGAAAGUUGAAGCCAACAUCCAUCGCUCUAUCUCUAGCAAAUAGAUCAAUGAAGAUUCCAAGAGGGAUGAUCGAAGAUGUCUUGGUUCAAGUUGACAAAUUCUACUAUCCAGUGGAUUUUGUUGUUCUUGAUAUGGAUCCAAUUGUCAAAGAAACUAAUUAUGUUCCUAUCAUACUUGGAAAACCAUUCCUAGCUACAUCAAAUGCAAUCAUCAAUUGUAGGAAUGGAGUCAUGCAACUCACGUUUGGCAACAUGACAUUGGAGCUCAACAUCUUCCAUUUGUGCCAGAAACAUAUCCAUCCGAAAGAAGAAGAAGGGUUAGAGGAAGUAUGCAUGAUUGACGCUUUAGUGGAGGAGCAUUAUGAUCAGAGAAUGCAGGAGGAUUUGAUUGAGAGUUUUAGGGAUCUUGAUGAAGGGUUACCUGAACCCUUAGAUUUGCUUGCUACCCUGCUCCCUUAGAGGAGAAGAGAAGAAAUUCUACCCUUAUUCAAUGAGGAGGAAACGCAAAGAACUGCUAAGGAGGAGUUCUCAAAGCUUAUUCUUAAGCCACUACCCACAGAGUUGAAGUAUGCAUACUUGGAAGAAGACAAGCAGUGUCUUGUUGUUAUAUCUUCAGAUCUUACCAUUCAUCAAGAGGAUUGUCUACUUGAAGUCCUUAGAAGAUGUAAGAAAGCAAUAGGCUGGCAAAUUUUUUAUUUGAAAUGGAUCAUCCCUUUAGUCUGCACCCAUCAUAUUUACAUGGAGAAUGAAGCUAAGCCAAUUUGUCAACCUCAGAGAAGGUUGAACCCUCACAUGCAAGAGGUGGUGCGAGUUGAAGUCUUAAGCUACUUUAGGCCAGUAUUAUUUACCCUAUAUCAGAUAGCCCAUGGGUGAUUCCUACUCAAGUUGUGCCAAAGAAGUCUGGGAUCACGGUGGUGCAAAAUGAUAAGAGAGAAGAUGUCUCUACGCGCCUCACUAUAGGUUGAAGGGUGUGUAUCGAUUACAGGAGGUUGAAUGUAGUGACAAGAAAGGACCAUUUCCCAUUGCCCUUUAUUGAUCAGGUACUUGAAAGGGUCUCUGGGCAUCCUUUUUAUUGUUUCUUGGAUGGCUACUCCAAGUACUUUAAGAUAGAAAUUGAUGUUGAAGACCAAGAGAAGACCACUUUCACGUGCCCAUUUGGCACCUAUGCAUAUAGGAGAAUGCCUUUCGGCCUAUGCAAUGCACCUGCAACUUUCCAAUGAUGCAUGUUAAGCAUUUUCAGUGAUAUGGUGGAGCAUAUUAUGGAAGUCUUUAUGGAUGACAUCUUCAUAUAUGGAAGUGCAUUUGAUUAAUGCUUAGUCAACUUAGAAGUUGUUAUGAACCGAUGCAUUGAGAAAGACUUAGUGCUUAACUGGGAGAAGUGUCAUUUCAUAGUACAAUAAGGGAUUGUCCUUGGGCACAUCAUCUCCAAGCAAGGCAUUGAAGUUGACAAAGCAAAGGUUGAACUCAUUGUCAAGUUGCCAUCCCUAACAAAUGUCAAAGGAGUAAGGCAAUUCCUUGACCAUGUCGGGUUCUAUAGGAGGUUUAUCAAGGAUUUCUCUAAGCUUGCAAGGCCUCUUUGUGAAGUAUUGGUGAAGGAUGCUAAAUUCAUAUGGGAUGAUAGAUGCCAAAGGAGUUUUGAAGAAUUGAAGUUAUUUCUAACAACCGCACCAAUAGUGAGGGCUCCCAACUGGAAACUGCCCUUUGAGGUAAUGUGUGAUGCCAGUGACUUUGGAAUAGGAGCUGUUCUUGGGCAAAGAGAAGAUGGAAAACCCUAUGUGAUCUACUACGCGAGCAAGACAUUGAAUGAGGCGCAAAGAAACUACACAACCACCAAGAAAGAAUUGUUAGCUGUAGUUUUUGCUUUGGAUAAGUUUCGUGCUUACUUGGUGGGGUCCUUCAUUGUGGUUUUCACUGAUCACUCUGCUUUGAAGUAUUUGUUGACUAAGCAAGAUGCUAAAGCAAGGCCAAUUAGAUGGAUCCUCUUGCUUCAAGAGUUCAAUCUCCAUAUCAAAGACAAGAAAUGAGUGGAGAAUGUGGUAGUAGACCACCUUUCAAGGCUAGCUAUCGCACAUAAUUCCCAUGGUUUGCCCAUCAAUGAUGAUUUUCCAAAGGAGUCUCUCAUGUUGGUGGAAGUUGCUCCUUGGUAUGCUCACAUUGCUAACUACCUAGUCAUAGGAAAAGUUCCAAGUGAGUGGAAAACACAAGAUAAGAAGCACUUCUUUGCAAAAAUUCAUGCCUACUAUUGAAAAUAGUCAUUUCUAUUCAAGUAUUGUUUCGAUCAAAUAAUAAGAAAGUGUGUUCUUGAAAAAGAGCAACAAGGGAUCCUCAGUCAUUGCCAUGAAAAUGCAUGUGGAGGCCACUUUGCUUCUCAGAAGACAACCAUGAGAGUAUUGCAAUCGGGUUUCUGUUGGCCAUCACUUUUCAAAGAUGCCCACACCAUGUGCAAGAGUUGUAAUCGAUGUCAGAGGCUUGGGAAGUUGACACGCAAGAACAUGAUGCCUUUGAACCCCUUUUUGAUAGUUGAUCUUUUUUAUGUUUGGGGCAUUGACUUCAUGAAACCUUUCCCUAUGCCUUUUGGCUACUCUUACAUCUUGGUGGGAGUAGAUUAUGUUUCUAAGUGGGUUGAGGCAGUCCCAUGCAAACACAAUGACCAUAGAGUGGUUCUCAAGUUUCUCAAGGAGAACAUCUCCUCAAGAUUUGGGGUGCCCAAAGCCAUAAUUAGUGAUGGGAGUACUCAUUUUUGCAACAAGUCUUGUGAAACUCUCCUAGCCAAGUAUGGGGUGAAGCAUAAGGUAGCUACACCUUACCACCCUCAAACUAGUGGGCAAGUUGAGUUAGCAAACAGGGAGAUUAAAAACAUAUUGAUAAAGGUGGUGAACACAAAUAUAAAAGAUUGGUUAGUCAAGCUCCUCGAUUCACUAUAGGUAUAUAGAACAACUUACAAGACCAUUCUCGGGAUGUCUCCUUAUCGCCUAGUCUAUGGUAAAACAUGUCAUCUCCCUGUGGAAUUGGAAUACAAGGCUUGGUGGGCAAUCAAGAAGCUCAACAUGGAUUUAAGCAGUGUUGGGUUGAAAAGGUUCUUAGACCUUAAUGAGAUGGAGGAAUUGAGAAAUGAUGCCUACAUCAAUUCAACAAUUGUAAAAGAGAAAUUAAAGAGGUGGCAUGAUCAGUUGAUUUCCCGCAAGGAUUUUAAAAAGGGAAAAAGAGUCUUGCUCUAUGACUCUAAGCUCCCCAUCUUUCCAAGCAAGCUAAAAUCAAAGUGGAUAGGUCCUUUUACCAUUCACCAAGUUCAUUCAAAUGGAGUAGUGGAACUACUCAACUCCAAUGGCACCAGGAGCUUUAAAGUGAAUGGCCAUCAUCUCAACCCCUUUGUGGAGCCUUUUUCUCGCGACAAGGAGGAAUUCAUCCUCCUUGAUGCACAUCAAGCUUGACAAGACCAGUUUUCUUAACGGACUUAGUCUUUCUAAAGACUAUUGAGUCCAUAUCUUUUUAUUUUAUUUUUUAUUUAAGAGUUUUCCUAUAUUAUUACUUGUUUUGAUUUUGAUUUCUCGUUUUAAUUUUAUUUUAGUUUGAUUUAACUUAGGUUUUUGAUGAUCAAUUGCAAAAGGGGCCUCAAAGCAGUUGGGUGUGUCCUUAAAGACUUCAAACAGAGGAAAAACCAAGAUAAUUCAAGCACCCUGCGAAAUUUUUGCAGGGCAUGCGAAAUUAAUGAAUCAUUUUGCAUGGGGUGAGAAAAUUUCGCACACCCUGCGAAUCAAUUUCACACACUAUACGAAAAUGAAAAGACCUUGCUAAAUCAUUUCAAACACUUUGCGAAAUUUUCGCAGAGCAUGCGAAAAAUUUUGCACACCCAACACCGUUUCGAAUGCUGUGCGAAACCCUAAGGGGUCUACAAAACCAUUUCGCACCUCCAAAGCCAUUUCGCACGCUGUGCAAAAAUCAAGAGGCGUUGUGCGAAAACGAAAAGUAGCCUUACUAUCCCUUUUUAAACCCCGAGCUCUAACUUCUCCAUUUCGCAAACACCAAACACCCUGCAAAUCCCUCAUUUUCCUCUACCACCUUGUGACCUCGUCCCUCUCCAUUCAACACCCCGUCCCGCACAUCUCAUUUUGAAGACUCGCACUCUGCGGCCCCUUCGAGCACGGCUCACUUUCCAUUUUCUACAUGGCGCUAACUCGAGGAGCCCUUCCCGCCCCUUCACCGAGACACACUCCGAGGCAGAGAGCCUCCUCUACUUAAGUGCCUAGUGAUUCUCCAUCUUAGGCCGCAGAGGCCUCGUGGAUUCCACCUCCUGAGAAUGGAGUAGCCAUUGGUCCUUCCUCUCCUGCUCCUCAGCGCAAAUAUGAGACAAAGAGACCACCUAUUACACCAAGGGCAACUACUUCGCUCCUUGAGAGUUCAGUAUGAUGUCCUCCUGCCAAGAGAGCCAAGACUUCAGGCCCAAGCGAGUCAUCCAGAGUUUCAUAGCCUAAGGCUCUUGCAGAUUCUGAGGUUCCUUCUGACUUAUCACCGGAGUCUAUUAUCUGACGCCCGAUGCUCACAGCACCACCCAUUAAGGGCAACUCAGAUUGCAGAGCAAGACCUUUCCUCUUGAAGCUAUAUUUUGAUCAAGAGGCCAUGCAACAGCAGCUUGAGCUCCGAGACUCUUACGGCCUACUGUAGAGGUACCACCUUGAGCACCUUAUAACUCUUUGUGAGUUCUUUUAUCCUAGAGUAGCACUAGACUUCUACCAGUCCAUGACUACUCUUGGCGUCCCGAGUCUUACUGUGAUUUACUUCACCAUUGAUGGACAUCAUGGUAUCCUCAAGGCUAGACAUAUUGUAGAGGCUUUACAAAUUCCUUUCAAGCCAGUGGAUCCAUCUGCUUUCCGCCAGUGGUCCUAGUAUCUCAGAGGGACAUGGUCCGCAUUUUAUCCAGGAAGACCUCUACAGAUUCGAUCCUUCUACGGAAGGAGCUUCCACCUAGGAUGCUCCUUGUAGAUAUGGUGCUACGCUCCAACCUCUUUCCCUUACAGCAUUUAGUACAGAGGCGAUGAGCUAUUUUGGACGCUUUAUUCUGUAUAUCGGAGGGCUUCUACUUUGGCCUGUUCCACUUGAUCAUGGCCUCCCUCAUCCACUUUGAGGAGAAGGUCCAUAGGAAGAAGCUUCAAAGGGCGGACACCAUUCCAUUACUAUUCCCGAGGUUGUUGUGCCAAAUCUUGGAGUAUAUGAGCUUUUCUAUUGAGCCUCGGCUCGAGCGUCACCGCCUUUGUCGAGAGUGAUUCACUCUGGACAAAUGGAAUCAAUUGACGGGCUAUUAUGCACCUCUAGGAGCCUUUCCUAUGGUAGCACCUCCAGUGCUCCUAGAACCAGAGCAAGGCGAGCUCCCGACAAAGACUGCACCACCAGUGCCCACACCUGAGGCUACUUCUACUGCUCCGCCUACGACUCUUACUGUUACACCAGUCGCGCCUACUACAUCCGAGCCUUCCAUCACCAUAUCGGCUUUAGAGUUUCGCUCCCGUGUGCAUACUUUUUAGACACUUACCACCACACAUGCUACUCUCUUUCAGCAAAUGGCUGAGAUGCGUGCCCAUCAGGACCAGCAGACUGCUAUACUUCGCCAGAUUCAGCAGCACUUGGGACAUCUACCUCUGCCUCAACCUGACCUUUCUGCAUCAUUAGAGCCUUUAGCUCCAGCUAAGGAUACUAUUCCACCUGAGGACACUACCACAGUAGAGGUCCGGAUUUCGCCACCUCAGAAGGCCACCACAGCUACACCAGAGGAUUCUUCAUUUCUACCUGAGGCUCCCACUACUUGAUCAUAAGAAAUCUCUUUAUCUUAUUGUAUUUACAUAUUAUAUUACUAAAGAUUUGUCCUUGUUUUGAUGCUUUAUAUUCAGGGUUGGAUGUAUUACCUGAUCAUAUCUCAUAUUGUACUUUCUCAUAUUAAUAUAUAGACAUCACAUUUUUUUAUUAUAUUUAAAAUUUUUCUAUUUAUUCUACUUGUCACUCUUUUGUUUUUUGACUCAUGUGGUUUCUCCUAUACGAAUCAGACUCCAUUUCAUUCAGGAGGUACCACUUCCUCCUUUUAUUUUCAAUUGCUCUUGAAACAUUGAGGGCAAUGUUGAUCUCAGUUGGGGGGAGAGUUAAGGAAGGAAUUUUUGUUAAUAAUGCUAGAUUAAUUUGUUAAUUUAGUUACUUUUUGCUUAAUUUUAAAAGUUUUUUACCCUACUCUUCAUGGUUAUUAAGGAAAAGUUCUCAAAAUGAAAUGGGAGAAAUCGAAUUCUUGCAUUUUUACUUGAAUCUUAGAGUUUGUAUUAUGCUUAUUAAAGUUGAUGAAUUAUUGAAACUCCUAUGGAAUUCAACCUUAUUUCUUCCACUUUAAUCUUAUCACACUAUGCACAUUAAGUUCCGAUUAUAAGACGAAAAACUAUCUCACCCCCUAAACUUAGGAAAAUUUCAACUUGGUACAUUUGACUUCAUUUUAAUAGUGUUGGGACACCUUAUAAAAGGCCAAUGAGCCUUCGAAAAAAAAAAAAAGAACAAAGUGUUUCGCUUGCCUUGAAACCCGAGCAAAGUCCGAGGGGUAUACGACGAAAGUCUUUAAAACCCGGUGCCCUAAGCCUUUAUUGGUUGGGAGUCACUGGCCUCAAUGCUCGUUACAAGAGUGAAUAGGUAGAGUUUAACAUAUUGUAGGUGCUUGGGUAUUGAAUUUCAAUCUCAAAAAUCCGGGGAAAAAUAUGAGGAGUUAGAGGUUGAAAAAUCCUUAAAGCUUGAUGCCCUAAACCUUGAUUGGUUGGGAGUCAUCAAUGGAUCCCCAUUACAUGGACACUUUAGAAAACAAUACCUUUAGCAUUGCACUCCUACAAUGAAAAAAAUUGUGAAAUAAAAGAGGUGUGUUCUUAGCCUAUUGGAGGUUGGUCAAGUUGCUAAGGUUUGAGAAAAAACUAGGUUGGGGGAGAGAAUAGUUUGACAUACUAUAAUCAGAAGCUAAUAAGCUUAACACUUAGAUUUUUGUGAAAAAAUAAGGUUUGAAUCUUUGGGAGUGGAAAUUCUUUUGUUGCUUAAAUUUGCAUAAUGCCUACUCUUUAUAAAUUGUAAUUUGGCAGGAGAUUUGAUAACUCUUGUUGAAGGUUGGGUUUUGCAUCUUUGAUGUUCCAUGAGAGAGUAUAAUCUGCAUCAUGCCACUUGAAAAUUUUUUGGAGUGAUUAGCAUGAUUUUGUAAAUUAUUUUACUAUUUAUUUUUCUUUAUCUCUCCUUCAUUGCUAAGGAACUAGCAAUAUGUUGGUUGGGGGGAGUGAUUACUGCUCAAAAAGUACUCUUUUAUAGUUUGAAACUAACUGUUUUAAACACUUUUGAGUAGUAGUUAAUACAUUUUAAUUCAAUUGGCACAUUAAGGAACCUAGCAAGGGUUACUAAUCAAUUUUUCGCAAGUUUUGGUGUUUUUGGUAGCUAUUUGAUCAUUGAAACAAGCCAAGAAUGAGGGAGGAUUUUGUGAAAUCCAUGGCAAUGUAAGUUAAAGCUUAAAUACAUGAAUAAUCCAAGCUUUUGAGCACUUCAUAGCCCUUUGCCAAGCCAAUCAAAGAUGCAAGGAAGAAAACCAGAGGAAGAAAUCCAACAUCCAGCAUUUCCGCAUGGCUGUGCGAAAUUUCGCACACCAUGCAAAACCACUUGAGGCAGCUAAAGAAUUUCGCACAACAUGCGAAAUUUCGCAGGGUAUGAGAAAUCUUCCUGUGCACUGACUCCGUUAGAUUUUUAUCUCUAGAUAUUUUGUGUAAUUUCCUAUUUUCUCCUUGUAAUCAACUUAGAUAUUUUCAUAUAUAUUUUUGUAUAUAUUUGGUGUGUGUAACAUCUUUUGAUAUAGACACACAGGGAUGUAAUCAGAGAACACUUGUAAAUUCCCUGUAGUAAAAAAUAUACAGAGUUUUUGCUCUGCCUUUUCUUCUCAUUUUGUUUUCACUCUUCUUUCUAGUCAAACAACCUCUAAGGAUGAUUUAUCAAGGGAUGGGUGGCUAGGUUUUACGUUUCUUGGAGUGAUGGAAGCUAGGUGAAGGACCCGAAUGCAAAUAUGGGAGUUGUCCUUGCUUUAAAUGAAAGUAGUUGUUAACCAUUAAUGGUUUUUAUUUUAAGAUUUAGCUUUAAAUCCUUAAAAGCACCUUGAAUGGCCAAUACUUGGUAAGCUUUUCAGAUUCUAUGGAUGCUUAUUGCUAGAUCCAUGGAUGUCUAUUAGUUAUCAUUUAUGAGCCAGUGGAAGGUGGUUCAAGGUGAGAGUCUUUAGUAUUUCAAGCCAUUAAUGGGAAGCAACUAUUAUUUUUCAUGAACCCUUUGGAUCAAAUCUUAAUUGCUAAAUAUAAAACCGGUUCAGGAGAUAACCAUCCUUUAUGUUAUUGUCCCCAAAGCGAGGAGAAGAUCCGGAAUCUCCCCCUUUGUCUAAGGAACCUGAUCCUAGUGACCUAAAGCUCUAAGAGACCUUUUCUUUGUAGUUAACUUCACUUAUUAUUUAUGCUUAACUUAAAAUCAAUCUUUGCAACCACAAUUCCAUUUUCUUUAAAAGCUAAUUUUCAUAAGGAGAAACACCAUUUUAUUUCAUUCACUAAAGUCAACUAUACGAUGAAAACCCAUCCCUGUGGACGAUCCUAGAGCCACUAUACUAUGUUAGCUAUGCUACCCUAGUGUGAGGUGAUUUAGGUUUUAUAAAUUUUGUUGAUAACACCCGUCUGAGACAGAAUCAAAUGGCAUGACUGCAAUGGGGAUGAAUCAGACUUAUUGGAACAUUAUCUUGAAUUUCUUUAGGAAGGAAGAGUAUCUUGAAAAUGAUUUUUGGCUCAUAAAUGAAUAUAGGUUUCUAAGUGGAAAUUAUUUAACAUUCUCACCGUUUUAUGGUGUCAUGAGUGAGUUUUUUUUAGCUUAAGCUUCCUUGUUAGAGUGUUGAUAAUCAUUUGUUUUUUACCUAUUCAUUUGAUAAAUUUGGAAAGUACUUCAAUCUCUAUGUUUAUUAAUUUUGUCUAUUGUUAAGUUCUUGGAAGCAUUUUUGUUCAAUGUGAAUCAAUUCUAACUCAUUAAUUGAAAGAUAAGUAUGUCAUCCUAUUGUAUCUCAUCUUUGGUCGAUCAAUUUUCAGUUUUUGGAAAGCUUAUUGGUGUAUUUCUUGUGAUUUUUCGAUAGUUUUUGCCUAAGUCAUUUUUCAAUUGGGUGUCGAUCGAUCUACUGAAUUUGUGGAUCGAUCCAUUGUGUGCACAAUGUAGUGACCGAGAGCCCUUGAAUGAAUCUUGGAUCGAUCCACCAAGAUCGAUACCACCUAGUCCUUGUCUCUCACACACUUAGCCAUUUUUUUCAAAUUUGGUCUAUUCAAACCUAUGUGACUAUGUAUCAUCGAGAGCACAAUUGAAAGCUGGAUCGAUCCACCCAGAUCGAUACCACUUAUGCAUUUGUGAAAAAUUCCAUUUUUGCCCCCAACUAGUUAUACUCAUAUGGUUUAAUGGAUAAGGGGUAUUUUCAUAAUUAAAAGUAAAAAAUUGAAAAUUUGAAAAAGUCAAAAUCCCUAAAUCAGUUUUUCCCAAUUCAUUUCUUUCAAAAACCCUAGGUUUUUUGUUCCAAAGAAGAGAACUUCUCUACUCUAAGCUUCUCUUUAGCCAUCAUUGUCAGUCCAUCAUUCCUACCACUACCAUCAAAAGUCUCUACCACUGGAAACCUUUAUCGUUAGACUUCCCUAUCUGGUGAGCGUUUCAAGUCUGGCCAAUCCCACUAGACAGCCUCGUCAAAUAGCCUAGAAUUGUUGUGUUGCUCAGCUCAUGUCGUCGGCCUGUGUGUCUUUUCUUAAUGCGUCGAUGUUUUAGAAAAUUGUCUUCUACAUAGUAUGUGUUGGCUAGGACCUCCUGUGUGCAUCACUAGAUUGUAUCUUGUGCAAUUAGGAUUUUGUUCCAACAGUUGGAAAUUCCAAUCUGCCCUUAGGACUGUGUUUUUCACCGCACAAUCAACACAACGCAAUCUACACUUCUGGAAAUUGUGUUCUACAUAGCCCAUUUCUCUUGUUUUUUGCUCUACUAUUUUCCAAUGUUCGUGUCUUUAAUGCAACUUAUUUGCAAGAGUUCUCAUUUUUGGCAACCAUUAUUGUUUGAUUUAUCCAUUCUUCUCUCUUCUAUUAGUCUCAUUUGGAUUUUUUAUUUUUUAUUUUUUUAUUUUUUUUAUAGAGUCCUCUCACAAUAGUUUUAAUAGUUUGAGAUUUCAUUUUUGCCUUGGAGUGUUCCUAGUUUCUAGGAAUGCUAAUCCUAGGCUUUGGUUAUUCAUUUUGAGUGGUCUUCAUACAUUUUCAUGCUUGAAAUCUAUUUUCAUGGUGAUAAAGCAUUUUUUGAAAGUUUUUAAUUGAAACCAUGUGAUAGGAUUUAGGAGGAGAUUCUUAUAUCCUGUGAUGGGAGUCAAGGGGAGAUUCUUGUAUCCUAUAUUUUUUUUUUCUAGAAUGUUGAUAUGGAUACUUGGUGAUAUGUGAAUAUUUGAUUUUUGGGUAUUUGACAUUUUUGUUGAAAAGUAGAUGUUUGUUGAUUUGGAUGUGAGAUAUUCUGCUAUUGAAUUCUCAUCCAUUUAUCUUUUUUAUUGGAUAGAAAAUGGGAGAUUAUGACUUUUUGUCUCCUAUUGGGACAAAAAGGAGAAAACAUUUUACAUGGAUGUUGAUAUGACAUGUAGUUGAUCAUGACGGUUUCUUUGUGUUUUGUUGCUUUGGAUAUUUGAUAUGUUGAUCAUGAUCACCUUUUUUGUAUAUCGAUGGAUAUUUGACACGUUUUUGAACUCAUGAAUGCAUAUUAACUAUCUUUAGACAAGUUAUUUUUGUGGAUAUAUGUGGAUAUUUGUGUGUCAAUUCAUUUGAAACUUAUGGAAUUGUCUUGGUAAUAUGUGCAAGUGCUACUAAUGUUUUUUCUUGAGAUUUAUUUACAGGAUUGGUAGUACCUUUGGUUAGGUUUUGAGUGAGUGAGUGAGUGGCCUUGUAUGAGAGUUGGGUGGGACUUACUUGUAUUCAUUCGUGUUGUAAAGGGUUUUGUCCCAGAAUUUCCAAAUGGGGAGAUUGUGAGUGUUUAGCUACGUUGGUAAUUCCAAACAAAAUUCCUAAGUGUCCCUUAACUCGGUUUACAAAUCCCUCUUCAAACUACUUGACCUUUGAAGAUUAAAACUUUGCUAAGAGACCGAGGUAUGUAGCCGAGUGUGUGGUGAUUGAAUGUGAAUCAACCCUAUUUUUUCAUCUUUAAAUGAGUUAAGAAAAUAGGGAGAAAUAUUGUUAGUGCAAGGCUUUUGUUCCCCUUAUUAUGGAUUGAUCUAGGUGCAGGGGCAAAUUGAUCCAACUAACCCACUUUUAAGAUCAAUUUUCAACCCUUAGAUUAAGGGUUUCUUUCUCAUUUAAAAUCAAAUCUCUCCCAUCUCUAGAAGUGGUGACUACAACAACUGUGAGAGAGUUUUUUCUUUCUUCACCAUUUUAAGGGUGUUUACCUACGAAGAAAAUCUAUUCAAGUUUUCUAAGAAAAAAUUUUUAAAAUGGAUUUUCUGAAAAAGAGCAUAGGUUGAUUUUUGAAACAUUCAUAUCUAAUUCUCUUGGUUUUGCGCAAAAACCCAUUUUUUUUCUUAUGUGAAUUCAAGAAGAGGCCGAGAUCGACCUUGGUGUAAACUCCAAGCGUGCUCUAAAAUAAGAAUGUGAGAAAGUGAAAGUGAAGGUACUAGUCAAGUGGUCUGGGAAGGAUUGGUUGGUUUGAGCUAGGUAAAACCUUGUAUUUAGUUUUUAUUCUUCAUAGUGGAUGUUUUCAAUUGGUAGUAGGGCCAUGGUUUUUGAUCUCUUCGAAAAAAUUUCAUGUAAAUUUAUGGUGUCUCAUUGUCUCAUUUUCUCUUCUUAGCAUCAUUUUUUAGUUUCAACAAUUUAUUAUAAUUUUGAUUGUAUAGUAUUUGAUUGAAUGAUAAGGAGAAAUGGCUAUGAAUCAUCUUUGAAGUUGUUUCUAAUUGUUAAUCACUGAUAUUUUGAGGUAUAUUGAUCUUGUUUUUAUCAUAAUUUAGUUUAAGUUGAUUUGGGUUUGGGAGUAUUAGAUCAUGUGCAUGUGAAUUUCAUUUGAGUAUUGUUGGGGAGUGUUGUUGCAUUCAUAUAUUCAUGUGAUUUAUAAUUUGUUUUUGAGACUGUGUGAAGAGAAGAAAAUAUUCAAGAAGUUUUAAGGUUUACUAAUUUGAGUUGAGAUUUUGUUUAAUUGGUCAAAACACCUAUUCAACCCCCCCUUUAGGUGUAUAUUCCACUAUUGAGAUUCACUUUUUCAGAACCUAUACUUCUACCGAGCUACAUGAAGUUUUGUAAGGCAUAAAAUACAUUUUGAGGCAUAUAUAAGUCAAAUCUUAUAUCCAAAUUAGGUUGAAUUGGGUCAUGGUUAACCUCAAAUCAAAUAUAUGCAUUUUUCUUACAAAUGUUUAUAUAUAUAUAUGCAUUUAAGAAUAUAGUUAUUAUUGUAAAGGAUGUACUUUUUCUUAAGAAUAUACUUAUUUUUGUAACAGAUGUACCUAGGGUUCUACCAUGCCAAAUUGGGUUUGGGAAUGCAUCAUGAGGUAUAUAGAAGUUAAAAUUUAGACUCAAAAUGAAUAAGGGAAUGAUUCAACUCAAAUCAGAUGUAAAUACUUUUCUAAACUUUUAUGCAUUUUUUUAAAGCAUGUACGCAAAGUUAUAUCAUGUUGAAUAGGGUAUAAGAAGACCUCAAAUGCAUUCCGAGACCUACAUAAGUGAAAUCCCACACCCGAAUUAGGUUGAAUGAGGAUAAGAAUCCCCAAUGAAAUGAAAUGUACAUGUUUUUAUACUAGAUGUACCUAUUUUUCUAAAUGAUGUACUUAUUUUUUUUAAAAGAUAUAUGUAUUUUAAGAAAUAUAAAAAUUAAUUAAAGAAAUGUUAAUACAAUUUUUAUGAAAAUAAUUUUUUUUCUAUUUUAUGUUUAUAAAAAAGUUAAAGAUUUUAACCUAGUAAAAAGUUAGAACCAUGAUCAAUUUUAAAUCAUAUGAAAAAUUAAAACAAAUGUUAAUAUGAAAGUUCAAAUUUUUACAUGCCCUUAUCAAUGUCUCAUCAAAUUUUUUUAGUACAAAAUGGAAUAGUAAGUGAAUACUCUUUUAUUUCUUUAAUACAAAAAAUACAAACCAAGCAUCUCUCAAAAUCUUGUUCCUUGCUCUUGAAUAUAAAGUAAGAUAAGCUCGUGAACUUAUUCACAGUAAAAGUUUUGCUAACCUACAGUCACGCAACACAUGAAGGCAUUAUUCGACUUUAUUUAGGCAUCGAACACAAUUCGGUGAAGCUACUAUAUGCCUUUUGAAGUGAUUUUCAUUUGUCAGCAACUUGUUGUGCAAAGCCAGCCACAAAAAGGAUCUAAUCCUUUGGGGACCCCUUCAUUUCCACAAGGCCAUCCAAUUCUUAUUCAGCUUUGUCCAGCAACUCUCUUCAAUCAGUUCGUAAGCCGACUUGGUAGUUGACAACGUUGACAUAAAGGCCAAAAAUAGUGGAGGAUUGUACAAGAGCACAUAGCACUAACCCAAAUUCUCAAAAUUUGCUAUUGAAAAGUUUUUAGCCUAUUUGGCCAUUUCAUUAAAAAAUAAUUUUUGUUUUUAAAAAUUAAAAAAAAACUAUUUUUAAAAAUUCAUAAAAUUGUUUGUUAGUUGUUUUCUAUUUGUAAUUUUUAAAAAUAAAGUGAAAUAAAAAACAUAUUUUAUAAAACAAAUAAAAAUUGUUUUCACCAAUUUUAAAAACAAAAGAAAAAUAUAGAGGAAUUAAAAAACUAUAAAAAGAAAAUUGAAGAUGAUAUCAUUCUUCUUUACCUCUUUCUACGAUCUAAUAUCGAUACUGAAAAUCUUCAAAUAUAAUAUUCUUUUAAAUUACAUGUGUUUUUAUCAAUUUCAUUUAAUUUAAGAAAAUUUUCAUUGAUAAAAUAAAUUCUAAAUCAAAUUAUACUUUAUACAUAAAAUUUACUAAUUUUUAAAAAUAACUUAAAAGUUAAAAACUGAUUUAGUUAGUACUAUAAAGUCAUGAAACUCACUAACAUUAGAAUGACAUACACCAAAAUUCAUUUGAAUGUCUUGGCUAGUUUUUUCUUUGCAUAUAAUCAUAUUUUUACAAUUUUUUUCACUUAGUAAAUAAUCACCAAAUCAAGUAUGACUUAAUGCGUUGAAUUUAUUAACAAGUCUAAGUAAUUCUAAAAAAUAAAUUGAAAUGCAAAUAGUGAUCCAAUUAAUACCAUAAAUUUAUGGACAAAAAUUGAACUUGAAUGACUUUAUUGUUUCCAAUUUUGUUUCAUUGGACAAAUAAACUUAAAAUUAAACCAAACUUAAUGUGUUGAAUUCAUUAAUAAAUUUAGUAAUUUCUAAAAAUAACUUAAAACUCAAAUAAUGAUGUAAUUAAUAUUAAAAAAUUUAUGGAUGAAAAUUGGUCUAAAACAACUUUAUUAUUUUUCUUCUACAUGGAAUCAUAUAUUCCCAAUUUUAUUUUACUAUAUAAAUAAACUCAAAAUUAAACAAGACUUAACAGUCUAGUAAUUUUUAAAUUAGAAUAAUAUUUGAAAUAAUUUAAUUAGAAUAAUAUUUUAAUUUAUUAAAAUAAAUCAUAAAUAAAUGAAUAAAAUUAUCUAACAAUAUUUUAUCAAGUUAAUAUUUGUUAAUAAUAAGGAUUUAAGAUUUUGUUAGAUUUUAUCGCUAUAGGAUUAUUAUAAAUAUGGUUUUAAAAAAAUGCAUGAACAUCAUGUAAUAUUAACAAAAUAAAAAUUACGAAUUGAUCGCUUUCAUAGUUUUUGACUAUGGAUUAUUUUUAUCAUAACAAAAAUGCGUAAAAUUGUAUACACCUUUUAGGCUAUGAAAUAUUCAUUAUUUAACUUAUGAGUGUACAAUUUUGUUUUGUCCAAUAGUAGUGCAAUUAAUAUUAAAAAUUUAUGGAUAAAAAUUGGGUUUUAAUGAGUCUACUUUUUUUCUAUACAUACUUAUUUAUUUAUAAAUUUUUUUAUUAAAGAAUGAACUUCAAAUCAAGUAAUUGAAUUUACUAAUAGGUUAAUUUUUUAGUUUUUUUAAAGUUACAACCUAGUAAAUAGAUCUAAUCACUAUAAGAAAUAAUAUAUGAAAACUAAUUGUAGACCCCAAAAUUUGUCAUAAUUUUAUUUUUACAUUGAUAUUGAGUUCAAUUUUAUCCUUAGAUUUAAAUUUCGAUUACAUCUUAAUUGUUUAACCCACUUACACUAUUUUUUUAUUUUUUUUAUUUUUUCUCUCCUCUCUCCUCUCUCUUCUCUCUUCCUCUUUCUCCUCAUUCUACCUAUUCCACCUACUUCCCUUACCCAUUUCCUUCUCGUCUAAGCCACUCCCCAUACCCCCUCCAAGUUUUUUUUUUUAAAUUUUUUAUCAUCUUUCUCUACUCUCCUCUCUUCACUUUUUUUUUCUCUCCAUCAUUUCUUCUUCGGGUUCCCUUCCAACACCACAACCACUCCACAACCCACAUACCAGACACGGUCGACUCCCCCAUCUCCUCUUUUUUUUUUUUUUCCUUUCCCCCAACUCUCACACACGACGGUCCCCAUUUUCUCUUCCAUUUUUUUUCUCUUUCCCACAGUCCUUCCCUCUACACUGCCAUUUUCCAAAGACUCCCAUUAUCACACGCUCCCCAUCUUCCUUCAUUUUCUUUUUUUUCUUUUUUUUUUCUCUUCCUUUUUCUUUUCUUUUCCCCUCCCCACACUCCAUAGCCACUACCGGCCCUCCACUGCCCGCCACUACCAGCAGCCACUGCCAACAACCACCACCCGCUACUAUCUGCCAGUCAUUGCCGGCUAGCAAUCCUACCAUCCAUAGUUCUAAAAAAAAUGGGUAAAUUUCCUUUUUACUUUAUUUUAUUUUCAUUUUUUUUAUCUUUAUAUUUUUAUUUUCAUUUGCAUAGUAAUUUAUUUAGACUUGGAUCUAUUGCUUAUUGGUUAUUUAUUUGGACUUAUUGGAUUGGGUUUGAGACAUUAUUUUCUUUGGUCAUGUAUAUUAUUAAUGUGGGUUUGUUAAUUGAUAUGAAUUUUUGACCCAUAAUGUGAGUAUGAAUUUUGGGCCCACAAUGUUGGUGGAAUUUGAUUGAUGACUUGAAUAUUUGAUAUGAGUUUGACCAAUUUGAACUAUUUAAUUUGGAUAUGGGACAAUUAUGAUGUAUAUUAAAUUAGGCUUGGAUUAUGAGAUAUUAAAUUUAGGCCUAAUUGAAUUUAUUUUAUUUUGUGAUAUUUUGGGCUUGGCUAAUUGUGUUGUAUUUUGGUUAUUAAUUUGAAAAUUUUGGAUUAAGAUUUAUAGCAUGUGAGAUGUUUUUGUUAGGUUAUAUUUGUUAAUUUAUGCCCAUUUUGAUUGACAAAAUUUAUCAGACUAAUUUGAAAUUUGAAUUUGAGUUUGAAUAUUUGUUUGGGAUUUUGUACAUCUUUGGAUAUUUACAUUUGAGCUAUUUUGUUUUUGCAUGGGUUUAUUUUGCAAAUUCUGUUGGCUGAAUACAAAUUUAUGACACGUGGAGCACGAAAUUUUAUGGAAGAAAGUGAGAAUCAAAAGGUUGUAGGAACACAUUAAACUUGUUAUAAGCUUAUUUUGGUACACAUUUUAUUUCCCACUUUUAUUUGAUUUUAUUUCUAUUAGUUCUUGUAAAUAUUCAUUUGUAUAUAUUUAUUGAGUGUGUACAGAAUUGAAUAUUUAACAAAUCAAAAUUUUCAUUUAAAUAAGAGGAAUAAUUCAGUAAAUAUGUUCUAAUAAAAUAAUAAUUUUAAAAUAUUCUUCUUCAUAAAAGAAAGUUUUUUUAUUAAUAAAAAUUCAUAAAAAUGCUUUUAAAAAAAUUCAAAAAAAAUUGUUUUUAAUAGAAUUUGAUAAAUUAUUUUUAAUAAUAAUUGUCCAAAAAUGUCUUUGUUUAAUAAAAAUUGUCCAAAAAUUGUUUUGUAAAUAAAGUUGUCCCAAAAAUUCUUUUGCAAAUAAAGUUAUAUUCUUUUUAAUAAUUUGUACAAGUCACUUUUCUUAAAUGAAAACAAAUUGAAAUACUUUUGUAAAUAAAAUUGUAAUUUUUUUGUAAAAGCGAGUAAAAAUCAUUUUUGUUACCAAAUUGAAAUUUUGUAAUAAAUUAUUUUGAUAUAAUAAGUGAAAAUAACUUUUUUGGAAAAUUAACUACAAAUUAAAUUGAAUUAAAUCAUUAAUUAAAAAUAAAUUGAAACUUCUUUUCUGUAAAUAAAAAAAAUUAAAAUCAUUAAUUUAAAAUCAUUUUUAAUAAAAUCCUUUGAAAUUUCUUGAAAAUUAUUUUUUUAAUAUUUUUUUAUUUAGUUCAAUAAAUCAUUUUGCAUAAUUCUCUUGUUAUUUAUUUUGUAUAUUCUUGUAAUUAGAUUUCAUCAUUAUUUUUAUGUAUAUUGAUUUUCAUCAUGACUUGCACAUACUCAUUUGCAUAAUUAUUUUUCUUGGUAUCCAUAAUUAAUUAAUUAAUCAUCGCAAUUUCCUUAAUUCAUUUAGUAGAGGUCGUAUGUAUACGAGCUUAGAGGGGUGUUACAACUCAUUACCAUACCUUCCCAAUAUGUAACGGAGGACUCAAACUCGAUUUUUCACAAACUUGUUUUUACUUCAAGAGUCACACUUAAGGUUUUUCUUUUUUAUUUUGUUUUUCCCUUAAAAAAUAAAACAAAAAUCAGUUGACUUCAAGUCUUUUUUUUAAAAUCAUAUUUUUCACCAAAUAAAUAAAAAAUGAGUCUCGCUGUCGAGUGGAGACGCACAUAAAAAACGUAGGUCCACACCAAUAUAUUAUACUAUUUUUUAAUUUAUUUAUAAUUUAAAACUAAUUUCAUUUUUUAUAAGACCUUAAUUAAAUUUCUAUUAAUUAAAUUUAGAAUAUUUUUACAAAAUCAACAUAGAAAAAUUAUUUAAAAAAAAAACCAACUUUAAAAUAACUUGCCAAACAUCCUUAUUUUAUAAAAUUUUUAAAACAUAUUUUUAUUUGUUUAACAUAAAAGCAACUUUCAAAAACAAACAUUAUGGAACGUGAUUGAACUUUUCUCUUAUUUCUUUUUCAUUUUCUUGUUACUUAAAAUGACCGACAAAGGAAGAUGAAUUAAAUUAUUGAAGAACAUCUUUUGCCAAACAUAUUAGUUAAAAAAAGUGAUUUAAAAAGCGGGCCCUAACCUAUUCUGGAGCCCAUGAUAUCUUUGUACGUUACCAUAAAAGGCCACACGCCACACGCCUCAGCAAACCCACCAACCCUCAGAAAGGGGUUUCAACUGCAAAUAGUAACCAUACAAUUUCAAAGCAAAAAGCCAAACACUCACAUAAAUCUAAUAUUACCACAGCAACACUACUAAAUAGUUAAUAGCCCGUGAUGUUUCCUUUUUAUUCUAUGCCAAGCUUCUUUCUCAUCCCCAUAACAAAGCCAUGGACCUUGUGUGGGUCUUCCAGAGAAGACGACACGCUCUCCUUUUCCAUGCACCUCUUGGUCCAAGCUAUCAACUUGGGACACUCCGCCUCUAUGCUGAAGUUUCCAAAGCUCUCAUAUGCAUGAAACCAGCAAGAGAAGGUCACCAGAGCCACAUCCACAAACCCAAUUUUUUCACCGCCGAAGUAAGGCUUCUCUCCAAGCUCUCCUUCCAGAAGCUUGAGGCACUCUAUGAAUUCCUUCUUGGCUGUUUCCUGCUCUUCUCCUUUGGUUGACCAUAUCUUCCUUCCAAGUUCAU
RNAcentral lists this long non-coding RNA (283711 nucleotides) under Vitis vinifera (wine grape). RNAcentral's name for it is "long non-coding RNA (VVIN_LNC006593)". The record is from RNAcentral. Lineage: Eukaryota; Viridiplantae; Streptophyta; Magnoliopsida; Vitales; Vitaceae.